CUUUUGACGACGACGAGAGAGCCUUCAACAUCCUUACGACUCCAUUGGCUGAGGUCGAUGUUGAACUCGUAGAAGGUGACAUGAGCGGCCGUGAUGAGGAUCUCCUCAAUGAAUGGAUCGAUUCACUGAAGAACUGUCAGGUUUAGGAGUUUUGUGCUCUGCUGGUCCAGAUUAGGCAUCAAUUUUCCGUUAUGCGACAUUUUUCAUAGUCGUUUUGGGCUCUGCCCCGAGCACAAGCCCCAGGGUUUUUCUGUGAGCUCUCUCUUUUGUAAAUAAAGUGUUUGAUGAGAUAGCCGAGAGAGAGUGAAAGUGUUGAACAGCCAAACACGGUCUCGAGAUUGAUCUUGCUUUAACUUCUUUUAAACAUUUGGGAAAUAGCAUUUAUUUCUUUUAGUUUCUCUACUUUUUUUUUUCCUUUAUGUCAUUUAGACCCCAAAAUUAGAUUUAUUAUAAUCCUAUUUUACCCAUACACUAUUAACCCCUUUUAUUUACCCCUUUUAUUUUUAAAAUUUGUCAAUAUUAAUGUGUUAGAAUAAUGUUAAAAAUCCCAAUUAUUAUCUCAAUGUUUCAAUCAUAACUAAUGUGAUGACUCAUUGGUAACUGCAACAUUAACUUAAUUAUUAAUGUAACACAAUAAAAGUUUGCCACUUCGGCAUUGGUCGGAGUGGUGGGAUGCUUGUGAGGGCAGCGGUUCAAGCCCCCACAAAAGUAUUUGUGGGGGCUAACGUUGUGGGGGCUAACGUGCUUAUUUGUUUAAUAUUUCAAAAAUUUCCUCUCCCUCGUGCAAUACGAGUGGAGUAUGGACAUCCCUCUUCUGUAAGGGAUUAUUUGUCUGGGCAUGUACUUCACAGAAUUCAAUGUAAUAAUAUAAGUCCCAAUCAUGUAUUUCUGAUUGUAAAUAUCAGUGUAAUAUAUCUGCUGUUGAUGCGAGAUUCUGGUUCUCCUCGUUCUACGACCAGGAUCUCUGCUCGAUCAACUUUACCACGACCAGGAGGUCUCCUAGUAAUGCUUCUUCUCCAGAUGUCCCUGCACACACAGACAAGUCAGAGUACGCCGGUUGUUCUCCCGGCGCAAACCCUCCGACGCUCAAGUCAGAUAUGAAGGUUCGGGGAACGCUUGCCACAGGUCUUAUGGCUUUUUCGUGGUUUUCUCUUUUAUCUUAAAAAUGCUAACCCUUUUACCUUCGUUGGCUACCUUUUUAUAGGCUUCUCCGAAUCCCCGUUUUCCGCUUUUUGCCAGACGGUAUGGGACUCUGACUGCUGCGUCAUGGGCGAAGGUGGGAUCUUGCGUGUUACGCCACGGUUCUGGGGAAAGCGUGGCUGUCGUGCCUAGAUUCUCGGGCUGGAGAGCAUGUCUUGCCAACUGCCGUCGACCGGGUCUCCUCGCUUCUCGACCUCUAGCCGGAAUGAUCUUAUGCCUCUUACAGGAAAUUGACCUCGCGGAUGACGUGCUCGUGGACGAGCAGGAUAUUUCUGCUCCUGUUCCCCCGCGCAUCAGGCUUUUACGGAACACACCGGCUCGAGGAACUCUGCCCCCAGAUAUCUGCUCACCAUGCCUGGUCUCAUCGACGUAUUUCUCCUAAACACCGGUCCCCCAGUUUCUGGUGUUGGGUAAUGUAGUGGACCAGCAGUAGAAACUCGAUAGUACUCGCUCACGUGGGACUGGAAAAGGCUGCCAAGAGUCGUGUCGCAUUUAAUUGCGGACGGGGUGACGUGGCGGAAAUCCCCCCUCCAUUUGAAUUUCAAACCGACGGUUAUGAGGCCCUCGGGAUUCGGCGCUGUUAAAUGCUGGCAACCCAAGAGUCCGUCCCCAUUAGAAAAACCAAAUCCUCUCGAACGGCAUAUUCAUCAUCCACUACGUCUCCGUCUCUGUCUCUCCGGCAAAGAAGUUCCGGCAUAAAAGUCCUCCAUCUCUGAUUUUCACCGACUGAACCAUUACUUCAGGUAUUUCUUCUAUCUCCUUGGCCUCGGAUAGUUGUAGAUAAUUUCUCUUUUCUUCUGUUUGGGUAGUAGUUGGUGGUGUUGUGGUUAGAGCUUAGGGAAUGUCGAAAGGCAAAGAGAAGGUCAUUGAGGUUGACGACGACGAGUUGGACUUCCUGCCUAGUCUGCUCACCGACCCUGCUUUUGACCCCGGGAUUCCCUUAGAGCCCACUAGGUCUAGUGUCGGGACUAGUGCUAGCAGGAUGUCUCCCCAAACAACCUCUACGAGCGGAAGUAGUGGUGAGGAGAGAUCUUCUGACUCUGAGGAUACGUUGAGUGAGAAUGGCGAAGGUGAUUCUGGUGAGGUGUCUCCAUCUAGAACAUCACGACCAGGAGAACGGGGUACAGUAGGAGGCAGAGCCUUGUCGCGCGAUUAUGCCAUUGAUUACAUGACGUGCAUGACCUCGUUUGACGAGCUCAAGGACCUCCGGCUUAGGUAUAGCAUUCCUGGUGAGAUACCUCUCAAGGUCCCAGGAAAGAAGGAUGCUCCCAGCCGGCCUCCUAGGGGAUACGUUACCCUGUUUUUAGAGAGCUUUAAGUACGGGCUGAGGUGUCCCUUGCAACCCUACUUUGCCCGGAUACUUAACGGGCUAAACCUAGCUCCUGGUCAGCUGAAUCCCAAUGGGUGGAGAGUGCUCUCUGGUCUGUUCAUAUUGUGGGACAGAUGUUGCCAGAGCGAGCCCACGGUUGAUGAGGUGAGACACCUGUACCAGCUAAAGAGCAGCCCCAAAGAUGCCGGCUGGUACUACUUCCAAUCUAGCACCAAGAGCAGGAAACCUAUAACCGACCUCCCCACUGGUGGUGGUGGGAAUUGGAAGAGAAAGUUCUUUUUUGCUGGGGGUCCUUGGGGUCAGGUUGCACAAAUGAACGGGAAGGAUUAUCGGGUCCCACCCCGUUUCACGGUCCCAGGUUGCCUGCUUGCUUUUAGAUGUCUUGUAUCCAUAAGUGUUCUUGCUUUAUUGGCUUGUCUCUAACCAAAUGUCUGUUUGUGUUGUAGUUUCUUGGGGUGUUCACUUCCCGCUCCCACCCGACCAGCUCAAACGGGUCGAGGCUGUGCUCGUCAAUUCCUGCUCGAGCCGGGAACUGUUAACUACGUACAACUUGCUCGAGUCUCGCUUGAUACUUCCUGGCCAUAGGAUGGAGGACGCUGUGAUUGGGGCUCUGACCCGAAAACGUUCUCGACCCCCAACCACGAAGAGGGACCAGAGUAAGGAUGCCCCUGUGGCAAAGCGGGCCAACAUCGUGCAGCAGGUCCCACCCUUGAAGAUUUUACCUCCUGCUCCCGUAAAAAUUAGGGAAGCUGGUGGAGCUGCCACAGAUCCUGCUUCCUCUCCUCCUCCUGUCGGGCCCCGAUCUCACUUACCUGACAGCCGAGCAGAACAUCUGGUCCCCUACUUCAAUGAGUUAACUAAACUCGUGAGCAGGAAGGAUCUGGAGGACUUUGACGGCCGCACCUUGGGUGAGUUGGUGGGGGCCAUGCAACAUAGCGCUUUCCACCUCAGCUGCAUGACCACCUAUUACAAGGCUAAGGCUGGCCGCUAUGACCGGAAGAUGAAGGAGGAUAUUCAAUCGGCGACGACCAGAGCUGACGUUGCCGAGAAGAAAGCAGGGGAGCUGAAUCUCGAGAAUCUGAAGCUGAUGGAGCAAGAAUCACUUGCUCAAGCAAAAGCCAUCGCCCUCGAGGAGGAGCUUAUCAAGGUCAGGGAGGAUCUGCAAAGGCAGAAGGCAAUGUAUGAGGCUCAGCUCGAAUCUCUUCGCGACUCCCACCGAGCUCAGGCCGAGAACUUGGAGAGGGAGGCCGACAACCAGUACGACCAGGGACUUCGGUAUUCCUAUCGUUGCAUCAUGGCCGUCCUCGGGAAGCAACACCCUGAUCUGAAGAUGGGUGACCUUGCGGCUGGUGUUGCUCAACAUAUGGACGAGGAGGCGGCCAAGGAGGAUGCCAAAGGGGUAGAGCCGAUCGUGAUAGAGGAGGAAAACUCUCCUCCUCAUGUAGUCCCUGCUGAUGUUGGCGAGGCGAGCACCCACCCCGAUGCCUCUAGUGAUACCCCUCCUGCACCUGAGGAGGUCCAGCCAACCGAUGCCGCUGGGCUCACUGAUCCACCAUCUUCUUGAUAUAUUUCUUGUAUUGUAAUGACAAUGUUUAUGAAGAUUAUUCCCUCUGUUAAUUAUUAACAAAUUAAUAAAAAUGUUUUUGAUCACCUUCUUGUGUCGUAAUUACGAAUUAAUUUUCGUUUGAGAAUCUGCUUGUCUUUGUCUAAACGAGCAGGUUCCGGCUUGGCUCAUGGUUUUGCCACAUGCCUUUGAAGAUUUUUCAAUGCUUGGGAUUCGGUUUGCCUUCGCGCAGUUGAGCAGAUCCUGGCACGCUUGGCUUCUGUCUCGCCAUAAGAUAGGCUUUGAGACUUGACGAGCCUUUGCAUGCCUUGGAUUCUUCAAAGCUCAGGAUUCUGCUGCCUUCUCAUGGCCGAGCAGAUCCUGGCAUGCUUGGCUUCUUUCUCGCCAUAAGACAGGCUUUGAGACUUGACGAGCCUUUGCAUGCCUUGGAUUCUUCAAGGGUUGGGAUUCUGCUGCCUUCUCGUGGCCGAGCAGAUCCUGGCAUGCUUGGCUUCGGUCUCGCCAUAAGACAGGCUUUGAGACUUGACGAGCCUUUGCAUGCCUUGGAUUCUUCAAGGGUUGGGAUUCUGCUGCCUUCUCGUGGCCGAGCAGAUCCUGGCAUGCUUGGCUUCUGUCUCGCCAUAAGACAGGCUUUGAGACUUGACGAGCCUUUGCAUGCCUUGGAUUCUUCAAGGGUUGGGAUUCUGCUGCCUUCUCGUGGCCGAGCAGAUCCUGGCAUGCUUGGCUUCGGUCUCGCCAUAAGACAGGCUUUGAGACUUGACGAGCCUUUGCAUGCCUUGGAUUCUUCAAGGGUUGGGAUUCUGCUGCCUUCUCGUGGCCGAGCAGAUCCUGGCACGCUUGGCUUCUGUCUCGCCAUAAGACAGGCUUUGAGACUUGAUGAGCCUUUGCAUGCCUUGGAUUCUUCAAGGGUUGGGAUUCUGCUGCCUUCUCGUGGCCGAGCAGAUCCUGGCAUGCUUGGCUUCUGUCUCGCCAUAAGACAGGCUUUGAGACUUGACGAGCCUUUGCAUGCCUUGGAUAAUUUCUUGGUUUCAAGCGUAAAAUUGCUUCAUUAAUGGCAGGAUUCGACUUACAUAAAAUUGUUUGGGACAUAAAGCGUAAAAGAUAAACGAUAAUGAGCAUGAGCAGAAAUAGCUCUCAAAUGUGAACAAAUCUUACUGGAAGUAUUUUCGGAGGUGUGCUGCGUUCCAUGGGCGUUUCACCUCGUGGCCGUCCGCGCGAACCAGCCUGUAAGCUCCGGGUCCCGCUAUCUGCUUGACUCUAUAUGGCCCUUCCCAAUUCGGUCCCAGCACUCCUUGAGUCGAAUCUUUGGUGCUCUGAUUCACUCUUCUCAGUACCCAGUCUCCGACCCUGAAUUGCCGUAUGUUCACCUUCUGGUUAUAAUACCGAGCAACCCUCUGUUGGUAAGUGACUGAUCGCUCGGCUGCUUGCUCCCUCCUUUCCGUCAGCAGAUCAAGAUUCAAACAUAUCUGCUCGUCGUUCUCCUGCUCAUUGAAAUGAUCUGUCCGGUGUGUGGUCGUUCCUAUCUCAGCCGGCACGACCGCUUCGUGUCCGAAAGCCAAAGCGAACGGUGUCUCCCCCGUUGCGGUUUUGUGGGUUGUUCUGUAUGCCCAUAGCACACCUGACAGCUCGUCAACCCACGCACCCUUUUUUGCACCAAGCCUGGUUUUCAGAAGCCUCUUGAUGGUCUUGUUGGCUGCUUCUACUUGUCCAUUCGAUUGAGGGUGAGCAGGCGAGCAAUACUUCAGCUCUAUCCCGAGGUUCUGGCAGAAAUCCCUGAAGCUGUGAUUAUCGAACUGCCUGCCAUUAUCCGUUACCAAGGCAUAAGGGAUCCCGUAUCGACAGACCAGGUUUCUCCACACGAAGUCUGUUGUUUUCUUCUCCGUGAUCCUGCUAAGGGCUUCCACCUCUAUCCACUUCGUGAAGUAAUCUAUAGCAACUAUUGCAUGUGUUGCUGCUCCUCGUCCUUUUGGCAAUGGGCCGAUCAGAUCAAUUCCCCAUUGAGCAAACGGCCAAGGGGAGGCCAUAGAGGUGAGCUUCUCUGGUGGUUGGUUGGAGAAAUUUGCAAAACUCUGGCAGCUUGCACAACCCCUGGUCUUCUUUUGCGCAUCCUGGUGCAUUGUCGGCCAGAAAUAUCCCUGUCUUAGGACCUUGUGGGCCAGGGACCUCCCGCCAGAAUGAUUUCCGCAAAUUCCUUCAUGUACUUCUCUCAGCACGUAAUCCGCGUCGUCGUCAUCCAAACACCGAAGGAACGGUAAUGUGUAUCCUCGCCGAUACAGUACCCCAUCGAUCAUCGUGUAUCUCGAGGCCUGAGCUCUAAUCUUCCGAGCUCGCAGCUUAUCUGGUGGUAAUACCCCGUCUCUAAGGUAUGAAACUAUCGGGUCCCUCCACGAGCAUUUUUGUUCUAUCCGCAACACCCCCAAAUUCUGCUCGAUACUUGGGCUGGACUUCACUUCUAGAGGGACGGACUUUGGCAUUUUUGGGUCGGCUACUGCUGCCAUCCUAGCCAAAAUGUCUGCUCGACUAUUAUGCUCCCUGGGGAUUUGUAUCACCUCCACUACUUCGAACUUCCCCAUCAUCUGCCUGACUAUCUUCAGGUACUGUUCCAUCUUCUCCUCUCUUGGUUGGAAUCUUUCACUGACAUGAUUCGCAACCAGCUGGGAAUCAGUUCUGAUCUUAACUCUGUCUGCUUUCACGGCCCUAGCCAAUUCCAGGCCUGCUAUCAAGGCUUCGUACUCUGCCUGGUUAUUUGUGGCUGCAAAUUCCAACUUUACAGCAUAAGAGAUCUCCUCCCCCUCUGGGCCUUCCAGGACAAUCCCUGCUCCUGAACCCCGCUCCCCUGAUGACCCAUCUACAGACAUCUGCCAUACUUGAGUUUCGUCAUUGCCUAUAACUGCAUCUUGUUGACCUAAGCAUGUUUCGGGCUCUGUGAAUUCAGCUACGAAAUCGGCCAUUGCCUGGGCCUUUAUCGCUGCGCGGGGUUUAUAGUCUAUGUCGAACUCGCUCAGCUCCACAGCCCACUUGACGAGCCGCCCAGAGGCAUCUGGCUUGUGCAGAGUCUGACGCAAUGGCUGGUAUGUUAUUACCGAGAUCGGGAAGGCUUGAAAAUAUGGCCUCAACUUCCGAGCAGCAACCACAAGGGCAAGUGCCCAUUUCUCCAACGAUGGGUACCUGGUCUCAGCGUCGAACAGGGCCUUGCUGGUGUAGUAUAUCGGAUACUGAACUCCUUCUUCCUCUCUCACCAGAACAGAACUGGCGGCCCGAUCCGAUACCGCCAAAUACAGAUACAACUUGUCCCCAUUCCUCGGUGUGGACAGCAGCGGAGCUUGCUGCAAGUAUUGCUUCAAGUUCCGGAAGGCUUCCUCGCAUUCUGGGGUCCAUUCUGUUUUCCUUCCCCUCCUUAUCACUUGAAAGAAUGGCUGACACUUAUCUGUAGCUUUGGAUAUGAAUCUGCUCAACGCCGCCAACCUCCCCGUGAGGCCCUGCGUCUCCUUCAGGUUACGAGGAGACGUCAUUUGCACAAUCGCCUGGAUUUUCUCGGGAUUUGCUUCAAUCCCCCUAUGGCUCACCAUGAAUCCCAGGAAUUUCCCUGACUCGACCCCAAAAGCACACUUCUCCGGAUUGAGCUUCAUCUUAUACUUCCUCAAAAGCUCGAAUGUCUCCUCGAGGUGUCUGACAUGUUCCUUCGGGAUCUUGGACUUGGUGAUCAUGUCAUCCACGUACACCUCCAUGGUUUUCCCGAUCAACGGCUUAAAGACUUUGUUCACCAGCCUUUGAUAGGUGGCCCCAGCAUUCUUGAGACCGAAUGACAUCACCCUGUAACAGAACAAACCUUGGUUAGUGAUGAAAGCCGUGCUCUCCUCAUCCUGCUCGUACAUGGGGAUCUGGUUGUAUCCCGAGAAUGCGUCCAUGAAGCUAAGCAGACCAUGUCCAGCUGUUGAAUCUACUAGCUGAUCGAUCCUUGGUAAAGGGAAGCUGUCUUUUGGGCACGCCUUGUUGAGGUCUGUGAAAUCCACACACAUCCUCCACUUGCCGUUUGCCUUCUUUACCAACACCACAUUUGAUAUCCACUCUGGGUAACUGACUUCCCGAAUGAACCCUGCUCUCAGGAGCUUCUCCACCUCGUCAUUUACAGCCUCAUACCUCUCCUGGUUGAAACACCUCCUCUUCUGCCUUACUGCCCGAGCACCUUUCUUUAUUGCCAACUUAUGACACGCUACCUCAGGGUCAAUCCCUGGCAUGUCUUCAUGUGUCCAGGCAAACACAUCAGCAUGAGCCUGUAAGCAUUUCACAAACUCCUGCUUUUGCUCUCCCUUCAGUCUCGACCCGAUUCUGAUCGUCUUUCCCGGGUUCUCUGGUCCCAUGCUUACCGUUUCCAGAUCCUCUACAGGUUCUUGUCUGCCAGUCUUGUUUUCUACUCGGGUAUCGAGGGAUGUUAUCUGCAUUGCCUCCCUUGCUGCCGAGGAGUAGCAGCUUCUUGCGAUCCUCUGGUCUCCUCGUACCACUCCUACUACCCCAUUCACCCGGUACUUCAGAGCCAGAUAAUGGUUGGACAACACCGCUUUGCUCAUCCUUAAAAACGGCCGACCUAGGAUCAUCUGGUAAGGACCUUCCUCAUCCACUACGACAAAGUCCAGUAUCAUUGUUCUUUCUGUCGGGGGGCUCCCAAUUGUGAUAGGUAGUUCGACCACGCCCAGGGGAACCAGCUUCCCUCCUCCGAACCCCUUCAAGGAGGUGUUGGUGUAUUCCAACUUCCGGUCGGCUAUUCCCAUCUCUUCCAGGGUUGACUUAAAUAACACAUCAACUGAGCUCCCUAUAUCAACCAGUAUCCGGUCAAACUUCUUGCUAGCGACCGUAGCCUUGAUGACUAAGGCAUCCUCGUGGGGGUAUAGGAUCCCUUCCUCAUCCUCAUCCGUCCACAUGAUUGGCACUUGCCUGACCCUUGCCCGUUUGGCUGCUGGGGUGUUGAGGAGUACCUCUUUACUGGUCAUGGCGUACCUAGCAUAAUUUUUUCUCGAUCUGUUUGAAUCUCCGGCCAACGUUGGGCCCCCCGCUAUCACCCUUACUGCGGGCUGCUCGUGCCUCAAGAUUCUAUCACUCUGCUCCCCUUCAUCUGUUGUGGCCACCAUCGGGAAAGUCCCAUCCAUAAACUCGUCCAGGUACCGAUUUCUCACCAAAUCUUCGACUUGGGUCUUGAGAUCUCUACACUCUGCUGUGGUAUGGCCAUGGGUGCCAUGGAACUUACAAUAACGUCCUCUAUCCCUCCUGUUGGGUAGCUUUGUUAUUGGUGUAGGGAGGUGCAGCAGCCCUCGAUCCUUUAUGGCUUCGUACACCUCAUCCAGGGACAUCUUCAAGGGAGUGUACCGCCCAUAGUCCUGGUGCUGGUCGAUCCGAUGUACUGCUCUUUCUCUGUUUGCCCCGCUCUGAGUUGGGGGCGGUGGAAGUACUUCUGGUCUGCUCGUCCUGCUACCGUGGGAAUGUUGAUGAAGACCACCAGAUGCCGGAUCAUUUCUUGUCCAAGGUUCCCUAGCUGGGGAACGAGGAGGUUGCGCCCUGCUGCGCUGAUACUGUGGUGGCCUCUGAUGAGGCUGGUAAGCAGUGACCCUGCCUCCUGCUCCACUACCGGAGGCCUGGUGGUCCCUCCUCCUGAUCGGCCCGUUCCCUGGUAAUGCUUUCAUCUCUCUCCUCCCCAACCCUUCUAACUGGUCUGUCUUGAUCCGUGCAGCCUUCUCCUCUUCAAUCUCGAUGUCUCUUUUAGCCUGUUCGUAUGCGGCCGCAUACGUUUGAAUAGCUGGGCUUCUCAAAUUGUACCACAGCCUUCCUAUCUUCACCCCUUCUUUCAAUCCCCUUAACGCCUGAGGGUGGUUGAAGGCUCCCAAGUCGAGGACAGCCCGAUGAAACCUCUUGAUGAAUUCCCGAAGGGUUUCUUGCUCCCCCUGUUUCAUGCUUUUCAGCUCCAUCAUGUCAUCUUCCGGUGACAUUGCCCCACUGAACUGCUCCGCGAAUUCCUGGCACAUCUGCUCGAAGGUUUUAAUGCUGCCCCGAAGAAGUUUCCUGUACCAUUCUCGUGCACGUCCCUCAAGGGAUAGUGGGAACACCCUGCACCUUUGGGAUUGAGAUAAUCCUUGUACCCUAGUUAUGUCGUUGAAGCGCUCUAUGUGCAUCAGCGGGUCAGUUCUUCCCGCGUAUCUGAGGUCGGGGAGGCGGAAAUCUCUCGGAAUAACUGCCCUCAUGAUCUCUGCUGCGAGCGGUGAUUCUCCGUCCAGCAUUAUCCUCCAACCAGGGGCUCUGUUCCUCCCUUGCAUAUCGUCAAUUAUCUGCGCUAGUCUGCGCACUUCCUCCUCCAGCUGCCCUGCACGACCAGGGUCACGUGCUGCAACUUGAUCCCGCUCUUGCUCUACAUCUUGCAAGUGUUGCCUCAACUCGGUUUCCUCUGCAUUCACCACCCCGUCGUCCGCGUCACAAGUCUGUCUUGCCGGGGACCGCUCUCUUUCUCUAUGAAAUUCUCCCCGUAGAGGUGCGUUACCUCUCUCACCAUCAAAUCUCCCUGUGGUUUGACUUCUCCCCGCACUAUCGGGACCUGGUGCCACUCCACCGCCUCUCACCCUUCCCUCUUGAGUUACCCUUCGCUUGCUCCGUAGCUCAUGCAGGAUGGUGUUGUGCAAAUUUUAAUGUACUCGCAAGCGCACGAAUCUAUUGUAGUAUAGACUAAUGGUGACGAGUGUCGAUCCCACGAGGAGGUGGAUUUUUAAUUAUAUAUAGAAUUAAUUUUGUAAAUGGGUGGUUGGAAUUGUGGUGGAAGUGAUUUAAAAUAUGCUAAAAUUGGAAUUGCAAUGGCGAGAAUAAAUUGUAGAGAAAAUCGAUUAAAUUGACGUACUUGGGUAUCUGGAUCCGUAUCAACAUGCAUCAUGGGCUAAAUAAUCCGUAUUAAUGCCAAUUAAAUCAUGAGGGGGGAAUCCACACCUCAUGAACCACGCUCUAAUCAAUAUGGUGCUAAGGGCUUAUCGUGCCAAAUAAUAAUAACCUUAUACUAGAGAGCCGGUGUAACCAAGGCGGUAUCUAGACAAGAUCAGUAUUAUUUGUCGACGAAAAGUCAAAUCAUCCACAAAAACUAGAGGGGAAAAGAAAAUAAAUUUACCAAAUAAAGCCCAUGACUCAUGUUGAGACUUCACCUUCAACCCAAGCUUGAAAGGAAAUUAGCCACUCAUAAUUGAACUAAGGGCAAAAUGGGAAUUUAUUAAAAUACAAAGAAAAUACAAGAUGGAGAAGGAAUUACAGAAAAUGGAUCCCAAAAAUGGAUUCAGAGAUAUCAAAUUAGGGGGGAGAGGCCCCCUUUUUAUAGAUACAUGGAGUAAAUCAUGGCCAUCGGAUUAAAAACAGUUUGGACGCUCAGGAUUGCGCCACGUCAUCAGUCAACAGUCCACGGUUUGACCACGCGGAUGAACAGUAACACGGUUUGACCACGCGGAUGAACAGUAACGCGGUUUGGUUGAAAAUAAUCCUGUGUGAUGCAUGCACCGUACGCGAGAUUUUUCGUCCACUGAUAUGCUGCCACGUCACCAUCAACAGUACAUAAGAAUUUUAGUCCAACAGGAUCGUGACACCUCAUCAGUCAAUGCCACAUCAUCGGUCAAUGCCACGUCAUCGAUCCGUCUAUGUGAACAGUGUCGUGAACAGUAACGUAGACAGUACCGUAUACGUUAAUAGUACCGUACAUGUGAAUAGUGCCAUUUUUCCUUUUAUGCUCCUCCUAAGGUUUUCGACCGUCCUGAGUUCAAAAGUGAUGUCCGUUUUGCCGUCUGAUCUCUCCUUUAUUGUGAAAUGACUAUAAUACCCCUAAAAUACAUAAAAUACUUAAUUAAAAUAACACACACGUAAUUACAUCACAAGAAGGUUAAAUACAUAAAAGUAAGAGUUGUUAGUAAGACUUGAAAUAUAAAAUGAUGGUUUUCUCCUUUAUAAAUAUGCAUUUUCUAAUACUCAACAGAUGGUUGUCAAGGUCUCCAUCUGCUUUUCCAUCCGGUCGAACAUGACUUUUUCCCGUGCUUCACUGACUAUCUCCCUCAGCGUCACGGAAUCGUUAAGCCUCAUAUCACCCCCUUGUGCACUACUUCCUCCUGUCUCCAUUGCUUUUCGCUUACUCCACCCCUCUUCUUGCUAUCAACAGAAGCUUUUUGCUCUGGGUCCCCACAGACGGCGCCAAAAUGUUGAUGCGAGAUUCCGGUUCUCCUCGUUCUACGACCAGGAUCUCUGCUCGAUCAACUUUACCACGACCAGGAGGUCUCCUAGUAAUGCUUCUUCUCCAGAUGUCCCUGCACACACAGACAAGUCAGAGUACGCCGGUUGUUCUCCCGGCGCAAACCCUCCGACGCUCAAGUCAGAUAUGAAGGUUCGGGGAACGCUUGCCACAGGUCUUAUGGCUUUUUCGUGGUUUUCUCUUUUAUCUUAAAAAUGCUAACCCUUUUACCUUCGUUGGCUACCUUUUUAUAGGCUUCUCCGAAUCCCCGUUUUCCGCUUUUUGCCAGACGGUAUGGGACUCUGACUGCUGCGUCAUGGGCGAAGGUGGGAUCUUGCGUGUUACGCCACGGUUCUGGGGAAAGCGUGGCUGUCGUGCCUAGAUUCUCGGGCUGGAGAGCAUGUCUUGCCAACUGCCGUCGACCGGGUCUCCUCGCUUCUCGACCUCUAGCCGGAAUGAUCUUAUGCCUCUUACAGGAAAUUGACCUCGCGGAUGACGUGCUCGUGGACGAGCAGGAUAUUUCUGCUCCUGUUCCCCCGCGCAUCAGGCUUUUACGGAACACACCGGCUCGAGGAACUCUGCCCCCAGAUAUCUGCUCACCAUGCCUGGUCUCGUCGACGUAUUUCUCCUAAACAUCUGCUAUAAUAGCAGUUGUAAAUAUAUGUGUAAUGCAGUAAUAUGAUGAUUAAUCAGUAUUCAAAACACAAUAAAAGUUUCGUACAGAUUUUGAUAUUGAGAGUAACACAAUAAAAGUUUCAUACAGAUUUUGCAAACGAAAAGCACAUAAUACACUUAACUAGGAGGAAAAAUUAAGGUGUAUUUAUUACAAACUGCUAACAAUAUACAAUUGUAAAAAUCACUCUUAUGAACUCACAAAUACUAGGCAGCAAUAAGAGUAUGAUACAGCCAUUCUAAAUGAAAGAGAAUACAACUGUUUUACAACUAUGUCACAUCAAGAGAUAUGUUAGCAGGAUUAAUCCAGAUACCUUCGAACCCAAUUAACGAACUCGAGUCAGAAACCAGGGGCCCCCAACUAAACCUUACAAUCUUGAAGGAAGAAGGAGACUCGUGGUCCAGAUAGGUGACUUACUAGAUCUCCUGCAAAAGAGAAUAUCUAUUGCUUUGAACCUCCAUUGAAAUUUUUUUUUCCCUUUUUCUUGUUUUGACUUGGAACUUUCCAACAUCAUCUAUUUGAUCUUUUUUGAAGGUAAAAUAGCAAUCUAUAGGUUGCCAACAUGUUAUUCUGCCAAACCCUACCCCACCCCCCCGGGGGACAACAAAUCGACCUAGCACACACCUUUCUUCAUUGCCCACACCUACAGAACUAUAAUAAAAAGACUACGUUACUAUUGGGGUAGAGAAAAUAUACAGACUGUAUUAUUAUUACAUCGCAUUUUACUAAUUAACUAGUGCAAGACUUCUUUAGUGUCAAAUCAAGAACUAAUUAGAAAAGACAACUCAUGAUAAUACAGACCUUAAUAAGCAAUUGCUAACAACAUCCCAUAUACUCCUAUUUUAGCCUUCAUUAUCCUGGUAAAAACACAAAUAAGUCUUGCAAACGAACAUUUAUAAGUAAAUUCAACAUUAAUUAAGAUUAGGUAUCUACUGCACCUAAUAGCAUGGUCAACCAUCCAGUUCCUGUAGCCUUCCAUGUACCUAUGUUAGUUACAUUUUACAUAUUAAGCCACGAAAACGAAGAAUCACAGCCUGGUAAAGAAAGACAUUAAUUAAUAGUUUUUGUUUAAAAAUUUCUCCUUUAGAUCUUUCCUAUUCAAUGAAUCAAUGUAAUCUAAAGAGAACUCUUCCAUUUCAAACAGUGUUAGAAGGUAUUUGCAAAGCCUAAAGAUAAUAUACAAGGACCAAGAUAUACACAGAUGGUUUCUUUAUGGAAUUAAAGAGCUUUAUAGAUGUUAAAACUGUUUCAAACAAUUUUUCUUGUUUGGUUUAACUAAGGAAAAGCUUGUGGAAGAUUAAAAAUGAUGUUUCCUAUUCUCUGUAGGAAACUUUUAGGAGAUUUUUUGGGCUUUUUUGAAAGGUUGAAUUGUCAAAAAUACCUUGAUGUUAUUGUUUGCUAAAAGAUGUUACGGACAUCUAAACAACCAACAACAUUUUGUUAAAAGCUCUACUAAUGUAGGAUCUACUUAAAGAAGCUAUACCAAACAGACUCUUAGACUGAAUAACUCGAUCUUAAGUUUGUAAAAUUGGGCUCAGAAUCUCCACUAACAACCCCGCUUCGGUGAGAAAGCCCAAGCCUGUUACUUUGUAUAACCUUAUUCUGUAUGUUUGAUUGCAGGAACUGGCCGAUCAUACCGACGAGGUGAGUGUGCAACAUGAGGUGCUUGACGGGAUGUUUACUUUCUAUGAUUCAACUAAAGCUAGCCUCAACAUAUAUCAGGUGCCUGCUUGUUUUUACCUUCUAGAUACUAAUAUUGUUUAGACGUGUAAUCUCUCUCUCCAUUGAACGCUAGACGGCUCGUCUCAAGCCUUCUACGUACUUCAGAGUCCUUCACUAGCUUUUUAUGUAUAAAGUUUUGAUCUUUUUCCUUCAUUUGCUUGAAGCUCAUUACUGCAGAUUUUUUUUACAGGUUGGUAGUGUAACAUUCGACUUGCUGUUGCUUCUAGUCUUGGGAUCGUAUUUAAUUGUGCUUUUCAGCUUUCUUGUCAUCACAACUAGGGUAUUACUCUUUCUCCAUAUCAAGCUUGAAGUUCUAAAUUUCAGUUUUAUCUUGUAUUUGAUGUUUUAUAAUUUCAUUGCAAACAGAUUAGAAUAGAAACUUCAAAAGUUCCAACUGACUAGUCCCGUGUAACUUUUCCAGGGAAGAUGUUCUCUCAUAACAACUACGAACGUGUUAUGGUUUAGCUCAGUGUCACAAAGGACAGUUUCCAACAAUUGAUCCUAGGAAGAUGCCCAUAGCUUGUUGUGCCAAAAAUAUAAAAUCUAAGAUGCGAAAAGAUUUUGUUGAGAUUCAUUUUUCAUCCUGAUGUUACCGCUGGCCUUUUUUUUUUUUUGGCAGAGAAUAAUGCUUAUGUGAUUUCUGAACUUGGUGAUUGUUGAAAUGAGCUGAAAAUGAGCUGGAAAUGUGUUUGGUUACUGAGAAAGAGAGCAAGAAAAUGAAAGAAAUCUAUUUCACUUUUUAUUUAUCAGAAUGAUUACAUUCACAAUGAAUCUAAGCUGCUAUUUAUACUUAAAUGAAUACACACGAGAAUCUUCUUGCUAGAUACUUCUAGAAACUCUACACGCACACUCGCACUGAGCUAGUGGUUACCAAAACCGUGACAACAAUAUUGCCAGCUCAGCAUAACCAACUUAUAAGUUAUAACUAACACACUCAGCUGCAGGGGAAACCAUCAAGCUUACUGUGCAUCCUCUGUAAUCAAGCUUCUUUAAGCAUGCUCUGCAGAUCAUAUGUCUGAAUUAUCGAAACAAGAUGAAUUAUUUUUUGUUUAGCAGCAGGCGAUCUAUGAGCAGAAUUUCUUGCAACAAAAGAUGUGUGUCCCCCGGCUUGUAUUUAGUCUCGUAAUGCAUUAUAUAUAUGCACGCGAACACACUUUUGAGAAGAAUCAGACCAUUAAUUUUCUUUUGAGCCAAUCAACAGAAUGUACAUUUCUUCUAAGAGCUUGUAACCGAAACUGCAGUUUUUCAGGUUUGAUGCAUCUGGGAAAAUUGUCAGAUGGAAUAAAACCAUCAUGCGCCAAGGUACCAAUGAUGUUUCUUCCAGCUUAUGAGCACUUCAAAUAAACUUAGGUCAUACUUACACAAGGGCGCACAUGAUAUCAAUCUAAUGGCAAAUAUAUCAUCUAAAAUCCAAAACCAAGAGUCUCCCAUUUUCCCGUCCUCUACUCUGUUCAUAUUAUCAUAACUAGAAGAUUGCAAGGCAGCCGCAAUCUCCCAGAUCUUUGCUCCUUCCUCAUAGCAGUUAAUCAAACGAUAAAUAGAGAUAUCCCAUGUCAACAAGAAGGUAAUCAUAAAAGAACAACAGAAUUGUUGCAACAUAUUCAUAUGAAAUGUAAAACAAUUUUGAGAAAAAAUAUUGGGAAGAUAUUUUUUUUUCAUAGAAGUUGCAAUCUUUACGUUAUUUACUAGUUUGACUAGACUAUAUAAGGAAGCUAUAUGAAAUUAGAAAAAUAAGCUAUACUAGGAAAGAAUAAAUAUGUGUACAGAAAAUUAGGCUAUAAUUUUCAAAUUAGAUGCCAGUUAAUUUUAUCAUAAUUAGAUGGUAAGAUUGCAAAUUCUGCAGCCAAAGGUGGUACGGAACUGAAUGAAGGAAAUCAAAUAUGAACAUGUUUUCAAUCUUAAAAUAUGAAGAGUAGCAGAAGUAACUUGUGAAACAGUUAUAAGUUCAAGGGAAUUAGAUGAUGGCAUGGUUGAAUUUUAUAAAUAUUUGAUAUUUUGGACCGAACAGGGCAAACAGAUGGAUCCAGAUAAUCAAGAAAAACAUCAAUUCCAUGCAACCAAAUUAGUGUGGGCAAUGCAAUUGAGCAACACUAAAAAAUUAUUCAAAGAAAUCAGUAUCCAAAUAUAUGGCUCCGUCCGUUCCACCACCACAACCAAAAAAAUCAGAUCCCCCCAUUUGGAUUCGAUUGAUUAAUUUGAGCAUAUAAAAUCGGGUUUUAAACUUCCCUAAGCAAAAUUUAUAUUCCACAGAAUCAGUUCCUUUAACAUGAUGCAUUACAUAAUAUUUUGUUUGCAAAAUAAAGAAGAAAGAUGACAUAAUAGAAACACGCUAUUGCAUCUUUUGAAAAAGAAAAACGGAAUAGUUUUCCAAAAUUAAUUCCGAGAAGAAGAUUAACUAAUAAUGAUGUUAGAAAUUUUAAUAUUUGAGUCUUAAUAUUAUGUAUCACUCAUUUAUUAAAUAAUAGAUUUCAUAAUUUGUAAAAUUACUUAACCACUUGAUAAAUGUUAUAUUUGUUGGGACUAAAUUGGAACUUAAAUGUUGGAAUAUCUAGUAUUGCAUUAAAAAAUAAAUAAAAACUUAACAAUUUAUCUUCACUUGACUAAUUGUUUUUACAUCACAACUAACCUUAAUUAUUUUGAAGUUACAGUAUUAUUAAAUUGUCCUAACUGGUUAUCAAAAGUUGAAAGCAUGUUAAAAUAAAAAAAAUUACCAAGAAACAUGUGCUUAAACAGAGGUUGAGGCUAUGAACAAUUAAGAAGAAACUCUUAAUUUGGUCCCAAUUAGUAUAGUAAUCAUCUAUUGAGCGGUAAAAUAUUAAUUUUAAUAGUGAUGAAAUCCAAUAUAUAAUAGAUUACUAACACACAUAAAUUAAAACUAAACUGUCAGAAAUCAUAACAUUACUCUACUCUUCAGUGGAGUUCUCUUAAACAGAUUAUGUGAGAUUGCCUACAUAAAAAAUAUGUUAAGACUGCUUGUUGAAAGCAAUAUUCGCUUUUCCAUUAUAUCCAUAACUUUGAAUUGAUAAAGUUGUAUUCAACAGCUCUUGAAAAGACUAAUUUAUUUAAACUAGUCACAGAAAUAAGAGAGAAAGGGGGCUAUUUCUUGACUCAAAGUCAAUUAUAAUUAUCAAAACUUGAGCGGACAUCGCAUGCCUAACUUCCACGCACCCUAAAACGGUUUGAUUUGCUUUCACGCGUUCAUGAAUUUCCAUGAAAGAGCCUGCCUUUCGUCUCUUUCGGGACAGUGACUACAAUUAUGGAAAAAAUUAUAAUUCUCGUUAGAUUGUAACCAAAUUAUUAUCCCUAAUUUUUUUAAGUUAAAUAAAAUAAAAUUUAUGCUUAAGUAUAAACAAUAAUUUGGACAUUCUUGUUAUUUGUCCUUCUAAGAUAGACAGCAACCUAAUUAUUUAUUUGUUUGCCUGUUUUUGUUUUUUUAAAUAACAGUUUAUUAGCAUAAAUAUUUACCUGUGAAGUCGAGGAGGAGAAAAUGUUAGAAAAAAUAAAAAGAAAAAAAAUUAAGGGAGAUAGAAUCAGAUUUUCUUUUUUGAGCAAAGAACAUACGUAAAAAGAUAUUAAAUCUAUUAAGUCUAAUUGUCUAUAACCGUAAAUUGCAUAACGAAUAAAUUAUCAGCGUAAAAUAAAUUUUAUUAGAUUCUGGUUAUUUUCUAGAGUACGAAUUGUCUCAUCGUAGAACAAACACCGGAAAAUAUAACCUUUGCGGAGGUCUUUUGCUGUGUCGUUAUAAAAAGGUUAUUAGUAAUUUAAUGCACCAAUAUUGUAUAUUCCACCUUAUCAAUGUCUCUGGUUGCGAAAGAUUGUUAAAAGCAACGUGUUCUUUCUUUGUCUUAUGUAAUUUUUUCGUUGUCCAUGAGUUUUAAUUGAAAUACUUGGCUUCCAGUUAUUUUGUAAACCUGUCGAAAACUACCACAGUGGAUAAAGAUUAACCAGCUCAUUCUUUACAAUUGACUAUCGAUUUUUUAUUUUUUUAUUUUUAUUUAAAAUUGCUGGUUUGUUGCUUAAAAUUUUCAAUAAUAAUUUCACUUAUUUAGUAAUUAGAGAGAGAUAGAGAGGAUUGGCGGCCAAUGUUUCGCGAUUUGGGGUCAAUUCAAAGUCAACUAACGUGUAAAACACGUGUAUGCAUAGAAAACGCUUAGAUUAUUUGUGUUCCAAGUGCAAGAAAUUAAGAAAAGAAAAAUUGAUUUCCUUUCAUGAACUUCCAAGAAAGAAAGAAGACCCUUUACCUUCUUCGUGACAACAAAUGAAUGAAUGAUGUUGAUAUGACAAAUACAAGCGCUAUUGCAGGGAACAGCAUAAGACCGAGACUUGAUAAAGGGUUUGUUAAAUUACAUGUUAUUUUCUUUUGACUUGAAUGAUGUUGAAAUAAAAUAAAAUUGUAAUCAGGAUGAUGUGUAGAAUAGUGAAAUAAAUAAAAAGAGAAGAGAAAUUCUUUGACCAAUAUUCAAGAACUCAUCCAAGGUGAUCGUCCAAGUCUAGAGGUUCGGUGUGAUUAGCAUUUAUUUUUAAUUUUUUGGCUAACAUCAUAUAUAGUCACUUGUCGUGUGAUGUAGGGCAAGUUUAGAAAUCCUUUUAUUUUAACUUCCGUAUUCUUAUUAUUUAAUUAGUUAUAGGGUUUUUAAGUAUUUGAGUAUUGAUCACAUGUCUGCUAAUCUAAAAAUAUUUUUUUACGAUCGAGUACAAAUAACAAACUAGAAUUUUAACAGCCUUUUAUACUAAACCCUAAAAAUACAUGAAUUUAUCAAAAUAAGUAAAUUAAUUUAAAUUGGUAUGGCAUAAUAGAAGUUUUACCUGCCGAAACAAAUUAAAAAAAUAUUACACUUAAAUCAAAUAUUGACAAAAAUAGAUAACAAUCUAAUGAGAAUCUUAACUAGACAUUUUUACUUCUAUCCAAUUUAACUGGAACGAGAAUUAAGUCCUUUCAAUAGUUAAGACUCAUAACUCAUACAUGCUAGUUUGAGAGUGUGGGGUGUGACAAUGGGUCAAAAGACCAUUGACAAGUACAAAAGAGUGAUUGCAAUUAAUUCAAACCGCUACACACGCUAUAUUGAGGGCCCAUUUUUGUUUAUUUCGUUGAAAAGUAGUUUUCACAAUUAAUUCAAACCGCUACACACGCUAUUGCGUCUUUUAAAAAAGAAAAAUGGAGUAGUUUUCCAAAAUUAAUUCAGAGAAGAAGAUUUACUAAUAAUGAUGUUAGAAAUCUUAAUAUUUGAAUCUUAAUAUUAUGUAUCACUCAUUUAUUAAAUAAUAGAUUUCAUAGUUUGUAAAUUUACUUAACCACUUGAUAAAUGUUAUAUUUGUUGGGACUAAAUUGGGACUUCAAUGUUGGAAUAUCUAGUAUUGCAUAAAAAAUAAAAAAAAACUUAAAAAUUUAUCUUCGCAUGACUAAUUGUUUUUACAUCACAACUAACCUUAGUUAUUUUUUAAAGUUAUAGUAUUAUUAAAUUGCCCUAACUGGUUAUCAAAAGAUGAAAGCAUGUUAAAAUAAGAAAUUACUAAGAAACAUGUGCUUAAACAGAGGUUAAGGCUACGAACAAUUAAGAAGAAACAACUUACAAUCAAAGGUUAAGAUUAUGAACAAAUUAAGGAAGGUAGAUAAAGGGACGGAAUCAUUGUCUGAAUUGCCGGUGACAAGAAUGCUUGUGUUGUGAAAAGAAACCUGAUGGUUUGUAAAUGGGUUGAAUUUUUUAUUCGCUCACUCCAACUGACUUACUAAUGCCAAAUUUAUUACGUUGCACAGUAGUGUUUAGGAUCCUCAAGAUCAACUCUUAAUUUGGUCCCAAUUAUUGUAGAAAUCAUCUAUUGAGCAAUAGAAUAAGAAUUUUUCUAGUCAUGAAAUUUAAUAUAUAAUAUAUCCUUGACACACAUCGAUUAGAACUUAAUUGUUAGAAUUCAUAACAUUACUCUACUCUCAAGGGGAGUUCUCUUAACAUAUUAUGUUAGGUUGCCUACAUUCAAAAUAUGUUAGACUGCUCUUUGAAAGCAAUAUUCCCUUUUCCGUAACUUUGAAUUGAUCCAAUAGCUCUUGAAAAGCACAUAAUAAUCAUUAUAAAUUUAAUCAAAGACUAAGCAGGUCUUCUUUCCAUUUGAUCACUGGCAUUUCAGUUAAGUUUGUCGUUUACUUAAAUUUUUCUUGCUUUCAAUUUCCACUGUUGUUUUUUUUAUAUAAAAUAAUUUAUUUAAACUAGUCAUAGAAAUAAGAGAGAAAGGGCGCCAUUUCUUGACUCAAAGUCAAUUAUAAUUAUCAAAACUUGAGCGGACAUUGCAUGCCUAAAUUCCACGCACCCUAAAACGGUUUGAUUUGCUUUCACGCGUUCAUGAUUUUCCAUGAAAGAGAGUGCCUCUCGUCUCUUUCCGGACAGUGACUGCAAUUAUGUUAACGUGACGAAUACAUAACGUUAUUACAUACAAGAAUAAGUUUUUGGAGCCGAGACUUGAGGGAGGUUCUAUCUAAUUCUAAAGAUUGUAACCAAAUCAUUAUCCCAAAUUUUUUUCAGUUAAAUAAAAUAAAAUUUAUGCUUAAGUAUAAAUAAUUUUUUUUCAGUUAAAUAUAAAAUAAAAUUCAUGAACUUUCCUAGAAAGAAAGAAGACCCUUCACCUUCUUCGUGACAACAAAUGAUGUUGACAUGACAAAUACAAGCUCUAUUACAGGGAAUAGCAUAAGACCGAAACUUGAUAAAUAUUAAAUAUAUAUUAUAAGUGGACCAAAUGAACAAAAUAAUAGAUAUUUUAUAAUAUUCUUGAUAAAAAUCCAAGUUUUGAGCUGGCCCAUAAGCUUGUCUAGCGAAGUCUGGGUACCCGCGUUGCCCAAGGUUUCGUCUGAAUCCAGGCUGUGUAGAUGUUUAUGACAUCCCAUAUGGACGGAGAGGAAAUAUUUUCAGUUGACUGAAUUAAAUAAAAAUAUAUUACAAUCAUAUUAUAUAUUAACAGCAAAAAUAAAAAGAAAUGAAGAAAAACGCAUGCAAGACUUAGAGAAGUCAAUUAAAAGCUGGGAGUAUCAUCAGUUCAAUUAGUUAUAAAUAGCGUAGAGCCAUCCUCUCGUUGUUGCAGAAGAGAGACAGAAAGAGUGUGUGUAGGUGAUUAUAAUUAAGAAGAUAUAAAGUGUGGUUCAAAAAGAGUGUGGGUGAGUGAGUUAAUUUUCAUAUUAUUAGUAGUAAAAGGGUGGUGGAGUGAGGGAUGUUUGGAGCAAGAGAGGUCUGCUCUCCUCCAACUUAAACGUUUCUUCAAUAAUAAUGAACGUCUUCAAAACUGGGCAGACGCGGCAGAUGAUGAGAAUUAUUCAGAUUGUUGUCAGUGGGAAGGGGUUGAGUGCAAUAACACCACUGGCAGAGUGAUUGAAUUAUAUCUAGGAGCCACUAGGAAUCGGGAAUCAGCAGAGUGGCAUAUGAAUGCUUCUCUAUUUACUCCCUUUCAACAAUUAGAGUCUCUUUAUCUAAUUGGGAACAAUAUAGCCGGUUGUGUUGAAAAUGAAGGUCCUUAAUUUACUUUAUUUUAGUUCUUCCUAUAAAUUUCUUACAUUUAUCUGAUCCCUUUUGGCUUUUAUUUAAUUUGUAUGUGAUACAAUAAAAUUAUUUUUUAUUUUUUGGCAGGUCUAGAUAGGUUAUCAAGGUUGAACAACUUGAAGUUUCUUUUUUUAGAUUUUAACUGCUUCAACAACAACAUCUUUUCAUCUCUAGGUGGUCUUUCAUCACUCAGGAUCUUAUCAUUGUUUCAUAAUAGAUUGAAUGGAAGUGUUGACAUUAAAGGUAAAGUAAGCUUCAUCCCUUCUCCCGUGUCCCAUCUUUUGUGGAUCUUAUUUCAUCGACCAGCUGGAAGUAUUGAUACGAGAUCUAGCUAGACUCUUGCUAGUGCAAGCUUCAAGGCUUUGAGUGCUACAAAAAUAGGUCUAAGAAAUUAUCAAUACAUAACGUUAUUACAUACAAUAAUAGUUCUAAAGAUUGUAACAAAAUCAUUAUCCCCAAUUUUUUUAAGUUAAAUAAAAUAAAAUUCAUGCUUAAGUAUAAAUAAUACUUUGGACAUUCUUGAUAUUUGUCCUUUUAAGAUAAACAGCAACCCAAUUAUCUAUUUGUUUGUCUGUUUUGUUUUUUUUAAAUAACAGUUUGUUAGCAUAAAUAUUUACCUGUGAAGUCGAGGAGGAGAAAAUGUUAGAAAAAAUAAAAAGAAAAAAAAUUAAGGGGGAUAAAAUCAGAUUUUCUUUUUUGAGCAAAGACCAUACGUAAAAAGAUAUUAAAUCUAUUAAGUCUAAUUGUCUAUAACGGUAAAUUGCAUAACGAAUAAUUUAUCAGCGUAAAAUAAAUUUUAUUAGAUUCUGAUUAUUUGUUUGAUUUCUUUUCUCUCUGGACUCAACUUAUAUUGUUUAUUUGAUUUGAUUUUAUUAUUUUUUAAAGAAACUUAUUGUUUAUCAAUACUGAAUGGCUUAAGAUUGAUGUCUUGAUAAUAGAUGGGGCAAUAUUGCAUUUUUAAUGCAGUAGACUUUGAAGUUAUCAUUGACAAGCUUAGAUGAAUUACUAGGACCAUAAUACAAAUGUCACAGGCAUCUAAGGCACUUACCAAGUUUUGAGUACAUUCCUGUUCCUAUCUAAUAGUUUUUAAUUUCUUUAAUUUAAGACCCCAUUCAUUAAUAUUUUCUUUAUUGUGAAGUUAAUUUUUUUUAUGUGAAAUUAAUUUUUUUUUAAAAAAAAUUUGUUGACUUAUAGUUUACCUUUGUGUUAAAUGUUGGCAAAAUUAUUUUGUCCAAACCAUUUUUUUGUCCUGAACGUCCAACUAAAAACUGAAUCAAGGGUUAAGUUGUAAGGUUUCAGUUCGUCCGUUAUAUUAAUUUAUUGUUUUAAUAUUAUGCAGUACAAAUAGGUGUAUAAGUCCAUCAUUUAAAUACAAAAUGAAACCACAUCAAUAUAGAAAUUAAAAGAAAAUGAAUUCUCACAACCAUAAGGUGAGAUUCAAACUCUCUAUCUCCGAGGAUUUCUUAAAGUUAUUCUUAAAUUAUACUUAAAUGGUUAAAUUUAAUAAAUAAAGGUUUAAUUCUUUUCUCGCACAUUGUAGAAGCAAAUUUUCUCCUCUGUUGAAAAUUCUAAAUAUUUUUUUAAAUUAGGUUUCAACUAUGACAUAUCAGGAGAGAUUUGAUACAUUUCUAAUGCAACCGAUAUAACAACACAACUUUGUGAUUUUUACUAUUCAGGAGAAGAAGAACACAACCUGUAUAACCCAACCGUUUAUAUACAAACAUCGAAUCGCUUUUUAAAAUUAAAUUGGGAAAAUUGGGGAUAUAAUCGUUUUUCAUAUAUAUACAUUUUUUCCUUACAAAUUUAAAUUCAUGGUUGGUAGCUAAAUAUACCUGCUUAAAGCCACUCAGUCGAACCCUUUGAGAGCUGCUUUAAAUUUUUCGGAUUAGCCAUAUUCUUUUCACUGAGAUUUAACAUAAAAAAAAAAGAGAAAAUAAGUUAUUUAAUUAACUCUAUUUUAAGUGUUGGCAUAAAUACAGGACUCGAUUCCUUAAGCAACUUGAAGGCGCUGUACAUGAGCUUCAAUGCAAUCGACAAUCUAGUGGUUCCUAAAGGUAUACAAAAUCUUCAAAUAUUAAUAAUUUGGAAGACAAUUUAAUUGAUUUGAUUAGGGAAUGCCCAAUGUCACUUAUCCAAAAUAAUUUAAUCUGAAAUUGUAUCCCAAAUAGAUUACAGAGGCUUGAGGAAGUUGAAUACCCUUUAUUUUGGGGGGGGGGGGGGGGGGGGGGGGGGGAGGGAAAUUGCAGUGAUAUAUGGAAGCAAGGUGUUGCAAUCAAUAAAGAAGUUCAUUGGUCAAUAUUCAAGGACUCAUCCAAAGUAAUCCACCAACUCAAACAUUUCUUCAAUGAUGAUCAACGUCUUCAAAACUAGGUAGACGCGGGAGAAAUGAGAAUAAUUUAGAUUGUUGUCAGUGGGAAGGGGUUGAGUGCAACAACACCACUGGCAGAGUGAUUAAAUUAGAUCUAGCAUUUCGAAAAUGGGAAUCAGCAAAGUGGUAUAUGAAUGCCUCUUUGUUUACUCCCUUUCAACAAUUAGAGUCUCUUGAUCUAAGUUGGAACAAUAUAGCCGGUUGUGUUCAAAAUGAAGGUCCUUAAUUUACUCUAUUUUAGUUCUUCCUCGUAAUUUCUUACAUUUAUCUGAUCCCUUUUGGCUUUUGUUUAAUUUGUAUGUGAUACAAUAACAUUUUUUUAGUUUUUAUUUUUUAUUUUUUGGCAGGUCUAGAGAGGCUAUCAAGGUUGAACAACUUGAAGUUUCUUUAUUUAGACGACAACCACUUCAACAACAGCAUCUUUUCAUCUCUAGGUGGUCUUUCAUCACUCAGACACUUAUCAUUGGCUGAUAAUAGAUUGAAUGGAAGUAUUGAUAUUAAAGGUAAGCAAGCUUCAUCCCUUCUCCCGUGUCCCAUCUUUGUGGAUUUUAUUUCAUCGACCAGUUGGAAGUAUUGAUACUAGAUCUAGCUAGACUCUUGCUAGUUUAAGCUUCAAGGCUUUGAAUAUUAUAAAAAUAGGUUUAAGGAAUUAUCAAUAUAUGCAAUUUUCAAUGCUUCUCAUAAUCAGACACAAUUCAAUCUAAUUAUUUCGUAUGUCUUGUCUUCAAAAGUAAAGAAUUGUACACUAAACGGAAAUCGACAUUGUAGCUUUUUAAUUUUUCUAAUGCUCUUUCUUUGUUAACGAGUUAAAUCCUGAGAGUGGAUUGGAUUCAAAAAAAAAAAAAAAAACAAGUUUUGAUGUUCAAGGUAAGCCAUAAUAACAUGCAUCUUAUUUAUCUGCCUAUAUCUAAAUUUGUGCAUUGAAUUUAGUAUUUUGGUUAGUGUGAAGGGAUCAGAUAUUGGCUUCCAUAAACCAACUUGUAUUUACUUAAUUAAUUAAUUAACGCCAUUUAGUAUUUAAAAAAUUAAAAUUUCGUGUUUUAUUUAUUUUAUUUUUUAUUUUUUGAAACAAGAAUAAGGUAUAGCAGUAGGUAAAGUUGAAAUAAAUUUUUAUUCCUUACAAAUUUAAAUUCGCCGUUGUCAGCCAAAUAUACCUACUUAAAACCACUCGGUCAGGCCCUUGGCAGCUGGUUUUUAGGUUUUUCUAGUUAGCCGUGUACUUUUUUGCUUAUUAAUAAAAUUCUUUUGCGCCGAGAUUUAAAACAAAGAAGGAGAAAAUAAGUUAUUUAAUUAACCCUGUUUUAAGUGUUGGCAUAAAUGCAGGACUGAAUUCCUUGAGUAACUUGGAGGAGCUGGACAUAAGCGACAAUGCAAUCGACAAUCUUGUGGUUCCUAAAGGUAUACAAAAUGUUCAAAUAUUUGGAGGACAGUUUAAUAGAUUUGAUUAGGGAAUGCCCAAUGACACUUACCCAAAAUAAUUUAAUCUGAAAUUGUAUCCCAAACAGAUUUCAGAGGUUUGAGGAAGUUGAAUACCCUUUAUUUCGGGGGAAGGGCAACUGCAAUGAUAGAUGGAAGCAAGGUGUUGCAAUCAAUAGGAUCACUACCGUCCCUCAAAACACUUUACCUUUUGUAUACUAAUUUUAAGGGAACAGUAGUUAAUCAAGGUAAGUAAAUCUUUUAUGUCGAAAAUAAUUGAAUUAAUAUAUAUAUCUAAAAUUUAUUGUUUCUACUUCUUUCUAAAAAGAAUUGCACAAUUUCACCAACUUGGAAGAAUUGAUAUUGGACGAGUCUGAUCUCCACAUAAGCCAGCUUCUGCAAAGCAUCGCAUCAUUCACUUCGUUAAAGUAUUUGUCAAUGCAACAUAGUGUACUCAAGGGUGCCCUGCAUGGUCAAGGUAAAUUACGGGUAUCUGAAGCUUUUGUGAUAUUAAUUCGAUAAUGAUUCUUUCUUUUCAAGUUAAUUUUCUCCCGUAAAAUAAUAUUUUUUUCUUUUAAAUUUUAUAUAUUUUCACUAUCCAAUAGUUCUACCUUCUCUAAAUUGUAGGAUUCUUGAUUAAGGUUAAUGAAAUUUUAGUUAUGUUAUGUUAAGAAUAUUUCGAUCGCUUAGAAGAGUAAAGAAAAAUAAGUAAAUUAACCCAAAAAUAAGGACCGGAUUAUCCUUAUUCCCUUGCAUUAUGUGAUCAAUAUCAAAAUUAUGACCAUUUCUUGUUUAUUGCUUGCAGAUUUUCGUAAAUUCAAGAAUUUGGAAAAUCUGGACAUGGGUGAGGUGCAGGUUGACGUCAACACCAGUUUUCUUCAAAUUGUCGGCGAAUCGAUGCCUUCUCUGAAGUUUUUAUCACUGAUAAACUCUAGUAAAAACACCAUUCUUGAUCAAGGUUAAUUAAUGAUUCUCUUUCUCCCUCUCGCGCAUCUUAACUAAAUUUAAUUGAGAAUAUCUAUGAUGUGAGAUAUUUAUAAACUUAAUGAAAUAUGAUAAGGAGCCAUAAUAAUGACAAAAAUAACUAUAAAACAGUGCAUUGUUGUAGUGUUGAUUGAAAAAUAAUGCUAAUUUUUUACUUAACACUAUAACGCUAUAUAAUUUUACAGUUAUUUUGUUGCCAUUACGUCAGAUUCUACUGUUCAACUAUCAGUGAUCAAACUUAAUUUUUAAUAUGUACUUUAAAGAUUUUAUGCAAUUAUUUAAGUUUUAUGCAAUUAUAUUUUUCAGGACUUUGUCGGUUAGUGCAUCUGCAAGAGUUAUACAUCAGCAGUAAUGAUUUGAGAGGUAGCUUGCCAUGGUGCUUGGCAAAUUUGACUUCCCUUCGAGUAUUAGAUGUCUCUUACAAUCAACUUACUGAAAACAUCUCCUCAUCUCCCAUCAUGCAUCUAAUAUCUAUUGAAAAGCUCAUACUUUCAAAUAAUCACUUCUUCCAAAUCCCUAUUUCACUUGAACCACUUUUCAAUCUCUCAAAACUCAAGACUUUCGAUGGUGAAAUAUGCGCAGAAACUGAGUCACAUUAUAAUUCUUUGACCCCAAAAUUCCAACUGACUUCUAUCUCACUGUCUGGUUACAUAGAUGGUGGCACAUUUCCCAAAUUCUUGUACCAUCAGCAUGACUUGAAGAAUGCUGAUCUCUCACACCUUAACUUGAGUGGACAAUUUCCAAAUUGGUUGCUAGAAAACAAUACAAACUUAGUGAUGCUUCUUCUUGCCAAUAACUCUCUUUUUGGAUCAUUUCGAAUGCCAAUUCAUUCCCACCAGAAUUUAGCAACAUUGGAUGUCUCCAAACAAUUUCUUUCAAGGCCAUAUUCCGGUAGAAAUCGGAACAUAUCUGCCAGGUUUAAUGGAUUUAAACUUAUCUAGAAAUGCUUUCAACGGUAGCAUUCCCUCUUCAUUUGCUGAUAUGAAAAUGUUGGAAAGGUUGGACAUAUCUGACAAUCAGUUGACUGGUGAAAUCCCUGAGCGCAUGGCCACGGGUUGCUUCUCAUUAGAAAUUCUUGCAUUGUCAAACAAUAGUUUGCAAGGUCAUAUAUUCUCGAAAAAAUUUAACUUGACAAAUUUGAUGACGUUGCAGUUGGAUGGUAAUAAAUUCAUUGGAGAGAUCCCAGAAAGCUUAUCUAAGUGUUAUUUGUUGGGAGGAUUGUAUCUGAGUGAUAAUCAUCUCUCUGGUGAGAUUCCAAGAUGGUUGGGUAAUUUGUCAGCUUUAGAAGGUAUUAGAAUGCCCAAUAACAAUCUUGAAGGACCAAUUCCAAUCGAGUUUUGUCAGCUUAGUGCUCUGAAGAUUUUAGACCUUUCAAACAAUUCUAUUUUCGGAACGUUACCAUCUUGUUUUAGUCCAGCACAUAUCGAACAAGUUCAUUUGUCAAAAAACAAGAUAGAAGGACGGUUGGAAAGUAUAAUCCAUGACAGCCCUUAUUUGGUGACAUUAGAUCUUAGUCAUAACCGCUUACACGGAAGUAUUCCAAAUCGGAUUGACAGACUACCUCAGUUAAACUACCUUCUUUUAGCUCAUAAUUAUAUUAAAGGCGAAAUACCAGUUCAAUUAUGCCAGUUGAAGGAAGUGCGAUUGAUUGAUCUUUCUCAUAAUAAUCUAUCUGGUCAUAUUCCUCCUUGCUUGGUUAACACUGCACUCAGUGGAGGUCAUCAUGAGGCAGUAGCUCCAACUUCGAUUUGGUGUGGUCGAGCGUCUGUCUAUAUAUCUGCAUGUCUGCCUAGUCGAAGUGCACCUCCGAUGGGAAAGGAAGAAACUGUACAGUUCACAACAAAGAAUAUGUCCUACUAUUAUCAAGGAAGAAUUUUGACGAGUAUGUCUGGGAUUGAUCUUUCUUGUAACAAACUGACAGGUGAGAUUCCUACUCAAAUUGGAUAUCUUUCUGGGAUUCAUGCGCUAAAUCUAUCUCAUAACAAUUUGACGGGCACAAUCCCGACAACAUUUUCAAACCUGAAGCAAAUUGAAAGCUUGGACCUCUCCUACAACCUACUGCAUGGGAAAAUCCCUCCUCAACUCAUUGUGCUAAAUACAUUGGAGGUUUUCAAAGUAGCAUACAAUAACUUAUCAGGCAAAAUUCCAGAUAGAGCACAAUUUUCAACUUUCGAGGAAGAUAGCUAUGAGGGGAAUCCUUUUCUUUGUGGAAAGCCACUGUCCAAAAGUUGCAAUGAUAAUGGAUUGACAACAGUGACACCAGAAGCUUCCACCGAAAAUCAAGGUGAUAGUUUAAUUGACACGGACAGUUUCCUGAUCACUUUUACAGUAUCUUAUGGAAUUGUGAUAAUAGGAAUUAUUGGAGUUUUGUACAUAAACCCUUACUGGCGGCGAAGAUGGUUUUACCUUGUUGAAGUGUGUAUGACCUCUUGUUAUUAUUUUGUAGCAGACAAUCUUGUUCCUCGAAGAUUCUAUCGUGGAUGGAUGUAAUUUCCUUACAUUACAACUUAUAUGUAAUUUUUAAAGAAUUUUCUUUUGCAUGCAUGGAAUAGCAACUCAAUAAAAGUAUUUGAUUCAAAUUGUCCAAGAACAACUUAGUAAUUUCAUUGCUACUAUUCGGUUGUAUAUAUACAGUAAAUGAAAUUUUUAACCAUUCGCAGUAGGAAUUUCUUUAGAUGGCGGCCAAAACUAACAGAUUUGGGGCUCUACUUCUACACAUCAUAACAGACAAAAGGUCUCUCUUUUACACGAUCUGAAUGAAGAUUAACUUACGCCCUCUGGAGUGUGUGUAAGUUCUCUAUUAAACUUGACGGUUGAGAUUUCAGGUCCAGAUGAAAGUAAAAUGCAGGCGACGAGACUUCACUUUAAGUAAACUGGGACAAACUUAAAAUAAAAAAAAUUAUAGUCCAGGGUGAGAGUAAUGGGUAGCUCAACUUAUGGAGGAUAACUAGGACUUGGAAUAACUAUCAGAUUUGCAACUCUUGUUAUAUGCUAGUGGGGAUUUAGGUAGCAAUUAUCACCUUGGGAGUUACAGUAAUCGAUUCAUUUCCUCCUUCAUUUCUGAUGGUAACCCAGCUCUAUACAAGAACAAUCAGAGAAGGUUCAUUUAAGAAAUUUCACAACCCACAAAUUUUUUUUUCCUUUUUGCCCUCUUCCUCACAAUAAACACACCUAACACACCAAGCCGUGCCCAAAAUAAUCCUAUUUUAUUCAUGUCAUGAAUCCAAAAACUAUCCCAGCUCACUUUGGUUAACCAGCAUAACUAAAUUGUGGGUAUAAAUGAACACACUUUCGAAGCCUGUAACUUAUAAUAAGCUCCAACCCAAAAAUGACAUUUAAAUCCUGCAAGUGUUUUUCAUCAUCUUUAACAAAAAGAAACAAGAAUAAUUAUAUACCAAUAAUUUUUCCAUAAAAAAUACUGACUUGAGUUGAAACACUAUACAAACUGGGUUUUAUUACACUUGCAGAAAGCUACAGGGUAGAAAAAAUCUAGCAGCUACAUAUUGGUAUCACUUUCAGCUGGUCAUGAAUGGUGAGCAUUCAGCAAUGCUCGAUAGACCAUGUCUAAGAAUUGAUUGUCCUAUUACAUAUAAAAGCUGGUCAGAUAUACAAGGAAAAAAAUAAUAAUUGAAAAUGCAUCACAAAAAAUAAGUGUUUCGCAUUAGUGAACAUAAAUUUAUUUACAUGUCAAUUUAGAUAUCAUCAAAAAGUAAACAGUAAUUCAGUCACUUAAAAUAGCUUUAAGUCUGCUGUCAAUAUGCAAUUAAGAAGAUUAUACCAGCUGCAUGAUAAAGUUCCCCUAAUCUUAACAACAGUAAACAUGAACAUGUCAGAUGCAAUUAUAGCUUCGAGCAUUUGCAUAACCAGAAAUCCUAACCUGAACAAGCACCAGAAGUGUCUCUCGAACUUUCUCCUUGCUGAUAAAUGGUCGGCUGUUUGAAGUAAGAGCAGGAGUAAGAGAUGGUGGAGGGGUUGGUGGUGGAAAAGGUUGAAGCACUGGGGCACCAUAUGGGCGUUGCAGACUCACGGGAGGAUUAAGUGGCGGAGCUGUUGGUGUAGAUGAAGAGACAAGCUGCAUCAUCCGUGCAUAGGAGGAUGGAGGAGGAACAAAGAAUAAGGAAGGCUUUACAAGAUUAGGCGUCCAGUUGCCAGAUUCAGAGGUGUCAACGGGUGAUAUUAAAGGUGUAGGUGCUGAUAGAGGUGGAGAUGGUAUUUGCAAGGUUGGGAGAAGCAACACUGGCGGGAUGAGAAGGUAAAGAAAUAGUUGUAUUGUACUGGUAAGGUUGUGCAGAGAUUGCUGCAUUAGAAGUAUUCCCCACAGUCAAAGCUGUCUGCAAUGAUAAGGACAGAUUGUUGGAGAAUUAACAAAAUAAAACACAAAAAACACUAUUUUAUUUCUUCAACAACACUUCUCACCAAUUACAACUCUUAUUUUUCACUUUCUACACCUUAGAGAUUUUGCUACUUCACUUGAUGAUUAAACCAAAGGGGAGAGGGGGUAUUUAUACAUGAAACAAACUAAUCACAACCAUUCAUUUAUUCAAUUAAUACACAAAUCCUCACCAUCCAUUAAAACCUACCACUCACCUACUUCACCAACCACACCUAACACACCUAACACAAAUAAUUCAAAGCUCACCAACCAUACCUACUCAUGGAACCUUCCAUGAGUUGGGCUUGAUUUACUCAUCUUGGAUCAAGUUUAUGAUCCAACACCUCCCCUUAAACUUGAUCCUGUGACACCAAGCAAACUUCUGAAUCUUGCAAAGUCUUCUUCCUUGAGUGGUUUAGUGAAGAUAUCAGCUGCUUGAUCUUGUGAUUUUACAUACUUGACUUGCACUUCUUUUCUUGCAAUACACUCUCUUAUGAAAUGAUAGCGAGUGUCUAUGUGUUUACUUCGAUCAUGAAAGACUGGAUUCUUGGAUAGGGCAAUUGCUGAUUUGUUAUCAACACAAAUCUCGGUUGGCUCUUCUUGUGCCAAACUCAACUCCUUCAGCAAAUUUCUGAGCCAAAUUGCAUGACAAACACUUGAUGUGGCAGCUACAUAUUCAGCUUCACAAGUGGAUAGAGUGACAAUUGGUUGCUUCUUUGACAUCCAUGUGAAAGCAGUAUCUCCCAUGAAGAACACAAAUCCUGUUGUGCUCUUUCGAUCAUCUACAUCUCCACCCCAAUCGCUAUCGCUAUAUCCAAUAAGCUUGUAGUGAUUAGAAAAUGAGUAUAACAAGCCGAAAUUAAUUGUACCUUUGAUAUAGCGAAGGAUUCUUUUUGCAGCUUUAAAAUGAGUGGUCUUUGGAUUCUCCAUGUAUCGGCUCACAAGUCCAACAGCAUAAAGAAUAUCUGGUCUUGUGCAUGUCAAAUAACGGAGGCUUCCAACCAAACUUUUAAAGAAUGUUGGAUCUAUAUCUUCGCCUUCAUCAUAUUUGGAUAACUUGACUCCGCAUUCCACUGGCGUGCUUAUAGGCUUGCAAUCAUUCAUCUUGAACCUUUUGAGAAUCUCCUUUGCAUAACUUUCUUGGGAGAUAAAUAUGUCUUCUUCCUUUUGCUUGACUUCAAUGCCGAGGUAAUAUGUCAUCAGUCCGAUGUCAGUCAUCUCGAACUCUUUGAUCAUCACUCUUUUGAACUCUUCAAACAAGCUUGGAUUACUUCCAGUGAAGAUGAGAUCAUCCACAUACAGGCACACAAUCAAAAUAUCUCCAUCUUUUUCUUUGACGUAGAGAGCAUGUUCAUAUGGGCAUUUGGUGAAGCCUUUCUCUUGAAAAUACUUGUCAAUUCUGCUAUUCCAUGCCCUUGGUGCUUGCUUUAACCCGUAAAGAGCUUUCUUUAAUCUCAAAACUUUGUCUUCAUGUCCUUUCACCAUAUAGCCUAAUGGUUGUUCGAUGUAAACUUCUUCUUCAAGGAAUCCAUUCAAGAAAGCAGACUUCACAUCCAUUUGAAAAAUCUUCCAUUUGUUCUGAGCAGCCAAAGAAAUAAUAAGUCUAAUAGUUUCAAGUCGAGCUACAGGAGCAAAUACCUCGUCAUAGUCUAUGCCAGCCUUUUGACUAUAGCCUUUUGCAACUAGCCUCGCCUUGUGCCUUUCAAUUUCUCCAUUCGCAUUUCUUUUUGUUUUAUACACCCAUUUGACACCGAUCGCCUUAUGACCUUUUGGAAGAGUAGUAAGCUCCCAAGUAUCAUUCUUCACAAUGGCUUUGAUUUCUUCAUCCAUUGCAAUUCUCCACUUCUCAUCUAGUGCAGCUUCUUGGAAGUUGACUGGCUCACAAUCAGCAAAGAGGCAAAAGAGAGUGAGAUUAUCAUGUCUCUCAGUUACCUCAUAGAGAUCUUGAAGACUCCUUGUACGUUCUUCAGUUCUUUCAUUUAAGAAAUGCGGCGGUGAAUCUCCGCAUGUGGUUGGUACCGGUGAGAUAGGUAGAGUGGCAGGCUCUUGUUGUUCGUCUACUUGUUUUAUCUGUGUAUGAUCAUCUUCUUCAAUGGGAAAGAAGUUGAAGUCAUCCACACCAGAGCCAAAAUCUCAUUCUCCUUCUUCAUCAAAAACUACAUCUCGACUGAUCACGAUCUUCCCGUUGUUUGGAUUGUAAAGCUUGUAUCCUUUGGAGUUGUUGUCGUAGCCGAUGAAGAUGAACUUUUCACUUUUGUCAUCCAGCUUGGCUCUACUUUCAUCUGGUACAUGUACAUGGGCAAUGCUUCCGAAAACUCUUAGAUGGGUUAUGCCGGGUUUUCUUCCACUCCAAGCUUCUUGUGGCGUCUUGCCCCACACGCUUCUUGUUGGAGAUCGAUUGGAUAAGUAGACUGCACAUGCAACAGCUUCAGCCCAAAAUUCUUUAGGUAGCCUCUUACUCUUAAGCAUGCUUCUUGCCAUGUCGAGGAUGGUUCUGUUCUUCCUUUCUGCAACACCAUUUUGUUGAGGGGAUCUUGGAACUGUCAAAGGGCGUCGAAUUCCAUUUGCUUCACAAAACUCUAAAAAUUCUUUGGAAGUGAACUCUCCACCUCGAUCAGAUCUCAUGGCUUUAAUCUGGUAUCCACUUUCUUUUUCCACUGCAGCUUUAAACUUCUUGAAAGCUUCAAAAACUUCUGAUUUUUGCUUCAAAAAAUACACCCAAGUUUUUCUUGAAAAAUCAUCUAUGAAGAGAAGGAAGUAGUUACUUUUACCAAGGGAGUUUGGUUUGAAUGGACCGCACACAUCAGUAUGAAUGAGCUCGAGUGGCUUCUGAGCUCUUGAGUUUGACUCCUUUGGAAAGCUCUUUCUGAAUUGCUUGCCAAGUAAACAUCCUUCACAAAGCUGAUCAGGGUGAUUGAUGUAUGAUAAGCCUUUCACCAUGUUCUUCUUGAAUAGUAGCUCCAAUCCUCCAAAGUUGAGAUGCCCAUAUCGAAGAUGCCAAGUCCAGGAUUGAUCUUUGUGACAGGCUUUGAGACAUUUUGCAACAUCAUUUUGAAUAUUUAAUGGAAACAUUCUAUUCUUCGACAUUUUCACCUUUGUAAUUAGAUUUCCUUUGUCAUCUUUUAGGAAAAGACUAUAAUCUUUUAAGUGAAUAUCAUAGCCUUUUUCUAAAAGUUGACCCAAACUAAGAAUGUUGCUUUUCAUAUUGGGCACAUAGUAAACAUUCGAAAUUAUUUGGUGACUACCAUCUUUUGCACGAAAAAGAAUGUUACCUUUACCCUUCACUGGUACUUUUGAAUCAUCUCCAAAAGCGACACUGCCAUUCACAGAUUCACUUAGUUGCACGAACAUGUUUAUGUUUCCACUCAUAUGAUUGCUAGCACCUGUGUCAAGAUACCAUGUAUUUUCUUGACCUCCACUUGUGUCAUUGCGUGCUAGUAAAAGUGUGCCAUCUUCACUAUUUUUCUCUUCAGCAUAGUUCACUCUCUCUUCAAUUCUGGUGCUUGGAGCUCUGCAUUCUGAAGCAUAAUGCCCAAACUUUUGACAAUUAUAGCACUGUACUUGGGAUUUGUCAUACCUCGAUCUUGGAUUGCCUCUGCCUCGUCCUCUGGUUGAGCUUUCUCCUUUGGCAUAAUUGGAGUUGUUGUUGUUGAAAUUCCAACCUCGUCCAUGACCACGACCUCUACCUCGUCCAUGACCACGACCCCUACCUCGGACAUAGUGCCUUCUCUCAUUGUCGGAGCUUUCUUCUCUUUUCUUUGGAUUGACUUCCAUCUUGAGAAGUUGUUCUUCGAUUCCUUGCCUCUUUUUUUGUUUUUCUUCAUAGGCUUGCAACCUUCCUUGAAGUUGCUCGAUCGUCAUAUCCUCCAGAUCUCUUGUUUCUUCAAUUGUCACAACAAUAUGGUCAAACUUCGACUCUACUGAUCGAAGUAUCUUUUCAAUGAUCCUUACCUCUUUUAACUCCUCGCCAUUUCUUUUUAAUUCAUUGGAAACAGUCACAACCCGAGUAAAGUAGUCAGAAAUUGACUCUGACGCCUUCAUAUGUAAGGACUCAAAUUCUCCUCGUAAUGUUUGGAGACGAACCUUCUUAACUUGUUCCGCUCCUUUGUAAGAGGUCUCUAGUUUCUCCCAUGCUUCUUUUGAGGAGGUUGUACCAGCAAUUUUUUCAAAAUCAUCUUCAUCUAAUGAUUGAAAGAUGAGAUACUUUGCUUUAUUCUCUUUCUUCUUCAAGUCUUUUAAAUUCUCCUUCUGCGCCGCAGUUAAAGUGGCUUCAUUUUCUGGCACAAUAAAGCCUUUUUCCACGACAUCCCAUACGUCAUGUGCGCCCAAUAGAGCCUUCAUUUUAAUACUCCAAUUGUCAAACUUACUUCCCUUUAAUUGUGGAACUUGAAAUGACAUCAUACCACCCUUUGCCAUAACUCACAAAUUGAGUGAGAAUUUGGAGAUUCUGAAAGCACAAAUGGAUCCGGCACGUCGAAAAACCUUGGGAAUGACUCGAGUCAACUUUCGGUCAACGGUCAACGCUGGUCAACGGUCAACGCUGGUCAACGGUCAACGUCGGUCAACGGUCAACACCGGCUUGGUAGUCUUGGUUCGGUCCGGAUUGGUUCAGCUCGAGUUGGCUCGGUUCGACUUGAUUCGGUUCAGCUCGGUUCGGCUUGGUUCAACUCGGUGAGUCGACUCAGCUUUAGGGCAGAAAACUUCCGGCGGCAAGUGUGGGCGCGUCCGGUCUCCGAUUGGGAUAAUUUUUGCGGCGUCACUUUCCUCUCGUCGAGAUCUUCGAUUUGAUAUGCUAUAUGACCAUAUAUAGCAUCAUGUACUAGCUCUGAUACCACUUUGUUGGAGAAUUAACAAAAUAAAACACAAAAAACACUAUUUUAUUUCUUCAACAACACUUCUCACCAAUUACAACUCUUAUUUUUCACUCUCUACACCUUAGAGAUUUUGCUACUUCACUUGAUGAUUAAACCAAAGGGGAGAGGGGGUAUUUAUACAUGAAACAAACUAAUCACAACCAUUCAUUUAUUCAAUUAAUACACAAAUCCUCACCAUCCAUUAAAACCUACCACUCACCUACUUCACCAACCACACCUAACACAAAUAAUUCAAAGUUCACCAACCAUACCUACUCAUGAAACUUUCCAUGAGUUGGGCUUGAUUUACUCAUCUUGGAUCAAGUUUAUGAUCCAACACAGAUGUCAUAUACAAGGACUUCAUCGAAGUUGAACCUCACAAAAAAAUGAAGUGAUAACAUAUGAAAAUAGUAUAUGACUUGCGCGGCAUUUUUGUGGUAAUGUUGCAUACUUAUGUAGAAACAUAUUAUUUCAAAGAAAACAUACACUGAAGAAGUUCACAAAAGCAGGAUCUUCAGGAACAUCAGCAGCAUUUGACGGAGUUGACUCUAGAGGACCAUCCAUAACUGCCAUAGUUGGAACAGCUUCCAGUUCCUCAAACUCACUGCAGUUUAACAUAAAAGGAACUUGAUGACCAAUUUAAGUAAUAAUUAGAUGAUAUAAGAGGUUAGGGAAAAUGAUGAGUGGACCCUUAUGGAAGGUGAUUUCACCUUAGCUAAACACGAAAAUAAAAAGAAAUCAAAGCUGAAUCCUCGAGUGCAAUGCAAAGAAUUUUUUCUCUCUCUUCACUAACUCCUCUUAUUCGAAAUUGCUCAUCAUUGUGCUGCUCUUCGAGAUUUCGCUUGAGUAGAGAAAGUUAUUCUCCCGUUAAGUGCAGAGGAAAAAGAAGGGCAAGGGCCUGGUAUGAUGUUAUUCUAUAGGAAGUGAGAAGGUGAAGGGUUAAAAUAUUUUGCAAUUUGGAGGUGGUGUUUGUUAGUGUGUGUACUUCUGAAUUUAUUACCUCUUUAGGAUCCAUAGAAAUUGCCUCUUGUUCAGCAUGCACUGUGCCUACGAGUAAGGCGAGCUUGCAUGGUAUCUAUUGUCUAUUUACUUGGAUAUUCAAACAGGACUACCAGCAACCAAACACAAAUCCCCAAAACAAAACACUCUUUCAAGUGCAAGGAAAGAGUAACUUGGGCAUAUUUAUGGUUCAAGCACUACCAUAACUAAGAAUGUGAUGCUGUCCACAAACACUAUAUCAGUGCCUUUUGAACUACAUGACAUGCUUGAAGACUUUUUUUUUAGUCAUACAUAAAUUAGCUAUAAAAUUAAGACCAUUAUACAACUAAAAAGAAAGAAAAAUUGUUUGCCACUACAUAUCAAAACUGGUAAUAGCAAUGUAAGAUGGCAGACUUCUUACUUAAACAGAUGAGAGGCUACAAAUAAAAAAUUUGUGCAAAUAAAAUAUAUGAUAAAGAGCAUAAUACUUUCUUGGGGGCUAAAAAUAAUAUACAACUUGUGAAAUAUAAAUUGAGCUACCAUUACCUUUUAGAUGUGGCAACUUUCAACUUUUGAGGCACCUUGGAAUAUGCAUUCAGAAUCCUGCAUUUGGAAGCCAAAUAAAUAAUGUUAAUAACAGUUUUACAAUAGAAAAAUUAAAAAUUGAUAAAUGGCAGUUUUAAUUUAUGUAUGUGUAAAGAUAGCAUCACAUCCAGGGUCCUCCCACAAACAUGCUUGUAACAAGAAUUAGUUUGCCUCAACUGUUAGCAACUGGUAACAAUAUACAAUAGUAAAAAUCACUCCUAUGAACUCAACAAUACUAGGCACCAAUAAGAGUAUGAUAUAGCCAUUCUAAAAUGGAAGAGAAUACAACUGUUUUACAACUAUGUUGCAUCAGGAGAUAUGUUAGGAGGAUUAAUCCAGAUACCUUCCAACCCAAUUAGGAAAACUCGAGUCAAAAACCAGGAGCCGCAACCGAACCUUACAAUCUUGAAGGAAGAAGGAGACUUGGGGCAUUUUUCCAGAUAGGUGACUUACUAGAUCUCCUGCCAAGAGAAUAUCUAUUGCUUUGAACCUCCAUUGAAUUUUCUUUUCCCUUUUUCUUGUUUUGACUUGGAACUUUCCAGCAUCAUCUAUUUGAUCUUUUUUAAAGCUAAAAUAGCAAUCUAUGGGUUGUCAACAUCUUAUCAUAAAUUGACGAUUGCAAGGCAGCCGCAGAUCCAGAGCAAUCUCCCAGCUCUUUGCUCCUUCAUCAUUGCAGUUAGUCAAAAGAUAAGCAGAGAUAUCCCAUGUCAACAAGAAGGUAAUCAUAAAAGAACAACAGAAUUGGAAAACAUAUUUUGUUAUAGAUGAAAUGAUAUGAGCAUCCAUGUAUCUAUCCAGCAUUUAGGACACCGCAAUAUAUUCAUAUGAAACGUAAAACGAUUUAAUAUCAAUUUUCUUCAGGAGACUGACAAUGCGUUUGGGAUUGAGGUUGGGCAGCUGUAGCUUAAAAGCUACAACACUAAAGUGUUUGGUAAACACUAGCUGCUGUAACUUUUAAGCUAUGUUGAUAUGAUUUUUCACUUGUAUAAUAUAAAAUUUAUUAUAUCUUUAAUAAUUUUAUCAAAAUUAUUAUUUAAAAUUUAUAUUUACUAUAUAUUAUUAACUUUUGUUUCAUAAUUACAGCUUUUUUUUCACAGCAGCUGUAGCUUAAAAGCUAUAGCACCUCAAUCCCAAACGCACCCUGAGCAGGUUGUCUCGCAAGUGGCGCAUCAGUAUUGUAACGUCUGCUGGGUCUUACAUUAUCCACAAAAAUAACUCGUCCAUCUAGUAACUGCAAUUACAUAAUGUGAGAUGCGUAAACUCAACAAUAUAAGCAUGGAAAAUUAGAGAAAAAUGAUGCAAUUUUACCCUCCCAUUCAUGUCUUCCAAGGCUUUUUGGGCUUCCUCUUCUGUACUGAAAGCCACAUACCCGUAACCUUUUGAUCUAUUGUUACCUUUAUCCAUUAUUAUUACAGCUGCAAAGAGAAAAGAAUUGGAUAUUAGAAAAUAGUGAAGAGGGAACAGGGGUUGAGACUUAAAACAGAAAUAGACCAAACCCUCAUUGAGUUGGCCAAAUUGUGAAAAGGCAUCAGCUAACAUCUCUUUAGUGGUUGAGAAAGAUACACCUGCAAAGAAUGCCAGUUAAUUUUAUCAUAAUUAGAUAGUAAGAUGGAAAAUUCUGCAGCCAAAGGUAGAAUGCAACUAAGGAAAUCAAAUAUGAACAUGUCUUCAAUCUUAAAAUAUUAAGAGUAGCAUAAGUAACUUGUGAAACAGUUAUAAGUUCAAAUGGUUGAAUUUAUAAAUAUUUGAUACUUUGGACCGAACAGGGCAAACAGAUGGUGAGCAGAAGCAGCCCAGUUUAGCUAUAUGCCAUGUAUGUGAUCAAAAUUGAAUGGUUAAAUGGCAGCCACUGUGUUACAUCUUGUGUAAGUAACAAACCGCCUGCAUGGAUCGUUGGAUUUGGGAAUAUGAAAUCCAAUGGAUAAUAUUGAAUUUAACGAAAAAUAGAUUACAGGUUGCAUUAUUCCAAGUUUAUUUCAAACAAACCAGCUGAUGAAAUAGCCGCUAAUCAAAUUUAAAAGGGAAAAAAAUUCAAAUUAUAGGUUAUAGAUCUUAUUUCCAUCUUAAAUCUAUUUGUCUUUCAUGGUGUCUCAAUGUGUAUACUAAUUUAUAAUUUGGAUCUAUAUUAGAGCUAAUGCUUCUCCAAAUAACUAAGAAAUUUUUAUUUUCAUUGAUUAAAUAUUUAUUUCCAAUAUUUUGUAUAUGUAGGAUUUGAAAAGAGGGAAAAUAGUAGGGAUGAUAAUGAGAGAAGAUAGAGAUGUCGAUUCUCAAAUCUAAUAUUAAUGCUAUACUUAUAUUCCUAUACUAAAUAAAUUAUCCAAGUUUUGUGGUUAACGAUACGUUGCAAAAUUUUAAUUUCUAUUUAAAGCUCUGUCUAAUAUGGCUUUUCAUAAAGCUUAGAGAAAAGUAGAGCUUUUACAAAAAAAAAAAAAUUAAUUAGAAUUGUCAAUGAUAAAUUUUAUUAAAAAAUUUUAAAAAGUACUUUAAUAAAUAAGCUUUUAAAGUUAUAUACAUUAUGAAAGAAAUUAAAUAAGAUUAUAUAAUAAAUUAAGAGUAUCUUAGAUAAUUGAACUUUAAAAAAAAAAAACUCGCUAAGAGGUUUAAAAUUUGAGUUUUUAAUAGUGGAUACAGAAUAGUUUAUUUAAUUCUCAAAAGCUCUACUCAAAAUACAACCAUGUAACACAAAAAUUUUUCAUAAGUUUUUUGGACUAGUUAAGUAUUUUUUUUGAAAAAAAAUAUUUUUUUCAUUGAGUAAAUAAUACUAAACAUGCACUAAAGUGUUAGGACCAGAAAUUGUACAAAUAAAACCAUGAAAUUAUAUGUUGUUGGGUGGAUAUUUUUCAAAUUUGCUGUAGUUUUUUUUUCUUUUCUGCUGGGAAAUUGAAAUGAUGGCUACAACUUAAAUUAUGAAUGGAGUAAUCGGAGAAUAUUGAAACCCGUUUAAUUUGGAUCGGGCAUUGAGGGACGAAAGGAUAAAAAAUUUAAUUUUGAAAUUGCUGUUGGGUACGGUACAAUGACUUACCGUUGACAGCCUGUGCAACCGGAUUACAAUCGGUUAGUUCAAUAAUUUUAUGGAUGUCCCUAAGUUACGUUAAGUGUAUCUUAAGUUUUUUGUCUUUUUCUUCUCGUAAUUUUUUAUACAAGUCUUCUUAUUUAUUACUUUUUAUUUUUAAAGAUGCAUUUGUCUUCUUCUGUCAAUUAUACACCUAUUUUUCAUUCUUUCUAAUAUUUUCUUUAUCUCUUUAAACAAUAAUAUAUGAUUAUCGAAUUCAUAUAAAUCUGUAAAUUCUGAAUAAAUUUCGAGUCCUAAAUUUAUUAUUCCCAUUCUUUCUUGUUCUAAUAACUCUAUUUUUUAGGUUAUUUGAUUUAUAUAACUUGUUAUAAUAUUUUCCCAGCCUAGAUUCAUAUGAUCUAUUGUUUCUGCUAAAUUAUGUAUUAUAUUAAAAGCAUGUUGGUUCAUGGUAAUGCUUCUUUUUUAUACCAGUAUACUAAAAAUUUUAUAAAUUCAUCUAUGAAUUUCAUUUUCUUUUCUAUUAAAAUCUCACCUCCUAGAGUUUCUAUAUUUCUUUCUUGUAAUUCUUGUGUUAUAUUAAGCUCAAUAUUUCGGAUGUUAUUCUUUUCGGAUUUUAUAGACAUUAUUAAAUUUUUUAUUUCUUCUUUGUCAAACACUUUUAAAGUAUAUAAGCUAUCUGUUAUAUCUUUUAUAGGAUCCAUGGCUCUGAUACCAUUUUUAUUACAAAAAACAAAACAAAACAAAAACAAAACCAAAACAAAACAAAACAAAUAAAACAAAAUCUAUAAAACAAAACAAAAUAUACACUAACAAGCAAACAACAAAACCAAAGUUUUGGAUGAAAGAUAAUUGAUAAGAAGAUAUAUUACUAUUAUUAUUCUUCUAAAAAUGUAUAUCUAUCAUAUCUCCCACUGUUAUUAUUCCUUAAAUAUAAUCCUAUAACUUCUUCUCCAUUAAUGAUACUAGGUAUAUUUCCUGGAAAAUUAGGAACAUAAAAAUCAUAAUAAUUAUUAUUGGUUUCUAUAAUAUAUGUAGGAUGCAUAAUUUGAUUUAAGAUUUCUAAAUUAUGGGUUAUGUUUACAGGAUAAAGGAGUAUUUCUACUUUUAAAAUAUAUAAGUUAUUAUUUAUUAUACUAGUGUAAUAUCUUAUGUCCCUAUAAUUAUUCAUGAUAUUAAAAUUCUAAUUCUUCGUUAUCUGAAUUAUUUAUAUAUUCGACGUAAGAAGGUUCUAUUUUUAAGCUUUCAUUUUCUAUUUUAGCUUUAACUAUAUCAAUAGCUUCAUCUACAGUUAAUAGUGUAAUUAAGUGUUUUAGAUUAUCCGUUUCUAAAAUGUUUAAGAUUCUUCUUUUUAUUUCAGGUGGUAAUUCUAGGCUAUAAAUAGCUUGUAUUUCAUUUUUACUAAUAACUUCUUCUUUACUAAAUAUGUAUGAACUUUGUUUAAAAGAUCCAAGAUUAUAAUCUAUUAUCAUCAUGUAAUUAUUAUAUGUAAUCCUAGUUGUAGGAUUUAUCAUUUUUUCUUUAGGAUUUCCACGUCCUAAUCUUACACUCAUAUUUUGAUAAACACUCAUUUUCUUAUUUCUUUAACAAUUUUUGAUUAAUAAUUUGAAUAAAAUUCACUUCUAAGAGAUGCUCAUCCACCAUUAAUCUCCUCAUCUACAAUCAUCACCAAACUUCCACCAACAGAUAAGGUUAGAGAAUUAUUACCUAAGUUAUCCUUUUUUCUUCGUCUUAAGAUCUGUCUCCAGUGACCUGCAGCCUACGCGUCCUUCACUCCCUCAACGGCCUCCUGCCUAAACGGGAUCAAGUGGACUCUGAUGGCCUUUCUGUAUGGAUCUGGAUCUUCUUUCUUAGAAUCAGGGAUAAUUUUAGGUUUCUCUUUCCUUUCUAUGGGGUUGUUUGUUUAUGAUUGAAAGAUGUAUUGAUUUAUGGUUUCGAGCUUAAGAGAAUUUAGCUAUGCAUGUUUCAGAGAGUUUUGAAAAAGUGAAGUAUGGUUUUUCAAUCUGAGUUUUCAAUCUGAGGUAUCCCUCGUUCUUCUUUUCUUUUUAUUUCAAAACUUUCUAUUCGAGAUUACAUUCUUGCCCUUUUGGCUUUUUCUAAUUAUUACAAGUGCUUUACAUUAUUGCUAAGACAAAGCUUUUCUGCUUUUUAUCUUGUCGGCUUCUUUUUAUCUUCUUUUUGUCUGGCAUCUUCUUUAUGCUGUCUGCCACUAUAUGAUCACAUCAGUCUGGCAUCUUCUUUAUGCUGUCUGCCACUAUAUGAUCACAUCUUUUUAUUUUGUCUGAUUGCUUGCUUCCAUAAGCUGAUAAGCAUGCUGCAUAGUUUCACUGCUGCUGGGAAAUCGCAUAGUGCUUAUUUCAUUAAUAAGCUCUAACAAGAUAUUUGAGGAUGUAUGGCUGUCUUCUGCUGUUACUAAGAUAUAAUUUUGAAAUCUGAUGAUGGUUCUGAAAUUCCUUUUGUAGAGGUCUUUUGCUAUGCUCCAGAUUGCUUUUAUGCCUCGAGCUCUUCGGGUUCGGAUCCAAUUUUUUGUAAUCUGAGGAACAUUAGUAUAUUCGGUUCCUAUUUCUAAUUGGAAAUUUUUGGUUAUAUGACCCACUGAAAUCAUAUAAAAUGCUUGGUAUUCUACAUUUUGAUGAUAUUCUGGACUUAUGGUGUAGAAUUUGAGGUAUAUGGGUCUUUUCUGGGCGAAUUUAGAUAUUUCUUUGACUAGUAAUUCAUCUAAACUGGCUAUUUCUCGGAGGUCUAUAUCAGGAUAUAUUAAAUCUAGAUAACCAUAACGGGCUAUUUUUCCUACAAGAAGUGGGUCUGCUCCUUUGGUGGCUAUCAUUCUGGGAUACAUAUUUUUACCUGGUGCUUUAUGGAUAUUAUUAUUGUGGGAACAGAUAGAAUAAAUCCAUGUAGAAAAUUGUUUAUACUCUUCUUCUUUUGGAUUCAAAGGUUCCUUCUCUUCUUCUUUUAUUUGGAGAUUGUUUAUUUGGAUGAACUUUUUUGAAGGACUUGAUUUUUGUGGCUCAACUUCGAUGGAUAUUAUAUUUGGUGGGUUUUUGAUUGGGUCAGAGAUUGGUUUAUUUUCUCUGAAGGGUCCACUACUGCUUCCUUCACCAAUUGGGCUGGUGUUUAUUGGCGCAAUAUUCUUUGGGCCUUGUUUUAUUGAGAGUGCUUUUGUCAGGUCAUUUAUUUGCGACACUAACAAAUGUACUCCUUUUUCAUGGGCUUCUGAAGCCUCUUUCAAAUAAUUUACAGCAUCGAUUAUAUCUGAAGCUUCUGUUGCCAGUCUAUGUAGUUCAUCAUCUAUUUUGGCAAGGAUCAAAUCUAUUUCAGGAUCCAUUCCCAAAUUCUAUGUUCCUGCUUAAAAAAUCUGCAAGAAAGUUGUUAGAUCCUUUUAUAUGUAUAAUUUUAAAAUUAUAAUAUGAUAAAUAAGCUUGCCAUCUAUGUAACCUUCUGUACUGGGGUUCAUUUGGUAAAAUUCUAUUUAUUAAUGAGCUUACCUGGGAAUUGUCAGUUUCUAUAAUAAAAUGUUUUUGUAAUAAGAACAAAGAAAACUUUUUUAUUCCUUUAUAUAUUGCAAGUAGCUCUUUCUCAUGGACAGGAUAAUUGACUUGUGCUUGGUUGAAAGUACCACUGGUGUAUCUACAUAUCUCAUUUAUAUCAGUCUUAAGUAUUGCUCCCCAAUAUAGGUCAGAUGCAUCAGUCUGCAUUAUUAACUUAUCAGUUUUAUCUGGUAAUCUCAAAGAAGGAAGAUCUUUACAUUCAUUUUUUAAGUUUUUUACAGUUUCUGUAUGUUCUAUGCUCCAUCCUCUAGUAUUAUUUUUCCUAAGUAACUUUUGAAGUAUAUUUUUCUUUUUAGCUAGAUUUUCUAUAAAUCCUUCUGCAUAAUUUAAGCAGCCUAAGAAUUUUUGUAUUUGUUGUUUAUUUUCUAAUUUAUCUGGAAAAUCAAUAAUUUUUCUUCCUAUAUGGCUUUGGAGUCUGAUUCCUUGUUUAUCUAUAAUCAUUCCUAAAAAUUCAAUUUUCUUAUGUUCUAUUUUUGCUUUUCUUUCUGAUAAUACUAUCCCUUCUUUAAUACAUAAAUUUACAAAUUCUUUUAAAUGUUUUCUGUGAUCUUCUAAGGUUUCAGAGGCUAAUAAUAUGUCAUCAACAUAUACUAUUAUGUAUUUAUAAUCUCUAAAUAUUUUAUCCAUUCUUUUUUGGAAUAUUUGUGGAGCAUUUUUUAAUCCAAAGGGCAUUACUAACCAUUCAUAAUGUCCUUGUGGAGUACUAAAUGCUGUAUAAGGAAUACUAUUUUCUUCCAUUUUUAUUUGCCAGAAACCUGAUUUACAAUCAAACUUUGAAUAAUAAGUUUUAUUUUUUACUAAAUUAAUUAGAACUUCUUUAUUUGGCAAAAAAUAUCCAUCAAAUUUGGUAUAUUUAUUUAGUUCUUUAUAGUUUAUUACCAUUCUAGCUUUCCCUCUAACUUGUUCUGCUCUUUUUCUAACCAUGAAAGCUGGGCUGUUGUGUGGACUAUUACUAUUGCGUAUUAAAUUUAAUUCUAAUAAUUCUUUUAUCUGGAUUCUAAAUUCUUCUCGGUCUUCUUCUGUGUACAUCAUAGGUUUAAGUCUUAUGAUUCUAUUUUCUGUUAAUUCUAUUUUUGCUCUGGGGUGAUCUGGUUUCCAUAAGGCUAAUGGAUUUUCUUCAUAGACUUGCUUUAGUUGGGAUUUUAUUGUUUCUAAUUUUAUAUUUAUGUUAUAACUCUGUCCUUUUGAAAUUAAAUAAUGUUUUUCAUAAAUUGUCUUAUCACCACGCGAGGCUGGCUGAACUCUAUAAGGGCGAAAUUCUCGAGGAAUUCGUAAAAUAUGAUUGCAUGGGGUUUUAAGAGUAACCAUAUAGGUCGUCUGUUGGUAAUAUUGAAAUUGUUGUAAGAAAUCAUUUCCUAAAAGUAUAUCACAGUCCAUUUGGUCAUAUUGGAAGAUAUGAUUAAUACGAACAAUUUUACUUCCUAAAAUAGUUUCAAAGCUUUCUAAAGAUUGAGUAAUAUGUUGUUUGUCUCCUGUGAUACCUACGAGUUUUAUCUUGCUAUUUGAUUUCCAUUGGUUUGAUAAAAAGGUUUUCAUGAUUGUAAUUUCACUUCCUGUGUCUAUUAAGGCACAAGUGUUUAUAUCUUUUUCUACUAUAUUUAUUUGUAUAUAAACAGACAUAGGAUAUUUUAUAUAUGCUUGUCUUAACAUGUUUCACAAAUUAUCUUUUGUCCUUCUAUUUGUAAGGUAAUUUGGUCUUUUUCUAUUUUAUAAUAUUCUAGACUAUUUAAGAAACUAUUUCCUAAGACUAUAUGUUUUUCUGGAUCUGUAGUCAUAAAAGAAUCUAUGUAGCAAGAUACUAUUAUUCGUAUUCCUUCAAUUAUUAAUGGAACUUUUACUUCUUGUCUACAUAUGUGCUUAUUACCAUUAAAGUCAGUAUAUUCAUAUGGAAUUUCUUUUUCUUUUAUUAAGAGUCCUUUAUUUUUUGUAUGAUUCAUAUAAUUAUGACUUGUUCCUGUAUCUACUAGGAUAGGUAACCUUAUUGUAUAUUCUAUUCCAUUGAAGUAUUGUCCAAGGAUUUUUACUACACUACUAGUAAGAGUAGGUUUUAAGACUUGUUUAUUUAUAUUGAUUAUUUGUCUAUUAGUACUUAAUCUUCUAGAAGAUUCUCCUCUCAAAAGAGUUCUUCCGGCAAAACUGAUAGGGAUUAUAGAAUUCUCAUUAUUAUUAUUUAAAAAUUGUUUUUUAUCAUCUACAUCUAAUUCGUAUGUUAUAGGAAUUUUAUAAUCCUGUAUUAUAGGUUCUAUCAAAGUUGCUAUUUCCUCACAUUCUUUAUUUAUUUCUAUAUAUGGUUUAUUCCCAUAGAUUUCUCCAUAAUUUGAGUUACAAAAACUAUAUAAUGCUGAAUAGUGUAUAGUCAUUAAUCUAUUUCCUUCCUUCAUUAAGUUCUUUUUUAGGAGUUUAAAAUGUAGACUUAAAGUUUCAUCUAUAUUUUUAUCCCUUAUGUGUACACAGUAUCUAGGAUGACAUGUAAAUAGUAAUUUGGUAUAACAUAAGUUUCCUUCUACUGUUCCUAGAUGCCCUAUACUAGGAUCAUGGAAUCUUUGAUCAUGAAUUGAUAAAAUUAUUGGACUAUCUACUCCUUCUUUAAAGAGGGAUUUUAUUAAGAUUUGGAUUUCAGCUAAAUAUACAUAUUGAAUUUUUUCUUUUGUUGAUUCAUUUUUUAUUUUUCUUAAGGCUAGAUCUAUUGUUCUUUUAUUUAUUAAGCUAAAUCGUAUGUUUCCUUCAGCUUGUGUUAUAGUUACAGCUUUUUCUUCUUCAUAGUAUUCAUGUAAAAUUAUCCUUUUUCUUUUAAAUAAAUCUCUUAGUUUUUGUAAGAUACUAUACUCCGGUUUUUCCACAUUUAAUCUUAGAAGUUUAUUGUAUUUUUCUUUAUUAAAAGUGGCUACUAAACUAUACCCACUUUUGUUUUCUUCUCUUUCUAUUUCUUCAAUGUCGUCUAUUUCUUCUUUUUCCAAUAUGUCUUUUUCUUUAUUCUGAUUCAUUUUCCUCUGUAUUUUCCAUAUAUACUAUCAUUCCUUCGUAUUCUGAUAUGUUUUUUAUUUCUUCUAAUUCAUCUCUUAUUUGUUCAAAAUCUUCUUGUAAAAUUCUAACUUUUUUCUUUUUACAAUCUGUACUGAUAUGUCCUAUUUCACCACAAUUCCAGCAUUUACAUUUUGAUUUAUCUACUAACUUUCUUUGGUUUUUAUAUUUUCUUUUAUAGUAUUUUCUUCCAGGUUUCUUGUAUUUCUUUUUAAAUUUGUUGUAUUUUUUAUAUCUUUUUUCUUUUUUAUAUUUUCUUUUUCUAUUAUAAUAUGGGAUAGAACAUCCCCAUUGAGUUGGCAUCUCUGUUUUUUCACAACAUAUUUCUGUUAUGUUUCUACUCUUUUUGAUUAAAUUCCUCUGGAUACAUAUAUCACUAAGUCGAGUAUUUAUAAAUCUUAUUCUAGAUCCUAGGUUAUCUGGGAGUUUAUUUGAAGUACUAAUUUUUUCAUAUUCAUUUAUAAAGUAACUAUUCCAAGGGUAUGGCAACUUGGAGUAAUAUAAGUUUUUAUAAACUUCUUGAUCUUCUAAACUUACAUAUUGUUCAUAAUAAUAUUUACUAAAUUCGCAAGUAUAUUCUUUGAUAAAACACAUAUUGCAUAUUGUUAAAUUUAAUAGAUUUAACCGUGCUCUUUGUUUUUCAUUAUUUGCUUCUCUCUCUGAAUUUUCUAACCAAUCUUCUCCUAAAAAUUCUCUAGCAAUGUAUUCCAGUAUUCUUUCUAUUCCUAGAGCAGUGCUCCUCCUAAAAGCUAUUUUGGUUGAGUCUUUUAUUAACAUUUGUGUAUCAUCACUUAAUCCUCUCCACCAAUUAAAUACAUUCCCUGUAAAACUAGUUAUUAGGAUAUCUGUGAAUAUGUCUAUCUUUUCUUCAUUAGUGGUUACAUUCCAGUCAUCAUUAGCUCCAUUAUAUGUGAAGAAUAGCUUCAUCUGCAUUCCCCAUUCUGCUAAUGUUUUUCGAGGGUUCUCUUUACAGUCUAUAUUUAAAAAUGAUCCACUAUUGCUUAUAGGUACUAAUGUAUCUUGAUUAGGUUUGUAUUCUUUUUUCCAUGGAGUAGAUUUUGUUUUAGGUGUGUAUUCAUAAAAAGGUUUAUUCUUUUUCUUAGGUAUAUUGCUUGGUUCUGCAACAUUUGGUUUCAUUUCUGGUCCUCCUGCUGUAUUCAUUUUUAUAUGGUAUUCUUUUUCAAAUUCUUCUAAAUCACUAAGAUUUAUGUCACUAAAUUUUUCAGUUAAACUUUCUAUUGUGUCUUCCAUUAUUCAGAAUUAGACUCAGUUUGUUCUUUUAUUUCUAAUUUCUCUUUUCCUUUUUCUUUCUUUCUUAUUUCUGCCUUUAGUUCUUCAGCUUCCUCUAAUAUUUUUGGAUAUUGUGUCUCCAUAAACCAGUAGUCAUAACUGCCUUUUUGGGGUUUUUGUGUAGAUUUCUUUAAGUUUGUCCCAAUAAUAUUUGAUUUUAUCAUCUCAAGUCUUUCUAUUUUCUUAUUUUUCUUUUUACAUUUUUGUAACAGUGACAUCUCUAUUUUUAAUUUUCCUAUAUCUUGUCUUAUUUCUUUUAUUUCUUCUUUUAGAUUUAAAAGUAUUUCUUUUAACUCUAUUAUCGUGGUUUCCAUAAACUAUAAGGGGGUCUAUCAAUAUUUUGUUUAUUUGAAUGUAUGUUACGUUGCAUGUAACAUAGGCUUGGCCUAAUUUUAUAUCCCUAUUUAACCGCCACGUGCUGCUGUUACAUGGGUCAAUUAGUCAUGUCAUUACUGUUACUUACAGCUGCUGUAACAUAACCGGACCCUGGUUAAAUUCUGUUGUUUCCAAUAAUUUUAUGCUGUAUCUUUUUUAAUAAUAAAGAAAACUUGCAUUAAAAUUAAAAUUAGGGUAAUACCUGAUUUUAUAAAUAGAUUGCAAUGUAAUUUUGAAAAAUAAAACAAUAAUUUACGAAAUGGUUAUAACAUAAUUUUAAUUUUUUUUAUUGCUUGUAGAUUUUCGUAAAUUCAAGAAUUUGGAACAUCUGGACAUGGGUGAGGUGCAGGUUGAUGUCAACACCAUUUUUCUUCAAAUUGUCGGCGAAUCGAUGCCUUCUCUUAAGUUUUUAUCACUGAUAAACUCUAGUAAAAACACCAUUCUUGAUCAAGGUUAAUUAAUGAUUCUCUUUCUCCCUCUCUCGCAUCUUAACUAAAUUUAAUUGAGAAUACCUAUAAUGCUAGCUAUUUAUAAACUUAAUGAAAGAUGAUAGGGAGCCAUAAUAAUGACAAAAACUACUGUAAAAUAGUGUGCUGUUGUAGUGUUGAUUGAAAAAUAAUGCUAAUUUUUUACUUGACACUAUAACGUCGUAUAAUUUUACAGUUGUUUUGUUGCCAUUACGUCAGAUUCUACCGUUCAAUUAUCAGUACUCAAACUUAAUUUUUAAUAUGUACUUUAAAGAUUUUAUGCAAUUAUUUAUCUAUGUGUACUGAAGGAUGAAUUAUAUAUUUUUCAGGACUUUGUCAGUUAGUGCAUCUGCAAGAGUUAUACAUCGGCGGUUAUGACAUCCCUUCAAGUGUUGUAUGCCUCUUCUAAUCAACUUACUGGAAACAUCUCCCCAGGCCUUUGUGAGUUGGUGCUUAUGAGAGAGUUACACAUUGAUAACAAUGAUUUAAGAGGUAGCUUGCCUUUGUGCUUGGCAAAUUUGACUUCCCUUCGAGUAUUAGAUGUCUCUGACAAUCAACUAACUGAAAAUAUCUCCUCAUCUCCCCUCAUGCAUCUAACAUCUAUCAAAGAGCUCAUACUUUCAAAUAAUCACUUCUUCCAAAUCCCUAUUUCACUUGAACCACUUUUCAAGCUCUCAAAACUCAAGACUUUCGAUGGUGAAAUAUGUGCAGAAACUGAGUCACAUUAUAAUUCUUUGACCCUAAAAUUCCAACUGACUUUUAUCUCACUGUCUGGUUACAUAGAUGGUGGCACAUUUCCCAAAUUCUUGUACCAUCAGCAUGACUUGAAGAAUGCUGAUCUCUCACACCUUAACUUGAGUGGAAAAUUUCCAAAUUGGCUGGUAGAAAACAAUGCGAACUUAGAGAGGCUUCUUCUUGCCAAUAACUCUCUUUUUGGAUCAUUUUGGAUGCCAAUUCAUUCCCACCAGAAAUUGGCAACAUUGGAUGUCUCCAACAAUUUCUUUCGAGGCCAUAUUCCGGUGGAAAUCGGAACAUAUCUUCCAGGCUUAAUGCAUUUAAACUUAUCUAGAAAUGCUUUCAACGGUAGCAUUCCCUCUUCAUUUGCUGAUAUGAAAAUGUUGGAAAGGUUGGACAUAUCCUACAAUCAGUUGACUGGUGAAAUCCCUGAGCGCAUGGCCACGGGUUGCUUCUCAUUGGAAAUUCUUGCAUUGUCAAACAACAGUUUGCAAGGUCAUAUAUUCUCUGAAAAAUUUAACUUGACAAAUUUGAUGACGUUGCAGUUGGAUGGUAAUAAAUUCACUGGAGAGAUCCCAGAAAGCUUAUCUAAGUGCUAUUUGUUAGAAGGAUUAUAUCUGAGUGAUAAUCAUCUCACUGGUGAGAUUCCAAGAUGGUUGGGUAAUUUGUCAGCUUUGGAAGAUAUUAUAAUGCCCAAUAACAAUCUUGAAGGGCCAAUUCCAAUCGAGUUUUGUCAGCUUGAUUCUCUGAAGAUUUUAGACCUUUCAAACAAUAGUAUUUUUGGAACUUUACCAUCUUGUUUUAGUCCAGCAUCUAUCGAGCAACUUCAUUUGUCGAAAAACAAGAUAGAAGGACGACUGGAGAGUAUAAUCCAUGACAGCCCUCAUUUGGUGACAUUAGAUCUUAGUUGUAACAGCUUACACGGAAGUAUUCCAAAUCGGAUUGACAGACUACCUCAGUUAAACUACCUUCUUUUAGCUCAUAAUUAUAUUAAAGGCGAAAUACCAGUUCAAUUAUGCCAGUUGAAGGAAGUGCGGUUGAUUGAUCUUUCUCAUAAUAAUCUAUCUGGUCAUAUUCCUUCUUGCUUGGUUAAAACUGCACUCAGUGGAGGUCAUCAUGAGGCAGUAGCUCCAACUCCUGGUCGGUGUGUUGAAGCGUCUGUCUAUCGACGUACAUGUGUGAUUCCAAGUGGACCUCCGAUGGGAAAGGAAGAAACUGUACAGUUCACAACAAAGAAUAUGUCCUAUUAUUAUCAAGGAAGAAUUUUGACGAGUAUGUCUGGGAUUGAUCUUUCUUGUAACAAACGGACAGGUGAGAUUCCUACUCAAAUUGGAUAUCUUACAAGGAUUCAUGCGCUAAAUCUAUCUCAUAACAAUUUGACGGGCACAAUUCCGACAACAUUUUCAAACCUGAAGCAAAUCGAAAGCUUGGACCUCUCCUACAACCUACUGCAUGGGAAAAUCCCUUCUCAGCUCACUGUGCUAAAUACAUUGGCGGUCUUCAGAGUAGCAUACAAUAACUUAUCAGGCAAAAUUCCAGAUAGAGUUGCACAAUUUUCAACUUUUGAGGAAGAUAGCUAUGAGGGGAAUCCUUUUCUUUGUGGAUGGCCACUGUCCAAAAGUUGCAAUGAUAAUGGAUUAUCAGCAGUGACACCAGAAGCUUACACUGAUAAUGAAGAAGGUGAUAGUUUAAUUGACAUGGACAGUUUCCUGAUUACUUUUACAGUAUCUUAUGGAAUUGUGAUAAUAGGAAUUAUUGGAGUGUUGUACGUAAACCCCUAUUGGCGGCGAAGAUGGUUUUACCUUGGUGAAGUGUGUACGACCUCUUGCUACUAUUUUGUAGCAGACAAUCUUGUUCCUAGAAGAUUCUAUGGUGGAUGGAUGUAAUUUCAUUACAUUACAACUUAUAUGUAAUUUUCAAAGAAUUUUCUUUUGCAUGCAUGGAAUAGCAACUCAAUAAAAGUAUUUGAUGCAAAUUGUCCAAGAACAACUUAGUAAUUUCAUUGCUACUAUUCGGUUGUAUAUAUACAGUUAAUGAAAGUUUUAACCAUUCGCAGUAGGAAUUUCUUUAGAUGGCGGCCAAAACUAACAGAUUUGGGGCUCUACUUCUACACAUCAUAACUGGCAAAAGGUCUCUCUUUUACACGAUCUGAAUGAAGAUUAACUUACGCCCUCUGGAGUGUGUGAAAGUUCUCUAUUAAACUUGACGGUUGAGAUUUCAGGUCCAGAUGAAAGUUAAAUGCAGGCGACGAGACUACACUUUAAGUAAACAGGGACAAACUUAAAAUUAAAAAAAUUAUAGUCCAGGGUGAGAGUAAUGGAGGAUAACUAGGACUUGGAAUAACUAUCAGAUUUGCAACUCUUGUUAUAUGCUAGUAAUCGAUUCAUUUCCUCCUCCAUUUCUGAUGGUAACCCAGCUCUAUACAAGAACAAUAAGAGAAGGUUCAUUUAAGAAAUUUCACAACCCACAUUUUUUUUUUUUUCCUUUUUGCCCUCUUCCUCACAAUAAACACACCUAACACACCAAGCCGUGCCCAAAAUAAUCCAAUUUUAUUCAUGUCAUGGAUCCAAAAACUAUCCCAGCUCACUUUGUUUAACCAGCAUAACUAAAUUGUGGGUAUAAAUGAACACUUUCGAAGCCUGUAACUUAUAAUAAGCUCAAACCCAAAAAUGACAUUUAAAUCCUGCAAGUGUUUUUCAUCAUAAAAAAUACUGAUUUGAGUUGAAACACUAUACAAACUGGGUUUUAUACACUUGCAGAAAGCUACACGGUAGACAAAAUCUAGCAGCUACAUAAUGGUAGCACUUUCAGCUGGUUAUGAAUGGUGUGCAUUCAGCAGUGCUCGAUAGACCAUGUCUAUGAAUUGAUUGUCCUAUUACAUAUAAAAGCUGGUCAGAUAUACAAGGAAAAAAAUAAUAAUUGAAAAUGCAUCACCAAAAAUAAGUGUCUCGCAUUAGUGUUUGCACUCUAAGCAUGGCAAAGUGGUGCGGGUUCAUGAUUUUGAAGACUGGGAUAAGUGAAAAAUAGUUCAAUCCACUGAUGAAUAUAAAUUUAUUUACAUGUCAAUUUAGAUAUCAUAAAAAAGUAAACAGUAAUUCACAGUCACUUAAAAGAGUUGAUAAAAUGUGUGCCAUGAAUGCAUUUUAGUACAUAAGAAAUCCAAAGAGUAUUUCUGACAAUACAAAUAUGCUAGCUUUAAAUCUGCUGUCAAUAUGCAAUUAAGAAGAUUAUACCAGCUGCAUGAUAAAGUUCCCCUAAUCUUAAUAGCAGUAAACAUGAACAUGUCAGAUGCAAUUAUAGCUUCGAGCAUUUGCAUAACCAGAAAUCCUAACCUGAACAAGCACCAGAAGUGUCUCUCGAACUUUCUCCUUGCUGAUAAAUGGUCUGCUGUUUGAAGUAAGAGCAGGAGUAAGAGAUGGUGGAGGGGUUGGUGGUGGAAAAGGUUGAAGCACUGGGCCACCAUAUGGGCGUUGCAGACUCAGGGGAGGAUUAAGUGGCGGAGCUGUUGGUGUAGAUGAAGAGACAAGCUGCAUCAUCCGUGCAUAGGAGGAUGGAGGAGGAACAAAGAAUAAGGAAGGCUUUACAAGAUUAGGCGUCCAGUUGCCAGAUUCAGAGGUGUCAACGGGUGAUAUUAAAGGGGUAGGUGCUGAUAGAGGUGGAGAUGGUAUUUGCAAGGUUGGGAGAAGCAACACUGGCGGGAUGAGAAGGUAAAGAAAUAGUUGUAUUGGACUGGUAAGGUUGUGCAGAGAUUGCUGCAUUAGAAGUAUUCCCCACAGUCAAAGCUGUCUGCAAUGAUAAGGACAGAUGUCAUAUACAAGGACUUCAUAGAAGUUGAACCUCACACAAAAAUGAAGUGAUAACAUAUGAAAAUAGUAUAUGACUUGCUGCAUUUUUGUGGUAAUGUUGCAUACUUAUGUAGAAACAUAUUAUUUCAAAGAAAACAUACACUGAAGAAGUUCACAAAAGCAGGAUCUUCAGGAACAUCAGCAGCAUUUGAGGGAAUUGGCUCUAGAGGACCAUCCAUAACUUCCAUAGUUGGAACAGCUUCCAGUUCCUCAAGUUCUAGAUUUCAGUUUUAUCUUCUAUUUGAUGUUUUAUAAUUUCGUUGCAAAUGGAUUAGAAUAGAAAACUCCAAAAGUUCCAAGUAGCUACCAAUGUUUUCCAACAGGGUCUUGAUGGUCUAAUCAGUUUGUUUCGAAGACCCCCAUCUCGUAAGGUAAAAACAGCUUGAUGGGGUGGCACGAUGGUGCACCAGUCCUGUGUAACUUUUUCAGAGAAGAUUUUCACUCGUAACCUAGGUGGAAGUCUCCCAGGAGAAGUUGGCAAAUGACAACUACGAAGGUGUUAUGGUUUAGCUUGUUGUGCCAAAAAUAGAAAAUCUAGGAUGCGAAAAAAUUUUGUUGAGAUUCAUUUUUCAUCCUGAUGUUACAGCUGGCUUUUUUUUUUUUUUUUUUGGCAGAUAAUAAUGCUUAUGUGAUUUCUGAACUUGGUGAUUCUAGCGGAUAGAGGCACUAAGCCAAGAGAAAUGUCUGAAUUAUCGAAACAAGAUGGAAUUAUUUUUUGUUUUUCGCGGCAGACGAUCUAUGAGCGGACUUUCUUACAACACAAGAUGUGUCCACCGGCUUGUAUUUAGUCUCGUAAUGCAUUAUAGCACUGAUGUUUGCCCCGGGUCAAACCCUGAAACCUCACCAAAAACGACGCAUUUUGUGAAUUUUUUUUGUUUUAAUUUUUAACCAAUACGACGUUGUUUUGCUUCAAGCUUCCCCACGAAUGGCUUUUCCUUCCUCUUCAUUUCACCACUCAACGAAUGGCUUUCUCUUCCUCUUCAUUUCACCACUCAACCUCAACGAUAGAACCGACCCGCAAAACCCUUAAACUGUUAUUCUUUCCUUCAAUCCGAUAGGAUUUGGUUUCGAUUAAGCAAAAGCAAAAGCUUGAACAAGGUAAGGUACUGUCUUCCCAGAAAAUGAAUUGUAUAUCAGUACCAAAUCCUCUAAAGACCCUUUCUCACACAAAUCCUCUGGAAUUUCACCAGAAAAUUGAUUGUACGAGAGGUCUGAUGUUUGUAAAGGAGAGUACUUCCCAAGUUCGCUCGGCAGCCCACCUCUGAGUUUGUUGUUAAACAAUUUGAGUUCAUACAAGUUCUUAGACCGAGCUAUACUCUCUGGCAAAGUACCCUCGAGUCUGUUCUCAUACAAGUUGAGUGACUCGAGCUGUAGCUCACACAACUCGUUCGGAAUCAUCCCAGUCAGCUGAUUCAUCGACGCGACUUUGCCGUAAGGUAACGUACUGUCUUCUUUGGCAGCAGAUUAUUUUCAAAGCUUGAAUUUUGCUUGAAUUUUGUUGUUUUAAUUUGUGAAGCCAUUGCCGUUGCUGUUAAAUUGGGUUAAUAUAAUGGGUACUAAGUUUAUGCUGCGAUGUUUUUUGCUUGAAUCCUGAGCUGUUUCAAUUUGAUUCUUGAGUUGUGAGUUGUGGAUUACGAAUGACAAUUUCAGGUGCGGAUUGUGGAUUGCGAAUGGAAAUUUCAGGCUGUGGCUGGAGCUGGAUCGAAGAAGGAAAGGGGAAAUAUUUGGCUGUGGCUGGAGAUGGUGGCUGGAGCUCGAUCGACGAAGGAAAGGGGAAAUAUUUGGCUGUGGUUGGAGCUCGUGGCUGGAGCUCGAUCGACGAAGGAAAUGAAAGAGAAAAUAUUUGGUUGUGGCUGGAUCUCGAUCAACGAAGGAAAGGCAAGGGAAAAUACUUGGGUGGAGCUCCAUCAACAAAGAAUAAGGGAAAUAUUUGGCAAGCAAAAAUGGGAUUGUUUUUGCCUUUAAUGAAACGCCGCGUUUAAAUUUCGGGGUUUGACUCGGGAUUUGACCCGGGGUAAGUAGCAUUUUCCUUCCAUAUAUAUAUGCACGCGCACACAGUUUGAGAAGAAUCAGACCAUUAAUUAGAGAAAAAUGAUGCAAUUUUACCUUCCCAUUCAUGUAUGCCAAGGCUUUUUGGGCUUCCUCUUCUGUACUGAAAGUCACAUACCCGUAACCUUUUGAUCUAUUCUUACCUUUAUCCAUUAUUAUUGUAGCUGCAAAAAGAAAAGAACCGGAUAUUACAAAAUAGUGAAAGGGAAGAGGGGUUGAGACUUAAAACAGAAAUAGACCAAACCCUCAGUGACUUGGCCAAAUUGUGAAAAAGCAUCAGCUAACAUCUCUUUAGUGGUCGAGAAAGAUACGCCUGCAAAGAAUGCCAGUUAAUUUUAUCAUAAUUAGAUGGUAAGAUUGCAAAUUCUGCAGCCAAAGGUGGUACGGAACUGAAUGAAGGAAAUCAAAUAUGAAUAUGUUUUCAAUCUUAAAAUAUUAAGAGUAGCAUAAGUAACUUGUGAAACAGUUAUAAGUUCAAGGGAAUUAGAUGAUGGCAUGGUUGAAUUUUAUAAAUAUUUGAUAUUUUGGACCGAACAGGGCAAACAGAUGGAUCCAGAUAAUCAAGAAAAACAUCAAUUCCAUGCAGCCAAAUUAGUGUGGGCAAUGCAAUUGAGCAACACUAUAAAAUUAUUCAAAGAAAUCUCUAGGUCAGUAUCCAAAUAUAUGGCUCCGUCCGUUCCACCACCACAACCAAAAAAAUCAGAUCCCCCCAUUUGGAUUCGAUUGAUUAAUUUGAGCAUAAAAAAUCGGGUUUUAAACUUCCCUAAGCAAAAUUUAUAUUCCACAGAAUCAGUUCCUUUAACAUGAUGCAUUACAUAAUAUUUUGUUUGCAAAAUAAAGAAGAAAGAUGACAUAAUAGAAACACUCACAGAGAGAGAAUACCUUUGACGAAAAGCUUAGAAGUGAAUCCUCUGUAAAAUACGAGUUGAGCUGCUGAAUUUUUCGAGUUUGAAUGAGAGACUGCGGCAAUUCUGAAAAUGUUUUUUUCUCAUUAGCGCCGCCAUUUUUGUAAUAGAGGGUAAAGAAAUAAGUAACAAAGUAAGAGGUGAGCAGAAGCGGCCCAAUUUAGUUAUAUGCCAUGCAUGCGAUCAAAAUUGAAUGGUUAAAUGGCAGCCACUAUGUUACAUCUUGUGUAAGUAACAAACCGCCUACAUGGAUCGUUGGAUUUGGGAAUAUGAAAUCCAAUGGAUAAUAUUGAAUUUAACGAAAAAUAGAUUACAGGUUGCAUUAGUCCAAGUUUAUUUCAAACAAACCAGCUGAUGAAAUAGCCGCUAAUCGAAUUUAAAAGGGAAAAAAAAUCAAAUUAUAGGUUAUAGAUCUUAUUUCCAUCUUAAAUCUAUGUCUUUCAUGGUGACUCAAUGUGUAUACUAAUUUAUAAUUUGGAUCUAUAUUAGAGGCUUAGAGCCAAUGCUUCCCUAAAUAACUAAGAAAAUUUUCUUUUCAUUGAUUAAAUAUUUAUUUCCAAUAUCUUGUAUAUGUAGGAUUUGAAAAGAGGGAAAAUAGUAGGGAUGAUGAUGAGAGAAGAUAAAGAUGUCGAUUCUCAAAUCUAAUAUUAAUGCUAUACUUAUAUUCCUAUAGUAAAUAAAUUAUCCAAGGUUCGUGGUUAAUGAUACGUUGCGAAAUUUUAACUGUCUAAUAUGGCUUUUCAUAAAGCUUAGAGAAAAGUAGGGCUUUUACAAAAAAAAAAAUUUAAUUAGAAUUGUCAAUGAUAAAUUUUAAAAAGUACUUUAAUAAAUAAGCUUUUAAAAUUAUAUAUAUUAUGAAAGAAAUGAAAUAAGAUUAUAUAAUAAAUUAAGAGUAUCUUAGAUAAUUGAACUUUAAAAAUAAAACUUGCUAAGAGGUUUAAAAUUUGAGUUUUUAAUAGUGGAUACAAAAUAGUUUAUUUAAUUCUCAAAAGUACUAUUCAAAAUACAACCAUGUAACACAAAAAUUUUUAAUAAGUUUUUUGGACUAGUUAAGUACUUUUUUUGAAAAAAAAUAUAUUUUUUUCAUUGAGUAAAUAAUACUAAACAUGCACUAAAGUGUUAGGACCAGAAGUUGUACAAAUAAAACCAUGAAAUUAUAUGUUGUUGGAUGGAUAUUUUUCAAAUUUGCUGUAGUUUUUUUUUUCUUUUCUUCUGGGAAAUUGAAAUGAUGGCUACAACUUAAAUUAUGAAUGGAGUGAUCGGAGAAUAUUGAAACCCAUUUAAUUUGGAUCGUGCAUUGAGGGACGAAAGGAUAAAAAAUUUAAUUUUGAAAUUGUUGUUGAGUACGGUACAAUGACUUACCGUUGACAGCUUUUGCAACCGGAUUACAAUCGGUUAGUUCAAUAAUUUUAUAUCCCUAUUUAACCGCCACGUGCUGCUGUUACAUGGGUCAAUUAGUCAUGUCAUUACUAUUACUUACAGCUGCUGUAACAUAACCGGACCCAAAUGGUUAAAUUCUGUUGUUUCCAAUAAUUUUAUGCUGUAUCUUCUUUAAUAAUAAAGAAAACUUGCAUUCAAAUUAAAAUUAGGGUAAUGCCUGAUUUUAUAAAUAGAUUGCAAUGUAAUUUUGAAAAAUAAAACAAUAAUUUACGAAAUGCUUAUAACAUAAUUUUAAUUUUUUUCAAAAAGGAAAAACAACAAAAGUAAAAAAUGGAGAAUGAGGGCUACAAACUUUGUAUCUUAAACGGCCAUUAGAUUAUUUGUAAAUGAAAGCAACGGUCAGGAUUAUGGAAACAUGUAAGUAUAAGGACUACGAGUUUUUUUUUGUUACAUUAAUAUAUUACAAUUAAAAUUCUAUUGGUAUUUACAAUCAGAAUUUUAUCUGAAUAUCUUUGAUAAUUCUAAACUAGUACAGCCCAAAUUCUUAUUCUCAUAUAAUAUCAAAGAGAGAUAUAUAUUCUUCCCCUCUAUUAAUAAAGAGACAUUUUUACUUCCUUUUAAUAGUUAGGACUCAGAACUCAUACACGCUAGUUUGAGAGUGUGGGGUGUGACAAUGAGCCAAGAGACCUUGACAAGUACAAAAAAGUGGUAGAAAUUAAUUCAAACCGCUACACACGCUAUUGCAACCAAAUUGAGGGCCCAUUUUUGUUUAUUUGGUUGAAAAAUAGUUUGCAUAAUUAAUUCAAACCGCCACACACGCUAUUGCAACCAAAUUGAGGGCCAGUUUUUGUUUAUUUCGUUGAAAAGUAGUUUGCACAAUUAAUUCAAACCGCUACACACGCUAUUGCAUCUUUUGAAAAAGAAAAACGGAAUAGUUUUCCAAAAUUAAUUCCGAGAAGAAGAUUAACUAAUAAUGAUGUUAGAAAUUUUAAUAUUUGAGUCUUAAUAUUAUGUAUCACUCAUUUAUUAAAUAAUAGAUUUCAUAAUUUGUAAAAUUACUUAACCACUUGAUAAAUGUUAUAUUUGUUGGGACUAAAUUGGGACUUAAAUGUUGGAAUAUCUAGUAUUGCAUUAAAAAAUUAAUAAAAACUUAACAAUUUAUCUUCACUUGACUAAUUGUUUUUACAUCACAACUAACCUUAAUUAUUUUGAAGUUACAGUAUUAUUAAAUUGUCCUAACUGGUUAUCAAAAGUUGAAAGCAUGUUAAAAUAAAAAAAAUUACCAAGAAACAUGUGCUUAAACAGAGGUUGAGGCUAUGAACAAUUAAGAAGAAACUCUUAAUUUGGUCCCAAUUAGUAUAGUAAUCAUCUAUUGAGCGGUAAAAUAUUAAUUUUAAUAGUGAUGAAAUCCAAUAUAUAAUAGAUUACUAACACACAUAAAUUAAAACUAAACUGUCAGAAAUCAUAACAUUACUCUACUCUUCAGUGGAGUUCUCUUAAACAGAUUAUGUGAGAUUGCCUACAUAAAAAAUAUGUUAAGACUGCUUGUUGAAAGCAAUAUUCGCUUUUCCAUUAUAUCCAUAACUUUGAAUUGAUAAAGUUGUAUUCAACAGCUCUUGAAAAGACUAAUUUAUUUAAACUAGUCACAGAAAUAAGAGAGAAAGGGGGCUAUUUCUUGACUCAAAGUCAAUUAUAAUUAUCAAAACUUGAGCGGACAUCGCAUGCCUAACUUCCACGCACCCUAAAACGGUUUGAUUUGCUUUCACGCGUUCAUGAAUUUCCAUGAAAGAGCCUGCCUUUCGUCUCUUUCGGGACAGUGACUACAAUUAUGGAAAAAAUUAUAAUUCUCGUUAGAUUGUAACCAAAUUAUUAUCCCUAAUUUUUUUAAGUUAAAUAAAAUAAAAUUUAUGCUUAAGUAUAAACAAUAAUUUGGACAUUCUUGUUAUUUGUCCUUCUAAGAUAGACAGCAACCUAAUUAUUUAUUUGUUUGCCUGUUUUUGUUUUUUUAAAUAACAGUUUAUUAGCAUAAAUAUUUACCUGUGAAGUCGAGGAGGAGAAAAUGUUAGAAAAAAUAAAAAGAAAAAAAAUUAAGGGAGAUAGAAUCAGAUUUUCUUUUUUGAGCAAAGAACAUACGUAAAAAGAUAUUAAAUCUAUUAAGUCUAAUUGUCUAUAACCGUAAAUUGCAUAACGAAUAAAUUAUCAGCGUAAAAUAAAUUUUAUUAGAUUCUGGUUAUUUUCUAGAGUACGAAUUGUCUCAUCGUAGAACAAACACCGGAAAAUAUAACCUUUGCGGAGGUCUUUUGCUGUGUCGUUAUAAAAAGGUUAUUAGUAAUUUAAUGCACCAAUAUUGUAUAUUCCACCUUAUCAAUGUCUCUGGUUGCGAAAGAUUGUUAAAAGCAACGUGUUCUUUCUUUGUCUUAUGUAAUUUUUUCGUUGUCCAUGAGUUUUAAUUGAAAUACUUGGCUUCCAGUUAUUUUGUAAACCUGUCGAAAACUACCACAGUGGAUAAAGAUUAACCAGCUCAUUCUUUACAAUUGACUAUCGAUUUUUUAUUUUUUUAUUUUUAUUUAAAAUUGCUGGUUUGUUGCUUAAAAUUUUCAAUAAUAAUUUCACUUAUUUAGUAAUUAGAGAGAGAUAGAGAGGAUUGGCGGCCAAUGUUUCGCGAUUUGGGGUCAAUUCAAAGUCAACUAACGUGUAAAACACGUGUAUGCAUAGAAAACGCUUAGAUUAUUUGUGUUCCAAGUGCAAGAAAUUAAGAAAAGAAAAAUUGAUUUCCUUUCAUGAACUUCCAAGAAAGAAAGAAGACCCUUUACCUUCUUCGUGACAACAAAUGAAUGAAUGAUGUUGAUAUGACAAAUACAAGCGCUAUUGCAGGGAACAGCAUAAGACCGAGACUUGAUAAAGGGUUUGUUAAAUUACAUGUUAUUUUCUUUUGACUUGAAUGAUGUUGAAAUAAAAUAAAAUUGUAAUCAGGAUGAUGUGUAGAAUAGUGAAAUAAAUAAAAAGAGAAGAGAAAUUCUUUGACCAAUAUUCAAGAACUCAUCCAAGGUGAUCGUCCAAGUCUAGAGGUUCGGUGUGAUUAGCAUUUAUUUUUAAUUUUUUGGCUAACAUCAUAUAUAGUCACUUGUCGUGUGAUGUAGGGCAAGUUUAGAAAUCCUUUUAUUUUAACUUCCGUAUUCUUAUUAUUUAAUUAGUUAUAGGGUUUUUAAGUAUUUGAGUAUUGAUCACAUGUCUGCUAAUCUAAAAAUAUUUUUUUACGAUCGAGUACAAAUAACAAACUAGAAUUUUAACAGCCUUUUAUACUAAACCCUAAAAAUACAUGAAUUUAUCAAAAUAAGUAAAUUAAUUUAAAUUGGUAUGGCAUAAUAGAAGUUUUACCUGCCGAAACAAAUUAAAAAAAUAUUACACUUAAAUCAAAUAUUGACAAAAAUAGAUAACAAUCUAAUGAGAAUCUUAACUAGACAUUUUUACUUCUAUCCAAUUUAACUGGAACGAGAAUUAAGUCCUUUCAAUAGUUAAGACUCAUAACUCAUACAUGCUAGUUUGAGAGUGUGGGGUGUGACAAUGGGUCAAAAGACCAUUGACAAGUACAAAAGAGUGAUUGCAAUUAAUUCAAACCGCUACACACGCUAUAUUGAGGGCCCAUUUUUGUUUAUUUCGUUGAAAAGUAGUUUUCACAAUUAAUUCAAACCGCUACACACGCUAUUGCGUCUUUUAAAAAAGAAAAAUGGAGUAGUUUUCCAAAAUUAAUUCAGAGAAGAAGAUUUACUAAUAAUGAUGUUAGAAAUCUUAAUAUUUGAAUCUUAAUAUUAUGUAUCACUCAUUUAUUAAAUAAUAGAUUUCAUAGUUUGUAAAUUUACUUAACCACUUGAUAAAUGUUAUAUUUGUUGGGACUAAAUUGGGACUUCAAUGUUGGAAUAUCUAGUAUUGCAUAAAAAAUAAAAAAAACUUAAAAAUUUAUCUUCGCAUGACUAAUUGUUUUUACAUCACAACUAACCUUAGUUAUUUUUUAAAGUUAUAGUAUUAUUAAAUUGCCCUAACUGGUUAUCAAAAGAUGAAAGCAUGUUAAAAUAAGAAAUUACUAAGAAACAUGUGCUUAAACAGAGGUUAAGGCUACGAACAAUUAAGAAGAAACAACUUACAAUCAAAGGUUAAGAUUAUGAACAAAUUAAGGAAGGUAGAUAAAGGGACGGAAUCAUUGUCUGAAUUGCCGGUGACAAGAAUGCUUGUGUUGUGAAAAGAAACCUGAUGGUUUGUAAAUGGGUUGAAUUUUUUAUUCGCUCGCUCCAACUAACUUACUAAUGCCAAAUUUAUUACUUUGCACAAUAGUGUUUAGGAUCCUCAAGAUCAACUCUUAAUUUGGUCCCAAUUAGUGUAGAAAUCAUCUAUUGAGCAAUAGAAUAAGAAUUUUUCUAGUCAUGAAAUUUAAUAUAUAAUAUAUCCUUGACACACAUCGAUUAGAACUUAACUGUUAGAAUUCAUAACAUUACUCUACUCUCAAGGGGAGUUCUCUUAACAUAUUAUGUUAAGUUGCCUACAUUCAAAAUAUGUUAGACUGCUCUUUGAAAGCAAUAUUCCCUUUUCCAUAACUUUGAAUUGGUCCAAUAGCUCUUGAAAAGCACAUAAUAAUCAUUAUAAAUUUAAUCAAAGACUAAGCAGGUCUUCUUUGAAUUUGAUCACUGGCAUUUCAGUUAAGUUUGUCGUUUACUUAAAUUUUUCUUGCUUUCAAUUUCCACUGUUGUUUUUUUUCUAAAAUAAUUUAUUUAAACUAGUCAUAGAAAUAAGAGAGAAAGGGCGCCAUUUCUUGACUCAAAGUCAAUUAUAAUUAUCAAAACUUGAGCGGACAUUGCAUGCCUAAAUUCCACGCACCCUAAAACGGUUUGAUUUGCUUUCACGCGUUCAUGAUUUUCCAUGAAAGAGAGUGCCUCUCGUCUCUUUCCGGACAGUGACUGCAAUUAUGUUAACGUGACGAAUACAAAACGUUAUUACAUACAAGAAUAAGUUUUUGGACCCGAGACUUGAGGGAGGUUCUAUCUAAUUCUAAAGAUUGUAACCAAAUCAUUAUCCCCAAAUUUUUUCAGUUAAAUAAAAUAAAAUUUAUGCUUAAGUAUAAAUAAUUUUUUAAAGUUAAAUAUAAAAUAAAAAAAUUCAUGAACUUCCUAGAAAGAAAGAAGACCCUUCACCUUCUUCGUGACAACAAAUGAUGUUGAUAUGACAAAUACAUGCGCUAUUACAGGUAACAGCAUAAGACCAAGACUUGAUAAAUAUUAAAUAUAUAAAAUAAGUGGAGCAAACGAAUAGAAUAAUAGAUUUUUAUAAUAUUCUUCAUAAAAAUCCAAGUUUUGAGCUGGCCCAUAAGCUUAUCUAGUGAAGUCUGGGUAUCCGCGUUGCCCAAGGUUCCGUUUGAAUCCAGGCUGUGCAGAUGUUUAUGACAUCCCAUAUGGACGGAGAGGAAAUAUUUUCAGUUGACUUAAUUAAAUAAAAAAAAAGAAAUGAAGAAAAACGAAUACAAGACUUGAAAAAGCUGGGAGUAUCAUCAGUUCAAUUGGUUAUAAAUAGCAUAGAGCCAUCCUCUCGUUGUUGCAGAACUGAAGCAAAGAGAGACAGAAAGAGUGUGUGUAGGUGAUUAUAAUUAAGAAGAUAUAAUGUGUGGUUCAAAAAGAGUGUGGUUGAGUGAGUUAAUUUUCAUAUUAUUUGUAGUAAAAGGGUGGUGGAGUGAGGGAUGUUUGCAGCAAGAGAAGUCUGCUCUCCUCCAACUUAGACAUUUCUUCAAUGAUGAUCACCGUCUUCGAAAAGGGGCAGACGCAGGAGAUGAUGAGAAUUAUUCAGAUUGUUGUCAGUGGGAAGGGGUUGAGUGCAACAACACCACUGGCAGAGUGAUUAAAUUAGAUCUAGCAUUUCGAAAAUGGGAAUCAGCAGAGUGGUAUAUGAAUGCCUCUCUGUUUACUCCUUUUCAACAAUUAGAGUCUCUUGAUCUAAUUGGGAACAAUAUAGUCGGUUGUGUUGAAAAUGAAGGUCCUUAAUUUACUUUAUUUUAAUUCUUCCUGUAAAUUUCUUACAUUUAUCUGAUCCCUUUUGGCUUUUGUUUAAUUUGUACGUGAUACAAUAAAAUUAUUUUUUAUUUUUUGGCAGGUCUAGAUAGGUUAUCAAGGUUGAACAACUUGAAGUUUCUUUUUUUAGAUGAUAACGACUUCAACAACAGCAUCUUUUCAUCUCUAGGUGGUCUUUCAUCACUCAGAGACUUAUCAUUGGCUGGUAAUGGAUUGAAUGGAAGUAUUGAUAUUAAAGGUAAGCAAGCUUCAUCCCUUCUCCCGUGUCCCAUUUUUCAGAUUAGCCAUAUUCUUUUCACUGAGAUUUAACAUAAAAAAAAAAGGAGAAAAUAAGUUAUUUAAUUAACUCUAUUUUAAGUGUUGGCAUAAAUACAGGACUCGAUUCCUUGAGUAACUUGGAGAUACUGGACAUGAGCAACAAUGCAAUCGACAAUCUAGUGGUUCCUAAAGGUAUACAAAAUGUUCAAAUAUUAAUAAUUUGGAGGACAAUUUAAUUGAUUUGAUAAGGGAAUGUCCAAUGACACUUACCCAAAAUAAUUUAAUCCGAAAUUGUAUCUCAAAUAGAUUACAGAGGUUUUGAGGAAGUUGAAUACCCUUGAUUUGGGGGGGGGGGGGGGGAGGGAAAUUGCAGUGAUAUAUGGAAGCAAGGUGUUGCAAUCAAUAAAGAAAUUCAUUGGUCAAUGUUCAAGGACUCAUCCAAAGUAAUCGUUAAAGUCUAGAGGUCUGCUCUCCACCAACUCAAACAUUUCUUCAAUGAUGAUCAACGUCUUCAAAACUAGGUAGACGCGGGAGAUGAUGAGAAUAAUUUAGAUGUUGUCAGUGGGAAGGGGUUGAGUGCAACAACACCACUGGCAGAGUGAUUAAAUUAGAUCUAGCAUUUCGAAAAUGGGAAUCAACAGAGUGGUAUAUGAAUGCCUCUCUGUUUACUCCCUUUCAACAAUUAGAGUCUCUUGAUCUAAGUUGGAACAACAUAGCCGGUUGUGUUCAAAAUGAAGGUCCUUAAUUUACUCUAUUUUAGUUCUUCCUCGUAAUUUCUUACAUUUAUCUGAUCCCUUUUGGCUUUUGUUUAAUUUGUACGUAAUACAAUAAAAAUUUUUUUUAGUUUUUAUUUUUUAUUUUUUAUUUUUUGGCAGGUCUAGAGAGGCUAUCAAGGUUGAACAACUUGAAGUUUCUUUAUUUAGACAAUAACCACUUCAACAACAGCAUCUUUUCAUCUCUAGGUGGUCUUUCAUCACUCAUACACUUAUCAUUGGUUGGUAAUCGAUUGAAUGGAAGUAUUGAUAUUAAAGGUAAGCAAGCUUCAUCCCUUCUCCCGUGUCCCAUCUUUGUGGAUUUUAUUUCAUCGACCAGCUGGAAGAAUUGAUACGAGAUCUAGCUAGACUCUUGCUAGUUUAAGCUUCAAGGCUUUGAAUAUUAUAAAAAUAGGUUUAAGGAAUUAUCAUUAUAUGCAAUUUUCUAUGCUUCUCAUAAUCAGACACAAUUCAAUCUAAUUAUUUCGUAUGUCCUGUCUUCAAAAGUAAAGAAUUGUACACUAAACGGAAAUCGACAUUGUAGCUUUUUAAUUUUUCUAAUGCUCUUUCUUUGUUAACGAGUUUAUAUCCUGAGAGUGGAUUGGAUUCAAAAAAAAAAAAGUUUUGAUGUUCAAGGUAAGCCAUAAUAACAUGCAUCUUAUUUAUCUGCCUAUAUCUAAAUUUGUGCACUGAAUUUAGUAUUUUGGUUAGUGUGAAGGGAUCAGAUAUUGACUUCCAUAAACCAACUUGUAUUUACUUAAUUAAUUAAGUAAAUUUUUUGAAACAAGAAUAAGGUAUAGCAGGUUGGAUAUGUAUUUAUUUAGUUUAAAUAACUUUUCCAUCCAUCCAAAACCUUUAAGCAUGUAGUUGAAGAGGGGUGGCAAUUCAAGUUGGAUAUGUAUUUAUUUAGUUUAAUUGGAUCUGAUAUUAUAUAUUCUAAACCUUUUGAAUAUGGAUAUGGAUGUUUUUAAAAUAGUCAAUUGGAUACUGGAUGAAUAUGGAUAUUAGAUAUUUAAUUCAUUUAUGUUAAAAAAUAAAGUAAGAAGUUAUAUAUAUUUACCAUGAUAUCCAUUUAUUGAAUGCCUUUUUUUUUUAUAUUUUCAAAUUAGCAAACCAUAGUUUAUCUCUUUUAGUUUCACACACUAGCCGUUCGUUCCUCGUUGGCCACUGAUAUCGUCGACCGUCGCUUGUUUGAUAUAUAUUAGUUAUUCAUGAUUUUGCUCUCUUCUUUUGUGAUACAGUUGCUUCUUCUUCUUUUAAUUUAGGAUAUCUGUGUCUCUAUAUUUCUCUAUAUGUAUCAAUUACACGCCGUUGUCAGCCAAAUAUACCUACUUAAAACCACUCAAUCAGGCCCUUGACAACUGUUUUUUACGUUUUCCUGGUUAGCCGUAUACUUUUUUGCUUAUUAAUAAAAUUAUUUUGCACCGAGAUUUAAAAUAAAAAAACGGAGAAAAUAAGUUAUUUAAUUAACCCUGCUUUAAGUGUUGGCAUAAAUGCAGGACUGAAUUCCUUGAGUAACUUGGAGGAGCUGGACAUGAGCGCCAAUGCAAUCGACAAUCUAGUGGUCCUAAAGGUAUACAAAAUGUUCAAAUAUUAAUAAUUUGGAGGAUAGUUUAAUUGAUUUGAUUAGGGAAUGCCCAAUGACACUUACCCAAAAUAAUUUAAUCCGAAAUUGUAUCCCAAACAGAUUUCAGAGGUUUGAGGAAGUUGAAUACCCUUCUUUUACGGGGAAGCAGAAUUCGAAUGAUAGAUGGAAGCAAGGUGUUGCAAUCAAUAGGAUCACUACCAUCCCUCAAAACGCUUUACCUUUUCUUUAUUAAUUUUAAGGGAACAGUAGUUAAUCAGGGUGAGUAAAUUUUUUUAUGUCGAAAAUAAUUGAAUUAAUAUAUAUAGCUAAAAUUUAUUGUUUCUACUUCUUUCUAAAUAGAAUUGCACAAUUUCACCAACUUGGAAGAAUUGAUAUUGGUCGAGUGUGAUCUCCAUGUAAGCCAGCUUCUGCGAAGCAUCGCAUCAUUCACUUCGUUAAAGUAUUUGUCAAUGCAAGAUAGUGUACUCAAGGGUGCCCUGCAUGGUCAAGGUAAAUUACGGGUAUCUGAAGCUUUUAUGAUAUUAAUUCGAUAAUAAUUCUUUCUUUUCAAGUUAAUUUUCUCCCGUAAAAUAAUAUUUUUUUCUUUUAAAUUUUAUACAUUUUCACUGUCCAAUAGUUCUACCUUCUCUAAAUUGUAGGAUUCUUGAUUAAGGUUAAUGAAAUUUUAGUUCUGUUAUGUUAAGAAUAUUUCGAUCGCUUAGAAGAGUAAAGAAAAAUAAGUAAAUUAACCCAAAAAAAGAAAAGAACAGGACCGGAUUAUCCUUAUUCCCUUGCAUUAUGUGAUCAAUAUCAAAAUUAUAACCAUUUCUUGUUUAUUGCUUGUAGAUUUUCGUAAAUUCAACAAUUUGGAACAUCUGUACAUGGGUGAGGUGCAGGUUGACGUCAACACCAGUUUUCUUCAAAUUGUCGGCGAAUCGAUGCCUUCCCUUAAGUUUUUAUCACUGAAUGAUUCAAGUCUUAAUAAAAACACCAUUCUUGAUCAAGGUUAAUUAAUGAUUCUCUUUCUCCCUCUCGCGCAUCUUAACUAAAUUUAAUUGAGAAUAUCUAUAAUGCUAGCUAUUUAUAAACUUAAUGAAAGUUGAUGAGGAGCCAUUAUAAUGACUAAAACAACUGUAAAAUAGUGCGCUGUUGUAGUGUUGAUUGAACUAUUGGACUGUAAAACAACUGUAACAACACUAUAACGCUGCAUAAUUUUACAGUUAUUUUGUUGCCAUUACGUCAGAUUCCACUGUUAAACUAUCAGUACUCAAACUUAAUUUUUAAUAUGUACUUUAAAGAUUUUAUGCAAUUAUUUAAGUUUUAUGCAAUUAUAUUUUUCAGGACUUUGUCGGUUAGUGCAUCUGCAAGAGUUAUACAUCGGCCAUAACGAUUUGAGAGGUAGCUUGCCAUGGUGCUUGGCAAACAUGACAUCCCUUCAAGUGUUAGAUGCCUCAUCUAAUAAACUUACUGGAGACAUCUCCCCAGGCCUUUGUGAGUUGGUGCUUCUGAGAGAGUUAUACAUACAUAACAAUGAUUUAAGAGGUAGCUUGCCAUGGUGCUUGGCAAACAUGACAUCCCUUCAAGUGUUAAAUGCCUCUUCUAAUCAACUUACUAGAAACAUCUCCCUAGGCCUUUGUGAGUUGGUGCUUCUGAGAGAGUUAUCCAUUGAUAACAAUGAUUUAAGAGGUAUCUUGCCUCUGUGCUUGGCAAAUUUGACUUCCCUUCGAGUAUUAGAUGUCUCUUACAAUCAACUUACUGAAAACAUCUCCCCAGGCCUUUGUGAGUUGGUGCUUCUGAGAGAGUUAUCCAUUCAUAACAAUGAUUUAAGAGGUAGCUUGCCUUUGUGCUUGGCAAAUUUGACUUCCCUUCAAGUAUUAGAUGUCUCUUACAAUCAACUUACUGAAAAUAUCUCAUCUUCCCUCAUGCAUCUAAUAUCUAUGGAAAAGCUCAUACUUUCAAAUAAUCACUUCUUCCAAAUUCCUAUUUCACUCGAACCACUUUUCAAUCUCUCAAAACUCAAGACUUUUGAUGGUGAAAUAUGCGCAGAAACUGAGUCACAUUAUAAUUCUUUGACCCCAAAAUUCCAACUGACUUCUAUCUCACUGUCUGGUUACAUAGAUGGUGGCACAUUUCCCAAAUUCUUGUACCAUCAGCAUGACUUGAAGAAUGCUAAUCUCUCACACCUUAACUUGAGUGGAGAAUUUCCAAAUUGGUUGGUAGAAAACAAUACAAACUUAGAGACGCUUCUUCUUGCCAAUAACUCUCUUUUUGGAUCAUUUCGGAUGCCAAUUCAUUCCCACCAGAAAUUAGCAACAUUGCAUGUCUCCAACAAUUUCUUUCAAGGCCAUAUCCCAGUAGAAAUCGGAACAUAUCUGCCAGGCUUAAUGGAAUUAAACUUAUCUACAAAUGCUUUCAACGGUAGCAUUCCCUCUUCAUUUGCUGAUAUGAAAAUGUUGCAAAGCUUGGACAUAUCCCACAAUCAGUUGACGGGUGAAAUCCCUGAGCUCAUGGCCACGGGUUGCUUCUCAUUAGAAAUUCUUGCAUUGUCAAACAAUAGUUUGCAAGGCCAUAUAUUCUCUAAAAAAUUUAGCUUGACAAAUUUGAUGACGUUGCAGUUGGAUGGUAAUAAUUUCAGUGGAGAGAUCCCAGAAAGCUUAUCUAAGUGCCGUUGGUUAGGAGGAUUAUAUCUGAGUGAUAAUCAUCUCUCUGGUAAGAUUCCAAGAUGGUUGGGUAAUUUGUCAGCUUUAGAAGAUAUUAUAAUGCCUAAUAACAAUCUUGAAGGACCAAUUCCAAUCGAGUUUUGUCAGCUUGAUUCUCUGAAGAUUUUAGACCUUUCAAACAAUAGUAUUUUCGGAACCUUACCAUCUUGUUUUAGUCCAGCAUAUAUCGAACAAGUUCAUUUGUCAAAAAACAAGAUAGAAGGACGGUUGGAAAGUAUAAUCCAUUACAGCCCUUUUUUGGUGACAUUAGAUCUUAGUUAUAACCGCUUACACGGAAGUAUUCCAAAUCGGAUUAACAGACUACGUCAGUUAAACUACCUUCUUUUAGGUCAUAAUUAUAUUAAAGGCGAAAUACCAGUUCAAUUAUGCCAGUUGAAGGAAGUUCGGUUGAUUGAUCUUUCUCAUAAUAAUCUAUCUGGGCAUGUUCCUCCUUGCUUUGUUAACACUUCACUCAGUGAAGGUCAUCAUGAGGCAGUAGUCCCUGAACAUUUAGAUCUGCAAUCAAAUGAAUCUUCGAUGGGAAAGGAAGAAACUGUACAGUUCACAACAAAGAAAAUUUCCUACUAUUAUCAAGGAAGCAUUUUGAGGAGUAUGUGUGGGAUUGAUCUUUCUUGUAACAAACUGACAGGUGAGAUUCCUACUCAAAUUGGAUAUCUUACAAGGAUUCGUGCGCUAAAUCUAUCUCAUAACAAUUUGACGGGCACAAUCCCGACAACAUUUUCAAACCUGAAGCAAAUCGAAAGCUUGGACCUCUCCUACAACCUACUGCAUGGGAAAAUCCCUUCUCAGCUCACUGUGCUAACUACAUUGGCGGUCUUCAGAGUAGCAUACAAUAACUUAUCAGGAAAAACCCCAGAUAGAGUUGCACAAUUUUCAACAUUUGAGGAAGAUAGUUAUGAGGGGAAUCCUUUUCUUUGUGGAUGGCCACUGUCUAAAAGUUGCAAUGAUAGUGGAUUAUCAGCAGUGACACCAGAAGCUUACACUGAUAAUGAAGAAGGUGAUAGUUUAAUUGACAUGGACAGUUUCUUGAUCACUUUUACAGCAUCUUAUGGAAUUGUGAUAUUAGGAAUUAUUGGAGUUUUGUACAUAAACCCCUAUUGGCGACAAAGAUGGUUUUACCUUGUUGAAGUAUGUAUGAUCUCUUGCUACUAUUUUGUAGUAGAUAAUCUUAUUCCUAGAAGAUUCUGUCGUGGAUGGAUGUAAUUUCAUUUACUUUACAACUUAUAUGUAAUUUUUAAAGAAUUUUCUUUUGCUUGCAUGGAAUAGCAACUCAAUAAAAGUAUUUGAUGCAAAUUGUCCAAGAACAACUUAGUAAUUUCAUUGCUACUAUUCGGUUAUAUAUGUACAGUUAAUGAAAUUUUUAACCAUUCGCAGUAGGAAUUUCUUUAGAUGGCGGCCAAAACUAACAGAUUUGGGGCUCUACUUCUACACAUCAUAACAGGCAAAAGGUCUCUCUUUUACACGAUCUGAAUGAAGAUUAGCUUACGCCCUCUGGAGUGUGUGCAAGUUCUCUAUUAAACUUGACGGUUGAGAUUUCAGGUCCAGAUGAAAGUAAAAUGCAGGCGACGAGACUUCACUUUAAGUAAACUGGUACAAACUUAAAUUAAAAAAAAUUAUAGUCCAGUGUGAGAGUAAUGGGUAGCUCAACCUAUGGAGGAUAACUAGGACUUGGAAUAACUAUCAGAUUUGCAACUCUUGUUAUACGCUAGUGGGGAUUAUCACUUUCAGCAGCUACAUAAUGGUAUCACUUUCAGCUCGUCAUGAAUGGUGUGCAUUCAGCAGUGCUCGAUAGACCAUGUCUAUGAAUUGAUUGUCCUAUUACAUAUAAAAGCUGGUCAGAUAUACAAGGAAAAAAAUAAUAAUUGAAAAUGCAUCACAAAAAAUAAGUGUCUCGCAUUAGUGUUUGCACUCUAAGCAUGGCAAAGUGGUGUGGGGUUCAUGAUUUUGAAGACUGAUAAGUGAAAAAUAGUUCAAUCCACUGAUGACCAUAAAUUUAUUUACAUGUCAAUUUAGAUAUCAUCAAAAAGUAAACAGUAAUUCACAGUCACGUAAAAUAGUUGAUAAAAUGCGUGCCAUGAAUGCAUUUUUGUACAUAAGAAAUCCAAAGAGUAUUUCUGACAAUACAAAUAUGCUAGCUUUAAGUCUGCUGUCAAUAUGCAAUUAAGAAGAUUAUACCAGCUGCAUGAUAAAGUUCCCCUAAUCUUAAUAACAGUAAACAUGAACAUGUCAGAUGCAAUUAUAGCUUCGAGCAUUUGCAUAACCAGAAAUCCUAACCUGAACAAGCACCAGAAGUGUCUCUCGAACUUUCUCCUUGCUGAUAAAUGGUCUGCUGUUUGAAGAGCAGGAGUAAGAGAUGGUGGAGGGGUUGGUGGUGGAAAAGGUUGAAGCACUGGAGCACCAUAUGGGCGUUGCAGACUCAGGGGAGGAUUAAGUGGCGGAGCUGUUGGUGUAGAUGAAGAGACAAGCUGCAUCAUCCGUGCAUAGGACGAUGGAGGAGGAACAAAGAAUAAGGAAGGCUUUACAAGAUUAGGCGUCCAGUUGCCAGAUUCAGAGGUGUCAACGGGUGGUAUUAAAGGGGUAGGUGCUGAUAGAGGUGGAGAUGGUAUUUGCAAGGUCGGCACGAUAGGCGAAGCAACACUGGCGGGAUGAGAAGGUAAAGAAAUAGUUGUAUUGGACUGGUAAGGUUGUGCAGAGAUUGCUGCAUUAGAAGUAUUCCCCACAGUCAAAGCUGUCUGCAAUGAUAAGGACAGAUGUCAUAUACAAGGACUUCAUAGAAGUUGAACCUCACACAAAAAUGAAGUGAUAACAUAUGAAAAUAGUAUAUGACUUGCUGCAUUUUUGUGGUAAUGUUGCAUACUCAUGUAGAAACAUAUUAUUUCAAAGAAAACAUACACUGAAGAAGUUCACAAAAGCAGGAUCUUCAGGAACAUCAGCAGCAUUUGAGGGAGUUGACUCUAGAGGACCAUCCAUAACUGCCAUAGUUGGAACAGCUUCCAGUUCCUCAAACUCACUGCAGUUUAACAUAAAAGGAACUUGAUGACCAAUUUAAGUAAUAAUUAGAUGAUAUAAGAGGUUAGGGAAAAUGAUGAGUGGACCCUUAUGGAAGGUGAUUUCACCUUAGCUAAACACGAAAAUAAAAAGAAAUCAAAGCUGAAUCCUCGAGUGCAAUGCAAAGAAUUUUUUCUCUCUCUUCUCUAACUCCUCUUAUUCGAAAUUGCUCAUCAUUGUGCUGUUCUUCGAGAUAUCGCUAGAGUAGAGAAAGCUAUUCUACCGUUAAGUGCAGAGGAAAGAGAAGGGCAAGGGCCUGGUAUGAUGCUAUUCUAUAGGAAGUGAGAAGGUGAAGGGUUAAAAUAUUUUGCAAUUUGGAGGUGGUGUUUGUUAGUGUGUGUACUUCUGAAUUUAUUACCUCUUUAGGAUCCAUAGAAAUUGCCUCUUGUUCAGCAUGCACUGUGCCUACGAGUAAGGCGAGCUUGCAUGAUAUCUAUUGUCUAUUUACUUGGAUAUUCAAACAGGACUACCAGCAACCAAACACAAAUCCCCAAACAAAACACUCUUUCAAGUGCAAGGAAAGAGUAACUUGGGCAUAUUUAUGGUUCAAGCACUACCAUAACUAAGAAUGUGAUGCUGUCCACAAACACUAUAUCAGUGCCUUUUGAACUACAUCACAUGCUCGAAGACUUUUUUUUUAGUCAUACAUAAAUUAGCUAUAAAAUAAAGACCAUUAUACAACUAAAAAGAAAGAAAAAUUGUUUGCUACUACGUAUCAAAACUGGUAAUAGCAAUGUAAGAUGGCAGACUUCUUACUUAAACAGAUGAGAGGCUACAAAUAAAAAAUUUGUGCAAAUAAAAUAUAUGAUAAAGAGCGUAAUACUAUAUUGGGGGCUAAAAAUAAUAUACAACUUGUGAAAUAUAAAUUGAGCUACCAUUACCUUUUCGAUGUGGCAACUUUCGACUUUUGAGGCACCUUGGAAUAUGCAUUCAGAAUCCUGCAUUUGGAAGCCAAAUAAAUAAUGUUAAUAACAAUUUUACAAUAGAAAAAUUAAAAAUUGAUAAAUGGCAGUUGUAAUUUAUGUGUGUAAAGAUAGCAUCGCAUCCAGGUUCCUCCCAUAAACAUGCUUGUAACAAGAAUUAGUUUGCCUCAACUGCUAGCAACUAUACAAUAGUAAAAAUCACUCUUAUGAACUCAACAAUACUAGGCACCAAUAAGAGUAUGACACAGCCAUUCUAAAUGGAAGAGAAUACAACUGUUUUACAACUAUGUUGCAUCAGGAGAUAUGUUAGGAGGAUUAAUCCAGAUACCUUCCAACCCAAUUAGGAAAACUCGAGUCAGAAACCAGGAGCUGCAACCAAACCUUACAAUCUUGAAGGAAGAAGGAGACUUGGGGCAUUUUUCCAGAUAGGUGACUUACAAGAUCUCCUGCCAAGAAAAUAUCUAUUGCUUUGAACCUCCAUUGAAAUUUCUUUUCCCUUUUUCUUGUUUUGACUUGGAACUUUCCAGCAUCAUCUAUUUGAUCUUUUUUAAAGCUAAAAUAGCAAUCUAUGGGUUGUCAACAUCUUAUCCCCCCCCCCCCCCCCCGGGGGGCCACCAAAAAACAAAACCAAUGAGUUGUCAAUAAAUAGCGCCUACUCAACUUAUGUUCUCCAAUGAUGACAAUGUGCAAAUCGACCUAGCAGCCACAUUUUUCCCCCCUUUCAACCACCUUUAGGCAACUUUUCUAACCUUUCUUCAUUGCCCACGUCUACAGAACUAUCAUAUAAAGACUACAUUAUUAUUGGGAUAGAGAAAAAAAUACGGACUAUAUUAUUAUUAUUAUAUCUCAUUUUAUUAAUGAACUAGUGCAAGACUUAUUUAGUGUCAAAUCAAGAACUAAUUAGAAAAGACAACUCAUGAUAAUACAGACCUUAAAAAGCAAUAGCUAGCAACACCCCAUAUACUCCUAUUUUAGCCUUCAAUAUCCUGGUAAAAACACAAUUAAGUCUUGCCAAAGAACAUUCACAAGUAAAUUCAACAUUAAUUAAGAUUAAGUAUCUACUGCACCUUCAAUCAAUGACUGGGUGAAUAGCAUGGUCAACCAUCCAGUUCCUGUAGCCCUCCUUGUACCUAUGUUAGUUACAUUUUACAUAUUAAGCCACGAAAAUGAAGGAUCACAGCCUGGUAAAGAAAGCCAUUAAUUAAUAGUUUUUGUUUAAAAAGUUCUCGUUUAGAUCUUUCCUAUUCAAUGAAUCAAUGUAAUCCAUGGAGAACUCUUCCAUUUCAAGCAGUGUUAGAAGAUAAUUGGAAAGCCUAAAGAUAAUAUACAAGGACCAAGAUAUCAAUUAGGUCAAAUAGUGAAUGUCAAAUAUAAAAAAUAAAUAAAAGAAGUUGUACAUGAUCAUUUACUAUCAAGUUCUGUAAAACUGAAAAUACCAUUAUCCCUGUAUAGAUUCUCAAACAACUCUUUAGCAAAUUAUAAAAUAGUUAAAAAAAGAACGAAAGUUUUAAAAAAAAAAAUGUACAACAGCCAUAUCAGGAGAUGUUUUUCUUCUCAAUCUCAAUAUUUUCUUGCCGUAAAAAAUUGAAAAGCUUAACACCAAGUGAAUUAUUAAGAAUUCAUCAUUUAAAUUCCCAAAUCGCAAAAUGUUGGUGCAACUAGGAAAGUGCAAAUGCAAUCACUUUACUAACACAAGAAACAUCAAUAGUGAGAAGCCAACUUUGUAUCAAAUUUGAAACAGAUAGAUAGAGGUCAAAAAAAUUAUAAAGACACUCAAUUAAAAGCCUUUCAAACAGCUUUUGCAUGCAACAAGAACAAAUCAAAGGCGAUGUGAAUGUAUUGAAAGACUAAUUUACAAUCAUCUACAGGACAUAAAUAUCUUGGAUAACUACUCUCUACACCUUACUGUCCCACUGAAAAUCAUCAAAUCCCUCCAAACAAAAAUGACAAAAUGGAUAAGAAUUGUGUGGUCAAACUUCAAUAACUUAGCAGCCACAGCAAAAACUUAUGUAGACACGCAAGCCACUCAAAAUAGUCAUAUUGUUUGCUUUCUAAACACAAGCCACAUUGUAAUGAAUAUUCAUAAAUUGCUACUACCAUGUUUGUUAAAACACGUGAAAACCACCAUAACUAACUAAAUGUAACUGAUGAUCAUCAUCACAUUCAUGGAAUCACAUAUCCGACAGUAUUAAUUAGUGCAAAUGGCAUGCUUCUUAAAACUCCUUAUUUAUCACAUGGGCGCCAUUCCAAUCAACCAAUGAUUCUGAUCUAGUCAGCAUAUUCAACCCACGAGCGAGUAAUACCUCCAUUGCUUCUUUAGAUUUCUCAACGAAAUUCCACAUUCUAACCAUACUUCUGAACUUGUUGCUCCCAUAGACUAAUACAAUAUAAAGAUUUCUUCCCACACCACCUCAGCCCCCACUCCUAAAAAACCAAUUUAAAUUCUCAUUGACUGUACAACCUAUAGUCCAUACCAAAUUGAAAAAUUUACAAAUAUAGAACCUCAAAGAAUCUUCUUGCGUUCCAUUUUUUACGGCAAGAAAAUUGACUUUUACCACAUGCAAGUCAACAAAUAAAACAAUCAUGUCUUUGUGAGAUGCACAUUUUCAGACGAAUCUGAAGAGCAAUGAAACCAUAAAAACCUAAUGUGAGAACACCGAGGACUCCAGAUAUCAUCCAUAGAAUCUUUGGUCCACCCUUGCAUGAUGAAAAAAAAUUGAAGGCUUCGUCACCAACUCCCCAGGUUGUUUUGUUCUCCUAUCUCCUAAAUGUAAAGGAAAGACAACCCGUUCUUUUUCCAAUCUUAAGGGACACAGAACGACUCUAGUAUAAAAUAGUCAGUUUCUAUACAAAAAUAACUCCUUUGCACUUGGCACUGCACAUCUCAAAAUAAAAAGCAUGCAAGGAGGAGAAUAUAAUAGCAGUAAACAAGUUUUAUUAACCAAACUUCAAAGAUGCCACACAAGGCAAAAAAGAAAUCUGUACAAGCCAGAUCCCAAGAAUAAUAAUUCCAAUAUACAAUUCAGGAAAACAAUAACUAAAAACAGGUUCAUGAGGCCUCAGCAGAAGCAACAUGUAAUAACCAUACUCUAUUAUUUGAAACACAUUUCCAAGUUUGGUUAAGAUUCUAAACUAUUCUCUAUCUGUCAAUUAUUAACAUGUAAAACAUAAUAAUAUACACUUAAACUACUACAGUAGUAAAACCAGUAAAACAACAAUACCUGCUAAAAAGAUUGGCUACCUCUUCACAUUCACGAGCAUUGUAGAACCAAAUCCCAUUUACUUCUUGGGAUGCAUUUCGAUAUAACAAAUACGGAAUCUGAACUUCAAACUCAAAAUCUCCCAAAAGAUUUUCCACUAAAUUAUCUGCACAUAUACAAGAUAUUGAAGCUUAUCAGUGCAAAAACAUAUACAAAAAGACAUGAAGGUUAGGAGACAUAACUAAAACUUAGCAACAACUGAUAAGCACAACAAGAAAUGAAAUAUAACACGAGUUGUAAACAAGAUAGACACACGGUAUCUAAAAAAUUGUACCAACUCCCUCUCCUGGUUGUCAUAAAACGGCCAAUAUUUAACCCUAGACAACAAAAUUGCAAAUACUCUAGCCUCUGUAAUAUUGGCAUAUAAAUAUUUUCGGUUAGGUACAUUAUAUUCUUCGUUCUAAAACCUCAAUUAUUAGCUAGUACUGUGAUAAAAUGAUUCAUCACUGAAAUUAAAACUUCACGUACAAAUAAUCAAAACUGAAAUAGAAGCAACGAUAAACCAACCUGUAUUACGUCGAUUAAUCACAACAAACUGAAAUCGAGGCUGUGUGUUCCUGAAAAUUGAAAAAAUAAUAAUUUCACCAACUUCAUAUGUAAUACAAUCUCCAAAACAACGAAUAUCAAAUGAAAAAAAGGGAAAGCAUAAGAGAGAAAAGAAUCUAAUUUUAUUGACCUUUUGACGACGAAGAGAGAGCCUUCAACAUCGUUACGACUCCAUAUGCUGAGAUCGAUGUUGAACUCGUAGAAGGUGACAUGAGCGGCCGUGAUGAGGAUCUCCUCAAUGAAUGGAUCGAUUCGCUGAAGAACUGUCAGGUUUAGGAGUUUUGUGCUCUGCUGGUCCAGAUUAGGCAUCAAUUUUCCGUUCUGCGACAUUUUUCAUAGUCCUUUUGGGCUUCUGCCCCGAUCACUAGCCCUCAGGUUUUUCUGUGAGCUCUCGCUCUUUUGUAAAUAAAGUGUUUGAUGAGAUAGCCGAAAGAGAGUGAAAGAGUUGAACAGCCAAACAAGGUGAGGUGAACAGUUUCGGACUGAGACUCGAGAUUGAUCUUUGCUUUAACGUCUUUCAAACAUUUGGGAAAUAGCAUUUAUUUCUUUCAAUUUCUCUACUUUUUUUUUCCUUUAUGUUAUUUAGACCCCAAAAUUAGAUUUAUUAUAAUCAUAUUUUACCCAUACACUAUUAAUCCCUUUUAUUUUUUAAAUUGUCAAUAUUAAUGUAUUAGAAUAAUGUUAGAAAUCCCAAUUAUUAUCGCAAUGUUUCAAUCAUAACUAAUGUGAUAACUCAUCGGUAACUACAACAUUAACUUAAUUAUUAAUGUUUAUCAUGAAAUGAUGAGAUUAUUAUUCAAGAAAAACUUAGUAAACAUCAAUGACUAAUAUAAUAUGACAAUUACAACUGAAUAUUAGUACAAUAAUUAGGAUCCCUAAAGUUAGUGAAUGUAUUAUAAUAUAUGUGUGUUACACCACUUUAUGUCUCUCAAAUUCAAUUAAGUAAUUUCAGAAACCUGAUCUUUUAUUACAUUAAUUAGGAAUGCAUACAUGAACGAAAGAUGUGCAAUUUUUGUUCUAUUUUUCACUAUUAUUUACCAUUCAUCUACUUACAUCACUUGAUUUUUUGUGAUUAAUAUGCUUAAAUGGAUCUCUUAGAUAUAAAUAAAAUAAACGAAAAGUCUAAGAGAAAAAAAAAUGAGGACCGAAAUUAUUACACCUACAACAAAUUUGCCCAGAGAGCAAUAAAUCAAACUUGCUUAGGAAGUACAAUGAUUAGUUAAUAACUAAAAGAGCCUUCACCUGACAUGUUAAAGCUUCUGUCAAGCAAAACACCCAUUGAAAGCUGUUUAGGUCCGUCUUAGAUCAUCGGAAAUUUGACAAAAUCAUAAAAACCCUCAUCUUAUGAUAAUCUUUUCCAGAUAGGUGACUUACUAGAUCUCCUGCCAAGAGAAUAUCUAUGGUUUUGAACCUCCAUUGAAAUUUCUUUUUCCCUUUUUCUUGUUUUGACUUGGAACAAUUUAUUUGAUCUUUUUUAAAGGUAAAAUAACAAUUUAUAGGUUGCCAACAUCGUAUUCUGCCAAAUCCCACCCCAAAACAAAAAAAAAAAAUCAAUGGGUUGACAACAAAUAGCGCCUACUCAACUUAUGUUCUCCAACGGACGACAAUAUGCAAAUCGACCUAGUAGCCACAUUUUUCCCCCUUUCAACCACCGUUAGGCACCUUUUCUAACCUUCCUUCAUUGCCCACACCUGCAGAACUAUAAUAAAAAGACUACAUUAUUAUUGAGGUAGAGAAAAUAUACAGACUGUAUUAUUAUUACAUCCCAUUUUACUAAUUAACUAGUGCAAGACUUCUUUAGUGUCAAAUCAAGAACUGAUUAGAAAAGACAACUCAUGAUAAUACAGACCUUAAUAAGCAAUAGCUAACAACAUCCCAUAUACUCCUAUUUUAGCCUUCACUAUCCUGGUAAAAACACAAUUAAGUCUUGCAAAAGAACAUUCAUAAGUAAAUUCAACAUUAAUUAAGAUUAGGUAUCUACUGCACCUAAUAGCAUGGUCAACCAUCUAGUUCCUGUAGCCUUCCAUGUACCUAUGUUAGUUACAUUUUACAUAUUAAGCCACGAAAACGAAGAAUCACAGCCUGGUAAAGAAAGCCAUUAAUUAAUAGUUUUUGUUUAAAAAGUUCUCCCUUAGAUCUUUCCUACUCAAUGAAUCAAUGUAAUCUAAAGAGAACUCUUCCAUUUCAAACAGUGUUAGAAGAUAUUUGCAAAGCCUAAAGAUAACAUACAAGGACCAAGAUAUACACGGAUGGUUUCUUUAUGAGACUAAAGAGCUUUUUUAGAUGUUAAAACUGUUUCAAACUGUUUUUCUGGUUUGGUUUAACUAAGGAAGAGCUUGUGGAAGAUUAAAAAUGAUGUUUCCUGUUCUCUGUAGGAAGCUUUUAGGAGAUUUUUUGGGCUUUUUUGAAAGGUUGAAUUGUCAAAAAUACCUUGAUGUUAUUGUUUGCUAAAAGAUGUUAUGGACAACUAAACAACCAACAACAUUUUGCACAAUUUUCAACUUUCAAGGAAGAUAGCUAUGAGGGGAAUCCUUUUCUUUGUGGAUGGCCACUGUCCAAAAGUUGCGAUGAUAAUGGAUUAACAACAGUGACAACAGAAGCUGACACUGAAAAUGAAGAAGUUGAUAGUUUAAUUGACAUGGACAGUUUCCUGAUCACUUUUACAGUAUCUUAUGGAAUUGUGAUAUUCGGAAUUAUUGGAGUUUUGUACGUAAACCCCUAUUGGCGGCGAAGUUGGUUUUACCUUGUUGAAGUAUGUAUGACCUCUUGCUACUAUUUUGCAGCAGACAAUCUUGUUCCUAGAAAAUUCUAUGGUGGAUGGAUGUAAUUUCAUUACAUUACAACUUAUAUGUAAUUUUCAAAGAAUUUUCUUUUGCAUGCAUGGAAUAGCAACUCAAUAAAAGUAUUUGAUGCAAAUUGUCCAAGAACAACUUAGUAAUUUCAUUGCUACUAUUCGGUUGUAUGUAUACAGUUAAUGAAAUUUUUAACCAUUCGCAGAAUACCCUUAGGAAUUUCUUUAGAUGGCGGCCAAAAACUAAGAGAUUCGGGGCUCUACACAGUCUGAAUGAAGAUUAACUUAAUGCCCUCAGGAUUAUGUGUAAGUUCUCUUUUAAAUUUAAGGGGUUGAGAUUUCAGGUCCGGAUGAAAGUUGAAUGCAGGUCACGAGACUUCACUGGGACAAACUUAAAAUAAAAAAUUAUAGUCCACAGUAAGAGCAAUGGGUAGCUUAACUUAUGGAAGAUAACUAGAACUUGGAAUAACUUAAAUUAGCUAUAAAAUUAAGACCAUUAUACAACUAAAAAGAAAGAAAAAUUGUUUGCUACUACAUAUCAAAACUGGUAAUAGCAAUGUAAGAUGGCAGACUUCUUACUUAAACAGAUGAGAGGCUACAAAUAAAAAAAUUGUGCAAAUAAAAGAUAUGAUAAAGAGCAUAAUACUUUCUUGGGGGCUAAAAAUAAUAUACAACUUGUGAAAUAUAAAUUGAGCUACCAUUACCUUUUAGAUGUGGCAACUUUCGACUUUUGAGGCACUUUGGAAUAUGCAUUCAGAAUCCUGCAUUUGGAAGCCAAAUAAAUAAUGUUAAUAACAAUUUUACAAUAGAAAAAUUAAAAAUUGAUAAAUGGCAGUUGUAAUUUAUGUAUGUGUAAAGAUAGCAUCACAUCCAGGGUCCUCCCAUAAACAUGCUUGUAACAAGAAUUAGUUUGCCUCAACUGCUAGCAACUGCUAACAAUAUACAAUAGUAAAAAUCACUCUUAUGAACUCAACAAUACUAGGCACCAAUAAGAGUAUGAUACAGCCAUUCUAAAUGGAAGAGAAUAUAACUGUUUUACAACUAUGUUGCAUCAGGAGAUAUGUUAGGAGGAUUAAUCCAGAUACCUUCCAACCCAAUUAGGAAAACUCAAGUCAGAAACCAGGAGCUGCAACCGAACCUUACAAUCUUGAAGGAAGAAGGAGACUUGGGGCAUUUUUCCAGAUAGGUGACUUACUAGAUCUCCUGCCAAGAGAAUAUCUAUUGCUUUGAACCUCCAUUGAAUUUUCUUUUCCCUUUUUCUUGUUUUGACUUGGAACUUUCCAGCAUCAUCUAUUUGAGCUUUUUUAAAGCUAAAAAAGCAAUCUAUGGGUUGUCAACAUCUUAUCACCCCCCCCCCCCGCGGGCCCCCCAAAAAAAAAUCAAUGAGUUGUCAAUAAAUAGCGCCUACUCAAAUGUUUUCCAAUGGAUGACAAUGUGCAAAUCGACCUAGCAGCCACAUUUUUCCCCCCUUUCAACCACCAUUAGGCAACUUUUCUAACCUUUCUUCAUUGCCCACAUCUAGAGAACUAUCAUAUAAAGACUACAUUAUUAUUGGGAUAGAGAAAAAUAUACAGACUAUAUUAUUAUAACUCAUUUUAUUAAUUAACUAGUGCAAGACUUAUUUAGUGUCAAAUCAAGAACUAAUUAGAAAAGACAACUCCUGAUAAUACAGACCUUAAAAAGCAAUAGCUAGCAACACCCCAUAUACUCCUAUUUUAGCCUUCAAUAUCCUGGUAAAAACACAAUUAAGUCUUGCAAAAGAACAUUCACAAGUAAAUUCAACAUUAAUUAAGAUUAAGUAUCUACUGCACCUUCAAUCAAUGACUGGGUGAAUAGCAUGGUCAACCAUCUAGUUCGUGUAGCCCUCCUUGUACCUAUGUUAGUUACAUUUUACAUAUUAAGCCAUGAAAAUGAAGGAUCACAGCCUGGUAAAGAAAGCCAUUAAUUAAUAGUGUUUGUUUAAAAAGUUCUCGUUUAGAUCUUUCCUAUUCAAUGAAUCAAUGUAAUCUAAGGAGAACUCUUCCAUUUCAAGCGGUGUUAGAAGAUAAUUGGAAAGCCUAAAGAUAAUAUACAAGGACCAAGAUAUCGAUUAGGUCAAAUAGUGAAUGUCAAAUAUAAAAAAUAAAUAAAAGAAGUUGUACAUGAUCAUUUACUAUCAAGUUAUGUAAAAUUGAAAAUACCAUUAUUCCUGUAGAGAUUCUCAAACAACUCUUUGGCAAAUUAUAAAAUAGUUAAAAAAAGAACGAAAGUUUAAAAAAAAAAAGAAAAUGUACAACAUCCAUAUCAGGAGAUGUUUUUCUUCUCAAUCUCAAUAUUUUCUAGCCGUGAAGCAAUUGAAAAGCUUAACACUAAGUGAAUUAUUAAGAAUUCAUCAUUUAAAUUCCCAAAUCGCAAAAUGUUGGUGCAACUAGGAAAGUGCAAAUGCAAUCACUUAACUAACACAAGAAACACCAAUAGUGAGAGCCCACUUUGUAUCAAAUUUGAAACAGAUAGAGGUCAAAAAAAUUAUAGACACUCAAUUAAAAGCCUUUCAAACAGCUUUUGCAUGCAAUAAGAACAAAUCAAAGGCGAUGUGAAUGUAUUCAAAGACUAAUUUACAAUCAUCUACAGGACAUAAAUAUCUUGGAUACCUACUCUCUAUACCUUCCUGUCCAACUGAAAAUCACCAAAUCCCUCCAAACAAAAAUGACAAAAUGGAUAAGAAUUGUGUGGUCAAACUUCAAUAACUUAGCAGCCACAGCAAAAACUUAUGUAGACAUGCAAGCCACUCAAAAUAGUCAUAUUUUUUGCUUUCCAAACACAAGCCACUGUGUAAUGAAUGCUCAUAAAUUGCUACUACCAUGUUUGUUAAAACACGUGAAAACCACCAUAACUAACUCAAUGUAACUGAUGAUCAUCAUCACAUUCAUGGAAUCACAUAUCUGACAGUAUUAAUUAGUGCAAAUUGCAUGCUUCUUGAAACUCCUUGUUUAUCACAUGGGCGCCAUUCCAAUCAACCAAUGAUUCUGAUCUAGUCGGCAUAUUCAACCCACGAGCGAGUAAUACCUCUUAUUGCUUCUUUACAUUUCUCAACGAAAUUCCACAUUCAAACCAUACUUCUGAACUUGUUGCUCCCAUAGACUAAUACAAUAUAAAUAUUUCUUCCCACACCACCUCAAUCCCCACUCCUGAAAAACCAAUUUAAAUUCUCAUUGGCUGUACAACCUAUAGUCCAUACCAAAUUGAAAAAUUUACAAAUAUAGAACCUCAAAGAAUCUUCUUGCGUUCCAUUUUUUACGGCAAGAAAUUUGACUUUUACCACAUGCAAGUCAACAAAUAAAAAAAUCAUGUCUUUGUGAGAUGCACAUUUUCAGACGAAUUUGAAGAGCAAUGAAACUGUAAAAACCGAAUAUGAGAACACCGAGGACUGCAGAUAUCACCUAUAGAAUCUUCGGUCCACACUUGCAUGAUGAAAAUGAUGAAAAAAAAUUGAAGGCUUCGUCACCAGCUCCCCAGGUUGUUUUGUUCUCCUAUCUCCUAAACAUAAAGGAAAUGCAACCUGUUCUUUUUUCCAAUCUUAAGGGGCACAGAACGACCCUGGUAUAAAAUAGUCAGUUUCUAUACAAAAAUAACUCCUUUGCACUUGGCAUUCCACAUCUCAAAAUAAAAAGCAUGCAAGGAGGAGAACAUAAUAGCAUUAAACAAGUUUUAUUAACCAAACUUCAAAGAUGCCACACAAGGCAAAAAAGGAAUCUGUACAAGCCAGAUCCCAAGAAUAAUAAUUCCAAUAUACAAUUCACAAAAACAAUAACUAAAACCAUGUUCAUGAGGCCUCAGCAGAAGCAACAUGUAAUAACCAUACUCUAUUAUUUGAAACACAUUUCCAAGUUUGGUUAAGAUUCUAAACCAUUCUCUAUGUGUCAAUUAUUAACAUGUAAAACAUAAUAAUAUACACUUAAACUACUACAGUAGUAAAACCAGUAAAACAACAAUACCUGCUAAAAAGAUUUGCUACCUCUUCACAUUCACGAGCAUUGCAGAACCAAAUCCCAUUUACUUCUUGGGAUGCAUUCCGAUAUAAAAAAUACGGAACCUGAACUUCAAACUCAAAAUCUCCCAAAAGAUUUUCCACUAAAUUAUCUGCACAUAUCCAAGAAAUUGAAGCUUAUCAGUGCAAAAACAUAUGCAAAAAGACAUGAAGGUUAGGAGAUACAACUAAAACUUAGCAACAACUGAUAAGCACAACAAGAAAUGAAAUAUAACACGAGUUGUAAACAAGAUAGACACAUGGUAUCUAAAUAAUUGUACCAACCCCCUCUCCUGAUUGUCAUAAAAAGGCCAAUAUUUAACCCUAGACAACAAAAUUGCAAAUACUCUAGCCUCUAUAUUAUUGGCAUAUAAAUAUUUUCGGUUAGGUACAUUAUAUUCUUCCUUCUAAAACCUCAAUUAUUAGCUAGUACUGUGAUAAAAUGAUUCAAAACUGAAAUAGAAACAACGACAAACCAACCUGUAUUACGUCGAUUCAUUACAACAAACUGAAAUCGAGGCUGUGUGUUCCUGAAAAUUGAAAAAAUAAUAAUUUCACCAACUUCAUAUGUAAUACAAUCUCCAAAACACUGAAUAUCAAAUGAAAAAAAUGGAAAGCAUAAGAGAGAAAAGAAUCUAAUUUUAUUGACCUUUUGACGACGAAGAGAGAGCCUUCAACAUCCUUACGACUCCAUUGGCUGAGAUCGAUGUUGAACUCGUAGAAGGUGACAUGAGCGGCCGUGAUGAGGAUCUCCUCAAUGAAUGGAUCGAUUCGCUGAAGAACUGUCAGGUUUAGGAGUUUUGUGCUCUGCUGGUCCAGAUUAGGCAUCAAUUUUCCGUUCUGCGACAUUUUUCAUAGUCCUUUUGGGCUCUGCCCCGAGCACAAGCCCCAUGGUUUUUCUGUGAGCUCUCUCUUUUGUAAAUAAAGUGUUUCAUGAGAUAGUCGAGAGAGAGUGAAAGAGUUGAACAGCUAAACAAGGUGAGGUGAACACUUUCGGACUGAGACUCGAGAUUGAUCUUUGCUUUAACGUCUUUCAAACAUUUGGGAAAUAGCAUUUAUUUCUUUCACAGGGAUUUGUCUGUGGUAUACCCCAAAAAAAGGGUAUUUAUCUAAAAAUACCUCCAUACUCAAAAAUUUCUCGUAUAUGCCUUUUCUAAUAUGCAGUUACGAAAUUACCCUAAUGAAAAACCUAAAUCAACUAAACUACCACAAUCAAUCGUGUAACAAAAUCCCUAAUUUUUUCUCAUGAGCAGCUUCUUCUUCAGCCCGUUCUUCUGGGUUUCUCCUCCUCCAUUUUACAAAUCCCUAUUAUUUUACAACAAUUCUUCUACACACUCUCGCCUCUCUGCAAAUCAGUAGCUGCAAUUCCCCCACUCUGCUUCAGCAUCUCCUCUUCCAGGUACUUUUAGAAAGUCAAAUUUUUUGUUUUAAUGUAAAAUAAAAUUUGAAAGUUUCAAAGCUCAAGUUAUUGAUUUUUCUGAAAAAAAUCAUUUGCAGCUGGUAUUGAAAUGUGUGCAAAGUCUUGUGCCAAAAGCUUAAUUUUCAUUUCUCGCAAAAGUCAGAUGACAAGACUUCACUUGAUUAGGCUUAUGCUUGUCUUUUACCUUGCAUUAAUUUUCAUCUCUUGUAAAAGUCAGAUAAUAAGGCUUCACUCGAUUAGACUAAUAAUUGAUUUAACAUAUUCAUUUUCUGAUUAAUUGUCAUCCAAUUUGCACGCACAUCGGAUAGAAUUCAUCCAAAAAAAUGGCUCGUAAGGUACGGGAGUCCAAAUACUUAUAAACCUACACACCAAGCCUUAGCUUAGCAAUAUGACACUCAAUUAUAGUUCAUAACCGAUAUGCAUGGUGGCCAUAUAUGGGGCUGAGUGACUUCACAGAUUUCAUACAAGGUGAAUAGCAGGUCUUCUUCUCAACUUACUUCGUCUGUGAAGAGAGAUUUCAUCAAAAAAUUGGUAAAACUCAUUCAAAAGACCGACUUAUGAUGUUAGAAAGACCAAAUACCCUAUAAAAUGCUUAAUAAAGUGGUCGCACAAUUAUUCUUGUGUACACAGUACCAAUGCAAUAGAAAAUAGGGUAAACAUUAAUGUCUCUAGCUACUCAGUCCAAUAGACAGUAUAAUCUAAAGAUGUCGUGUUGUUGUAUUGUUACACUGGUGAGACAAUUGCUGCAUGUUGCAGACAUGAUACCUCUAGUACUUCAAAAGAUAGCAUAUCACGAAACACAUCCAGACUGUAGUGAGGUUAUUUCGAAAAUUCCUUGGCCCAUUGUGUGAGUGCGUGACAUCCCGCAACAAAAAUCAGGGUAUGUACUAUAUAUAUAAUGUGUUUUGAACAUAAUAAUAAAAAUGAUGAUUUUUAACAAUUGAUUUAUAUGAAUAUUUUUAGUGGUGACUGUGGAGCAUUUUUGUUGCGGUACUUGGAGGUCCUAGCCCAUGGACUUGAUGUCAAUUCAUACUGCCAACAAGAUCAUGUUACACAAUUUCGACAAGCCUUGGCUGUAAAAUUAUUUGGGCAUAGGUCAUGGAAAAAAACUCCGUAGUGUCAUUUUUUGGAUUAUGAGAUGUAAUAGUUGUAAUGAGGAUGUUGUUGAUAUUUGAUGUCAUUAAAGACAAUUGACAGCAUUAAUAUAUUUUAUUUCUUUGUUAUUUAUAUUAAUGAUAGAUAAGAUAGUUUGCACAAUAUAUGCACAGGGAAUACACUGUAAGAGAAUACACGACUGCAGUCGGGUAUUUGCACAGAUACACGACUGCGGUCGGGUAUUUGGAAAUAAACAUAAUACGCUCUGUGUAAAAUACUCGACUGCAGUCGGGUAUUUGGAAAUAAACAUAAUACGCUCUGUGUAAAAUACUCGACUGCAGUCGGGUAUUUGCACAGAUACACGACUGCGGUCGGGUAUUUGGAAAUAAACAUAAUACGCUCUGUGUAAAAUACUCGACUGCAGUCGGGUAUUUGCACAGAUACACGACUGCGGUCGGGUAUUUGAAAAUAAACAUAAUAAGCUGUAACAAAAUACUCGACUGCGGUCGGGUAUUUGCAAAUAAACAUAAUAAGCUCUGUGACAAAAUACUCGACUGCAGUUGUGUAUUUGCACAAAUACACGACUGUAGUCGGGUAUUUACAAAUAAAAAUGACAAGCUCUCUGUGAAAAAAUACUCGACUGCAGUCGAGUAUUUGCACAGAUACGCGACUAUAGUUGAGUAUUUAGAAAUAAAUAUGACAAGCUCUCUGUGACAGUCGGGUAUUUACACAGAUACACGACUGUAGUCGAGUAUUUAGAAAUAAACAUGACCAGUUUUGUAACAGUCAAAAUACACUAUUGUACUGGGGUAUGUGCACAGAAUAAAAACUCUUUUCAAUCAUUCAUUAUAUUGAUGACACAAUCAAUAUAGAUUUUAAACAUAUCAAACUUCAAAUAAAUGAAACUAACUAUAGUCUGGUUGCCUAUCAAAUAACACAAAUCCAAUAGUUAUUGAAAUCGUAAAUAAGUCGUAAUACAAUAGAAGUUGUUUAACAUUCAUCAUAAAUUUUUGGCAUAUUCAACCCAAACACUCGGUCCAUAUUUUAUAAGCCUCUGGUCGCCUCCCUUCAAUACUUGUUCUUAGAAAGUCACACAAACAUGUUUAUUCAUCUGCGAAACAAAAAGGUAGAAAUUUAUCACUAAAUAUGAAAGAUAUUAAAAAAAUUAAAACAACAAAAAAUAACAAGUAUAUAAGGUUCAUAGUAGUCGUGUAACUUAUUAACAAUUAUAGUAUGUAAGUUUAUACGUACACGCUAGUAGUCGUGUAACUUAUUAACACACAUGACUAUAGUCUAGUAAUAGUAAAAGGAUAUAUAUAGUGAAAAAUAUAUAUUUUUUGAACCAAUAGAAUAAUAAGGUGUCAUAAUAAUUGAAUUUUUUUGCACAUUUUCACGACUACAGUCGUGUAAAUACAUACAUACACGACUGAUGUCGUGUAUGUCGGGUGCAGAAAAAAAAUUUGACAACAACUUCAGAUUUUAACGAAUGUAGUUAUAAAAUCCAUCAAAUAACAGUCAUAUGAUGCAAAUGUAAUAAAAAUAUGAGUUGCUUUAGUGUUUAUCACAAACCAAACAAAACCCUAAAAAUAAUAUAAUGUCAACAAAUUGAAUAGAUAGCCCAAAAUAAAAUAAAAAAAGUUUCAAAUACCUUAUUCAUGGGAUGAAUAAUACACCCAGCUGCAAACAAACUCAGUGCAUUAGCUGUUUGUGAGUGAUUUUGAGUGUGGUGUGAGUUUUUGUAUAGGUGAUAAAUACGUGAGAAGCAAAGAGUGUUGUGAGUUGUGUGUGUGUUUUAUAUUUUUCUUUAGGGAUAUUUUAGACAAUGUACCACAUAAAAAGGCAUACUUAAAUAAUUUUCAAACAUGAGGUAUAUUUAACUAAAUACACUACUUUUAAGGCAUAUUUAAUUAAAAACCCCUUUCUUUCAAUUUCUCUACUUUUUUUUGUUUUCCUUUAUGUCAUUUAGACCCCAAAAUUAGAUUUAUUAUAAUCAUAUUUUACCCAUUCACUAUUAACCCCUUUUAUUUUUAAAAUUGUCAAUAUUAAUGUAUUAGAAUAAUGUUAGAAAUCCCAAUUAUUAUCUCAAUGUUUAAAUCAUAACUAAUAUGAUAACUCAUCGGUUACUGCAACAUUAACUUAAUUAUUAAUGUUUAUCAUGAAAUGAUGAGAUUAUUAGUCAAGAAAGAAUUAGAAAAUAUCAAUGACUAAUACAAUGUGGCAAUUACAGUUGAAUAUUAAUACAAUAAUUAGGAUCCCAAAAGCUAGUGAAUGUAUUAUAAUAUAUGUGUGUUACACCACUUUAUGUCUCUCAAAUUCAAAUAAGUAAUUUCAUAAACCUGAUCUUUUAUUACAUUAAUUAGGAAUGCAUACAUGAACGAAAGAUGUGCAAUUUUUGUUCUAUUUUUCACUAUUAUUUACCAUUCAUCUGCUUACGUCACUUGAUUUUUUGCGAUUAAUAUGCUUAAAUGGAUCUCUUAGAUAUAAAUAAAAUAAACGAAAAGUCUUAAGAGAAAAAAAAAUGAGGACCGAAAUUAUUACACCUACGACAAAUUUGCCCGGAGAGCAAUAAACCAAACUUGCUUAGGAAAUACAAUGAUUAGUUAACAACUAAAAGAGCCUUCACCUUACAACUUAAAGCUUCUGUCAAGCAAACACCCAUUGAAAGCUGUUUAGGUCCGUUUUUAGAUCAUCGGAAAUUUGACAAAAUCAUAAAAACCCUCAUCUUAGAAAUUCCAAGCAUCAGGCAGUAGAUCAGGCAGUAGUCCGACUUUAUUGAUAUUGAGAGUAACACAAUAAAAGUUUCGUACAGAUUUUGCAAACGAAAAGCACAUAAUACACUUAACUAGGAGGAAAAAUUAAAGUGUACAUAUUACAAUCUGCUAACAAUAUACAAUAGUAUAUUGUAUAUACAAUAGUAUAUAUACAAAUUAACUAGGCACCAAUAAGAGUAUGAUACAACCAUUCUAAAUGAAAGAGAAUACAAUUGUUUUACAACUAUGUCACAUCAGGAGAUAUGUUAGCAGGAUUAAUCCAGAUACCUUCGAACCCAAUUAACGAACUCGAGUCAGAAACCAGGGGCCCCUAACUGAACCUUACAAUCUUGAAGGAAGAAGGAGACUUGUGGUCCAGAUAGGAGACUUACUAGAUCUCCUGCAAAAGAGAAUAUCUAUUGCUUUGAACCUCCAUUGAAAUUUCUUUUUCCCUUUUUCUUGUUUUGACUUGGAACUUUCCAGCAUCAUCUAUUUGAUCUUUUUUGAAGGUAAAAUAGCAAUCUAUAGGUUGCCAACAUGUUAUUCUGCCAAACCCCACCCCACCCCCCCGGGGGACAACAAAUCGACCUAGCACACACCUUUCUUCAUUGCCCACACCUACAGAACUAUAAUAAAAAGACUACGUUACUAUUGGGGUAGAGAAAAUAUACAGACUGUAUUAUUAUUACAUCGCAUUUUACUAAUUAACUAGUGCAAGACUUCUUUAGUGUCAAAUCAAGAACUAAUUAGAAAAGACAACUCAUGAUAAUACAGACCUUAAUAAGCAAUUGCUAACAACAUCCCAUAUACUCCUAUUUUAGCCUUCAUUAUCCUGGUAAAAACACAAAUAAGUCUUGCAAACGAACAUUAUAAGUAAAUUCAACAUUAAUUAAGAUUAGGUAUCUACUGCACCUAAUAGCAUGGUCAACCAUCUAGUUCCUGUAGCCUUCCAUGUACCUAUGUUAGUUACAUUUUACAUAUUAAGCCACGAAAACGAAGAAUCACAGCCUGGUAAAGAAAGACAUUAAUUAAUAGUUUUUGUUUAAAAAGUUCUCGUUUAGAUCUUUCCUAGUCAAUGAAUCAAUGUAAUUUAAAGAGAACUCUUCUAUUUCAAACAGUGUUAGAAGAUAUUUGCAAAGCCUAAAGAUAAUAUACAAGGACCAAGAUAUACACAGAUUGUUUCUUUAUGGGACUAAAGAGCUUUUUUAGAUGUUAAAACUGUUUCAAACUGUUUUUCUGGUUUGGUUUAACUAAGGAAGAGCUUGUGGAAGAUUAAAAAUGAUGUUUCCUGUUCUCUGUAGGAAGCUUUUAGGAGAUUUUUUGGGCUUUUUUGAAAGGUUGAAUUGUCAAAAAUACCUUCAUGUUAUUGUUUGCUAAAAGAUGUUAUGGACAACUAAACAACCAACAAUAUUUUGUUAAAAGCUCUACUAGUGUAGGAUCUACUUAAAGAAGCUAUACCAAACAGACUCUUAGACUGAAUAACUCGAUCUUAAGUUUGUAAAAUUGGGCUCAGAAUCUCCACUAACAACCCCGCUUCGGUGAGAAAGCCCAAGCCUGUUACUUUGUAUAACCUUAUUCUGUAUGUUUGAUUGCAGGAACUGGCCAAUCAUACCGACGAGGUGAGUGUGCAGCAUGACGUGCUUGACGGGAUGGUUACUUUCUAUGAUACAACUAAAGCUAGCCUCAACAUAUAUCAGGUGCCUGCUUGUUUUUACCUUAUAGAUACUAAUAUUGUUUAGACGUGUAAUCUCUCUCUCCAUUGAACGCUAGACGGCUCGUCUCAAGCCUUCUACGUACUUCAGAGUCCUUCAUUAGCUUUUUAUGUAUAAAGUUUUGAUCUUUUUCCUUCAUUUGCUUGAAGCUCAUUACUGCAGAUUUGUUUUACAGGUUGGUAGUGUAACAUUCGACUUGCUGUUGCUUCUAGUGUUGGGAUCGUAUUUAAUUGUGCUUUUCAGCUUUCUUGUCAUAACAACUUGGGUAUUACUCUUUCUCCAUAUCAAGCUUGAAGUUCUAAAUUUCAGUUUUAUCUUGUAUUUGAUUUUUUAUAAUUUCAUUGCAAACAGAUUAGAAUAGAAACUUCAAAAGUUCCAAGGUUUCCAACAGGGUCUUGAUGAUCUAAUCAGUUUGUUUCGAAGACCCCAUCCCGUAAGGUAAAAAAAGCUUGAUGCGGAAGCACGAUGCUGCACCUGUCCUGUGUAACUUUUUCAGGGAAGAUUUUCUCUGAUAACCGAGGUGGAAGUCUCCCAGGAGAAGUUGGCAAAUGAUAACUACGAAUGUGUUAUGGUUUAGCUCAGUGACACAAAGGACAUUUUUCAACAAUUGAUCCUAGGAAGAUGCCUAUAGCUUGUUGUGCCAAACAUAGAAAAUCAAAGAUGCGAAAAAAUUUUGUUGAGAUUCAUUUUAGUUAAAAUUGUUUUAUUGAGUGUUUAGCAAACGAGAAAAUGGAAGAAAGUUGAGAGAAUAAAACUGAAGCUAAGAGGAUUCUAGAACAUCUUUCAAUUUGUUCCGAAUACUCAAAAUGUGAAUACAUUGUUGUUUAUGUACACAGCUGAAGAUAACAGCUCAAUUGUAUAACUAACUACUACUUAGCAAUUUACUAACUGUAACUAAUCAAACUAAAUCUUCACGUGCACUGGUAAUCACAUAACCACUAGGUGCCAGCUGGACAGCCAAGUCAUCAACCUUUAACCGUGUGCCAUAGCUGCUGCAAUCCUCUGCUUUAUCUUCUGUUUUGCAUACUGUACAGCAAGCAUGAUGAGCUUCCUUAACAAUUUUUUUUGGGGCAGAGAAUAAUGCUUAUGUGAUUUCUGAACUUGGGGAUUAUGGCGGAUAGAGGCACUAAGGCAAGAGAAAUGUCUGAAUUAUCGAAACAAGAUGAAUUAUUUUUUGUUUAUCGCAGCAGACGAUCUAUGAGCGGAAUUUCUUACAACAAAAGAUGUGUGUCCACCGGCUUGUAUUUAGUCUCGUAAUGCAUUAUAUAUAUGCACGCACACACAGUUUGAGAAGAAUCAGACCAUUGAUUUUCUUUUGAGCCAAUCAACAGAAUGUACAUUUCUUCUAAGAUCUUGUAACCGAAACCGCAGUUUUUCAAGUUUGAUGCAUCUGGGAAAAUUGUCAGAUGGAAUAAAACCACCAUGCGCCAAGGUACCAAUGAUGUUUCUUCCAGCUUAUGAGCACUUCAAAUCAACUUAGGUCAUAUUUACACAAGGGCGCACAUGAUAUCAAUCUAAUGGCAAUUAUAUCAUCUAAAAUCCAAAACCAAGAGUCUCCCAUUUUCCCGUUCUCUACUCUGUUCAUAUUAUCAUAACUUCGAAGAUUGCAAGGCAGCCGCAGAUCCAGCGCAAUCUCUCAGAUCUUUGCUCCUUCCUCAUUGCAGUUAGUCAAAAGAUAAACAGAGGUGUCCCAUGUCAACAAGAAGGUAAUCAUAAAAGAACAACAGAAUUGUAAAACAUAUUUUGUUAUAGAUGAAAUGAUAUGAGCAUCCAUGUAUCUAUCCAGCAUUUAGGACACCGCAAUAUAUUCAUAUGAAACGUAAAACGAUUUAAUAUCAAUUUUCUUAAGGAGACUGAGCAGGUUGUCUCGCAAGUGGCGCAUUAGUAUUGUAACGUCUGUGGGGUCUUACAUUAUCCACAAAAAUAACUCGUCCAUCUAGUAAAUUAGAGAAAAAUGAUGCAAUUUCACCUUCCCACUCAUGUCUGCCAAGGCUUUUUGGGCUUCCUCUUCUGUACGGAAAGUCACAUACCCGUAACCUUUUGAUCUGUUCUUACCUUUAUCCAUUAUUAUGGUAGCUGCAAAAAGAAAAGAAUCGGAUAUUAGAAAACAGUGAAGAGGGAACAGGGGUUGAGACUUAAAAUAGAAAUAGACCAAACCCUCAGUGACUUGGCCAAAUUGUGAAAAAGCAUCAGCUAACAUUCCUUUAGUGGUUGAGAAAGAUACGCCUGCAAAGGAUGCCAGUUAAUUUUAUCAUAAUUAGAUGGUAAGAUUGCAAAUUCUGCAGCCAAAGGCAGUACGCAACUGAAUGAAGGAAAUCAAAUAUGAACAUGUUUUCAAUCUCAAAAUAUGAAGAGUAGCAGAAGUAACUUGUGAAACAGUUAUAAGUUCAAGGGAAUUAGAUGAUGGCAUGGUUGAAUUUUAUAAAUAUUUGAUAUUUUGGACCGAACAGGGCAAACAGAUGGAUCCAGAUAAUUAAGAAAAACAUCAAUUCCAUGCAACCAAAUUAGUGUGGACAAUGCAAUUGCCUUUCCCUAUGAGAGUAGAGGGCCUAAAUACAAGCAAAAACCUACUGAUGCAUCUACAGAAGCUCACAUUCACUAGCUGCAUGAUUAAAUCACUGGAUGGUCUCACUAUGCAGUAAAGAAUGAAAUAAUUAACGACCUGAUAAGCUGCAAGGUGAAGAAAAUAUUCACCAGAAAAGUUCAAAAUCAAAUCAACGUGGCUUUGAUUAUGGAAAAAAUGAAACAAUAUGUAGUGAAUGAAUCUUCUCGUAACUAUGCAAGACACAAUCACUUCCCAGGAUCUCAGAUAUAGAUUUACCAAGUUGCACAGAUUGAAGAACGAAUCCAGAAAGAAUCAAUUUAAGACAAGAAUUAAGAGAACUGAAAACAAUAGAAACAAACACAGACAACACAAGAAUCAAUUACGUGGUUCGGUUGCACCAAGGAGGCACAACCUACAUCCACGGGAGAUGCUUUCUGGAGAGCUUUUAUUGAAUAACAAUGGAGGAUCUUUUACGGGGCUUUUACUUAAGAUUACAGAGAACUCAUCUUUCACAUUCUCUGAUAUCUCUCUCUCUCUUAACACGGUUACACACCCGCUCAGCUCACAAACUGAACUACAAGAGCAACGAAUCAGCUAAAUCCAGAUUGCACAGCUUGUUGACACGUUGAGUAACAAACUUAACGAACUGAAUCAAGUUGCCUCGCACGGCUAUCACGUGCAUCACUUAAAGCUUUCCCUUAAACGACAAAGAUGAACUGCCGUUUCAAGCUUAAGAAACAAGUGAUUACACACGUGCUUCAGCCCGUGACUUUUAAGUGCUCUUAUCUUAUAUUGCCAAAACGCUGCCGUUUAGAGCUGAUGAGUUUGAUUCACCAGCAAGCCUCACACAAUAUCAGUUGAGCAACACUAUAAAAUUAUUCAAAGAAAUCUCUAGGUCAGUAUCCAAAUAUGUGGCUCCGUCAGAAGCAGAAAAGUUCAAAACCAAAGUAAGAGGUGAGCAGAAGCGGCCCAGUUUAGUUAUAUGCCAUGCAUGCGAUCAAAAUUGAAUGGUUAAAUUCAGUUGUUUCCAAUAAUUUUAUGUUGUAUCUUUUUUAAGAAUAAAGAAAACUUGCAUUAAAACUAAAAGUAGGGUAAUACCUGAUUUUCUAAAUAGAUUGCAAUGUAAUUUUGAAAAAUAAAACAAUAAUUUACGAAAUGGUUAUAACAUUAUUUUAAUUUUUUUUUCAAAAAGGAAAAACAACAAAAAUAAGAAAUAAAGAAUGAGGGCUACAAACUUUUUAUCUUAAACGGCCGUUAGAUUAUUUGUAAAUGAAAGCAACGGUCAGAUAUUGGUGGCUUAUGGAAACAGGUAAUCAUAAGGACUACGAGUUUUUUUUUUUUUUUUUUGUUCCAUUGAUAUAUAACAAUCGGGAUUCUAUUAAUAUUUACAAUUAGAAUUUUAUCUAACUAUCUUUGAUAAUUCUAAACUAGUACAACCCAAAUUCCUAUUCUCAUAUAAUAUGAAAGAGAGAUAUAUAUUCUUUUCCUCUAUUAACGAAGAGACAUUUUUACUUCUAUCCAAUUUAACUGGAACGAGAAUUAAAUCCUUUCAAUAGUCAGGACUCAGACCUCAUACACGCUAAUUUGAGAGUGUGAGGUGUGACAAUGGGCCAAGAGACCAUUGACAAGUACAAAAGAGUGAUUGCAAUUAAUUCAAACCGCUACACACGCUAAAUUAAGGGUCCAUUUUUGUUUAUUUCAUUGCAAAGUAGUUUGCACAAUUAAUUCAAACCGCUACACACACUAUUGCAUCUUUUGAAAAAGAAAAAUGGAAUAGUUUGAAUUGCCCAUGACAAGAAUGCUUGUGUUGUGAAAAGAAAUCCAAUGGUUUGUAAAUGGGUUGAAUUUUUCGCUUACUUCAAUGACUUGCUUAUGCCCAAUAUAUUACUUUGCACAGUAGUAUUUGGGAUCCUAACAAUCAACUCUUAAUUUGGUCCCAAUAUAUUACUUUAUGAAUGCUUGUGCUGUUUUUUUAAUAUAAAAUAAUUUAUUUAACUAAUCAUAGAAAUAAGAGAGAAAAGGGGGCAUUUGUUGACUCAAAGUCAAUUACAAAUAUUCCAUGCCUAACUUCCACGCACCCUAAAACGGUUUGAUUUGCUUUCAUGCGUUCAUGAAUUUCCAUGAAAGAGAGUGCCUCCCGUCUCUUUACGGACAGUGACUCCAAUUAUGUUAGCGUGACAAAUACAUAACGUUAUUACAUACAAGAAUAAGUUUUUGGAGCCGAGACUUGAGGGAGGUUCUAUCUAAUUCUAAAGAUUGUAACCAAAUCAUUAUCCCCAAUUUUUUUCAGUUAAAUAAAAUAAAAUUUAUGCUUAAAUAUAAAUAAUACUUUGGACAUUCUUGAUAUUUGUCCUUUUAAGAUAAACAGCAACCCAAUUAUCUAUUUGUUUGUCUUUUUUUUUUAGUAACAGUUUGUUAGCAUAAAUAUUUACCUGUGAAGUCGAGGAGGAGAAAAUAUUAGAAAAAUAAAAAGAAAAAAAAAUUAAGGGAGAUAGAAUCAGAUUUUCUUUUUUGAGCAAAGAACAUACGUAAAAAGAUAUUAAAUCUAUUAAGUCUAAUUGUCUAUAACAGUAAAUUGCAUAACGAAUAAUUUAUCAGCGUAAAAUAAAUUUUAUUAUGUUAUGAGUGUUCUGAUUAUUUUCUAGAGUACGAAUUGUCCCAUCGUAAAACAAACGACGAGAAAUAUAACCUUUGCGGUGGUCUUUUACCGUGUCGUUGUAAAAAGGUUAGUAGUUGAGUACUAUUAGUAAUUUAAUGCACCAAUAUUCUUUCUUUGUCUUAUGAAAUUUUUUCGUUAUCCAAGAGUUUUAAUUGAAAUACUUGGCUUCCAGUUAUUUUGUAAAGCUGUUGAAAACUACCACAGUAAUUUUUAUUUGAGGGCCAAUGUUUAGCGAUUUGGGGUCAAUUCAAAGUCAACUAACGUGUAAAACAUGAUUUCCUUUCAUGAACUUCCAAGAAAGAAAGGAGACCAUUCACCUUCUUCGUGACAACAAAUGAUGUUGAUAUGACAAAUACAAACGCUAUUACAGUAUAAGACCGAGACUUGAUAAAUUGUUAAAUUACAUGUCAUUUUCUUGUUGACUAAAUUGGAAGAAAAAAAUUAAAAUAAAAUAAAAUUGUAAUCAGGGUGAUGUGUGGAAUAUAUUGAAAUAAAUAAAUGGAGAAGAGAAAUUCGUUGAUCAAUAUUCAAGAACUCAUCCAAAGUGACCGUUAAAGUCUGGAGGUUCCGUAUGAUUAGCAUUUAUUUUUAAUUUUUUGGCUUAACAUCAUAUGUAGUCAUUGGUCGUGUGAUCUAGGACAGGUUUAGAAAUCUUUUUUUUUAACUUCCGUAUUCUUAUUAUUUAAUUAGUUAUAGGAUUUUUUAGUAUUUGAGUAGUGAUCGCAUGUCUCCUAAUCUAAAAAUAUGUUUCUACGAGUACAAAUAAAAACUAAGAUUUUAACAACCUUUUAUACUAAACCCUAAAAAUACAUGAAUUUAUCAAAAUAAAUAAAUUUGAAUUGGUAUGCCAUAAUAAAAAUUUUACUUGCCAAAACAAAUUAAAAAAAUGUGACGCUUAAAUCAAAUGUUGACAAAAAUAGACAAAAAUCCAACAAGAAUCUCAAAAAUAAGAAAGAUAUCUUCAAACAAAAAUAAAAGCGCUCAAGAGAAAUUUGGCGACGAUCUGCUAAUCCAUAUUAAAAAUGUCACUUUGACUCACACUCUUUUCCUCGAGAACUUCAGAAUGAUAUAUUAUGAGCCUAAGACAAAUAGCUAUUGCUCAAGUUAUGGCCUUAUGAAUACAUCUUACUCAAUGGCCAUCCUAAAUCAAUAGAGCAACUUGGACGUGUCGAACAUGUUUGCAUUCAAAUUUAGGUAAAAAUCUAUUCUUAUUGAAGGUAUAUAUAGGUGCCUGUGAAGUCUCAUACCGGAUAUAAUGUGAAAGCAAAUCAUGAAUUUAAUCAUUCAGCCAAUUAUUAGUGUGUACGUAUGGUAGGGAUGGCAAAAACCCCGACCGUAGGUAUAGUAUUACCCAGAUUUGGCCUAAUCAUUUUUUUUUAACACCUAGACUUUUUCAAUCAGAGCUUAAAAACCUAUAAUAUUAUAUAUAUUUUUAAUUUAUUUUAUAAUUUUAUAUUUUCAAAUUUUAUUUUAAUAAAAUUAGACUUGAAAAUAUGAAUUUUAAAUAUUUAAAACUUUAAAUAUAGAUAAUAAGUGGACCAAAUGAACAAAAUAAUAGAUAUUUUAUAAUAUUCUUCAUAAAAAUCCAAGUUUUGAGCUGGCCCAUAAGCUUGUGUGGUGAAGUCUGGGAACCCGCGUUGCCCAAGGUUCCGUCAGAAUCCAGGCUGUGCAGAUAUUUAUGACAUCCCAUAUGGACGGAGAGGAAAUAUUUUCAGUUGACUGAAUUAAAUAAAAAUAUAUUACAAUCAUAUUAUAUAUUAACAGAAAAAAUAAAAAGAAAUGAAGAAAAACGUAUGCAAGACUUAGAGAAGUCAAUUAAAAGCUGGGAGUAUCAUCAGUUCAAUUGGUUAUAAAUAGCGUAGAGCCAUCCUCUCGUUGUUGCAGAACUGAAGGAAAGAGAGACAUAAAGAGUGUGUGUAGGUGAUUAUAAUUAAGAAGAUAUAAUGUGUGGUUCAAAAAGAGUGUGGGUGAGUGAGUUGAUUUUCAUAUUAUUAGUAGUAAAAGGGUGGUGGAGUGAAGGAUGUUUGGAGCAAGAGAGGUCUGCUCUCCUCCAACUCAAACAUUUCUUCAAUGGUGAUCAACGUCUUCAAAACUGGGUAGACGCAGGAGAUGAUGAGAAUUAUUCAGAUUGUUGUCAGUGGGAAGGGGUUGAGUGUAAUAACACCACUGGCAGAGUGAUUGAAUUACAUCUAGGAUAUACUCGGAAUUGGGAAUCAGCAGAGUGGUAUAUGAAUGCCUCUCUCUUUACUUCCUUUCAACAAUUAGAGUCUCUUGAUCUAAGUUGGAACAAUAUAGCUGGUUGUGUUGAAAAUGAAGGUCCUUAAUUUACUCUAUUUUAGUUCUUCCUCGUAAUUUCUUACAUUUAUCUGAUCCCUUUGGGCUUUUGUUUAAUUUGUACAUGAUACAAUAACAUUUUUUUUAGUUUUUAUUUUUUAUUUUUUGGCAGGUCUAGAGAGGCUAUCAAGGUUGAACAACUUGAAGUUUCUUUAUUUAGACGAUAACCACUUCAACAACAGCAUCUUUUCAUCUCUAGGUGGUCUUUCAUCACUCAGACGCUUAUCAUUGGUUGAUAAUAGAUUGAAUGGAAGUAUUGAUAUUAAAGGUAAGCAAGCUUCAUCCCUUCUCCCGUGUCCCAUCUUUUGUGGAUCUUAUUUCAUUGACCGGCUGGAAGUAUUGAUAUAAGAUCUGGCUAAACUCUUGCUAGUUUAAGCUUCAAGGAUUUAAAUAUUAUAAAAAUAGGUUUAAGAAAUUAUCAAUAUAUGCAAUUUUCAAUGCUUCUCAUAAUCAGACACAAUUCAAUCUAAUUAUUUUGUAUGUCCUGUCUUCAAAAGUAAAGAAUUGUACACUAAAUGGAAAUCGACAUCGUAGCUUUUUAUUUUUUCUAAUGCUCUUUUUUCGUUAACAAGUUUAUAUCCUAAGAGGGAUUGGAUUAAAAAAAAAAAAAAGUUUUGAUGUUCAAGGUAGGCCAUAAUAACCUGCAUGUUAUUUGUCUGCCUGUAUCUAAAUUUGUGCACUGAAUUUAGUAUUUUGGUUAUUGUGAAGGGAUCAGAUAUUGGCUUCCAUAGACCAACUUGUAUUUAGUUAAUUAAUUAAUUAACUACAUUUAGUAUUUAACAAAUUAAAAUUUAGUGUUUAAUCUAUUUUAAUUUUUUUAAGAAAAAAGAAAAAGAUAUAGCAGUAGGUAAAGCUAAAAUAAAUUUUAAUUCCUUACAAAUUUAAAUUCAUGGUUGUCAGCUAAAUAUACUUGCUUAAAGCCACUUAGUCGAGCCCUUUGAGAGCUGCUUUAAAUUUUUCGGAUUAGCCAUAUUCUUUUCUUAUUAAUAAAAAUCUUUUCGUUGAGAUUUAACAUAAAAAAGGAGAAAAUAAGUUAUUUAAUUAACUCUGUUUUAAGUGUUGGAAUAAAUACAGGACUGGAUUCCUUGAGUAACUUGGAGGAGAUGGACAUGAGCGACAAUGCAAUCGAAAAUCUAGUGGUUCCUAAAGGUAUACAAAAUGUUCAAAUAUUAAUAAUUUGGAGGACAAUUUAAUUGAUUUGAUUAGGGAAUGCCCAAUGACACUUACCCAAAAUAAUUUAAUCCGAAAUUGUAUCUCAAAUAGAUUACAGAGGUUUGAGGAAGUUGAAUACCUUUUAUUUGGAAGCAAGGUGUUGCAAUCAAUAAAGAAAUUCGUUGGUAAAUAUUCAAGGACUCAUCCAAAGUGAUCAUUAAAGUCUAGAGGUUUGCUCUCCUCCAAUUCAAACAUUUCUUCAAUGAUGAUCAACGUCUUCAAAACUGGGUAGACGCGGGAGAUGAUGAGAAUUAUUCAGAUUGUUUUCAGUGGGAAGGGGUUGAGUGCAACAACACCACUGGCAGAGUGAUUAAAUUAUAUCUAGGAUAUGCUCGGAAUUGGGAAUCAGCAGAGUGGCAUAUGAAUGCUUCUCUGUUUACUCCCUUUCAACAAUUAGAGUCUCUUCAUCUAAUUGGGAACAAUAUAGCCGAUUGUGUUGAAAAUGAAGGUCCUUAAUUUACUCUAUUUUAAUUCUUCCUCAUAAUUUCUUACAUUAAUCUGAUCCCUUUUGGCUUUUGUUUAAUUUGUAGGUGAUACAAUAAAAUUAUUUUUUAUUUUUUGUCAGGUCUAGAGAGGUUAUCAAAGUUGAACAACUUGAAGUUUCUUCGUUUAGAAUCUAACUACUUCAACAACAACAUCUUCUCAUCUCUAGGCGGUCUUUCAUCACUCAGAAACUUAUCAUUGGCUAGUAAUAAAUUGAAUGGAAGUAUUGAUAUUAAAGGUAAGCAAGCUUCAUCCCUUCUCCCAUGUCCCAUCUUUGUGGAUCUUAUUUCAUCGACCAGCUGGAAGUAUUGAUACGAGAUCUAGCUAGACUCUUGCUAGUUUAGGCUUCAAGGCUUUGAAUAUUAUAAAAAUAGGAUUAAGAAAUCAUCAAUAUAUGCAAUUUUCAAUGCUUCUCAUAAUCAGACAGAAUUCAAUCUAAUUAUUUUGUAUGUCCUGUCUUCAAAGGUAAAGAAUUGUACACUAAAUGGAAAUCGACAUUGUAGCUUUUUAUUUUUUUCUAAUGCUCUUUCUUCGUUAACGAGUUUAUAUCCUACGAGGGAUUGGAUUAAAAAAAAAAAAAGUUUUGAUGUUCAAGGUAAGCCAAAAUAACAUGCAUCUUAUUUAUCUGCCAAUAUCUAAAUUUGUGCAUUGAAUUUAGUAUUUUGUUUAGUGUGAAGAGAUCAUUUAUUGGCUUCCAAAAACCAACUUGUAUUUACUUAAUUAAUUAAUUAAUUAACACCAUUUAGUAUUUAACAAAUUAAAAUUUCGUGUUUAAUUUGUUUAAUUUUUUAUUUUUUGAAACAAGAAUAAGGUAUAGAAGUAGGUAAAGUUGAAAUAAAUUUUUAUUCCUUACAAAUUUAAAUUCGCCAUUGUCAGCCAAAUAUACCUACUUAAAACCACUCAAUCAGGCCCUUGGCAUCUGUUUUUUAGGUUUUUCUAAUUAGCCGUAUACUUUUUUGCUUAUUAAUAAAAUUCUUUUGCACCAAGAUUUAAAAAUAAAGGAGGAGAAAAUAAGUUAUUUAAUUAACCUUGUUUUAAGUGUUGGCAUAAAUACAGGACUGGAUUCCUUGAGCAACUUGGAGGAGCUGGACAUGAGCUUCAAUGCAAUCGACAAUCUAGUUGUUCCUAAAGGUAUACAAAACGUUCAAAUAUUGAUAAUUUGGAGGGCGGUUUAAGAGAUUUGAUUAGGGAAUGCCCAAUGACUUACCCAAAAUAAUUUAAUCCGAAAUUAUAUCCCAAACAGAUUACAAAGGUUUAAGGAAGUUGAAUACCCUUCAUUUAGGGGGAAGGGAAAAUGCAAUGAUAGAUGGAAGACAGGUGUUGCACUCAAUAGGAUCACUGUCGUCCCUCAAAACACUUUACCUUUUGUAUACCAAUUUUAUGGGAACAGUAGUUAAUCAAGGUAAGUAAAUCUUUUAUCUCGAAAAUAAUUGAAUUAAUAUAUAUAGCUAAAAUUUAUUGUUUCUACUUCUUUCUAAAUAGAAUUGCACAAUUUCACCAACUUGGAAGAAUUGAUAUUGCUCGAGUCUUAUCUCCAUGUAAGCCAGCUUCUACAAAGUAUCGCAUCAUUCACUUCGUUAAAGUAUUUGUCAAUGCAACAUAGUGUACUCAAGGGUGCCCUGCAUGGUCAAGGUAAAUUACGGGUAUAUGAAGCGUUUGUGAUAUUAAUUCGAUGAUAAUUCUUUCUUUUCAAGUUAAGUUUUUCUUGUAAAAUAAUUUUUUUCUUUUUAAUUUUAUAUAUUUUCACUGUCCAAUAGUUCUAUCUUCUCUAAUUUGCUGGAUUCUUGAUUAAGGUUAAUGAAAUUUUAGUUCUGUUAUGUUAAGAAUAUUUCGAUCGCUUAAAAGAGUAAAGAAAAAUAAGUAAAUUAACCCAAAAAAAAAAGAAAAGAAUAGGACCGGAUUAUCCUUAUUCCCUUGCAUUAUGUGAUCAAUAUCAAAAUUAUAACCAUUUCUUGUUUAUUGCUUGUAGAUUUUCGUAAAUUCAAGAAUUUGGAACGUCUGGACAUGGGUGGGGCGCAGGUUGACGUCAACACCAAUUUUCUUCAAAUUGUCGGCGAAUCGAUGCCUUCUCUUAAGUUUUUAUCACUGACAUAUUCAAGUCUUAAUAAAAACACCAUUCUUGAUCAAGGUUAAUUAAUGAUUCUCCGUCUCCCUCUCUCGCAUCAUAACUAAAUUUAAUUGAAAAUAUCUAUAAUGUGAGCUAUUUAUAAACUUAAUGAAAGAUGAUAAGGAGCCAUAAUAAUGACAAAAACAACUGUAAAAUUUUACAGUUAUUUUGUUGCCAUUACGUCAGAUUCUACUGUUCAACUAUCAGUGAUCAAACUUAAUUUUUAAUAUGUACUUUAAAGAUUUUAUGCAAUUAUUUAUCUAUGUGUACUGAAGGAUGAAUUAUAUAUUUUUCAGGACUUUGUCAGUUAGUGCAUCUGUACGAGUUAGACAUCGGCCGUAACGAUUUGAGAGGUAGCUUGCCAUGGUGCUUGGCAAACAUGACAUCCCUUCAAGUGUUAGAUGCCUCUUCUAAUCAACUUACUGGAAACAUCUCCCCAGGCCUUUGUGAGUUGGUGCUUCUGAGAGAGUUAUACAUUGAUAACAAUGAUUUAAGAGGUAGCUUGCCUUUGUGCUUGGCAAAUUUGACUUCCCUUCGAGUAUUAGAUGUCUCUUACAAUCAACUUACUGAAAACAUCUCAUCUUCCCUCAUGCAUCUAAUAUCUAUAGAAAAGCUCAUACUUUCAAAUAAUCACUUCUUCCAAAUCCCUAUUUCACUUGAACCACUUUUCAAUCUCUCAAAACUCAAGACUUUCGAUGGUGAAAUAUGCACAGAAACUGAGUCACAUUAUAAUUCUUUGACCCCAAAAUUCCAACUGACUUCUAUCUCACUGUCUGGUUACAUAGAUGGUGGCACAUUUCCUAAAUUCUUGUACCAUCAGCAUGACUUGAAGAAUGCUGAUCUCUCACACCUUAACUUGAGUGGAAAAUUUCCAAAUUGGUUGGUAGAAAACAAUACGAACUUAGAGACGCUUCUUCUUGCCAACAACUCUCUUUUUGGGUCAUUUCGGAUGCCAAUUCAUUCCCACCAGAAAUUGACAAUAGUGGAUGUCUCCAACAAUUUCUUUCAAGGCCAUAUUCCGGUGGAAAUCGGAACAUAUCUGCCAGGUUUAAUGGAUUUAAACUUAUCUAGAAAUGCUUUCAACAGUAGCAUUCCCUCUUCAUUUGCUGAUAUGAAAAUGUUGAAAAGGUUGGACAUAUCCUACAAUCAGUUGACUGGUGAAAUCCCUGAGCGCAUGGCCACGGGUUGCUUCUCUUUGGAAAUUCUUGCAUUGUCAAACAACAGUUUGCAAGGUCAUAUAUUCUCUAAAAAAUUUAACUUGACAAAUUUAAUGAGGUUGCAGUUGGAUGGUAAUAAUUUCACUGGAGAGAUCCCAGAAAGCUUAUCUAAGUGCCGUUUGUUAGGAGGACUAUAUCUGAGUGAUAAUCAUCUCUUUGGUAAGAUUCCAAGAUGGUUGGGUAAUUUUUCAGCUUUAGAAGAUAUUAUAAUGCCCAAUAACAAUCUUGAAGGACCAAUACCAAUCGAGUUUUGUCAGCUUGAUUCUCUGACGAUUUUAGACCUUUCAAACAAUGCUAUUUUCGGAACCUUACCAUCUUGUUUUAGUCCAUCAUUUAUCGAACAAGUUCAUUUGUCAAAAAACAAGAUAGAAGGACGGCUGGAAAGUAUAAUCCAUGACAGCCCUUAUUUGGUGACAUUAGAUCUUAGUUAUAACCGCUUCCACGGAAGUAUUCCAAAUUGGAUUGACAUACUUUUUCAGUUAAGCUACCUUCUUCUAGGUAAUAAUUAUAUUGAAGGAGAAAUACCAGUUGAAUUAUGCCAGUUGAAGGAAGUGCAGUUGAUUGAUCUUUCUCAUAAUAAUCUAUCUGGUCAUAUUCCUCCUUGCUUGGUUAACACUGCACUCAGUGAGGCAGUAGCUCCAACUUCUAGUUCGUGUGGUCGAGCGUCUGGCUAUGCACGUCCAUGUGAGAAAAAUACAAGUGGACCUCCGAUGGGAAAGGAAGAAACUGUACAGUUCACAACAAAGAAGAUGUCCUACUAUUAUCAAGGAAGAAUUUUGACGAGUAUGUCUGGGAUUGAUCUUUCUUGUAACAAACUGAUAGGUGAAAUUCCUACUCAAAUUGGAUAUCUUACUAGGAUUCAUGCACUAAAUCUAUCUCAUAACAAUUUGACGGGCACAAUCCCGACAACAUUUUCAAACCUGAAGCAAAUUGAAAGCUUGGACCUCUCCUACAACCUAUUGCAUGGGAAAAUCCCUCCUCAACUAGUUGCGCUAAAUACAUUGGCAGUCUUCAGAGUAGCAUACAAUAACUUAUCAGGUAAAAUUCCAGAUAGAAUUGCACAAUUUUCAACUUUUGAGGAAGAUAACUAUGAGGGGAAUCCUUUUCUUUGUGGAUUGCCACUGUCUAAAAGUUGCAAUGAUAGUGGAUUAUCAGCAGUGACACCGGAAGCUUACAUUGAAGAUGAAGAAGGUGAUUGUUUCAUUGACACGAGCAGUUUCCUGAUCACUUUUACAGUAUCUUAUGGAAUUGUUAUAAUAGGAAUUAUUGGAGUUUUGUACAUAAACCCCUAUUGGCGACGAAGAUGGUUUUACCUUGUUGAAGUAUGUAUGAUCUCUUGCUACUAUUUUGUAGUAGAUAAUCUUAUUCCUAGAAGAUUCUAUCGUGGAUGGAUGUAAUUUCCUUACAUUACAACUUAUAUGUAAUUUUUAAAGAAUUUUCUUUUGCAUGCAUGGAAUAGCAACUCAAUAAAAGUAUUUGAUGCAAAUUGUCCAAGAACAACUUAGUAAUUUCAUUGCAACUAUUCGGUUGUAUAUAUACAGUUAAUGAAAUUUUUAACCAUUCGCAGAAUACCCUUAGGAAUUUCUUUAGAUGGCGGCCAAAAAGAGAUUCGGGGCUCUACACGGUCUGGAUGAAGAUUAACUUAAUGCCCUCUGGAUUAUGUGUAAGUUCUCUUUUAAAUUUAAGGGUUGAGAUUUCAGGUCCGGAUGAAAGUUGAAUGCAGGUGACGAGACUUCACUGGGACAAACUUAAAAUAAAAAAUUAUAGUCCACAAUAAGUGUAAUACCCUACCCCUGGUUUUUGACCAUGCUGACCACCCAUAUAUAUAUAUAUAUAUAUAUAUAUAGAGAGAGAGAGAGAAGUAAAGAGAGAAGAGACGAGAGAGAGAGUGAAAGGAGUUGACCCGAGUUUGACCCGAAUCCGACCCGGAACCCGCGACUUUGACCCAGCGAUUUCUCCCAUUUCCGGCCACCGUUCCGGGCAAGCUUGGUACCGAUUCGAAGCUUGAGAGACGAGCUACGUGUCCAUGCCAUCCUUGCCGCCGGAAAACGAUCGGAAAGCCACCGAUCGAAGCUUUGAAGUUCCGCGGAAUCACCGGCUCGAUUCGCCGGUUUCCGGUGAAGCCAUCACUUGGGUUUGGUCCUUACCUUGCCCUCUGCCAUUUCCGACUAACCACUGACGCCGGGGACAUCGUUUUAUCGGUGAUCAGCCGUUAGAGGAUUCACGACUUCGGGAGCUCGAUUCGGAGCCAUCGCCGCGCGUGGGAGGUCACCACCGCCAUCAUUGGACUCAGCGUGGCUUGAACUUUCAGUUCUGAGCUUCCCGUCGCCGUCGGAUGAAUUCCGGUGACCGUUGACCGGCAAGGGUAUUUCGGUGAUUUCACAGUCUAAGGGCAAUUUUGUAAUUUCAGAUUUUGUGGGUAUUUUCGUAAUUGCAUUGAUUGAGGAUAAAGUUGGUAAUUUAUGAUUUUGAGGUUAAUUUGGUAAUUUUGAUAUGGGGGUAUUUUGGUAAUAUUGAAUUCAAGGGUAUUUUGGUAAAUUUUGUAAUUUGAGGGUAAAUAUGUAAUUUGUGGAAUCAAUGGAUAAUUGGUAAUUUUAAGUGAGGGCAGUGAGGUAAUUUGAGAUUACGAUGGUAACUCGGUAAUUUAAGUCGUAAAGGAUAUUUUGGUAAUUUUACGUUCCGAGGGUAAUUUCGUAAUUUCUGACAUUGUGGUUAUUUUUGUGAUCUGAAUUGAGGACUAUUUAGUAAUUGAAGAUUAUGAGGAUAAGUUGGUAAAAUAAUGAUGUUGGGGGCAUUUUGGUAAUUUUGGCAUGUAGGGGUAUUUCGGUAAUUUUGUGCAUGCGGGAAUAGUUUAUUGUUAAUAGAUAUUCGUUUCGAGAUUUAUUAUAUAAAAUUGGUUGUAUUUCAAUUUACGGAAAAUGAUUAUGGCGUUUCCUUGAUUAGGAGGAUUCGCGAACGAGAAUCAACCCGCGGACGUUGUUGGCACCAAAUCUGGAUAUUGUCACUCUGAGUGGAAUAUACGAAACUUAUUUUUAGAGUUAAUUAUGAUAGUAAAGCAUGUUUGCGGAAUAAGUAUUUUAAAUGUUCUGAUUUAAUGAUUUCUUGAAAUGGAUUUAAUGUGAUUUCCUCGAAAUGGAUUUAAUGUGAUUUCCUCGAAAUAGAUUUUAUUCAUGUGUUGAUAUUUUAUUAAAGUGUUUGGUCAAUGAUUUUGCGUAUCCAUUUUGAAUAACGCAUGAUAUUAUUUGAAAAAUAAGAAAAGUGGAUUCAAAUGUGGUAUGAUUUAAAAUAUGGUUAAGAGGAUUGUUUUUGAAAUCAUUAGACAGUACCCUUCCCCUCCAGAUACAGUGAUAUAAAUGAUAUGAGAUGAGAGGCCUUUGGGGUUCGUCUGAACACACAUAGAGGCUUUGGGCCGUGUGUUUGAGCGUUUUUGCCUUUAUAUGCAUGCAGUACAGAUAUUGAGUUACAGUGAUACAGAUAUGGGCUACAGACAUAUAUUGAGUACAGUGAUACGGAUAUGGGAUACAGAUCAGUUAUUGAGAUUCAGAGAUACAGUGAUACAGAUAUGAGAUACAGACAGUUGAGAUACAGAUGAGAUACAGGCCUUUGGGGCCCGUCUGAGUACACACAGAGGCUUUGGGCCGUGUGCUUGGGCGCUAUUGUCCUUUGGGGACUAGAUUAUGCAUGCACAGAUAUGAUGAGAUAUGAAAUAGUAUUUCCCUAUUUAUCCGUGUAGCUCUGGGGUGUGACGUUACCCAGAUAGUACGUCAUUGCCCGUCCGUUGAGGUCCGUAUAUGACGAGAUUAUUUCCCUGGGUACUUGUUUGAUGAUAGUUUUGGUAUUUAGUAUUUGAUAUGAUAAGUAUGGGUAAUUUUUAAAAACCUCCCCUGAGGUUUGAGGCUGUUGCAAGUAGAUGGUGAAAAUCAUUUUAUUUGUAAAAGACCCCCUACCGUCAGUUAAAAUUUUUAUUGACUAACUGUUGACUUUAAAAAGACAAUAUUACCGCCAAUAAUAGUUUACGUCAGUUAAAAUUUCCUUAAAAUCUUAAAAAAAUAAAAUUACAAACUUAAAAAAAUUAUAUUUUUAUAUCAAAUAAUUAAGAUUUGUAAUUUUAUUACAAACUUUAAAAAAUUACAUUUUUAUAUCAAAUAAUUAAGAUUUGUAAUUUUAUUACAAACUUAAAAAAAAUUAUUUUAAGAUUUGUAAUUUUAUUUUUUUAAGAUUUUAAGGAAAUAUCAAUAACUUAAUCAUGGUGAAAAUAAUUGUUUUAAUUACUUAUGAAAUUGUAAAUAUUUGGAAUUGUAAAUAUUGGGGGUAAUAUUGUCUUUUCAAAGUCAACAGUUAGUCAAUGGAAAUUUUAACUAACGGUAGGGGGCCUUUUACAAAUAAAAUAAUUUUCACCAUCUACUUGCAACAGCCUCAAACCUCAGGGGAGGUUUUUAAAAAUUAUCCUGAUAAGUAUUAUGUUUCCAUCGAUUUUAUGCAGAUUUAUGUAAUAUAGUAUUUCAGUGACUGAUUUGAAUUAAAUAAGUUUAUAUAAGUUCUUAUGAUAUUCUGAUGAAAUUGAUUUGAGAAAUUGAUUUGAGAAAGAUUAAAUCAUUUUAAAAGAAUUGAUUUUUUAAAAUUACUAUCCACUCACUGAGUUCACUGAGUUUUAUACUCAUUCCGCUUUUAUUAUAUUUUCUUCCCCCCACAGGAGAUUUGCAGGUACAUCAGUCGACCUAGUAUCGAAUGUUAGUUUUGAAAUUGUUGCCACGUGAUGGUGUUAGGAUGUCAUAGAGUUAAUACUGUGAUAUUUAGGAUAUUGCGAAUUGUAUUUAUUUAUUAUAUUUUGUAAUUAAGGAUAACCAUUGUAUUUUUUAAUAUUAGAAUGACUUGGGUGGUACUUGGUAUGUUGACUUGAGAAGUUGGUUAUGGAAGAUGGUUGGAUAUUGAAUUAUUUUAGGAGUAUUGUUUUGUAAUUUGCAGGUUUGAGAAUGUUAUAUUUAUAAGGGAGAUUCUGCCGAAAUUUUUAUAGAAUUCGUACUUAAUAUCGAUUCAAUUUUACGAGUUUAGAUGGACUUGCCCUGGGGGUGCGGGGCGGGUCGUUUCAGUAAGAGCAAUGGGUAGUUUAACUUAUGGAAGAUAACUAGAACUUGGAAUAACUAUCCGAUCUGCACCUCUUUAUUUGUUAUAUGCUAGUGGGGAUUUUAGGUAGCGUUUAUCGCCAGGGGAGUUACAGUAAUCGAUUCAUAUAUCCUCCUUUACUUCCGAGGGUAACCCAGCUCUAUACAAGAACAACAAGAGGGUUCAAUUAAGAACUCUCUCUCUUCCUCACAACAAAUACACCUAACAGACCAAACCGUGCGCAAAAUAAUUCUAUUCCGUUCUAUUCAUGUCAUGAAUCCCACAAGUCAAAAACUAUCGCAACUCAUUUUGUUUAAUCAGCAUAACUAAAUUGUGGGUAUAAAUGAGCAAACUUUUGAAGCCUGUAACUUAUAAUAAACGCAAACCCAAAAAUGACAUUUAAAUCCUCAUCAUCCCUAACAAAAAGAAACAGGAAUAAUUAUAUACCAAUAAUUUUUCCACAACAAAUACUGAUUUGAGUUGAAACACUAUACAAACUGGGUCCUAUACACUUGCAGAAAGCUACACAGUAGAGAAAAUCUAGCAGCUACAUAAUGGUAUCACUUUCAGCUGGUCACGAAUGGUGUGCAUUCAGCAGUGCUCGACAGACCAUGUCUACGAAUUGAUUGUCCUAUUACAUAUAAAAGCUGGUUAGAUAUACAAGGAAAAAAUUAAUAAUUGAAAAUGCAUCACAAAAAUUAAGAGUAUCGCAUUAGUGUUUGCACUCUAAGCAUGGCAAAGUGGUGGGGGGUUCAUUAUUUUGAAGACUGGGAUAAGUGAAAAAUAGUUCAAUCCACUGAUGAGCAUAAAUUUAUUUACAUGUCAAUUUAGAUAUCAUCAAAAAGUAAACAGUAAUUCACAGUCACUUAAAAGAGUGGACAAAAUGCAUACCAUGAAUGCAUUUUUGUACGUAAGAAAUCCAAAGAAUAUUUCUGAUAAUACAAAUAUGCUGGCUUUAAAUCUGCUGUCAAUAAGCAAUUAAGAAGAUUAUACCAGCUGCAUGGUAAAGUUCCCCUACUCUUAAUAACAGUAAACAUGAACAUGUCAGAUGCAAUUCUAGCAUCGACCAUUUGCAUAACCAGAAAUCCUAACCUGAACAAGCACCAGAAGUGCCUCCCGGACUUUCUCCUUGCUGAUAAAUGGUCCACAGUUUGAAGUAAGAGCAGGAGUAAGAGAUGGUGGAGGGAUUGGUGGUGGAAAAGGUUGAAGCACUGGGGCACCACAUGGGCGUUGUAGACUCAAGGGAGUAUUAAGUGGCGGAGCUGUUGGUGUAGAUGAAGAGACAGGCUGCAUCAUCCGCGCAGAGGAGGAUGGAGGAGGAACAAAGAAUAAGGAAGGCUUUACAAGAUUAGGUGUCCAGUUGCCAGAUUCAGAGGUGUCAAUGGGUGGCAUUAAAGGGGUAGGUGCUGAUAGAGGCGGGGAUGGUAUUUGCAAGGUUGGCACGAUAGGAUAAGCAACACUGGCGGGAUGAGAAGGUACAGAAAUAGUUGUAUCAGACUGCUAAGGUUGUGCAGAGAUUGCUGCAUUAGAAGUACUCCCCACAAUCAUAGCUGUCUGUAAUGAUAAGGACAGAUGUCAGAUACAAGGACUUCAUAGAAGUUGAACCUCACACUAAAAAGAAGUGAUAACAUAUGAAAAUAGUAUAUGACUUGCAGCAUUUUUGUGGUAAUGUUGCAUACUUAUGUAGAAACAUAUUAUUUCAAAGAAAACAUACACUGAAGAAGUUCACAAAAGCAGGAUCCUCAGGAACAUCAGCAGCAUUUGAGGGAGUUGACUCUAGAGGACCAUCCAUAACUGCCGUAGUUGGAACAGCUUCCAGUUCCUCAAACUCACUGCAGUUUAACAAUAAAAGGAACUCGAUGACCAAUUUAAGUAACAAUUAGAUGAUAUAAGAGGUUAGGGAAAAUGAUGAGCGGACCCUUAUGGAAGGUGAUUUCACCUUAGCUAAACACGAAAAUAAAAAGAAAUCAAGGCCGACUCCUCGAGUGCAAUGCAAAAAAUAUUUUCCCUCUUCUCUAACUCCUCUUAUUCAAAAUUGCUCAUCAUUGUGCUGUUCUUUGAGUUUUCACUAGAGUAGAGAACGCUAUUCUCCUGUUAAGUGCAGAGGAAAGAGAAGGGCAAGGGCCUGGUAUGACGCUAUUCUAUAGAAAGUGAGAAGGUGAAGGGUUAAAAUAUUUUGCAAUUUGGAGGUGGUGUUUGUUAGUGUUCGUACUUCUGAGUUUAUUACCUCUUUAGGAUCCAUAGAAAUUGCCUCUUGUUUAGCAUGCACUGUGCCUAAGAGUAAGGCGAGCUUGCAGAGUAUCUAUUAUUUAUUUACUUGGAUAUUCAAACAGGACUACCAGCAACCAAACCUGUCCCAGCACACUAAUCCCCAAACAAAACACUCCUUCAAGUGCAAGGAAAGAGUAACGUGGGCAUAUUUAUGGUUCAAGCACUACAAUAACUAAGAAUGUGAUGACUGUCCACAAACACUAUAUCAGAACCUUUUGAACUACAUCACAUGCUCGAAGAUUGUUUUUUCAGUCAUACAUAAAUUAGCCAUAAAAUUAAGGCCAUUAUACAACUAAAAAGAAAGAAAAAUUGUUUGCUACUACAUAUCAAAACUGGUAAUAGAAAUGUAAUAUGGCAGACUUCUUACUUAAACAGAUGAGAGGCUACAAAAAAAAAAUUGUGCAAAUAAAAUAUAUGAUAAAGAGCAUAAUACUUUCUUGGGGGCUAAAAAUAAUAUACAACAUGUAAAAUAUAAAUUGAGCUAUCAUUACCUUUUAGACGUGGCAACUUUCGACUUUUGAGGCACCUUGGAAUAUGCAUUCAGAAUCCUGCAUUUGGAAGCCAAAUAAAUAAUGUUAAAAACAAUUUUACAAUAGAAACAUUAAAAAUUGAUAAAUUACAGUUGCAAUUUAUGUAUGCGAAAAGAUAGCAUCACAUCCAGGGUCCUCCCCUAAACAUGCUUGUAACGAGAAUUAGUCUGCCUCCACUGUUAGCAACUGCUAACAAUAUACAAUAGUAAAAAUCACUCUCAUGAACUCACCAAUACCAGACACCAAUAAGAGUAUGAUACAACUAUUCUAAAUGGAAGAGAAAACCACUGUUUUAUAACUAUGUCGCAUCCAAAGAUAUGUUAGGAGGAUUAAUCCAAAUACCUUCGAACCCAAUUAACAAACUUGAGGCAAAAACCAGGGGCCCCAACUGAACCUUACAAUCUUGAAGGAAGGAGGCUUCUGGCAUUUUUCAGAUAGGUGAGUUACUAGAUCUCCUGCGAAGAGAAUAUCUUUUGCUUUGAACCUCCAUUGAAAUUUCUUUUUCCCUUUUUCUUGUUUUGACUUGGAACUUUCCAGCAUCAUCUAUUUGACCUUUUUUAAAGCUAAAAUAGCAAUCUAUGGGUUGUCAACAUCUUAUCUCCCCUUCCCCCCCCCCCCCCAAAAAAAAAAAAUCAAUGGGUUGUCAAUAAAUAGUGCCUACUCAACUUAUGUUUUCCAAGGGAUGACAAUGUGCAAAUCGACCUAGUAGCCACACUUUUCCCCCACUUUCAACCACCGUUAGGCAACUUUUCUAACCUUUCUUCAUUGCCCACAUCUACAGAACUAUCAUAUAAAGACUACAUUAUUAUUGGGGUAGAGGAAAAAAUACAGACUAUAUUAUUAUAUCUCAUUUUACUAAUUGGAAAAGACACUCAUGAUAAUACAGACCUUAAAAAGCAAUAGCUAGUAACACCCCAUGUACUCCUAUUUUAGCCUUCACUAUCCUAGUAAAAACACAAUUAAGUCUUGCAAAAGAACAUUCACAAGUAAAUUCAACAUUAAAUGAGAUUAGGUAUCCACUGCACCUUCAAUCGAUGACUGGGUGAAUAGCAUGGUCAACCAUCUAGUUCCUGCAGCCCUCCUUGUACCUAUGUUAGUUACAUUUUACAUAUUACGCCACGAAAAUGAAGGAUCACAGCCUGGUAAAGAAAGCCAUUAAUUAAUAGCUUUUGUUUAAAAAGUUCUCAUUUAGAUCUUUCCUAUUCAAUUAAUCAAUGUAAUCCAAAGAGAACUCUUCCAUUUCAAGCAGUGUUAGAAGAUAAUUGCAAAGCCUAAAGAUAAUAUACAAGGACCAAGAUAUCAAUAAAGUCAAAUAGUGAAUGUCAAAUAUAAAAAAUAAAUAAAAUAGUUGAACGUGAUCAUUUACUAUCAAGUUCUGUAAAACUGAAAAUACCAUUAUCCCUGUAGAGAUUCUCAAAAAACUCUUUAGCAAAUCAUUAAAUAGCAAAAAAAAGAACGAAAGUUCAAAAAAAAAAAUGUACAACAUCCAUAUCAGGAGAUAUUUUUCUUCUCAAUAUCAAUAUUUUCUAGCCGUGAAGCAAUUGAAAAGCUUAACACCAAGUGAAUUAUUAAGAAUUCAUCAUUUAAAUUCCCAAAUCGCAAAAUGUUGGUGCAACUAGGAAAGUGCAAAUGCAGUCACUUAACUAACACAAUAAGCACCAAUAGUGAGAAGCCCACUUUGUAUCAAAUUUGAAACAGAUAGAUAGAGGUCAAAAAAUUUAUAAAGACACUCAAUUGAAAGCCUUUCAAGCAGCUUUUGCAUGCAACAAGAGCAAAUCAAAGGCGAUGAGAAUGUAUUCAAAGACUAAUUUACAAUCAUCUAUAGACAUAAAUAUCUUGGAUACCUACUCUCUAUACCUUACUGUCCCACUGAAAAUCAUCAAAUCCCUCCAAACAAAAAUGACAAAAUGUAUAAGAAUUGUGUGGUCAAACUUCAAUAACUUAGCAGCCACAGCAAAAACUUAUGUAGACAUGCAAGCCACUCAAAAUAGUCAUAUUUUUUGCUUUCCAAACACAAGCCACUGUGUAAUGAAUGCUCAUAAAUUGCUACUACCAUGUUUGUUAAAACACGUGAAAACCACCAUAACUAACUCAAUGUAACUGAUGAUCACAUCACAUUCAUGGAAUCACAUAUCUGACAGUAUUAAUUAGUGCAAACUGCAUGCUUCUUGAAACUCCUUAUUUAUCACAUGGGUGCCAUUCCAAUCAACCAAUGAUUCUGAUCUAGUCAGCAAAUUCAACCCACGAGCGAGUAAUACCUCCUAUUGCUUCUUUACAUUUCUCAACAAAAUUCCACAUUCUACCCAUACUUCUGAACUUGAUGCUCCCAUAGACUAAUACAAUAUAAAGAUUUCUUCCCACACCACCCCAACCCCCACCCCUAAAAAACCAAUUUAAAUUCUCAUUGGAUGUACAACUUAUAGUCCAUACCAAAUUGAAAAAUUUGCAAAUAUAGAACCUCAAAGAAUCUGCUUGCGUUCCAUUUUCUACAGCAAGAAAAUUGACCUUUACCACAUGCAAGUCAACAUAUAAAACAAUCAUGUCUUUGUGAGAUGCACAUUUUCAGAUGAAUCUGGAGAGCAAUGAAACCAUAAAAACCUAAUAUGAGAACACCGAGGGCUCCAGAUAUCAUCUAUAGAAUCUUUGGUGCACCCUUGCAUGAUGAAAAAAAUUGAAGGCUUCGUCACCAACUCCCCAGGUUGUUUUGUUCUCCUAUCUCCUAAAUGCACAGGAAAGGCAACCCGUUCUUUUUUCCAAUCUUAAGGGGCACAGAAUGACUCCGGUAUAAAAUAGUCAGUUUCUAUACAAAAAUAACUCCUUUGCACUUGGCAUUGCACAUCUCAAAAUAAAAAGCAUGCAAGGAGGAGAAUAUAAUAGCAUUAAACAAGUUUUAUUAACCAAACUUCAAAGAUGCCAGACAAGGCAAAAAAGGAAUCUGUACAAGCCAGAUUCCAAGAAUAAUAAUUCCAAUAUACAAUUCAAGAAAACAAUAACUAAAACCAUGUUCAUGAGGCCUCAGUAGAAGCAACAUGUAAUAACCAUACUCUAUUAUUUGAAACACAUUUCCAAGUUUGGUUAAGAUUCUAAACUAUUCUCUAUCUGUCAAUUAUUAACAUGUAAAACAUAAUAAUAUACACUUAAACUACUACAGUAGUAAAACCAGUAAAACAACAAUACCUGCUAAAAAGAUUUGCUACCUCUUCACAUUCACGAGCAUUGUAGAACCAAAUCCCAUUUACUUCUUGGGAUGCAUUUCGAUAUAACAAAUACGGAACCUGAACUUCAAACUCAAAAUCUCCCAAAAGAUUUUCCACUAAAUUAUCUGCACAUAUACAAGAUAUUGAAGCUUAUCAGUGCAAAAACAUAUAUAAAAAGACAUGAAGGUUAGAAGACAUAACUAAAACUUAGCAACAACUGAUAAGCACAACAAGACAUGAAAUAUAACACUAGUUGUAAACAAGAUAGACACAUGGUAUCUAAAAAAUUGUACCAACCCCCUCUCCUGAUUGUCAUAAAACGGCCAAUAUUUAACCCUAGACAACAAAAUUGCAAAUACUCUAGCCUCUAUAUUAUUGGCAUAUAAAUAUUUUAGGUUAGGUACAUUAUAUUCUUCGUUCUAAAACCUCAAUUAUUAGCUAGUACUGUGAUAAAAUGAUUCAUCACUGAAAUUAAAACUAGGUCACGUACAAAUAAUCAAAACUGAAAUAGAAGCAACGAUAAACCAACCUGUAUUACGUCGAUUCAUCACAACAAACUGAAAUCGAGGCUGUGUGUUCCUGAAAAUUGAAAAAAAUAAUAAUUUCACCAACUUCAUGUGUAAUACAAUCUCCAAAACACCGAAUAUCAAAUGAAAAAAUGGAAAGCAUAAGAGAGAAAAGAAUCUAAUUUUAUUGACCUUUUGACGACGAACAGAGAUCCUUCAACAUCCUUACGACUCCAUUGGCUGAGAUCGAUGUUGAACUCGUAGAAGGUGACAUAAGCGGCCGUGAUGAGGAUCUCCUCAAUGAAUGGAUCGAUUCGCUGAAGAACUGUCAGGUUUAGGAGUUUUGUGCUCUGCUGGUCCAGAUUAGGCAUCAAUUUUCCGUUCUGCGACAUUUUUCGUAGUCCUUUCGGGCUCUGCCCCGAGCACAAGCCCCAUGGUUUUUCUGUGAGCUCUCUCUUUUGUAAAUAAAGUGUUUGAUGAGAUAGCCGAGAGAGAGUGAAAGAGUUGAACACCCAAACAAGGUGAGGUGAACAGUUUCGGAUUGAGACUCGAGAUUGAUCUUGCUUUAACGUCUUUCAAAUAUUUGGGAAAUAGCAUUUAUUUCUUUCAAUUUCUCUACUUUUUUUUUCCUUUAUGUCAUUUAGACCCAAAAAUUAGAUUUAUUAUAAAUUUAUAAUCAUAUUUUACCCAUUCACUAGUAACCCCUUUUAUUUUUGAAAUUUGUCAAUAUUAAUGUGUUAGAAUAAUGUUAGAAAUCCCAAUUAUUAUCUCAAUGUUUCAAUCAUAACUAAUGUGAUAACUCAUCGGUAACUGCAACAUUAACUUAAUUAUUAAUAUUUAUCAUGAAAUGAUGAGAUUAUUAUUCAAGAAAAAAUUAGUAAACAUCAAUGACUAAUAUAAUGUGACAAUUACAGCUGAAUAUUAGUACAAUAAUUAGGAUUCCUAAAGUUAGUGAUGUAUUAUAAUAUAUGUGUUAUACCACUUUAUGUCUCUCAAAUUCAAUUGAGUAAUUUCAUAUACCUGAGUACCUUUUAUUACAUUAAUUAAUUGGGUCCGCCUAACUUACGCUCAACGUAAGUUACGCUCAGCCCGUCCAAUUUCAUAUAGUCCCCCUAUACUCUAUACUAUUUAUAUUUUAUUCAUAAAUAUUAUAAAUUUUUUGAAAUGUAAAAUUUCAUUUAACCCCCUCUACUCAAUUUUAUUUUAUUAAAACCAUAGAGUAUGAAUUUGCCCCCAUAAUUUUAAAUUCUCAAAAUAACCCCCAUUUAAUUAAAAAUAUAAUUAUUUUUAAAUGAAUUAUAAUUAUAAUUAUAAUUUUAUUAUAAUCAUAAAUAUUUUUUUAAUAGAUUAUUGUUAUUAAAAUAAAAUUUUGUUUAGCCCCUCUACUCAAUUUUAUUUUAUUAAAACCAUAGAGUAUAAAUUCGCCCCCAUAAUUUUAAAUUCUCAAAAUAACCUCCAUUUAAUUAAAAAUAUAAUUAUUUUUAAAUGAAUUAUAAUUAUAAUUAUAAUUUUAUUAUAAUCAUAAAUAUUUUUUAAUAGAUUAUUGUUAUUAUUAAUAACGAUAAUAAAAAAUAUUAUAAUUAAUUAAUUAAUCUAUUAACAAUAAUUAAUAAUAUUUUUAUUAAAUUGUUAGUAAUAAUAAUAAUAAUUAAUGAUAAUCAACAUAUUUAUGAUUAUAAUAAAAUGGAAUAAACACUGAGUCUAUAUUUAUAUAGGAGACUCUUUUAUAUUUCUAUACAUUUUAAUUUCAAGUACUUUUAGGAUUUUUUUGUUACCUUCAUAAAUAAUGAUUUUGUAGGCAUCUCAUUAUUAAACGGUCAUUUUUAAGUGCUUCUAGUGUUGGGAUCGUAUUUAAUUGUGCUUUUCAGCUUUCUUGUCAUAACAACUAGGGUAUUACUCUUUCUCCAUAUCAAGCUUGAAGUUCUAAAUUUCAGUUUUAUCUUUUAUUUGAUGUUUUAUAAGUUCUAAAUUUCAGCUUUCUCUCAUAACAACUACGAACGUGUUAUGGUUUAGCUCAGUGACACAAAGGACAGUUUUCAACAAUUGAUCCUAGGAAGAUGCCCAUAGCUUGUUGUGCCAAAAAUAGAAAAUCUAAGAUGCGAAAAAAUUUUGUUGAGAUUCAUUUUUCAUCCUGAUGUUACAGCUGGCCUUUUUUUUUUUUUUUUUUGGCAGAGAAUAAUGCUUAUGUGAUUUCUGAACUUGGUUAUUGUUGAAAUGAGCUGAAAAUGAGCUGGAAAUGUGUUUGGUUAAUGAGAAAGAGAGCGAGAAAAUGAAAGAAAUCUAUUUCACUUUUUAUUUAUCAGAAUGAUUACAUUCACAAUGAAUCUAAGCUGAUAUUUAUACUUAAAUGAAUACACACGAGAUUCUUCUUGCUAGAUACUUCUAGAAACUCUACACGCACACUCACACUGAGCUAGUGGUUACUAAAACCGUUACAACAAUAUUGCCAGCUCAGCAUAACCAACUUAUAACUAACACACUCAGCUGCAGGGGAAACCAUCAAGCAUACGGUGCAUCCUCUGUAAUCAAGCUUCUUUAAGCAUGCUCUGCAGAUCAUACGUCUGAAUUAUCGAAACAAGAUGAAUUAUUUUUUGUUUAUUUUAGCAGGCGAUCUAUGAUCGGAAUUUCUUGCAACAAAAGAUGUGUGUCCACCAGCUUGUAUUCAAUUCGCGAACACAGUUUGAGAAGAAUCAGACCAUUAAUUUUCUUUUGAGCCAAUCAACAGAAUGUACAUUUCUUCUAAGAACCUGUAACCGAAACCGCAGUUUUUCAGGUUUGCUCCUUCCUCAUAGCAGUUAAUCAAACGAUAAACAGAGAUAUCCCAUGUCAACAAGAAGGUAAUCAUAAAAGAACAACAGAAUUGUUGCAACAUAUUCAUAUGAAAUGUAAAACAAUUUUGAGAAAAAAUAUUGGGAAGAUAUUUUUUUUUCAUAGAAGUUGCAAUCUUUACGUUAUUUACUAGUUGCAAUCAUACGCCUGCAAAGGAUGCCAGUUAAUUUUAUCACAAUUAGAUGGUAAGAUUGCAAAUUCUGCAGCCAAAGGUAGUACGGAGCUGAAUGAAGGAAAUCAAAUAUGAACAUGUUUUCAAUCUCAAAAUAUUAAGAGUAGCAUAAGUAACUUGUGAAACAGUCAUAAGUUCAAGGGAAUUAGAUGAUGGCAUGGUUGAAUUUAUAAAUAUUUGAUAUUUUGGACCGAACAGGGCAAACAGAUGGAUCCAGAUAAUUAAGAAAAACAUCAAUUCCAUGCAACCAAAUUAGUGUGUACAAUGCAAUUGCCUUUCCCUAUGAGAGUAGAGGGCCUAAGUACGCUGCCGUUUAGAGCUGAUGAGUUUGAUUCACCAGCAAGCCUCACACAAUAUCACUUGAGCAACACUAUAAAAUCAUUCAAAGAAAUCUCUAGGUCAGUAUCCAAAUAUGUGGCUCCGUCAGUUCCACCACAACCCAAAAUAUCAGAUCCCCCCAUUUGGAUUCGACUGAUCAAUUUGAGCAUAUAAAAUCGGGUUUUAAACUUCCCUAAUUAAAAUUUAUAUUCCACAGAAUCGUUUCCUUUAACAUGAUGCAUUACAUAAUAUUUUGUUUGCAAAAUAAAGAAGAAAGAUGACAUAAUAGAAACACUCACAGAGAGAGAAUACCUUUGACGAAAAGCUUAGAAGUGAAUCCUCUGUAAAAUACGAGUUGAGCUGCUGAAUUUUUCGAGUUUGAAUGAGAGACUGCGCCGUUUCUGAAAAUGUUUUUUUCUCAGUAGCGCCGCCAUUUUUGUAAUAGAGGGUAAAGAAAUAAGUAACAGAGUAAGAGGUGAGCAGAAACGGCCCAAUUUAGUUAUAUGCCAUGCAUGCGAUCAAAAUUGAAUGGUUAAAUGGCAGCCACUAUGUUACAUCUUGUGUAAGUAACAAACCGCCUACAUGGAUCGUUGGAUUUGGGAAUAUGAAAUCCAAUGGAUAAUAUUGAAUUUAACGAAAAAUAGAUUACAGGUUGCAUUAGUCCAAGUUUAUUUCAAACAAACCAGCUGACGAAAUAGCCGCUAAUCAAAUUUAAAAGGGAAAAAAAUUCAAAUUAUAGGUUAUAGAUCUUAUUUCCAUCUUAAAUCUAUUUGUCUUUCAUGGUGUCUCAAUGUGUAUACUAAUUUAUAAUUUGGAUUUAUAUUAGAGCUAAUGCUUCCCUAAAUAACUAAGAAAAUUUUCUUUUCAUUGAUUUAAUAUUUAUUUCCAAUAUCUUGUAUAUGUAGGAUUUGAAAAGAGGAAAAAUAGUAGGGAUGAUAAUGAGAGAAGAUAAAGGUGUCGAUUCUCAAAUCUAAUAUUAAUGCUAUACUUAUAUUCCUAUACUAAAUAAAUUAUCCAAGGUUCGUGGUUAACAAUACGUUGCAAAAUUUUAAUUUCUAUUUAAAGCUCUGUCUAAUAUGACUUUUCAUAAAGCUUAGAGAAAAGUAGAGCUUUUACCAAAAAAAAAUAAUUAUUAGAAUUGUCAAUGAUAAAUUUUAAAAAGUACUUUAAUAAAUAAGCUUUUAAAGUUAUAUAUAUUAUGAAAGAAAUGAAAUAAGAUUAUAUAAUAAAUUAAGAGUAUCUUAGAUAAUUGAACUUAAAAAAAAAAACUCGCUAAGAGGUUUAAAAUUUGAGUUUUAAUAGUGGAUACAAAAUAGUUUAUUUAAUUCUCAAAAGCUCUACUCAAAAUAGUUUAUUUAAUUCUCAAAAAAUAUUUUUUUCAUUGAGUAAAUAAUACUAAACAUGCACUAAAGUGUUAGGACCAGAAGUUGUACAAAAAAUGAUGGCUACAACUUAAAUUAUGAAUGGAGUAAUCGGAGAAUAUUGAAACCCGUUUAAUUUGGAUCGUGCAUUGAGGGACGAAAGGAUAAAAAAUUUAAUUUUGAAAUUGCUGUUGGGUACGGUACAAUGACUUACCGUUGACAGCUUUUGCAACCGGAUUACAAUCGGUUAGUUCAAUAAUUUUAUAUCCCCAUUUAACCGCCAUGUGCUGCUGUUACAUGGGUCAAUUAGUCAUGUCAUUACUGUUACUUACAGAUGCCGCAACAUAACCGGACCCUGGUUAAAUUCUGUUGUUUCCAAUAAUUUUAUGCUGUAUCUUCUUUAAUAAUAAAGAAAACUUGCAUUAAAAUUAAAAUUAGGGUAAUACCUGAUUUUAUAAAUAGAUUGCAAUGUAAUUUUGAAAAAUAAAACAAUAAUUUACAAAAUGUUUAUAACAUAAUUUUAAUUUUUUUCAAAAAGGAAAAACAACAAAAGUAAGAAAUAGAGAAUUAGGGCUACAAACUUUGUAUCUUAAACGGCCGUUAGAUUAUUUGUAAAUGAAAGCAACGGUCAGAUAUUGGUGGAUUAUGGAAACAUGUAAUCAUAAGGACUACGAGUUUUUUUUGUUACAUUGAUAUAUUACAAUCAAAAUUCUAUUGGUAUUUACAAUCAGAAUUUUAUUUGACUAUCUUUGAUAAUUCUAAACUAGUACAACCCAAAUUCUUAUUCUCAUAUAAUAUCAAAGAGAGAUAUAUAUUCUUCUCCUCUAUUAAUAAAGAGACAUUUUUACUUCCUUUUAAUAGUUAGGACUCAGAACUCAUACACGCUAGUUUGAGAGUGUGGGGUGUGACAAUGGGCCAAGAGACCAUUGACAAAUACAAAAGAGUGGUAGAAAUUAAUUCAAACCGCUACACACGCUAUUGCAACCAAAUUGAGGGCACAUUUUUGUUUAUUUAGUUGAAAAGUAGUCUGUAAAAUUAACUCAAACCGCUACAUACGCUAUUGCAACCCAAUUGAGGGCCCAUUUUGUUUAUUUUGUUGAAAAGUAGUUUGCGCAAUUAAUUCAAACCGCUACACACGCUAUUGCAUCUUUUGAAAAAGAAAAAUGGAAUAAUUUUUCAAAAUUAAUUUAGAGAAUAAGAUUUACUAAUAAUGAUGUUAGAAAUCUUGAUAUUUGAAUCUUAAUAUUAUCUAUCACUCAUUUAUUAAAUAAUAGAUUUCAUAGUUUGUAAAAUUACUUAACCACUUGAUAAAUGUUAUAUUUGUUGGGACUAGAUUGGGACUUAAAUAUUGGAAUAUCUAGUAUUGCAUAAAAAAAAACUUAACAAUUUAUCUUCACACGACUAAUUGUUUUUACAUCACAACUAACCUUAAUUAUUUUAAAAGUUAUAGUAUUAUUAAAUUGCCCUAACUAGUUAUCAAAAGGUGAAACCAUGUUUUAAAAAGAAAUUACUAAGAAACAUUUGUUUAAACGAAGGUUAAGGUUAUGAUCAAUUAAUUAAGAAGAAACUUACUAUCAAAGGUUAAGAUUAUGAACAAUUUAAGGAAGUUAUUGAGUAGAGAAAGGGACAGAAUGGUUGUCUGAUUUGUCGGUGACAAGAAUGCUUGUGUUGUGAAAAGAAAGCCGAUGGUUUGUAAAUUUGUUGAAUUUUUCGCUCGCUUCAAUGACUUGCUUAUGCCCAAUAUAUUACUUUGCACAGUAGUAUUUGGGAUCCUAACAAUCAACUCUUAAUUUGGUCCCAAUUAGUAUAGUAAUCAUCUAUUGAGCGGUAAAAUAUUAAUUCUAAUAGUCAUGAAAUCCAAUAUAUAAUAGAUUAAUAACACACAUAAAUUAAAACAUAACUGUCUGAAAUCAUAACAUUACUCUACUCUUCAGUGAAGUUCUCUUAAACUGAUUAUGUGAAAGCAAUAUUCGCUUUUUGAUUAUAUCCAUAACUUUGAAUUGAUAAAGUUGUAUUCAACAGCUCUUGAAAAGACUAAGCAGGUCUUCUUUGCAUUUGAUCACUGGCAUUUCAGUUAAGUUUGUCACUUACUUAAAAUUUUCUUGCUUUCAAUUUCCACUGUUAUUUUUUUUUAAUAAAAUAAUUUAUUUAAACUAGUCAUAGAAAUAAGAGAGAAAAGGGGUCAUUUCUUGACUCAAAGUCAAUUAUAAUUAUCAAAACUUGAGGGGACAUCGCAUGCCUAAAUUCCACGCACCCUAAAACGGUUUGAUUUGCUUUCACGCGUUCAUGAAUUUCCAUGAAAGAGCCUGCCUUUCGUCUCUUUCGGGACAAUGACUACAAUUAUGGAAAAAAUUAUAAUUCUCGUUAGAUUGUAACCAAAUUAUUAUCCCUAAUUUUUUUAAGUUAAAUAAAAUAAAAUUCAUGCCUAAGUAUUUAGUAAUUAGAGAGAGAUAGAGAGGAUUGAGGGCCAAUGUUUCACGAUUUGGGGUCAAUUCAAAGUCAACUAACGUGUAAAACACGUGUAUGCAUAGAAAACGCUUAGAUUAUUUGUGUUCCAAGUGCAAGAAAUUAAGAAAAGAAAAAUUGAUUUCCUUUCAUGAACUUCCAAGAAAGAAAGAAGACCCUUCACCUUCUUCGUUACAACAAAUGAAUGAAUGAUGUUGAUAUGACAAAUACAAGCGCUAUUACAGGGAACAGCAUAAGACUGAGACUUGAUAAAGUGUUUGUUAAAUUACAUGUUAUUUUCUUUUAACUUGAAUGAUGUUGAAAAUAAAAUAAAAUAAAAUUGUAAUCAGGGUGAUGUGUGGAAUAUAGUGAAAUAAAUAAAUAGAGAAGAGAAAUUUGUUGAUCAAUAUUAAAGACACAUCCAAAGUGAUCGUCAAAGUCUAGAGGUUCGGUAUGAUUAGCAUUUAUUUUAUUUUUUUUGGCUUAGCAUCAUAUAUAGUCACCUGUCGUGUGAUCUAGGACAGGUUUAGAAAUCCUUUUAUUUUAACUUCUGUAUUCUUAUUAUUUAAUUAGUUAUAGGGUUUUUAAGUAUUUGAGUAUUGAUCACAUGUCUCCUAAUCUAAAAAUAUGUUUUUACGAGUACAAAUAACAAACUAGGAUUUUAACAGCCUUUUAUACUAAACCCUAAAAAUACAUGAAUUUAUCAAAAUAAGUAAAUUAAUUUAAAUUGGUAUGGCAUAGUAGAAGUUUUACCUGCCGAAACAAAUUAAAAAAAUAUUACACUUAAAUCAAAUAUUGACAAAAAUAGAUAACAAUCUAAUGAGAAUCUUAACUAGACAUUUUUACUUCUAUCCAAUUUAACUGGAAUGAGAAUUAAGUCCUGUCAAUAGUUAGGACUCAUAACUCAUACACACUAAUUUGAGAGUGUGGGGUGUGACAAUGGGUCAAAAGACCAUUGACAAGUAUAAAAGAGUGGUCGUAAUUAAUUCAAACCGCUACACACGCUAUAUUGAGGGCCCACUUUUGUUUAUUUCGUUGAAAAGUAGUUUUCACAAUUAAUUCAAACUGCUACACAUGCUAUUGCGUUUUUUUUUUUUUUUUUUUGAAGGGAAGCAAUUUCAUUAAACCAAAACGAAUUACAGACUAUGUAAUAACCACAAAGGUGGAACGAAAUUCCACUCUUGGGGACCUGACAUAGAACCUACUGCCCUUGCAACAGAGUGAGCAGCCAGGUUCGCAGACCGACGUACAAACGAGAAUUGUACUUCUCUUAAAGACUUAGCUAAAGCUCGACAUUCAUCAACUAUUAAACCAAAACCGUUAGGCCCUGAAAACUCCUCAACUAGAGCUUGAAAUACUUGUAAACAAUCAGUUUCAACAAUGACACAAGGAAAUUGUAAGCCUUUAAGCCAACUAAGGGCCUCCCGAAUACCAAGAGCUUCAGCCUCCCUUGCUCCAAAAUUCCCAGCCAUUCCAGCACAUCUUGCUGUUAAGAAAACACCCUCUGAAUUUCGAAGCACACACCCAAAACCAAUAUUUCCCUGAGAUGAAAAGAUAGCAGCGUCAACAUUACAUUUGACCCAACCAAACUUUGGCCUCUCCCAACAUAUUGCCCCAUGGACCAGCUUAUGGACAUCAGUAUCAGCAUAGAAUUGUUGCUUCUUUGCUGCUUGCCACUGAUAGAGAAGUUGCCCAGCAGAAUUGAGCACUUGAUUCACUGAAUCAGUUUUGUUAUUCCAUACUUUGUCAUUCCGAUUAAUCCAAACUCUCCAGCAGAUCAUCAUGGCAACAUGGCAUUCUUCUUUGCUGCAGCGUGUAAAGAUGUGAUCAAGCCACUCUAAGAAAGAAUAACAAUGGCCAACAAAACCCACAGAGGAAGAAAUCCAGCAAGCCUUAGCAACAUUACACUCAACCAACGAAUGGAGAAUAGUUUCAUCAGAAGCAAGACACACAGCACAAGUAGGGGGGAUAUUCACCCUCUUAGAAAUUAAAUUAACUGCAGUAGGCAGCACAUUAGUUGCCGCUCGCCAAACAAAAUUCUUAACCUUAUUCGGCACAUUCAAGUUCCAUAGUUUUCGCCACACAUCUGUGAAAGGGUCAGGGGUAAGAGAAUGUAAAACCUUAUAACAGCUACGGACUGAAUAGCAUCCGCGAGAAUCAGCCAACCAAUACCACACAUCAUCAUUUCGGCGGGAACUAAGGGGAAUUUGAAGAAUCAACUCCUUGUCUCUUGCGUUGAAAAGAUCCGAAACAAGAUCAUAAUCCCAAGCUCGUUGAUUAGGCACCAGUAAACUACUAACAGGAGCUGCAGCAAGCUCGGCAUGGAGAUUAGAAGGAACAAAUCCAUUAUUAGUAUCAGGAAGCCACGGAUCCUUACCAAUGAAGAUCGAAUUUCCACAGCCAACUUGCAGUCUACUCCCUUGAAUUACCACAUCCUUUGCAGCCAAAAUAGAGCGCCACACAUAGCUAGGAUUAUGCCCCGCAGAAGCUUGAAGAACAGAGGUGCGCGGAUGGUAGCGAGCUUUAAUUAUCUUGGCCACAAGAGAUUCCGGACAAGUUAACAGCUUCCACAUUUGCUUUCCUAACAUCGCUAUAUUGAAUAAAUGAAGUUGUUUAAAACCAAGGCCACCAUAUCCUUUUGGUUUGCACAGAUUUUCCCAUUUGGACCAGUUUAAAAAAGAAAAAUGGAAUAGUUUUCCAAAAUUAAUUCAGAGAAGAAGAUUUACUAAUAAUGAUGUUAGAAAUCUUAAUAUUAUGUAUCACUCAUUUAUUAAAUAAUAGAUUUUAUAGUUUGUAAAUUUACUUAACCACUUGAUAAAUGUUAUAUUUGUUUGAAUUGAUCCAAUAGCUCUUGAAAAGCACAUAAUAAUCAUUAUAAAUUUAAUCAAAGACUAAGCAGGUCUUCUUUGCAUUUGAUCACUGGCAUUUCAGUUAAGUUUGUCAUUUAUUUAAAUUUUUCUUGCUUUCAAUUUCCACUGUUGUUUUUUUUAAUAAAAUAAUUUAUUUAAACUAGUCAUAGAAAUAAGAGAGAAAGGGCGCCAUUUCUUGACUCAAAGUCAAUUAUAAUUAUCAAAACUUGAGCGGACAUUGCAUGCCUAAAUUCCACGCACCCUAAAACGGUUUGAUUUGCCUUCACGCGUUCAUGAUUUUCCAUGAAAGAGAGUGCCUCUCGUCUCUUUCCGGACAGUGACUGCAAUUAUGUUAACGUGACGAAUACAAAACGUUAUUACAUACAAGAAUAAGUUUUUGGAGCCGAUACUUGAGGGAGGUUCUAUCUAAUUCUAAAGAUUGUAACCAAAUCAUUAUCCCUAAUUUUUUUAAGUUAAAUAAAAUAAAAUUCAUGCUUAAGUAUAAAUAAUUUUUUUAAGUUAAAUAUAAAAUAAAAUUCAUGAACUUCCUAGAAAGAAAGAAGACCCUUCACCUUCUUCGCGACAACAAAUGAUGUUGACAUGACAAAUACAAGCUCUAUUACAGGGAACAGCAUGAGACCGAGACUUGAUAAAUAUUAAAUAUAUAAAAUAAGUGGAGCAAACGAACAGAAUAAUAGAUAUUUUAUAAUAUUCUUCAUAAAAAUCCAUGUUUUGAGCCUGCCUAUAAGCUUAUCUAGUGAAGUCUGGGUAUCCGCGUUGCCCAAGGUUCCGUUUGAAUCCAGGCCGUGUAGAUGUUUAAGACAUCGCAUAUGGACGGAGUGGAAAUAUUUUCAGUUGACUGAAUUAAAUAAAAAUAUAUUACAAUCAUAUUAUAUAUUAGCAGCAAAAAUAAAAAGAAAUGAAGAAAAACGCAUGCAAGACUUAGACAAGUCAAUUAAAAGCUGGGAGUAUCAUCAGUUCAAUUGGUUAUAAAUAGCGUAGAGCCAUCCUCUCGUUGUUGCAGAACUGAAGCAAAGAGACUCAGAAAGAGUGUGUGUAGGUGAUUAUAAUUAAGAAGAUAUAAUGUGUGGUUCAAAAAGAGUGUGGGUGAGUGAGUUAAUUUUCAUAUUAUUAGUAGUAAAAGGGUGGUGGAGUGAGGGAUGUUUGGAGCAAGAGAGGUCUGCUCUCCUACAACUCAGACAUUUCUUCAAUGAUGAUCAACUUCUUCAAAACUGGGUAGACGAUGAGUAUUAUUCAGAUUGUUGUCAGUGGGAACGGGUUGAGUGCAACAACACCACUGGAAGAGUGAUUGAAUUACAACUACUAGAAACUCGAAAACAGGGAUCAGCAGAGUGGUAUAUGAAUGCCUCUCUGUUUACUCCAUUUCAACAAUUAGAGUCUCUUGAUUUAAUGGGGAACAAUAUAGCCGGUUGUGUUGAAAAUGAAGGUCCUUAAUUUACUCUAUUUUAAUUCUUCCUCGUAAUUUCUUACAUUUAUCUGAUCCCUUUUGAUUUUUGUUUAAUUUGUUCGUGAUACAAUAAAAUUACUUUUUAUUUUUUGUCAGGUCUAGAUAGGUUAUCAAGGUUGAACAACUUGAAGUUUCUUUACUUAAACCUUAACCACUUCAACAACAGCAUCUUUUCAUCCAUAGGUGGUCUUUCAUCACUCAGACGCUUAUCAUUGGCUAGUAAUGAAUUGAAUGGAAGUAUUGAUAUUAAAGGUAAGCAAGCUUCAUCCCUUCUCCCGUGUCCCAUCUUUUGUGGAUCUUAUUUUAUUGACCGGCUGGAAGUAUUGAUAUAAGAUCUGGCUAGACUCUUGCUAGUUUAAGCUUCAAGGAUUUAAAUAUUAUAAAAAUAGGUUUAAGAAAUUAUCAAUAUAUGCAAUUUUCAAUGCUUCUCAUAAUCAGACACAAUUCAAUCUAAUUAUUUUGUAUGUCCUGUCUUCAAAAGUAAAGAAUUGUACACUAAAUGGAAAUCGACAUCGUAGCUUUUUAUUUUUUCUAAUGCUCUUUUUUCGUUAACGAGUUUAUAUCCUAAGAGGGAUUGGAUUGAAAAAAAAAAAGUUUUGAUGUUCAAGGUAGGCCAUAAUAACCCGCAUCUUAUUUGUCUGCCUGUAUCUAAAUUUGUGCACUGAAUUUAGUAUUUUGGUUAUUGUGAAGGGAUCAGAUAUUGGCUUCCAUAGACCAACUUGUAUUUAGUUAAUUAAUUAAUUAACGACAUUUAAUAUUUAACAAAUUAAAAUUUCGUGUUUAAUCUAUUUUAAUUUUUUUAAGAAAAAAGAAAAAGAUAUAGCAAUAGGUAAAGCUAAAAUAAAUUUUAAUUCCUUACAAAUUUAAAUUCAUGGUUGUCAGCUAAAUAUACUUACUUAAAGCCACUCAGUCGAGCCCUUUGAGAGCUGCUUUAAAUUUUUAGCCAUAUUCUUUUCUUAUUAAUAAAAUUCUUUUCGCUGAGAUUUAACAUAAAAAAAGGAGAAAAUAAGUUAUUUAAUUAACUCUGUUUUAAGUGUUGGAAUAAAUACAGGACUGGAAUCCUUGAGUAACUUGGAGGAGCUGGGCAUGAGCGACAAUGCAAUCGACAAUCUAGUGGUUCCUAAAGGUAUACAAAAUGUUCAAAUAUUAAUAAUUUGGAGGACAGUUUAAUUGAUUUGAUUAGGGAAUGCCCAAUGACACUUACCCAAAAUAAUUUAAUCCGAAAUUGUAUCCCAAAUAGAUUACAGAGGUUUGAGGUAGUUGAAUACCUUUUAUUUGGGGAGGGGGGGGGGGGGGGGGGGGGGGGGGGGGAGGGAGGGAAAUUGCAGUGAUAUAUGGAAGCAAGGUGUUGCAAUAAAUAAAGAAAUUCGUUGGUCAAUAUUCAAGGACUCAUCCAAAGUAAUCGUUAAAGUCUAAAGCUCUGCUCUCCUCCAACUCAAACAUUUCUUCAAUGAUGAGAAUUAUUCAGAUUGUUGUCAGUGGGAAGGGGUUGAGUGCAACAACACCACUGGCAGAGUGAUUAAAUUAGAUCUAGGAGCCACUAGGAAUCGGGAAUCAGCAGAGUGGCAUAUGAAAGAUAACUAGAACUUGGAAUAACUUAAAUUAGCUAUAAAAUUAAGACCAUUAUACAACUAAAAAGAAAGAAAAAUUGUUUGCUACUACAUAUCAAAACUAGUAAUAGCAAUGAAAGAUGGCAGACUUCUUACUUAAACAGAUGAGAGGCUACAAAUAAAAAAUUUGUGCAAAUAAAUAUAUGAUAAAGAGCAUAAUACUUUCUUGGGGGCUAAAAAUAAUAUACAACUUGUGAAAUAUAAAUUGAGCUACCAUUACCUUUUAGAUGUGGCAACUUUCGACUUUUGAGGCACUUUGGAAUAUGCAUUCAGAAUCCUGCAUUUGGAAGCCAAAUAAAUAAUGUUAAUAACAAUUUUACAAUAGAAAAAUUAAAAAUUGAUAAAUGGCAGUUGUAAUUUAUGUAUGUGUAAAGAUAGCAUCACAUCCAGGGUCCUCCCAUAAACAUGCUUGUAACAAGAAUUAGUUUGCGUCAACUGCUAGCAACUAUACAAUAGUAAAAAUCACUCUUAUGAACUCAACAAUACUAGGCACCAAUAAGAGUAUGAUACAGCCAUUCUAAAUGGAAGAGAAUACAACUGUUUUACAACUAUGUUGCAUCAGGAGAUAUGUUAGGAGUUUUAAUCCAGAUACCUUCCAACCCAAUUAGGAAAACUCGAGUCAGAAACCAGGAGCUGCAACUGAACCUUACAAUCUUGAAGGAAGAAGGAGACUUGGGGCAUUUUUCUAGAUAGGUGACUUACUAGAUCUACUGCCAAGAAAAUAUCUAUUGCUUUGAACCUCCAUUGAAAUUUCUUUUCCCUUUUUCUUAUUUUGACUUGGAACUUUCCAGCAUCAUCUAUUUGAUCUUUUUUAAAGCUAAAAUAGCAAUCUACGGGUUGUCAACAUCUUAUCCCCCCCCCCCCCCGGGGGCCCCCAAAAAAAAAACAUCAAUGAGUUGUCAAUAAAUAGCGCCUACUCAACUUAUGUUCUCCAAUGGAUGACAAUGUGCAAAUCGACCUAGCAGCCACAUUUUCCCCCCCUUUCAACCACCAUUAGGCAACUUUUCUAACCUUUCUUCAUUGCCCACGUCUACAGAACUAUCAUAUAAAGACUACAAGAUAGACGCACGGUAUCUAAAUAAUUGUACCAACCCCCUCUCCUGAUUGUCAUAAAACGGCCAAUAUUUAACGCUCGACAACAAAAUUGCAAAUACUCUAGCCUCUAUAUUAUUGGCAUAUAAAUAUUUUCGGUUAGGUACAUUAUAUUCUUCGUUCUAAAACCUCAAUUAUUGGCUAGUACUGUGAUAAAAUGAUUCAUCACUGAAAAUAAAACUAGUUCACGUACAAAUAAUCAAAAACUGAAAUAGAAGCAACGAUAAACCAACCUGUAUUACGUCGAUUCAUCACAACAAACUGAAAUCGAGGCUGUGUGUUCCUGAAAAUUGAAAAAAUAAUAAUUUCACCAACUUCAUGUGUAAUACAAUCUCCAAAACACCAAAUAUCAAAUGAAAAAAUGGAAAGCAUAAGAUAGAAAAGAAUCUAAUUUUAUUGACCUUUUGACGACGACGAGAGAGCCUUCAACAUCCUUACGACUCCAUUGGCUGAGGUCGAUGUUGAACUCGUAGAAGGUGACAUGAGCGGCCGUGAUGAGGAUCUCCUCAAUGAAUGGAUCGAUUCGCUGAAGAACUGUCAGGUUUAGGAGUUUUGUGCUCUGCUGGUCCAGAUUAGGCAUCAAUUUUCCGUUAUGCGACAUUUUUCAUAGUCGUUUUGGGCUCUGCCCCGAGCACAAGCCCCAGGGUUUUUCUGUGAGCUCUCUCUUUUGUAAAUAAAGUGUUUGAUGAGAUAGCCGAGAGAGAGUGAAAGUGUUGAACAGCCAAACACGGUCUCGAGAUUGAUCUUGCUUUAACUUCUUUUAAACAUUUGGGAAAUAGCAUUUAUUUCUUUUAGUUUCUCUACUUUUUUUUUCCUUUAUGUCAUUUAGACCCCAAAAUUAGAUUUAUUAUAAUCCUAUUUUACCCAUACACUAUUAACCCCUUUUAUUUUUAAAAUUUGUCAAUAUUAAUGUGUUAGAAUAAUGUUAAAAAUCCCAAUUAUUAUCUCAAUGUUUCAAUCAUAACUAAUGUGAUAACUCAUUGGUAACUGCAACAUUAACUUAAUUAUUAAUGUAACACAAUAAAAGUUUCGUACAGAUUUUGAUAUUGAGAGUAACACAAUAAAAGUUUCAUACAGAUUUUGCAAACGAAAAGCACAUAAUACACUUAACUAGGAGGAAAAAUUAAGGUGUAUAUAUUACAAACUGCUAACAAUAUACAAUUGUAAAAAUCACUCACAAAUACUAGGCACCAAUAAGAGUAUGAUACAGCCAUUCUAAAUGAAAGAGAAUACAACUGUUUUACAACUAUGUCACAUCAAGAGAUAUGUUAGCAGGAUUAAUCCAGAUACCUUCGAACCCAAUUAACGAACUCGAGUCAGAAACCAGGGGCCCCCAACUAAACCUUACAAUCUUGAAGGAAGAAGGAGACUCGUGGUCCAGAUAGGUGACUUACUAGAUCUCCUGCAAAAGAGAAUAUCUAUUGCUUUGAACCUCCAUUGAAAUUUUUUUUUCCCUUUUUCUUGUUUUGACUUGGAACUUUCCAACAUCAUCUAUUUGAUCUUUUUUGAAGGUAAAAUAGCAAUCUAUAGGUUGCCAACAUGUUAUUCUGCCAAACCCCACCCCACCCCCCCGGGGGACAACAAAUCGACCUAGCACACACCUUUCUUCAUUGCCCACACCUACAGAACUAUAAUAAAAAGACUACGUUACUAUUGGGGUAGAGAAAAUAUACAGACUGUAUUAUUAUUACAUCGCAUUUUACUAAUUAACUAGUGCAAGACUUCUUUAGUGUCAAAUCAAGAACUAAUUAGAAAAGACAACUCAUGAUAAUACAGACCUUAAUAAGCAAUUGCUAACAACAUCCCAUAUACUCCUAUUUUAGCCUUCAUUAUCCUGGUAAAAACACAAAUAAGUCUUGCAAACGAACAUUUAUAAGUAAAUUCAACAUUAAUUAAGAUUAGGUAUCUACUGCACCUAAUAGCAUGGUCAACCAUCCAGUUCCUGUAGCCUUCCAUGUACCUAUGUUAGUUACAUUUUACAUAUUAAGCCACGAAAACGAAGAAUCACAGCCUGGUAAAGAAAGACAUUAAUUAAUAGUUUUUGUUUAAAAAGUUCUCCUUUAGAUCUUUCCUAUUCAAUGAAUCAAUGUAAUCUAAAGAGAAUUCUUCCAUUUCAAACAGUGUUAGAAGGUAUUUGCAAAGCCUAAAGAUAAUAUACAAGGACCAAGAUAUACACAGAUGGUUUCUUUAUGGAAUUAAAGAGCUUUAUAGAUGUUAAAACUGUUUCAAACAAUUUUUCUUGUUUGGUUUAACUAAGGAAAAGCUUGUGGAAGAUUAAAAAUGAUGUUUCCUAUUCUCUGUAGGAAACUUUUAGGAGAUUUUUUGGGCUUUUUUGAAAGGUUGAAUUGUCAAAAAUACCUUGAUGUUAUUGUUUGCUAAAAGAUGUUACGGACAUCUAAACAACCAACAACAUUUUGUUAAAAGCUCUACUAGUGUAGGAUCUACUUAAAGAAGCUAUACCAAACAGACUCUUAGACUGAAUAACUCGAUCUUAAGUUUGUAAAAUUGGGCUCAGAAUCUCCACUAACAACCCCGCUUCGGUGAGAAAGCCCAAGCCUGUUACUUUGUAUAACCUUAUUCUGUAUGUUUGAUUGCAGGAACUGGCCGAUCAUACCGACGAGGUGAGUGUGCAACAUGAGGUGCUUGACGGGAUGUUUACUUUCUAUGAUACAACUAAAGCUAGCCUCAACAUAUAUCAGGUGCCUGCUUGUUUUUACCUUCUAGAUACUAAUAUUGUUUAGACGUGUAAUCUCUCUCUCCAUUGAACGCUAGACGGCUCGUCUCAAGCCUUCUACGUACUUCAGAGUCCUUCACUAGCUUUUUAUGUAUAAAGUUUUGAUCUUUUUCCUUCAUUUGCUUGAAGCUCAUUACUGCAGAUUUUUUUUACAGGUUGGUAGUGUAACAUUCGACUUGCUGUUGCUUCUAGUCUUGGGAUCGUAUUUAAUUGUGCUUUUCAGCUUUCUUGUCAUAACAACUAGGGUAUCACUCUUUCUCCAUAUCAAGCUUGAAGUUCUAAAUUUCAGUUUUAUCUUUUAUUUGAUGUUUUAUAAUUUCAUUGCAAACAGAUUAGAAUAGAAACUUCAAAAGUUCCAACUGACUAGUCCCGUGUAACUUUUUCAGGGAAGAUUUUCUCUCAUAACAACUACGAACGUGUUAUGGUUUAGCCCAGUGACACAAAGGACAGUUUUCAACAAUUGAUCCUAGGAAGAUGCCCAUAGCUUGUUGUGCCAAAAAUAGAAAAUCUAAGAUGCGAAAAAAUUUUGUUGAGAUUCAUUUUUCAUCCUGAUGUUACCGCUGGCCUUUUUUUUUUUUUUUUUUGGCAGAGAAUAAUGCUUAUGUGAUUUCUGAACUUGGUGAUUGUUGAAAUGAGCUGAAAAUGAGCUGGAAAUGUGUUUGGUUAAUGAGAAAGAGAGCAAGAAAAUGAAAGAAAUCUAUUUCACUUUUUAUUUAUCAGCAUGAUUACAUUCACAAUGAAUCUAAGCUGCUAUUUAUACUUAAAUGACUACACACGAGAAUCUUCUUGCUAGAUACUUCUAGAAACUCUACACGCACACUCACACUGAGCUAGUGGUUACCAAAACCGUUACAACGAUAUUGCCAGCUCAGCAUAACCAACUUAUAACUAACACACUCAGCUGCAGGGGAAACCAUCAAGCUUACUGUGCGUCCUCUGUAAUCAAGCUUCUUUAAGCAUGCUCUGCAGAUCAUACGUCUGAAUUAUCGAAACAAGAUGAAUUAUUUUUUGUUUAUUGCAGCAGGCGAUCAAUGAGCGGAAUUUCUAGCUUGUAUUCAAUUCGCGAACACAGUUUGAGAAGAAUCAGACCAUUAAUUUUCUUUUGAGCCAAUCAACAGAAUGUACAUUUCUUCUAAGAACUUGUAACCGAAACCGCAGUUUUUCAGGUUUGAUGCAUCUGGGAAAAUUGUCAGAUGGAAUAAAACCACCAUGCGCCAAGGUACCAAUGAUGUUUCUUCCAGCUUAUGAGCACUUCAAAUAAACUUAGGUCAUAUUUACACAAGGGCGCACAUGAUAUCAAUCUAAUGGCAAUUAUAUCAUCUAAAAUCCAAAACCAAGAGUCUCCCAUUUUCCCGCCCUCUACUCUGUUCGUAUUAUCAUAACUUGAAGAUUGCAAGGCAGCCGCAAUCUCCCAGAUCUUUGCUCCUUCCUCAUAGCAGUUAGUCAAACGAUAAACAGAGAUAUCCCAUGUCAACAAGAAGGUAAUCAUAAAAGAACAACAGAAUUGUUGCAAUAUAUUCAUAUGAAAUGUAAAACAAUUUUGAGAAAAAAUAUUGGGAAGAUGAUUUUUUUUUUCAUAGAAGUUGCAAUCUUUACGUUAUAUGCUAGUUUGACUAUGCUAUAUAAGGAAGCUAUAUGAAAUUAGAAAAAUAAGCUAUACUAGGAAAGAAUAAAUAUAUGUACAGAAAAUGAGGCUAUAAUCCCUGACUUUCAACAAAUUUAAUAUCAAUUUUCUUCUGGAAGUUGUCUCAAAUGGGGUGCAUCAGUAUUGUAACAUACUGUGAGAUGCUUAAACUCAACAAUAUAAGCAUGGUAAAUUAGAGAAAAAUGAUGCAAUUUUACCUUCCCAUUCAUGUAUGCCAAGGCUUUUUGGGCUUCCUCUUCUGUACUGAAAGUCACAUACCCGUAACCUUUUGAUCUAUUCUUACCUUUAUCCAUUAUUAUUGUAGCUGCAAAAAGAAAAGAACCGGAUAUUACAAAAUAGUGAAAGGGAAGAGGGGUUGAGACUUAAAACAGAAAUAGACCAAACCCUCAGUGACUUGGCCAAAUUGUGAAAAAGCAUCAGCUAACAUCUCUUUAGUGGUCGAGAAAGAUACGCCUGCAAAGAAUGCCAGUUAAUUUUAUCAUAAUUAGAUGGUAAGAUUGCAAAUUCUGCAGCCAAAGGUGGUACGGAACUGAAUGAAGGAAAUCAAAUAUGAAUAUGUUUUCAAUCUUAAAAUAUUAAGAGUAGCAUAAGUAACUUGUGAAACAGUUAUAAGUUCAAGGGAAUUAGAUGAUGGCAUGGUUGAAUUUUAUAAAUAUUUGAUAUUUUGGACCGAACAGGGCAAACAGAUGGAUCCAGAUAAUCAAGAAAAACAUCAAUUCCAUGCAGCCAAAUUAGUGUGGGCAAUGCAAUUGAGCAACACUAUAAAAUUAUUCAAAGAAAUCUCUAGGUCAGUAUCCAAAUAUAUGGCUCCGUCCGUUCCACCACCACAACCAAAAAAAUCAGAUCCCCCCAUUUGGAUUCGAUUGAUUAAUUUGAGCAUAAAAAAUCGGGUUUUAAACUUCCCUAAGCAAAAUUUAUAUUCCACAGAAUCAGUUCCUUUAACAUGAUGCAUUACAUAAUAUUUUGUUUGCAAAAUAAAGAAGAAAGAUGACAUAAUAGAAACACUCACAGAGAGAGAAUACCUUUGACGAAAAGCUUAGAAGUGAAUCCUCUGUAAAAUACGAGUUGAGCUGCUGAAUUUUUCGAGUUUGAAUGAGAGACUGCGGCAAUUCUGAAAAUGUUUUUUUCUCAUUAGCGCCGCCAUUUUUGUAAUAGAGGGUAAAGAAAUAAGUAACAAAGUAAGAGGUGAGCAGAAGCGGCCCAAUUUAGUUAUAUGCCAUGCAUGCGAUCAAAAUUGAAUGGUUAAAUGGCAGCCACUAUGUUACAUCUUGUGUAAGUAACAAACCGCCUACAUGGAUCGUUGGAUUUGGGAAUAUGAAAUCCAAUGGAUAAUAUUGAAUUUAACGAAAAAUAGAUUACAGGUUGCAUUAGUCCAAGUUUAUUUCAAACAAACCAGCUGAUGAAAUAGCCGCUAAUCGAAUUUAAAAGGGAAAAAAAAUCAAAUUAUAGGUUAUAGAUCUUAUUUCCAUCUUAAAUCUAUGUCUUUCAUGGUGACUCAAUGUGUAUACUAAUUUAUAAUUUGGAUCUAUAUUAGAGGCUUAGAGCCAAUGCUUCCCUAAAUAACUAAGAAAAUUUUCUUUUCAUUGAUUAAAUAUUUAUUUCCAAUAUCUUGUAUAUGUAGGAUUUGAAAAGAGGGAAAAUAGUAGGGAUGAUGAUGAGAGAAGAUAAAGAUGUCGAUUCUCAAAUCUAAUAUUAAUGCUAUACUUAUAUUCCUAUAGUAAAUAAAUUAUCCAAGGUUCGUGGUUAAUGAUACGUUGCGAAAUUUUAACUGUCUAAUAUGGCUUUUCAUAAAGCUUAGAGAAAAGUAGGGCUUUUACAAAAAAAAAAAUUUAAUUAGAAUUGUCAAUGAUAAAUUUUAAAAAGUACUUUAAUAAAUAAGCUUUUAAAAUUAUAUAUAUUAUGAAAGAAAUGAAAUAAGAUUAUAUAAUAAAUUAAGAGUAUCUUAGAUAAUUGAACUUUAAAAAUAAAACUUGCUAAGAGGUUUAAAAUUUGAGUUUUUAAUAGUGGAUACAAAAUAGUUUAUUUAAUUCUCAAAAGUACUAUUCAAAAUACAACCAUGUAACACAAAAAUUUUUAAUAAGUUUUUUGGACUAGUUAAGUACUUUUUUUGAAAAAAAAUAUAUUUUUUUCAUUGAGUAAAUAAUACUAAACAUGCACUAAAGUGUUAGGACCAGAAGUUGUACAAAUAAAACCAUGAAAUUAUAUGUUGUUGGAUGGAUAUUUUUCAAAUUUGCUGUAGUUUUUUUUUUUUAAUUUUCUGCUGGGAAAUUGAAAUGAUGGCUACAACUUAAAUUAUGAAUGGAGUAAUCGGAGAAUAUUGAAACCCAUUUAAUUUGGAUCGUGCAUUGAGGGACGAAAGGAUAAAAAAUUUAAUUUUGAAAUUGCUGUUGGGUACGGUACAAUGACUUACCGUUGACAGCUUUUGCAACCGGAUUACAAUCGGUUAGUUCAAUAAUUUUAUAUCCCUAUUUAACCGCCACGUGCUGCUGUUACAUGGGUCAAUUAAUCAUGUCUUUACCGAUACUUACAACUGCUGGUUAAAUUCUGUUGUUUCCAAUAAUUUUAUGCUGUAUCUUCUUUAAUAAUAAAGAAAACUUGCAUUAAAAUUAAAAUUAGGGUAAUACCUGAUUUUAUAAAUAGAUUGCAAUGUAAUUUUGAAAAAUAAAACAAUAAUUUACAAAAUGUUUAUAACAUAAUUUUAAUUUUUUUCAAAAAGGAAAAACAACAAAAGUAAGAAAUAGAGAAUAAGGGCUACCAACUUUGUAUCUUAAACGGCCGUUAAAUUAUUUGUAAAUGAAAGCAACGGUCAGAUAUUGGUGGAUUAUGGAAACAUGUAAUCAUAAGGACUACGAGUUUUUUUUGUUACAUUGAUAUAUUACAAUUAAAAUUCUAUUGGUAUUUACAACUAGAAUUUCAUCUGACUAUCUUUGAUAAUUCUAAACUAGUACAGCCCAAAUUCUUAUUCUCAUAUAAUAUCAAAGAUAGAUAUAUAUUCUUUUCCUCCAUUAAUAACGAGACAUUUUUACUUCUAUCCAAUUUAAAUAGAACAAGAAUUAAGUCAUUUUAAUAGUUAGGACUCAGAACUCAUACACACUAGUUUGAGAGUGUGGGGUGUGACAAUGGGCCAAGAGACCAUUGACAAGUACAAAAGAGUGGUAGAAAUUAAUUCAAACCGCUACACACGCUAUUGCAACCAAAUUGAGGGCCCAUUUUUGUUUAUUUCGUUGAAAAGUAGUCUGUAAAAUUAACUCAAACCGCUACAUACGCUAUUGCAACCCAAUUGAGGGCCCAUUUUUGUUUAUUUUGUUGAAAAGCAGUUUGCGCAAUUAAUUCAAACUGCUACACACGCUAUUGCAUCUUUUGAAAAAGAAAAAUGGAAUAGUUUUUCAAAAUUAGUUUAGAGAAUAAGAUUUACUAAUAAUGAUGUUAGAAAUCUUAAUAUUUGAAUCUUAAUAUUAUCUAUCACUCGUUUAUUAAAUAAUAGAUUUCAUAGUUUGUAAAAUUACUUAACCACUUGAUAAAUGUUAUAUUUGUUGGGACUAGAUUGGGACUUAAAUAUUGGAAUAUCUAGUAUUGCAUAAAAAAAAAAAAACUUAACAAUUUAUCUUCACACGACUAAUUGUUUUUACAUCACAACUAACCUUAAUUAUUUUAAAAGUUAUAGUAUUAUUAAAUUGCCCUAACUAGUUAUCAAAAGGUGAAAGCAUGUUUAAAAAAGAAAUUACUAAGAAACAUUUGUUUAAACGAAGGUUAAGGUUAUGAUCAAUUAAUUAAGAAGAAACUUACUAUCAAAGGUUAAGAUUAUGAACAAUUUAAGGAAGUUAUUGAGUAGAGAAAGGGACAGAAUGGUUGUCUGAUUUGUCGGUGACAAGAAUGCUUGUGUUGUGAAAAGAAAGCCGAUGGUUUGUAAAUUUGUUGAAUUGGUCCCAAUUAGUAUAGUAACCAUCUAUUGAGCGGUAAAAUAUUAAUUUAAAUAGUCAUGAAAUCUAAUAUAUAAUAGAUUACUAACACACAUAAAUUAAAACUUAAUUGUCAGAAAUCAUAACAUUAUUCUAAGCUUCAGUGGAGUUCUCUUAACAGAUUAUGUGAGAUUGCCUAUAUUAAAAAUAUGUUGAGACUGCUUGUUGAAAGCAAUAUUCGCUUUUCCAUUAUAUCCAUAACUUUGAAUUGAUAAAGUUGUAUUCAGCAGCUCUUGAAAAGACUAAUUUAUUUUAACUAGUCAUAGAAAUAAGAGAGAAAAGGGGCUAUUUCUUGACUCAAAGUCAAUUAUAAUUAUCAAAACUUGAGGGGACAUCGCAUGCCUAAAUUCCACGCACCCUAAUACGGUUUGAUUUGCUUUCACGCGUUCAUGAAUUUCCAUGAAAGAGCCUGCCUUUCGUCUCUUUCGGGACAGUGACUACAAUAAUGGAAAAAAUUAUAAUUCUCGUUAGAUUGUAACCAAAUUAUUAUCCCUAAUUUUUUUAAGUUACAUAUAAUAAAAUUCAUGCUUAAGUAUUUAGUAAUUAGAGAGAGAUAGAGAGGAUUGAGGGCCAAUGUUUCGCGAUUUGGGGUCAAUUCAAAGUCAACUAACGUGAAAAACACGUGUAUGCAUAGAAAACGCUUAGAUUAUUUGUGUUCCAAGUGCAAGAAAUUAAGAAAAGAAAAAUUGAUUUCCUUUCAUGAACUUCCAAGAAAGAAAGAAGACCCUUCACCUUCUUCGUUACAACAAAUGAAUGAAUGAUGUUGAUAUGACAAAUACAAGCGCUAUUACAGGGAACAACAUAAGACUGAGACUUGAUAAAGUGUUUGUUAAAUUACAUGUUAUUUUCUUUUAACUUGAAUGAUGUUGAAAAUAAAAUAAAAUAAAAUUGUAAUCAGGGUGAUGUGUGGAAUAUAGUGAAAUAAAUAAAUAGAGAAGAGAAAUUUGUUGAUCAAUAUUAAAGACACAUCCAAAGUGAUCGUCAAAGUCUAGAGGUUCGGUAUGAUUAGCAUUUAUUUUAUUUUUUUUGGCUUAGCAUCAUAUAUAGUCACCUGUCGUGUGAUCUAGGACAGGUUUAGAAAUCCUUUUAUUUUAACUUCUGUAUUCUUAUUAUUUAAUUAGUUAUAGGGUUUUUAAGUAUUUGAGUAUUGAUCACAUGUCUCCUAAUCUAAAAAUAUGUUUUUACGAGUACAAAUAACAAACUAGGAUUUUAACAGCCUUUUAUACUAAACCCUAAAAAUACAUGAAUUUAUCAAAAUAAGUAAAUUAAUUUAAAUUAGUAUGGCAUAGUAGAAGUUUUACCUGCCGAAACAAAUUAAAAAAAUAUUACACUUAAAUCAAAUAUUGACAAAAAUAGAUAACAAUCUAAUGAGAAUCUUAACUAGACAUUUUUACUUCUAUCCAAUUUAACUGGAAUGAGAAUUAAGUCAUGUCAAUAGUUAGGACUCAUAACUCAUACACACUAAUUUGAGAGUGUGGGGUGUGACAAUGGGUCAAAAGACCAUUGACAAGUAUAAAAGAGUGGUCGUAAUUAAUUCAAACCGCUACACACGCUAUAUUGAGGGCCCACUUUUGUUUAUUUCGUUGAAAAGUAGUUUUCACAAUUAAUUCAAACUGCUACACAUGCUAUUGCGUUUUUUUUUUUUUUUUUUUUUUUGAAGGGAAGCAAUUUCAUUAAACCAAAACGAAUUACAGACUAUGUAAUAACCACAAAGGUGGAACGAAAUUCCACUCUUGGGGACCUGACAUAGAACCUACUGCCCUUGCAACAGAGUGAGCAGCCAGGUUCGUAGACCGACGUACAAACGAGAAUUGUACUUCUCCUAAAGACUUAGCUAAAGCUCGACAUUCAUCAACUAUUAAACCAAAACCGUUAGGCCCUGAAAACUCCUCAACUAGAGCUUGAAAUACUUGUAAACAAUCAGUUUCAACAAUGACACAAGGAAAUUGUAAGCCUUUAAGCCAACUAAGGGCCUCCCGAAUACCAAGAGCUUCAGCCUCCCUUGCUCCAAAAUUCCCAGCCAUUCCAGCACAUCUUGCUGUUAAGAAAACACCCUCUGAAUUUCGAAGCACACACCCAAAACCAAUAUUUCCCUGAGAUGAAAAGAUAGCAGCGUCAACAUUACGUUUGACCCAACCAAACUUUGGCCUCUCCCAACAUAUUGCCCCAUGGACCAGCUUAUGGACAUCAGUAUCAGCAUAGAAUUGUUGCUUCUUUGCUGCUUGCCACUGAUAGAGAAGUUGCCCAGCAGAAUUGAGCACUUGAUUCACUGAACCAGUUUUGUUAUUCCAUACUUUGUCAUUCCGAUUAAUCCAAACUCUCCAGCAGAUCAUCAUGGCAACAUGGCAUUCUUCUUUGCUGCAGCGUGUAAAGAUGUGAUCAAGCCACUCUAAGAAAGAAUAACAAUGGCCAACAAAACCCACAGAGGAAGAAAUCCAGCAAGCCUUAGCAACAUUACACUCAACCAACGAAUGGAGAAUAGUUUCAUCAGAAGCAAGACACACAGCACAAGUAGGGGGGAUAUUCACCCUCUUAGAAAUUAAAUUAACUGCAGUAGGCAGCACAUUAGUUGCCGCUCGCCAAACAAAAUUCUUAACCUUAUUCGGCACAUUCAAGUUCCAUAGUUUUCGCCACACAUCUGUGAAAGGGCCAGGGGUAAGAGAAUGUAAAACGUUAUAACAGCUACGGACUGAAUAGCAUCCGCGAGAAUCAGCCAACCAAUACCACACAUCAUCAUUUCGGCGGGAACUAAGGGGAAUUUGAAGAAUCAACUCCUUGUCUCUUGCGUUGAAAAGAUCCAAAACAAGAUCAUAAUCCCAAGCUCGUUGAUUAGGCACCAGUAAACUACUAACAGGAGCUGCAGCAAGCUCGGCAUGGAGAUUAGAAGGAACAAAUCCAUUAUUAGUAUCAGGAAGCCACGGAUCCUUACCAAUGAAGAUCGAAUUUCCACAGCCAACUUGCAGUCUACUCCCUUGAAUUACCACAUCCUUUGCAGCCAAAAUAGAGCGCCACAUAUAGCUAGGAUUAUGCCCCGCAGAAGCUUGAAGAACAGAGGUGCGCGGAUGGUAGCGAGCUUUAAUUAUCUUGGCCACAAGAGAUUCCGGACAAGUUAACAGCUUCCACAUUUCCUUUCCUAACAUCGCUAUAUUGAAUAAAUGAAGUUGUUUAAAACCAAGGCCACCAUAUCCUUUUGGUUUGCACAGAUUUUCCCAUUUGGACCAGUUUAAAAAAGAAAAAUGGAAUAGUUUUCCAAAAUUAAUUCAGAGAAGAAGAUUUACUAAUAAUGAUGUUAGAAAUCUUAAUAUUAUGUAUCACUCAUUUAUUAAAUAAUAGAUUUCAUAGUUUGUAAAUUUACUUAACCACUUGAUAAAUGUUAUAUUUGUUUGAAUUGAUCCAAUAGCUCUUGAAAAGCACAUAAUAAUCAUUAUAAAUUUAAUCAAAGACUAAGCAGGUCUUCUUUGCAUUUGAUCACUGGCAUUUCAGUUAAGUUUGUCAUUUAUUUAAAUUUUUCUUGCUUUCAAUUUCCACUGUUGUUUUUUUUAAUAAAAUAAUUUAUUUAAACUAGUCAUAGAAAUAAGAGAGAAAGGGCGCCAUUUCUUGACUCAAAGUCAAUUAUAAUUAUCAAAACUUGAGCGGACAUUGCAUGCCUAAAUUCCACGCACCCUAAAACGGUUUGAUUUGCUUUCACGCGUUCAUGAUUUUGCAUGAAAGAGAGUGCCUCUCGUCUCUUUCCGGACAGUGACUGCAAUUAUGUUAACGUGACGAAUACAAAACGUUAUUACAUACAAGAAUAAGUUUUUGGAGCCGAUACUUGAGGGAGGUUCUAUCUAAUUCUAAAGAUUGUAACCAAAUCAUUAUCCCUAAUUUUUUUAAGUUAAAUAAAAUAAAAUUCAUGCUUAAGUAUAAAUAAUUUUUUUAAGUUAAAUAUAAAAUAAAAUUCAUGAACUUCCUAGAAAGAAAGAAGACCCUUCACCUUCUUCGCGACAACAAAUGAUGUUGACAUGACAAAUACAAGCUCUAUUACAGGGAACAGCAUGAGACCGAGACUUGAUAAAUAUUAAAUAUAUAAAAUAAGUGGAGCAAACGAACAGAAUAAUAGAUUUUUAUAAUAUUCUUCAUAAAAAUCCAAGUUUUGAGCUGGCCUAUAAGCUUAUCUAGUGAAGUCUGGGUAUCCGCGUUGCCCAAGGUUCCGUUUGAAUCCAGGCCGUGUAGAUGUUUAAGACAUCGCAUAUGGACGGAGUGGAAAUAUUUUCAGUUGACUGAAUUAAAUAAAAAUAUAUUACAAUCAUAUUAUAUAUUAGCAGCAAAAAUAAAAAGAAAUGAAGAAAAACGCAUGCAAGACUUAGACAAGUCAAUUAAAAGCUGGGAGUAUCAUCAGUUCAAUUGAUUAUAAAUAGCGUAGAGCCAUCCUCUCGUUGUUGCAGAACUGAAGCAAAGAGACUCAGAAAGAGUGUGUGUAGGUGAUUAUAAUUAAGAAGAUAUAAUGUGUGGUUCAAAAAGAGUGUGGGUGAGUGAGUUAAUUUUCAUAUUAUUAGUAGUAAAAGGGUGGUGGAGUGAGGGAUGUUUGGAGCAAGAGAGGUCUGCUCUCCUACAACUCAGACAUUUCUUCAAUGAUGAUCAACUUCUUCAAAACUGGGUAGACGAUGAGUAUUAUUCAGAUUGUUGUCAGUGGGAACGGGUUGAGUGCAACGACACCACUGGAAGAGUGAUUGAAUUACAACUACUAGAAACUCGAAAACAGGGAUCAGCAGAGUGGUAUAUGAAUGCCUCUCUGUUUACUCCAUUUCAACAAUUAGAGUCUCUUGAUUUAAUGGGGAACAAUAUAGCCGGUUGUGUUGAAAAUGAAGGUCCUUAAUUUACUCUAUUUUAAUUCUUCCUCGUAAUUUCUUACAUUUAUCUGAUCCCUUUUGAUUUUUGUUUAAUUUAUUCGUGAUACAAUAAAAUUACUUUUUAUUUUUUGUCAGGUCUAGAUAGGUUAUCAAGGUUGAACAACUUGAAGUUUCUUUACUUAAACCUUAACCACUUCAACAACAGCAUCUUUUCAUCCAUAGGUGGUCUUUCAUCACUCAGACGCUUAUCAUUGGCUAGUAAUGAAUUGAAUGGAAGUAUUGAUAUUAAAGGUAAGCAAGCUUCAUCCCUUCUCCCGUGUCCCAUCUUUUGUGGAUCUUAUUUUAUUGACCGGCUGGAAGUAUUGAUAUAAGAUCUGGCUAGACUCUUGCUAGUUUAAGCUUCAAGGAUUUAAAUAUUAUAAAAAUAGGUUUAAGAAAUUAUCAAUAUAUGCAAUUUUCAAUGCUUCUCAUAAUCAGACACAAUUCAAUCUAAUUAUUUUGUAUGUCCUGUCUUCAAAAGUAAAGAAUUGUACACUAAAUGGAAAUCGACAUCGUAGCUUUUUAUUUUUUCUAAUGCUCUUUUUUCGUUAACGAGUUUAUAUCCUAAGAGGGAUUGGAUUGAAAAAAAAAAAAGUUUUGAUGUUCAAGGUAGGCCAUAAUAACCCGCAUCUUAUUUGUCUGCCUGUAUCUAAAUUUGUGCACUGAAUUUAGUAUUUUGGUUAUUGUGAAGGGAUCAGAUAUUGGCUUCCAUAGACCAACUUGUAUUUAGUUAAUUAAUUAAUUAACGACAUUUAAUAUUUAACAAAUUAAAAUUUCGUGUUUAAUCUAUUUUAAUUUUUUUAAGAAAAAAGAAAAAGAUAUAGCAAUAGGUAAAGCUAAAAUAAAUUUUAAUUCCUUACAAAUUUAAAUUCAUGGUUGUCAGCUAAAUAUACUUACUUAAAGCCACUCAGUCGAGCCCUUUGAGAGCUGCUUUAAAUUUUUAGCCAUAUUCUUUUCUUAUUAAUAAAAUUCUUUUCGCUGAGAUUUAACAUAAAAAAAGGAGAAAAUAAGUUAUUUAAUUAACUCUGUUUUAAGUGUUGGAAUAAAUACAGGACUGGAAUCCUUGAGUAACUUGGAGGAGCUGGGCAUGAGCGACAAUGCAAUCGACAAUCUAGUGGUUCCUAAAGGUAUACAAAAUGUUCAAAUAUUAAUAAUUUGGAGGACAGUUUAAUUGAUUUGAUUAGGGAAUGCCCAAUGACACUUACCCAAAAUAAUUUAAUCCGAAAUUGUAUCCCAAAUAGAUUACAGAGGUUUGAGGUAGUUGAAUACCUUUUAUUUGGGGAGGGGGGGGGGGGGGAGGGAGGGAAAUUGCAGUGAUAUAUGGAAGCAAGGUGUUGCAAUAAAUAAAGAAAUUCGUUGGUCAAUAUUCAAGGACUCAUCCAAAGUAAUCGUUAAAGUCUAAAGGUCUGCUCUCCUCCAACUCAAACAUUUCUUCAAUGAUGAGAAUUAUUCAGAUUGUUGUCAGUGGGAAGGGGUUGAGUGCAACAACACCACUGGCAGAGUGAUUAAAUUAGAUCUAGGAGCCACUAGAAAUCGGGAAUCAGCAGAGUGGCAUAUGAAUGCUUCUCUGUUUUCUCCAUUUCAACAAUUAGAAUCUCUUGAUUUAACUGGGAACAAUAUAGCCGUUUGUGUUGAAAAUGAAGGUCCUCAAUUUACUCUACUCUAAUUCUCCCUCGUAAUUUCUAGCAUUUAUCUGAUCCCUUUUAGCUUGUGUUUAAUUUGUACGUGAUACAAUAAAAUUAGGUUUUAUUUUUUAUUUUUUAUUUUUUGGCAGGUCUAGAUAAGUUAUCAAGGUUGAACAACUUGAAGUCUCUUUAUUUAGACUUUAACCACUUCAACAACAGCAUCUUUUCAUCUCUAGGUGAUCUUUCAUCACUCAAACACUUUUCAUUGGCUGGUAAUGAAUUGAAUGGAAGUAUUGAUAUUGAAGGUGAGUAAGCUUCAUCCCUUCUCCCGUGUCCCAUCUUUUGUGGAUCUUAUUUCAUUGAGCAGCUGGAGGUACUGAUGUUAGAUCUAGCUAGACUCUUGCUAGUUUAGGCUUCAAGGCUUCGAUUACUAUAAAAAUAGGUGUAAGAAAUCAUCAAUACAUGCAAUUUUCAGUGCUUCUCAAAAUCAGACACAGUUUAGUCUAAUUAUUUUGUAUGUCCCGUCUUUAAAAGUAAAGAAUUGUAUUGUAAUUGGAAAUCGACAACGUAGCUUUUCAUUUUCUGUAAUGCUCUUUCUUCGUUAACAAGUUUAUAUCUUAAGAGAGAUUGGAUUCGGAAAAAGUUUUCACGCUCAAGGUAAGCCAUAAUAACUUCUUUCUUCGUUAACAAGUUCAUUAGUUCAAUUGGCAACUGUUUUUUAAGUUUUUCUGGUUAGCCGUAUACUUUUUUGCUUAUUAAUAAAAUUCUUUUGCGCCGAGAUUUAAAAAUAAAGGAGGAGAAAAUAAGUUAUUUAAUUAACCUUGUUUUAAGUGUUGGCAUAAAUACAGGACUGGAUUCCUUGAGUAACUUGGAGGUGCUGGACAUGAGCUUCAAUGCAAUCGACAAUCUUGUGGUUCCUAAAGGUAUACAAAAUGUUCAAAUAUUAAUAAUUUGGAGGACAAUUUAAUAGAUUUGAUUAGGGAAUGCCCAAUGACACUUAUCCAAAAUAAUUUAAUCCGAAAUUGUAUCCCAAAUAGAUUACAGAGGCUUGAGGAAGUUGAAUACCCUUGUCUUAGGGGGAACGGAAAUUGCAAUGAUAGAUGGAAGUAAGGCGUUGCAAUCAAUAGGAUCACUACUGUCCCUCAAAACACUUUACCUUUUGUAUACUAAUUUUACAGGAACAGUAGUUAAUCAAGGUAAGUAAAUCUUUUAUGUCGAAAAUAAUUGAAUUAAUAUAUAUAGCUAAAAUUUAUUGUUUCUAUUUCUUUCUAAAUAGAAUUACACAAUUUCACCAACUUGGAAGAAUUGAUAUUGGUCGAGUCUGAUCUCCAUGUAAGCCAGCUUCUGCAAAGCAUCGCAUCAUUCACUUCGUUAAAGUAUUUGUCAAUGCAAGUUAGUGUACUCAAGGGUGCCCUGCAUGGUCAAGGUAAAUUACGGGUAUCUGAAGCUUUUGUGAUAUUAAUUCGAUAAUGAUUCUUUCUUUUCAAGUUUAUUUUCUCCCGUAAAAUAAUAUUUUUUUCUUUUAAAUUUUAUAUACUUUCACUGUCCAAUAGUUCUACCUUCUCUAAAUUGUAGGAUUCUUGAUUAAGGUUAAUGAAUUUUUAGUUCUGUUAUGUUAAGAAUAUUUCGAUCGCUUAGAAGAGUAAGGAAAAAUAAGUAAAUUAACCCAAAAAAGAGAAAAGAACAGGACCGGAUUAUCCUUAUUCCCUUGCAUUAUGUGAUCAAUAUCAAAAUUAUAACCAUUUCUUGUUUAUUGCUUGUAGAUUUUCAUAAAUUCAAGAAUUUGGAACAUCUGGACAUGGAUUGGGUGCAGGUUAACGUCAACACCAGUUUUUUUCAAAUUGUCGGCGAAUCGAUGCCUUCUCUCAAGUUUUUAUCACUGGCAAAUUCAAGUCUUAAUAAAAACACCAUUCUUGAUCAAGGUUAAUUAAUGAUUCUCCUUCUCCCUCUCUCGCAUCAUAACUAAAUUUAAUUGAGAAUAUCUAUAAUGCUAGCUAUUUAUAAACUUAAUGAAAGUUGAUGAGGAGCCAUAUUAAUGACAAAAACAACUGUAAAAUAGUGCGCUGUUGUAGCGUUGAUUGAAAAAUAAUGCUAAUGUUUUACUUAACAACACUAUAAGUGAUCAAACUUAAUUUUUAAUGUGUACUUUAAAGAUUUUAUGCAAUUAUUUAAGUUUUAUGCAAUUAUAUUUUUCAGGACUUUGUCGGUUAGUGCAUCUGCAAGAGUUAUACAUCAGCGGUAAUGAUUUGAGAGGUAGCUUGCCAUGGUGCUUGGCAAACAUGACAUCCCUCCAAGUGUUAGAUGCCUCUUCUAAUCAACUUACUGGAAACUUUUCCCCAGGCCUUUGUGAGUUGGUGCUUCUGAGAGAGUUAUACAUUCACAACAAUGAUUUAAGAGGUAGCUUGCCUUUGUGCUUGGCAAAUUUGACUUCCCUUCGAGUAUUAGAUGUCUCUUACAAUCAACUUACUGAAAACAUCUCAUCUUCCCUCAUGCAUCUAAUAUCUAUGGAAAAGCUCAUACUUUCAAAUAAUCACUUCUUCCAAAUCCCUAUUUCACUUAAACCACUUUUCAAUCUCUCAAAACUCAAGACUUUCGAGGGUGAAAUAUGCGCAGAAACUGAGUCACAUUAUAAUUCUUUGACCCCAAAAUUCCAAUUGACUUCUAUCUCACUGUCUGGUUACAUAGAUGGUGGCACAUUUCCCAAAUUCUUGUACCAUCAGCAUGACUUGAAGAAUGCUGAUCUCUCACACCUUAACUUGAGUGGAAAUUUUCCAAAUUGGUUGGUAGAUAACAAUACGAACUUAGAGACGCUUCUUCUUGCCAACAACUCUCUUUUUGGAUCAUUUCGGAUGCCAAUUCAUUCCCACCAAAAAUUGGCAAAAUUGGAUGUCUCCAACAAUUUCUUUCAAGGCCAUAUUCCGGUGGAAAUCGAAACAUAUCUGCCAGUCUUAAUGGGUUUAAACUUAUCUAGAAAUGCUUUCAACGGUAGUAUUCCCUCUUCAUUUGCUGAUAUGAAAAUGUUGGAAAGGUUGGACAUAUCCUACAAUCAGUUGACUGGUGAAAUCCCUGAGCGCAUGGCCACGGGUUGCUUCUCAUUGGAAAUUCUUGCAUUGUCAAACAACAGUUUGCAAGGUCAUAUAUUCUCUAAAAAAUUUAACUUGACAAAUUUAUUAAGGUUGCAGUUGGAUGGUAAUAAUUUCAUUGGAGAGAUCCCAGAAAGCUUAUCUAAGUGCCGUUUGUUAGGAGGAUUAUAUCUGAGUGAUAAUCAUCUCACUGGUGAGAUUCCAAGAUGGUUGGGUAAUUUGUCAUUUUUACAAGAUAUUAUAAUGCCCAAUAACAAUCUUGAAGGGCCAAUUCCAAUCGAGUUUUGUCAGCUUGAUUCUCUGAAGAUUUUAGACCUUUCAAACAAUAGUAUUUUUGGAACUUUACCAUCUUGUUUUAGUCCAGCAUCUAUCGAACAAGUUCAUUUGUCGAAAAACAAGAUAGAAGGACGGUUGGAAAGUAUAAUCCAUGACAGCCCCAAUUUGGUGACAUUAGAUCUCAGUUAUAACCGCUUACACGGAAGUAUUCCAAAUCGGAUUGACAGACUACCUCUGUUAAGCUACCUUCUUUUAGCUAAUAAUUAUAUUGAAGGCAAAAUACCAGUUCAAUUAUGCCAGUUGAAGGAAGUGCGGUUGAUUGAUCUUUCUCAUAAUAAUCUAUCUGGUCAUAUUCCUCCUUGCUUGGUUAACACUUCACUCAGUGAAGGUCAUCAUGAGGCAAUAGCUCCAACUUCUAGUUCGCGGGAUCAAGCGUCUGCCUCUGUACUUCCAUCUGAGGCUCCAAAUGGAUCUCCGAUGGGAAAGGAAGAAACUGUACAGUUCACAACAAAGAAUAUGUCCUACUAUUAUCAAGGAAGAAUUUUGACGAGUAUGUCUGGGAUUGAUCUUUCUUGUAACAAACUGAUAGGUGAGAUUCCUCCUCAAAUUGGAUAUCUUACAAGGAUUCAUGCGCUAAAUCUAUCUCAUAACAAUUUGACGGGCACAAUCCCGACAACAUUUUCAAACCUGAAGCAAAUCGAAAGCUUGGACCUCUCCUACAACCUAUUGCAUGGGAAAAUCCCUUCUCAGCUCACUGUGCUAACUACAUUGGCGGCCUUCAGAGUAGCAUACAAUAACUUAUCAGGCAAAAUUCCGGAUAGAGUUGCACAAUUUUCAACUUUCGAGGAAGAUAGCUAUGAGGGGAAUCCUUUUCUUUGUGGAUGGCCACUGUCUAAAAGUUGCGAUGAUAAUGGAUUAACAACAGUGACAACAGAAGCUUACACUGAAAAUGAAGAAGUUGAUAGUUUAAUUGACAUGGACAGUUUCCUGAUCACUUUUACAGUAUCUUAUGGAAUUGUGAUAUUAGGAAUUAUUGGAGUUUUGUACGUAAACCCCUAUUGGCGGCGAAGUUGGUUUUACCUUGUUGAAGUAUGUAUGACCUCUUGCUACUAUUUUGCAGCAGACAAUCUUGUUCCUAGAAAAUUCUAUGGUGGAUGGAUGUAAUUUCAUUACAUUACAACUUAUAUGUAAUUUUCAAAGAAUUUUCUUUUGCAUGCAUGGAAUAGCAACUCAAUAAAAGUAUUUGAUGCAAAUUGUCCAAGAACAACUUAGUAAUUUCAUUGCUACUAUUCGGUUGUAUGUAUACAGUUAAUGAAAUUUUUAACCAUUCGCAGAAUACCCUUAGGAAUUUCUUUAGAUGGCGGCAAAAAACUAAGAGAUUCGGGGCUCUACACGGUCUGAAUGAAGAUUAACUUAAUGCCCUCAGGAUUAUGUGUAAGUUCUCUUUUAAAUUUAAGGGGUUGAGAUUUCAGGUCCGGAUGAAAGUUGAAUGCAGGUGACGAGACUUCACUGGGACAAACUUAAAAUAAAAAAUUAUAGUCCACAGUAAGAGCAAUGGGUAGCUUAACUUAUGGAAGAUAACUAGAACUUGGAAUAACUUAAAUUAGCUAUAAAAUUAAGACCAUUAUACAACUAAAAAGAAAGAAAAAUUGUUUGCUACUACAUAUCAAAACUAGUAAUAGCAAUGAAAGAUGGCAGACUUCUUACUUAAACAGAUGAGAGGCUACAAAUAAAAAAUUUGUGCAAAUAAAUAUAUGAUAAAGAGCAUAAUACUUUCUUGGGGGCUAAAAAUAAUAUACAACUUGUGAAAUAUAAAUUGAGCUACCGUUACCUUUUAGAUGUGGCAACUUUCGACUUUUGAGGCACUUUGGAAUAUGCAUUCAGAAUCCUGCAUUUGGAAGCCAAAUAAAUAAUGUUAAUAACAAUUUUACAAUAGAAAAAUUAAAAAUUGAUAAAUGGCAGUUGUAAUUUAUGUAUGUGUAAAGAUAGCAUCACAUCCAGGGUCCUCCCAUAAACAUGCUUGUAACAAGAAUUAGUUUGCCUCAACUGCUAGCAACUAUACAAUAGUAAAAAUCACUCUUAUGAACUCAACAAUACUAGGCACCAAUAAGAGUAUGAUACAGCCAUUCUAAAUGGAAGAGAAUACAACUGUUUUACAACUAUGUUGCAUCAGGAGAUAUGUUAGGAGUUUUAAUCCAGAUACCUUCCAACCCAAUUAGGAAAACUCGAGUCAGAAACCAGGAGCUGCAACCGAACCUUACAAUCUUGAAGGAAGAAGGAGACUUGGGGCAUUUUUCUAGAUAGGUGACUUACUAGAUCUACUGCCAAGAAAAUAUCUAUUGCUUUGAACCUCCAUUGAAAUUUCUUUUCCCUUUUUCUUAUUUUGACUUGGAACUUUCCAGCAUCAUCUAUUUGAUCUUUUUUAAAGCUAAAAUAGCAAUCUACGGGUUGUCAACAUCUUAUCCCCCCCCCCCCCCCCCGAGGGGCCCCCAAAAAAAAAAACAUCAAUGAGUUGUCAAUAAAUAGCGCCUACUCAACUUAUGUUCUCCAAUGGAUGACAAUGUGCAAAUCGACCUAGCAGCCACAUUUUUCCCCCCUUUCAACCACCAUUAGGCAACUUUUCUAACCUUUCUUCAUUGCCCACGUCUACAGAACUAUCAUAUAAAGACUACAAGAUAGACGCACGGUAUCUAAAUAAUUGUACCAACCCCCUCUCCUGAUUGUCAUAAAACGGCCAAUAUUUAACGCUCGACAACAAAAUUGCAAAUACUCUAGCCUCUAUAUUAUUGGCAUAUAAAUAUUUUCGGUUAGGUACAUUAUAUUCUUCGUUCUAAAACCUCAAUUAUUAGCUAGUACUGUGAUAAAAUGAUUCAUCACUGAAAUUAAAACUAGUUCACGUACAAAUAAUCAAAACUGAAAUAGAAGCAACGAUAAACCAACCUGUAUUACGUCGAUUCAUCACAACAAACUGAAAUCGAGGCUGUGUGUUCCUGAAAAUUGAAAAAAAUAAUAAUUUCACCAACUUCAUAUGUAAUACAAUCUCCAAAACACUGAAUAUCAAAUGAAAAAAUGGAAAGCAUAAGAUAGAAAAGAAUCUAAUUUUAUUGACCUUUUGACGACGACGAGAGAGCCUUCAACAUCCUUACGACUCCAUUGGCUGAGGUCGAUGUUGAACUCGUAGAAGGUGACAUGAGCGGCCGUGAUGAGGAUCUCCUCAAUGAAUGGAUCGAUUCGCUGAAGAACUGUCAGGUUCAGGAGUUUUGUGCUCUGCUGGUCCAGAUUAAGCAUCAAUUUUCCGUUAUGCGACAUUUUUCAUAGUCGUUUUGGGCUCUGCCCCGAGCACAAGCCCCAGGGUUUUUCUGUGAGCUCUCUCUUUUGUAAAUAAAGUGUUUGAUGAGAUAGCCGAGAGAGAGUGAAAGUGUUGAACAGCCAAACACGGUCUCGAGAUUGAUCUUCCUUUAACUUCUUUUAAACAUUUGGGAAAUAGCAUUUAUUUCUUUUAGUUUCUCUACUUUUUUUUUCCUUUAUGUCAUUUAGACCCCAAAAUUAGAUUUAUUAUAAUCCUAUUUUACCCAUACACUAUUAACCCCUUUUAUUUUUAAAAUUUGUCAAUAUUAAUGUGUUAGAAUAAUGUUAAAAAUCUCAAUUAUUAUCUCAAUGUUUCAAUCAUAACUAAUGUGAUGACUCAUUGGUAACUGCAACAUUAACUUAAUUAUUAAUGUAACACAAUAAAAGUUUGCCACUUCGGCAUUGGUCGGAGUGGUGGGAUGCUUGUGAGGGCAGCGGUUCAAGCCCCCACAAAAGCAUUUGUGGGGGCUAACGUUGUGGGGGCUAACGUGCUUAUUUGUUUAAUAUUUCAAAAAUUUCCUCUCCCUCGUGCAAUACGAGUGGAGUAUGGACAUCCCUCUUCUGUAAGGGAUUAUUUGUCUGGGCAUGUACUUCACAGAAUUCAAUGUAAUAAUAUAAGUCCCAAUCAUGUAUUUCUGAUUGUAAAUAUCAGUGUAAUAUAUCUGCUGUUGAUGCGAGAUUCUGGUUCUCCUCGUUCUACGACCAGGAUCUCUGCUCGAUCAACUUUACCACGACCAGGAGGUCUCCUAGUAAUGCUUCUUCUCCAGAUGUCCCUGCACACACAGACAAGUCAGAGUACGCCGGUUGUUCUCCCGGCGCAAACCCUCCGACGCUCAAGUCAGAUAUGAAGGUUCGGGGAACGCUUGCCACAGGUCUUAUGGCUUUUUCGUGGUUUUCUCUUUUAUCUUAAAAAUGCUAACCCUUUUACCUUCGUUGGCUACCUUUUUAUAGGCUUCUCCGAAUCCCCGUUUUCCGCUUUUUGCCAGACGGUAUGGGACUCUGACUGCUGCGUCAUGGGCGAAGGUGGGAUCUUGCGUGUUACGCCACGGUUCUGGGGAAAGCGUGGCUGUCGUGCCUAGAUUCUCGGGCUGGAGAGCAUGUCUUGCCAACUGCCGUCGACCGGGUCUCCUCGCUUCUCGACCUCUAGCCGGAAUGAUCUUAUGCCUCUUACAGGAAAUUGACCUCGCGGAUGACGUGCUCGUGGACGAGCAGGAUAUUUCUGCUCCUGUUCCCCCGCGCAUCAGGCUUUUACGGAACACACCGGCUCGAGGAACUCUGCCCCCAGAUAUCUGCUCACCAUGCCUGGUCUCGUCGACGUAUUUCUCCUAAACACCGGUCCCCCAGUUUCUGGUGUUGGGUAAUGUAGUGGACCAGCAGUAGAAACUCGAUAGUACUCGCUCACGUGGGACUGGAAAAGGCUGCCAAGAGUCGUGUCGCAUUUAAUUGCGGACGGGGUGACGUGGCGAAAAUCCCCCCCUCCAUUUGAAUUUCAAACCGACGGUUAUGAGGCCCUCGGGAUUCGGCGCUGUUAAAUGCUGGCAACCCAAGAGUCCGUCCCCAUUAGAAAAACCAAAUCCUCUCGAACGGCAUAUUCAUCAUCCACUACGUCUCCGUCUCUGUCUCUCCGGCAAAGAAGUUCCGGCAUAAAAGUCCUCCAUCUCUGAUUUUCACCGACUGAACCAUUACUUCAGGUAUUUCUUCUAUCUCCUUGGCCUCGGAUAGUUGUAGAUAAUUUCUCUUUUCUUCUGUUUGGGUAGUAGUUGGUGGUGUUGUGGUUAGAGCUUAGGGAAUGUCGAAAGGCAAAGAGAAGGUCAUUGAGGUUGACGACGACGAGUUGGACUUCCUGCCUAGUCUGCUCACCGACCCUGCUUUUGACCCCGGGAUUCCCUUAGAGCCCACUAGGUCUAGUGUCGGGACUAGUGCUAGGAGGAUGUCUCCCCAAACAACCUCUACGAGCGGAAGUAGUGGUGAGGAGAGAUCUUCUGACUCUGAGGAUACGUUGAGUGAGAAUGGCGAAGGUGAUUCUGGUGAGGUGUCUCCAUCUAGAACAUCACGACCAGGAGAACGGGGUACAGUAGGAGGCAGAGCCUUGUCGCGCGAUUAUGCCAUUGAUUACAUGACGUGCACGACCUCGUUUGACGAGCUCAAGGACCUCCGGCUUAGGUAUAGCAUUCCUGGUGAGAUACCUCUCAAGGUCCCAGGAAAGAAGGAUGCUCCCAGCCGGCCUCCUAGGGGAUACGUUACCCUGUUUUUAGAGAGCUUUAAGUACGGGCUGAGGUGUCCCUUGCAACCCUACUUUGCCCGGAUACUUAACGGGCUAAACCUAUCUCCUGGUCAGCUGAAUCCCAAUGGGUGGAGAGUGCUCUCUGGUCUGUUCAUAUUGUGGGACAGAUGUUGCCAGAGCGAGCCCACGGUUGAUGAGGUGAGACACCUGUACCAGCUAAAGAGCAGCCCCAAAGAUGCCGGCUGGUACUACUUCCAAUCUAGCACCAAGAGCAGGAAACCUAUAACCGACCUCCCCACUGGUGGUGGUGGGAAUUGGAAGAGAAAGUUCUUUUUUGCUGGGGGUCCUUGGGGUCAGGUUGCACAAAUGAACGGGAAGGAUUAUCGGGUCCCACCCCGUUUCACGGUCCCAGGUUGCCUGCUUGCUUUUAGAUGUCUUGUAUCCAUAAGUGUUCUUGCUUUAUUGGCUUGUCUCUAACCAAGUGUCUGUUUGUGUUGUAGUUUCUUGGGGUGUUCACUUCCCGCUCCCACCCGACCAGCUCAAACGGGUCGAGGAUGUGCUCGCCAAUUCCUGCUCGAGCCGGGAACUGUUAACUACGUACAACUUGCUCGAGUCUCGCUUGAUACUUCCUGGCCAUAGGAUGGAGGACGCUGUGAUUGGGGCUCUGACCCGAAAACGUUCUCGACCCCCAACCACGAAGAGGGACCAGAGUAAGGAUGCCCCUGUGGCAAAGCGGGCCAACAUCGUGCAGCAGGUCCCACCCUUGAAGAUUUUACCUCCUGCUCCCGUAAAAAUUGGGGAAGCUGGUGGAGCUGCCACAGAUCCUGCUUCCUCUCCUCCUCCUGUCGGGCCCCGAUCUCACUUACCUGACAGCCGAGCAGAACAUCUGGUCCUCUACUUCAAUGAGUUAACUAAACUCGUGAGCAGGAAGGAUCUGGAGGACUUUGACGGCCGCACCUUGGGUGAGUUGGUGGGGGCCAUGCAGCAUAGCGCUUUCCACCUCAGCUGCAUGACCACCUAUUACAAGGCUAAGGUUGGCCGCUAUGACCGGAAGAUGAAGGAGGAUAUUCAAUCGGCGACGACCAGAGCUGACGUUGCCGAGAAGAAAGCAGGGGAGCUGAAUCUCGAGAAUCUGAAGCUGAUGGAGCAAGAAUCACUUGCUCAAGCAAAAGCCAUCGCCCUCGAGGAGGAGCUUAUCAAGGUCAGGGAGGAUCUGCAAAGGCAGAAGACAAUGUAUGAGGCUCAGCUCGAAUCUCUUCGCGACUCCCACCGAGCUCAGGCCGAGAACUUGGAGAGGGAGGCCGACAACCAGUACGACCAGGGACUUCGGUAUUCCUAUCGUUGCAUCAUGGCCGUCCUCGGGAAGCAACACCCUGAUCUGAAGAUGGGUGACCUUGCGGCUGGUGUUGCUCAACAUAUGGACGAGGAGGCGGCCAAGGAGGAUGCCAAAGGGGUAGAGCCGAUCGUGAUAGAGGAGGAAAACUCUCCUCCUCAUGUAGUCCCUGCUGAUGUUGGCGAGGCGAGCACCCACCCCAAUGCCUCUAGUGAUACCCCUCCUGCACCUGAGGAGGUCCAGCCAACCGAUGCCGCUGGGCUCACUGAUCCACCAUCUUCUUGAUAUAUUUCUUGUAUUGUAAUGACAAUGUUUAUGAAGAUUAUUCCCUCUGUUAAUUAUUAACAAAUUAAUAAAAAUGUUUUUGAUCACCUUCUUGUGUCGUAAUUACGAAUUAAUUUUCGUUUGAGAAUCUGCUUGUCUUUGUCUAAACGAGCAGGUUCCGGCUUGGCUCAUGGUUUUGCCACAUGCCUUUGAAGAUUUUUCAAUGCUUGGGAUUCGGUUUGCCUUCGCGCAGUUGAGCAGAUCCUGGCACGCUUGGCUUCUGUCUCGCCAUAAGAUAGGCUUUGAGACUUGACGAGCCUUUGCAUGCCUUGGAUUCUUCAAAGCUCAGGAUUCUGCUGCCUUCUCGUGGCCGAGCAGAUCCUGGCAUGCUUGGCUUCUGUCUCGCCAUAAGACAGGCUUUGAGACUUGACGAGCCUUUGCAUGCCUUGGAUUCUUCAAGGGUUGGGAUUCUGCUGCCUUCUCGUGGCCGAGCAGAUCCUGGCAUGCUUGGCUUCGGUCUCGCCAUAAGACAGGCUUUGAGACUUGACGAGCCUUUGCAUGCCUUGGAUUCUUCAAGGGUUGGGAUUCUGCUGCCUUCUCGUGGCCGAGCAGAUCCUGGCACGCUUGGCUUCUGUCUCGCCAUAAGACAGGCUUUGAGACUUGAUGAGUCUUUGCAUGCCUUGGAUUCUUCAAGGGUUGGGAUUCUGCUGCCUUCUCGUGGCCGAGCAGAUCCUGGCAUGCUUGGCUUCUGUCUCGCCAUAAGACAUGCUUUGAGACUUGACGAGCCUUUGCAUGCCUUGGAUAAUUUCUUGGUUUCAAGCGUAAAAUUGCUUCAUUAAUGGCAGGAUUCGACUUACAUAAAAUUGUUUGGGACAUAAAGCGUAAAAGAUAAACGAUAAUGAGCAUGAGCAGAAAUAGCUCUCAAAUGUGAACAAAUCUUACUGGAAGUAUUUUCGGAGGUGUGCUGCGUUCCAUGGGCGUUUCACCUCGUGGCCGUCCGCGCGAACCAGCCUGUAAGCUCCGGGUCCCGCUAUCUGCUUGACUCUAUAUGGCCCUUCCCAAUUCGGUCCCAGCACUCCUUGAGUCGAAUCUUUGGUGCUCUGAUUCACUCUUCUCAGUACCCAGUCUCCGACCCUGAAUUGCCGUAUGUUCACCUUCUGGUUAUAAUACCGAGCAACCCUCUGUUGGUAAGUGACUGAUCGCUCGGCUGCUUGCUCCCUCCUUUCCGUCAGCAGAUCAAGAUUCAAACAUAUCUGCUCGUCGUUCUCCUGCUCAUUGAAAUGAUCUGUCCGGUGUGUGGUCGUUCCUAUCUCAGCCGGCACGACCGCUUCGUGUCCGAAAGCCAAAGCGAACGGUGUCUCCCCCGUUGCGGUUUUGUGGGUUGUUCUGUAUGCCCAUAGCACACCUGACAGCUCGUCAACCCACGCACCCUUUUUUGCACCAAGCCUGGUUUUCAAAAGCCUCUUGAUGGUCUUGUUGGCUGCUUCUACUUGUCCAUUCGAUUGAGGGUGAGCAGGCGAGCAAUACUUCAGCUCUAUCCCGAGGUUCUGGCAGAAAUCCCUGAAGCUGUGAUUAUCGAACUGCCUGCCAUUAUCCGUUACCAAGGCAUAAGGGAUCCCGUAUCGACAGACCAGGUUUCUCCACACGAAGUCUGUUGUUUUCUUCUCCGUGAUCCUGCUAAGGGCUUCCACCUCUAUCCACUUCGUGAAGUAAUCUAUAGCAACUAUUGCAUGUGUUGCUGCUCCUCGUCCUUUUGGCAAUGGGCCGAUCAGAUCAAUUCCCCAUUGAGCAAACGGCCAAGGGGAGGCCAUAGAGGUGAGCUUCUCUGGUGAUUGGUUGGAGAAAUUUACAAAACUCUGGCAGCUUGCACAACCCCUGGUCUUCUUUUGCGCAUCCUGGUGCAUUGUCGGCCAGAAAUAUCCCUGCCUUAGGACCUUGUGGGCCAGGGACCUCCCGCCAGAAUGAUUUCCGCAAAUUCCUUCAUGUACUUCUCUCAGCACGUAAUCCGCGUCGUCGUCAUCCAAACACCGAAGGAACGGUAAUGUGUAUCCUCGCCGAUACAGUACCCCAUCGAUCAUCGUGUAUCUCGAGGCCUGAGCUCUAAUCUUCCGAGCUCGCAGCUUAUCUGGUGGUAAUACCCCGUCUCUAAGGUAUGAAACUAUCGGGUCCCUCCACGAGCAUUUUUGUUCUAUCCGCAACACCCCCAAAUUCUGCUCGAUACUUGGGCUGGACUUCACUUCUAGAGGGACGGACUUUGGCAUUUUUGGGUCGGCUACUGCUGCCAUCCUAGCCAAAAUGUCUGCUCGACUAUUCUGCUCCCUGGGGAUUUGUAUCACCUCCACUGCUUCGAACUUCCCCAUCAUCUGCCUGACUAUCUUCAGGUACUGUUCCAUCUUCUCCUCUCUUGGUUGGAAUCUUUCACUGACAUGAUUCGCAACCAGCUGGGAAUCAGUUCUGAUCUUAACUCUGUCUGCUUUCACGGCCCUAGCCAAUUCCAGGCCUGCUAUCAAGGCUUCGUACUCUGCCUGGUUAUUUGUGACUGCAAAUUCCAACUUUACAGCAUAAGAGAUCUCCUCCCCCUCUGGGCCUUCCAGGACAAUCCCUGCUCCUGAACCCCGCUCCCCUGAUGACCCAUCUACAGACAUCUGCCAUACUUGAGUUUCGUCAUUGCCUAUAACUGCAUCUUGUUGACCUAAGCAUGUUUCGGGCUCUGUGAAUUCAGCUACGAAAUCGGCCAUUGCCUGGGCCUUUAUCGCUGCGCGGGGUUUAUAGUCUAUGUCGAACUCGCUCAGCUCUACAGCCCACUUGACGAGCCGCCCAGAGGCAUCUGGCUUGUGCAGAGUCUGACGCAAUGGCUGGUCUGUUAUUACCGAGAUCGGGAAGGCUUGAAAAUAUGGCCUCAACUUCCGAGCAGCAACCACAAGGGCAAGUGCCCAUUUCUCCAACGGUGGGUACCUGGUCUCAGCGUCGAGCAGGGCCUUGCUGGUGUAGUAUAUCGGAUACUGAACUCCUUCUUCCUCUCUCACCAGAACAGAACUGGCGGCCCGAUCCGAUACCGCCAAAUACAGAUACAACUUGUCCCCAUUCCUCGGUGUGGACAGCAGCGGAGCUUGCUGCAAGUAUUGCUUCAAGUUCCGGAAGGCUUCCUCGCAUUCUGGGGUCCAUUCUGUUUUCUUUCCCCUCCUUAUCACUUGAAAGAAUGGCUGACACUUAUCUGUAGCUUUGGAUAUGAAUCUGCUCAACGCCGCCAACCUCCCCGUGAGGCCCUGCGUCUCCUUCAGGUUACGAGGAGACGUCAUUUGCACAAUCGCCUGGAUUUUCUCGGGAUUUGCUUCAAUCCCCCUAUGGCUCACCAUGAAUCCCAGGAAUUUCCCUGACUCGACCCCAAAAGCACACUUCUCCGGAUUGAGCUUCAUCUUAUACUUCCUCAAAAGCUCGAAUGUCUCCUCGAGGUGUCUGACAUGUUCCUUCGGGAUCUUGGACUUGGUGAUCAUGUCAUCCACGUACACCUCCAUGGUUUUCCCGAUCAACGGCUUAAAGACUUUGUUCACCAGCCUUUGAUAGGUGGCCCCAGCAUUCUUGAGACCGAAUGGCAUCACCCUGUAACAGAACAAACCUUGGUUAGUGAUGAAAGCCGUGCUCUCCUCAUCCUGCUCGUACAUGGGGAUCUGGUUGUAUCCCGAGAAUGCGUCCAUGAAGCUAAGCAGACCAUGUCCAGCUGUUGAAUCUACUAGCUGAUCGAUCCUUGGUAAAGGGAAGCUGUCUUUUGGGCACGCCUUGUUGAGGUCUGUGAAAUCCACACACAUCCUCCACUUGCCGUUUGCCUUCUUUACCAACACCACAUUUGAUAUCCACUCUGGGUAACUGACUUCCCGAAUGAACCCUGCUCUCAGGAGCUUCUCCACCUCGUCAUUUACAGCCUCAUACCUCUCCUGGUUGAAGCACCUCCUCUUCUGCCUUACUGCCCGAGCACCUUUCUUUAUUGCCAGCUUAUGACACGCUACCUCAGGGUCAAUCCCUGGCAUGUCUUCAUGUGUCCAGGCAAACACAUCAGCAUGAGCCUGUAAGCAUUUCACCAACUCCUGCUUUUGCUCUCCCUUCAGUCUCGACCCGAUUCUGAUCGUCUUUCCCGGGUUCUCUGGUCCCAUGCUUACCGUUUCCAGAUCCUCUACAGGUUCUUGUCUGCCAGUCUUGUUUUCUACUCGGGUAUCGAAGGAUGUUAUCUGCAUUGCCUCCCUUGCUGCCGAGGAGUAGCAGCUUCUUGCGAUCCUCUGGUCUCCUCGUACCACUCCUACUACCCCAUUCACCCGGUACUUCAGAGCCAGAUAAUGGUUGGACAAUACCGCUUUGCUCAUCCUUAAAAACGGCCGACCUAGGAUCAUCUGGUAAGGACCUUCCUCAUCCACUACGACAAAGUCCAGUAUCAUUGUUCUUUCUGUUAGGGGGCUCCCAAUUGUGAUAGGUAGUUCGACCACGCCCAGGGGAACCAGCUUCCCUCCUCCGAACCCCUUCAAGGAGGUGUUGGUGUAUUCCAACUUCCGGUCGGCUAUUCCCAUCUCUUCCAGGGUUGACUUAAAUAACACAUCAACUGAGCUCCCUGUAUCAACCAGUAUCCGGUCAAACUUCUUGCUAGCGACCGUAGCCUUGAUGACUAAGGCAUCCUCGUGGGGGUAUAGGAUCCCUUCCUCAUCCUCAUCCGUCCACAUGAUUGGCACUUGCCUGACCCUUGCCCGUUUGGCUGCUGGGGUGUUGAGGAGUACCUCUUUACUGGUCAUGGCGUACCUAGCAUAAUUUUUUCUCGAUCUGUUUGAAUCUCCGGCCAACGUUGGGCCCCCCGCUAUCACCCUUACUGCGGGCUGCUCGUGCCUCAAGAUUCUAUCACUCUGCUCCCCUUCAUCUGUUGUGGCCACCAUCGGGAAAGUCCCAUCCAUAAACUCGUCCAGGUACCGAUUUCUCACCAAAUCUUCGACUUGGGUCUUGAGAUCUCUACACUCUGCUGUGGUAUGGCCAUGGGUGCCAUGGAACUUACAAUAACGUCCUCUAUCCCUCCUGUUGGGUAGCUUUGUUAUUGAUGUAGGGAGGUGCAGCAGCCCUCGAUCCUUUAUAGCCUCGUACACCUCAUCCAGGGACAUCUUCAAGGGAGUGUACCGCCCAUAGUCCUGGUGCUGGUCGAUCCGAUGUACUGCUCUUUCUCUGUUUGUCCCGCUCUGAGUUGGGGGCGGUAGAAGUACUUCUGGUCUGCUCGUCCUGCUACCGUGGGAAUGUUGAUGAAGACCACCAGAUGCCGGAUCAUUUCUUGUCCAAGGUUCCCUAGCUGGGGAACGAGGAGGUUGCGCCCUGCUGCGCUGAUACUGUGGUGGCCUCUGAUGAGGCUGGUAAGCAGUGACCCUGCCUCCUGCUCCACUACCGGAGGCCUGGUGGUCCCUCCUCCUGAUCGGCCCGUUCCCUGGUAAUGCUUUCAUCUCUCUCCUCCCCAACCCUUCUAUCUGGUCUGUCUUGAUCCGUGCAGCCUUCUCCUCUUCAAUCUCGAUGUCUCUUUUAGCCUGUUCGUAUGCGGCCGCAUACGUUUGAAUAGCUGGGCUUCUCAAAUUGUACCACAGCCUUCCUAUCUUCACCCCUUCUUUCAAUCCCCUUAACGCCUGAGGGUGGUUGAAGGCUCCCAAGUCGAGGACAGCCCGAUGAAACCUCUUGAUGAAUUCCGGAAGGGUUUCUUGCUCCCCCUGUUUCAUGCUUUUUAGCUCCAUCAUGUCAUCUUCCGGUGACAUUGCCCUACUGAACUGCUCCGCGAAUUCCUGGCACAUCUGCUCGAAGGUUUUAAUGCUGCCCCGAGGAAGUUUCAUGUACCAUUCUCGUGCACGUCCCUCAAGGGAUAGUGGGAACACCCUGCACCUUUGGGAUUGAGAUAAUCCUUGUACCCCAGUUAUGUCGUUGAAGCGCUCUAUGUGCAUCAGCGGGUCAGUUCUUCCCGUGUAUCUGAAGUCGGGGAGGCGGAAAUCUCUCGGAAUAACUGCCCUCAUGAUCUCUGCUGCGAGCGGUGAUUCUCCGUCCAGCAUUAUCCUCCAACCAGGGGCUCUGUUCCUCCCUUGCAUAUCGUCAAUUAUCUGCGCUAGUCUGCGCACUUCCUCCUCCAGCUGCCCUGCACGACCAGGGUCACGUGCUGCAACUUGAUCCCGCUCUUGCUCUACAUCUUGCAAGUGUUGCCUCAACUCGGUUUCCUCUGCAUUCACCACCCCGUCGUCCGCGUCACAAGUCUGUCUUGCCGGGGACCGCUCUCUUUCUCUAUGAAAUUCUCCCCGUAGAGGUGCGUUACCUCUCUCACCACCAAAUCUCCCUGUGGUUUGACUUCUCCCCGCACUAUCGGGACCUGGUGCCACUCCACCGCCUCUCACCCUUCCCUCUUGAGUUACCCUUCGCUCGCUCCGUAGCUCAUGCAGGAUGGUUGUCAAGGUCUCCAUCUGCUUUUCCAUCCGUUCCAUCCGGUCGAACAUGACUUUUCCCGUGCUUCACUGACUAUCUCCCUCAGCGUCACGAAAUCGUUAAGCCUCAUAUCACCCCCUUGUGCACUACUUCCUCCUGUCUCCAUUGCUUUUUGCUUACUCCACCCCUCUUCUUGCUAUCAACAGAAGCUUUUUGCUCUGGGUCCCCACAGACGGCGCCAAAAUGUUGAUGCGAGAUUCCGGUUCUCCUCGUUCUACGACCAGGAUCUCUGCUCGAUCAACUUUACCACGACCAGGAGGUCUCCUAGUAAUGCUUCUUCUCCAGAUGUCCCUGCACACACAGACAAGUCAGAGUACGCCGGUUGUUCUCCCGGCGUAAACCCUCCGACGCUCAAGUCAGAUAUGAAGGUUCGGGGAACGCUUGCCACAGGUCUUAUGGCUUUUUCGUGGUUUUCUCUUUUAUCUUAAAAAUGCUAACCCUUUUACCUUCGUUGGCUACCUUUUUAUAGGCUUCUCCGAAUCCCCGUUUUCCGCUUUUUGCCAGACGGUAUGGGACUCUGACUGCUGCGUCAUGGGCGAAGGUGGGAUCUUGCGUGUUACGCCACGGUUCUGGGGAAAGCGUGGCUGUCGUGCCUAGAUUCUCGGGCUGGAGAGCAUGUCUUGCCAACUGCCGUCGACCGGGUCUCCUCGCUUCUCGACCUCUAGCCGGAAUGAUCUUAUGCCUCUUACAGGAAAUUGACCUCGCGGAUGACGUGCUCGUGGACGAGCAUGAUAUUUCUGCUCCUGUUCCCCCGCGCAUCAGGCUUUUACGGAACACACCGGCUCGAGGAACUCUGCCCCCAGAUAUCUGCUCACCAUGCCUGGUCUCGUCGACGUAUUUCUCCUAAACAUCUGCUAUAAUAGCAGUUGUAAAUAUAUGUGUAAUGCAGUAAUAUGAUGAUUAAUCAGUAUUCAAAACACAAUAAAAGUUUCGUACAGAUUUUGAUAUUGAGAGUAACACAAUAAAAGUUUCAUACAGAUUUUGCAAACGAAAAGCACAUAAUACACUUAACUAGGAGGAAAAAUUAAGGUGUAUUUAUUACAAAUUGCUAACAAUAUACAAUUGUAAAAAUCACUCUUAUGAACUCACAAAUACUAGGCAGCAAUAAGAGUAUGAUACAACCAUUCUAAAUGAAAGAGAAUACAACUGUUUUACAACUAUGUCACAUCAAGAGAUAUGUUAGCAGGAUUAAUCCAGAUACCUUCGAACCCAAUUAACGAACUCGAGUCAGAAACCAGGGGCCCCUAACUAAACCUUACAAUCUUGAAGGAAGAAGGAGACUCGUGGUCCAGAUAGGUGACUUACUAGAUCUCCUGCAAAAGAGAAUAUCUAUUGCUUUGAACCUCCAUUGAAAUUUUUUUUUCCCUUUUUCUUGUUUUGACUUGGAACUUUCCAACAUCAUCUAUUUGAUCUUUUUUUAAGGUAAAAUAGCAAUCUAUAGGUUGCCAACAUGUUAUUCUGCCAAACCCCACCCCACCCCCCCGGGGGACAACAAAUCGACCUAGCACACACCUUUCUUCAUUGCCCACACCUACAGAACUAUAAUAAAAAGACUACGUUACUAUUGGGGUAGAGAAAAUAUACAGACUGUAUUAUUAUUACAUCGCAUUUUACUAAUUAACUAGUGCAAGACUUCUUUAGUGUCAAAUCAAGAACUAAUUAGAAAAGACAACUCAUGAUAAUACAGACCUUAAUAAGCAAUUGCUAACAACAUCCCAUAUACUCCUAUUUUAGCCUUCAUUAUCCUGGUAAAAACACAAAUAAGUCUUGCAAACGAACAUUUAUAAGUAAAUUCAACAUUAAUUAAGAUUAGGUAUCUACUGCACCUAAUAGCAUGGUCAACCAUCUAGUUCCUGUAGCCUUCCAUGUACCUAUGUUAGUUACAUUUUACAUAUUAAGCCACGAAAACGAAGAAUCACAGCCUGGUAAAGAAAGACAUUAAUUAAUAGUUUUUGUUUAAAAAGUUCUCCUUUAGAUCUUUCCUAUUCAAUGAAUCAAUGUAAUCUAAAGAGAACUCUUCCAUUUCAAACAGUGUUAGAAGGUAUUUGCAAAGCCUAAAGAUAAUAUACAAGGACCAAGAUAUACACAGAUGGUUUCUUUAUGGAAUUAAAGAGCUUUAUAGAUGUUAAAACUGUUUCAAACAAUUUUUCUUGUUUGGUUUAACUAAGGAAAAGCUUGUGGAAGAUUAAAAAUGAUGUUUCCUAUUCUCUGUAGGAAACUUUUAGGAGAUUUUUUGGGCUUUUUUGAAAGGUUGAAUUGUCAAAAAUACCUUGAUGUUAUUGUUUGCUAAAAGAUGUUACGGACAUCUAAACAACCAACAACAUUUUGUUAAAAGCUCUACUAGUGUAGGAUCUACUUAAAGAAGCUAUACCAAACAGACUCUUAGACUGAAUAACUCGAUCUUAAGUUUGUAAAAUUGGGCUCAGAAUCUCCACUAACAACCCCGCUUCGGUGAGAAAGCCCAAGCCUGUUACUUUGUAUAACCUUAUUCUGUAUGUUUGAUUGCAGGAACUGGCCGAUCAUACCGACGAGGUGAGUGUGCAACAUGAGGUGCUUGACGGGAUGUUUACUUUCUAUGAUUCAACUAAAGCUAGCCUCAACAUAUAUCAGGUGCCUGCUUGUUUUUACCUUCUAGAUACUAAUAUUGUUUAGACGUGUAAUCUCUCUCUCCAUUGAACGCUAGACGGCUCGUCUCAAGCCUUCUACGUACUUCAGAGUCCUUCACUAGCUUUUUAUGUAUAAAGUUUUGAUCUUUUUCCUUCAUUUGCUUGAAGCUCAUUACUGCAGAUUUUUUUUACAGGUUGGUAGUGUAACAUUCGACUUGCUGUUGCUUCUAGUCUUGGGAUCGUAUUUAAUUGUGCUUUUCAGCUUUCUUGUCAUAACAACUAGGGUAUCACUCUUUCUCCAUAUCAAGCUUGAAGUUCUAAAUUUCAGUUUUAUCUUGUAUUUGAUGUUUUAUAAUUUCAUUGCAAACAGAUUAGAAUAGAAACUUCAAAAGUUCCAACUGACUAGUCCCGUGUAACUUUUUCAGGGAAGAUUUUCUCUCAUAACAACUACGAACGUGUUAUGGUUUAGCCCAGUGACACAAAGGACAGUUUUCAACAAUUGAUCCUAGGAAGAUGCCCAUAGCUUGUUGUGCCAAAAAUAGAAAAUCUAAGAUGCGAAAAAAUUUUGUUGAGAUUCAUUUUUCAUCCUGAUGUUACCGCUGGCCUUUUUUUUUUUUUUUUUUGGCAGAGAAUAAUGCUUAUGUGAUUUCUGAACUUGGUGAUUGUUGAAAUGAGCUGAAAAUGAGCUGGAAAUGUGUUUGGUUAAUGAGAAAGAGAGCAAGAAAAUGAAAGAAAUCUAUUUCACUUUUUAUUUAUCAGCAUGAUUACAUUCACAAUGAAUCUAAGCUGCUAUUUAUACUUAAAUGACUACACACGAGAAUCUUCUUGCUAGAUACUUCUAGAAACUCUACACGCACACUCACACUGAGCUAGUGGUUACCAAAACCGUUACAACGAUAUUGCCAGCUCAGCAUAACCAACUUAUAACUAACACACUCAGCUGCAGGGGAAACCAUCAAGCUUACUGUGCGUCCUCUGUAAUCAAGCUUCUUUAAGCAUGCUCUGCAGAUCAUACGUCUGAAUUAUCGAAACAAGAUGAAUUAUUUUUUGUUUAUUGCAGCAGGCGAUCAAUGAGCGGAAUUUCUAGCUUGUAUUCAAUUCGCGAACACAGUUUGAGAAGAAUCAGACCAUUAAUUUUCUUUUGAGCCAAUCAACAGAAUGUACAUUUCUUCUAAGAACUUGUAACCGAAACCGCAGUUUUUCAGGUUUGCUCCUUCCUCAUAGCAGUUAAUCAAACGAUAAACAGAGAUAUCCCAUGUCAACAAGAAGGUAAUCAUAAAAGAACAACAGAAUUGUUGCAACAUAUUCAUAUGAAAUGUAAAACAAUUUUGAGAAAAAAUAUUGGGAAGAUAUUUUUUUUUCAUAGAAGUUGCAAUCUUUACGUUAUUUACUAGUUUGACUAGACUAUAUAAGGAAGCUAUAUGAAAUUAGAAAAAUAAGCUAUACUAGGAAAGAAUAAAUAUGUGUACAGAAAAUUAGGCUAUAAUUUUCAAAUUAGAUGCCAGUUAAUUUUAUCAUAAUUAGAUGGUAAGAUUGCAAAUUCUGCAGCCAAAGGUGGUACGGAACUGAAUGAAGGAAAUCAAAUAUGAACAUGUUUUCAAUCUUAAAAUAUUAAGAGUAGCAUAAGUAACUUGUGAAACAGUUAUAAGUUCAAGGGAAUUAGAUGAUGGCAUGGUUGAAUUUUAUAAAUAUUUGAUAUUUUGGACCGAACAGGGCAAACAGAUGGAUCCAGAUAAUCAAGAAAAACAUCAAUUCCAUGCAACCAAAUGAGUCUAGUCAAAGAAAUUAUUCAAAGAAAUCUCUAGGUCAGUAUCCAAAUAUAUGGCUCCGUCCGUUCCACCACCACAACCAAAAAAAUCAGAUCCCCCCAUUUGGAUUCGAUUGAUUAAUUUGAGCAUAUAAAAUCGGGUUUUAAACUUCCCUAAUCAAAAUUUAUAUUCCACAGAAUCAGUUCCUUUAACAUGAUGCAUUACAUAAUAUUUUGUUUGCAAAAUAAAGAAGAAAGAUGACAUAAUAGAAACACGCUAUUGCAUCUUUUGAAAAAGAAAAACGGAAUAGUUUUCCAAAAUUAAUUCCGAGAAGAAGAUUAACUAAUAAUGAUGUUAGAAAUUUUAAUAUUUGAGUCUUAAUAUUAUGUAUCACUCAUUUAUUAAAUAAUAGAUUUCAUAAUUUGUAAAAUUACUUAACCACUUGAUAAAUGUUAUAUUUGUUGGGACUAAAUUGGAACUUAAAUGUUGGAAUAUCUAGUAUUGCAUUAAAAAAUAAAUAAAAACUUAACAAUUUAUCUUCACUUGACUAAUUGUUUUUACAUCACAACUAACCUUAAUUAUUUUGAAAGUUACAGUAUUAUUAAAUUGUCCUAACUGGUUAUCCAAAGUUGAAGCAUGUUAAAAUAAAAAAAAUUACUAAGAAACAUGUGCUUAAACAGAGGUUAAAGCUAUGAACAAUUAAGAAGAAACUCUUAAUUUGGUCCCAGUUAGUAUAAUAAUCAUCUAUUGAGCGGUAAAAUAUUAAUUUUAAUAGUGAUGAAAUCCAAUAAAUAAUAGAUUACUAACACACAUAAAUUAAAACUUAACUGUCUGAAAUCAUAACAUUACUCUACUCUUCAGUGGAGUUCUCUUAAACAGAUUAUGUGAGAUUGCCUACAUUAAAAAUAUGUUAAGACUGCUUGUUGAAAGCAAUAUUCGCUUUUCCAUUAUAUCCAUAACUUUGAAUUGAUAAAGUUGUAUUCAGCAGCUCUUGAAAAGACUAAUUUAUUUUAACUAGUCAUAGAAAUAAGAGAGAAAAGGGGCUAUUUCUUGACUCAAAGUCAAUUAUAAUUAUCAAAACUUGAGGGGACAUCGCAUGCCUAAAUUCCACGCACCCUAAUACGGUUUGAUUUGCUUUCACGCGUUCAUGAAUUUCCAUGAAAGAGCCUGCCUUUCGUCUCUUUCGGGACAGUGACUACAAUAAUGGAAAAAAUUAUAAUUCUCGUUAGAUUGUAACCAAAUUAUUAUCCCUAAUUUUUUUAAGUUACAUAUAAUAAAAUUCAUGCUUAAGUAUUUAGUAAUUAGAGAGAGAUAGAGAGGAUUGAGGGCCAAUGUUUCGCGAUUUGGGGUCAAUUCAAAGUCAACUAACGUGUAAAACACGUGUAUGCAUAGAAAACGCUUAGAUUAUUUGUGUUCCAAGAAAGAAAGAAGACCCAUCACCUUCUUCGUGACAACAAAUGAAUGAAUGAUGUUGAUAUGACAAAUACAAGCGCUAUUACAGGGAACAGCAUAAGAUCGAGACUUGAUAAAGGGUUUGUUAAAUUACAUGUUAUUUUCUUUUGACUUGAAUGAUGUUGAAGAGAAAAAUCAAAUAACAUUGUAAUCAGGGUGAUGUGUGGAAUAUAGUGAAAUAAAUAAAUAGAGAAGAGAAAUUCGUUGAUCAAUAUUCAAGAACUCAUCCAAAGUGAUCGUCAAAGUCUAGAGGUUCGGUAUGAUUAGCAUUUAUUAUUAUUUUUUUUGGCUUAACAUCAUAUAUAGUCACCUGUCGUGUGAUCUAGAACAGGUUUAGAAAUCCUUUUAUUUUAACUUCCGUAUUCUUAUUAUUUAAUUAGUUAUAGGGUUCUUCAGUAUUUGAGUAUUGAUCACAUGUCUCCUAAUCUAAAAAUAUGUUUUUACGAGUACAAAUAACAAACUAGGAUUUUAACAGCCUUUUAUACUAAACCCUAAAAAUACAUGAAUUUAUCAAAAUAAGUAAAUUAAUUUAAAUUGGUAUGGCAUAAUAAAAGUUUUACCUGCCGAAACAAAUUAAAAAAAUAUUACACUUAAAUCAAAUAUUGACAAAAAUAGAUAACAAUCUAAUGAGAAUCUUAACUAGAUAUUUUUACUUCUAUCCAAUUUAACUGGAACGAGAAUUAAGUCCUUUCAAUAGUUAGGACUCAUAACUCAUACACGCUAGUUUGAGAGUGUGGGGUGUGACAAUGGGCCAAAAGACCAUUGACAAGUACAAAAGAGUGGUCGCAAUUAAUUCAAACCGCUACACACGCUAUUGCGUCUUUUAAAAAAAAAAUGGAAUAGUUUUCCAAAAUUAAUUCAGAGAAGAAGAUUUACUAAUAAUGAUGUUAGAAAUCUUAAUAUUUGAAUCUUAAUAUUAUGUAUCACUCAUUUAUUAAAUAAUAGAUUUCAUAGUUUGUAAAUUUACUUAACCACUUGAUAAGUGUUAUAUUUGUUGGGACUAAAUUGGGACUUAGAUGUUGGAAUAUCAAGUAUUGCAUAAAAAUAAAAAAUAAAAACUUAACAAUUUAUCUUCACAUGACUAAUUGUUUUUACAUCACAACUAACCUUAGUUAUUUUUUAAAGUUAUAGUAUUAUUAAAUUGCCCUAACUGGUUAUCAAAAGAUGAAAGCAUGUUAAAAUAAGAAAUUACUAAGAAACAUGUGCUUAAACAGAGGUUAAGGCUACGAACAAUUAAGAAGAAACAACUUACAAUCAAAGGUUAAGAUUAUGAACAAAUUAAGGAAGGUAUUGAGCAGAUAAAGGGACGAAAUCAUUGUCUGAAUUGCCGGUGACAAGAAUGCUUGUGUUGUGAAAAGAAACCUGAUGGUUUGUAAAUGGGUUGAAUUUUUUAUUCGGUCGCUCCAACUGACUUACUAAUGCCAAAUUUAUUACUUUGCACAGUAGUGUUUAGGAUCCUCAAGAUCAACUCUUAAUUUGGUCCCAAUUAGUGUAGAAAUCAUCUAUUGAGCAAUAGAAUAAGAAUUUUUCUAGUCAUGAAAUUCAAUAUAUAAUAUAUCCUUGACACACAUCGAUUAUAACUUAACUGUUAGAAUUCAUAACAUUACUCUACUCUCAAGGGGAGUUCUCUUAACAUAUUAUGUUAGGUUGCCUACAUUCAAAAUAUGUUAGGCUGCUCUUUGAAAACAAUAUUCCUUUUUCCGUAACUUUGAAUUGAUCCAAUAGCUCUUGAAAAGCACAUAAUAAUCAUUAUAAAUUUAAUCAAAGACUAAGCAGGUCUUCUUUCCAUUUGAUCACUCGCAUUUCAGUUAAGUUUGUCGUUUACUUAAAUUUUUCUUGCUUUCAAUUUCCACUGUUGUUUUUUUUUAUAUAAAAUAAUUUAUUUAAACUAGUCAUAGAAAUAAGAGAGAAAGGGCGCCAUUUCUUGACUCAAAGUGAAUUAUAAUUAUCAAAACUUGAGCGGACAUUGCAUGCCUAAAUUCCACGCACGCUAAAACGGUUUGAUUUGCUUUCACGCGUUCAUGAUUUUCCAUGAAAGAGAGUGCCUCUCGUCUCUUUCCGGACAGUGACUGCAAUUAUGUUAACGUGACGAAUACAAAACGUUAUUACAUACAAGAAUAAGUUUUUGGACCCGAGACUUGAGGGAGGUUCUAUCUAAUUCUAAAGAUUGUAACCAAAUCAUUAUCCCCAAAUUUUUUCAGUUAAAUAAAAUAAAAUUUAUGCUUAAGUAUAAAUAAUUUUUUAAAGUUAAAUAUAAAAUAAAAAAAUUCAUGAACUUCCUAGAAAGAAAGAAGACCCUUCACCUUCUUCGCGACAACAAAUGAUGUUGACAUGACAAAUACAAGCUCUAUUACAGGGAACAGCAUAAGACCGAGACUUGAUAAAUAUUAAAUAUAUAAAAUAAGUGGAGCAAACGAACAGAAUAAUAGAUAUUUUAUAAUAUUCUUCAUAAAAAUCCAUGUUUUGAGCCUGCCUAUAAGCUUAUCUAGUGAAGUCUGGGUAUCCGCGUUGCCCAAGGUUCCGUUUGAAUCCAGGCCGUGUAGAUGUUUAAGACAUCGCAUAUGGACGGAGUGGAAAUAUUUUCAGUUGACUGAAUUAAAUAAAAAUAUAUUACAAUCAUAUUAUAUAUUAGCAGCAAAAAUAAAAAGAAAUGAAGAAAAACGCAUGCAAGACUUAGACAAGUCAAUUAAAAGCUGGGAGUAUCAUCAGUUCAAUUGGUUAUAAAUAGCGUAGAGCCAUCCUCUCGUUGUUGCAGAACUGAAGCAAAGAGACUCAGAAAGAGUGUGUGUAGGUGAUUAUAAUUAAGAAGAUAUAAUGUGUGGUUCAAAAAGAGUGUGGGUGAGUGAGUUAAUUUUCAUAUUAUUAGUAGUAAAAGGGUGGUGGAGUGAGGGAUGUUUGGAGCAAGAGAGGUCUGCUCUCCUACAACUCAGACAUUUCUUCAAUGAUGAUCAACUUCUUCAAAACUGGGUAGACGAUGAGAAUUAUUCAGAUUGUUGUCAGUGGGAAGGGGUUGAGUGCAAUAACACCACUGGCAGAGUGAUUGAAUUAUAUCUAGGAUAUACUCGGAAAUGGGAAUCAGCAGAGUGGCAUAUGAAUGCUUCUCUGUUUACUCCCUUUCAACAAUUAGAGUCUCUUGAUUUAAGUUGGAACAAUAUAGCCGGUUGUGUUGAAAAUGAAGGUCCUUAAUUUACUUUAUUUUAAUUCUUCCUCCUCGUAAUUUCUUACAUCUAUCUGAUCCCUUUUGGCUUUUGUUUAAUUUGUACGUGAUACAAUAAAAUUACUUUUUAUUUUUUGUCAGGUCUAGAUAGGUUAUCAAGGUUGAAGUUUCUUUAUUUAGACUAUAACUGCUUCAACAACAGCAUCGUUUCAUCUCUAGGUGGUCUUUCAUCACUCAGAAACUUAUCAUUGGCUGGUAAUGAAUUGGAUGGAAGUAUUGAUAUUAAAAGUAAGUACGCUUCAACCCUUCUCCCCUGUCCCAUCUUUUGUAGAUCUUAUUUCACUGAGCAGCUGGAAGUAUUGAUACGAGAUCUAGCUAGACUCUUGUGAGUUUAGGCUUCAAGGCUUUGAAUAUUAUAAAAAUAAGUUAAAGAAAUUAUCGAUAUAUGCAAUUUUCAAUGCUUCUCAUAAUCAGACACAAUUCAAUCUAAUUAUUUCGUAUGUCCUGUCUUCAAAAGUAAAGAAUUGUACACUAAUUGGAAAUCGACAUCGUAGCUUUUUAUUUUCUAUAAUGCUCUUUUUUCGUUAACGAGUUUAUAUCCUAAGAGGGAUUGGAUUGAAAAAAAAAAAGUUUUGAUGUUCAAUGUAAGCCAUGAUAACCUGCAUCUUAUUUGUCUGCCGACAUCCAAAUUUGUGCACUGAAUUUAGUAUUUUGGUUAUUGUGAAGGGAUCAGAUAUUGGCUUCCAUAGACCAACUUGUAUUUACUUAAUUAAUUAAUUAACGACAUUUAGUAUUUAACAAAUUAAAAUUUCAUGUUUAAUCGAUUUUAAUUUUUUUAAGAAAAAAGAAAAAGAUAUAACAGCAUGUAAAGCUGAAAUAAAUUUUAAUUCCUUACAAAUUUAAAUUCAUGGUUGUCAGCUAAAUAUACCUGCUUAAAGCCACUCUUUUCGCUGAGAUUUAACCAAAAAAAAAAGGAGAAAAUAAUUUAUUUAAUUAACUCUGUUUUAAGUGUUGGAAUAAAUACAGGACUGGAAUCCUUGAGUAACUUGGAGAUGCUGGACAUGAGGGACAAUGCAAUCGACAAUCUAGUGGUUCCUAAAGGUAUACAAAAUGACACUAACCCAAAAUAAUUUAAUCCGAAAUUGUAUCCCAAAUAGAUUACAGAGGUUUGAGGAAGUUGGAUACCCUUUAUUUGGGGGGGAAGGGAAAUUGCAGUGAUAUAUGGAAGCAAGGUGUUGCAAUCAAUAAAGAAAUUCAUAGGGUCAAUAUUAAAGGACUCUCCUCCAACUCAAACAUUUCUCAAAUAGAUUAUUUAAUCUGAAAUAGUAUCUCAAAUAGAUUAUAGAGGUUUGAGGAAGUUGAAUACCUUUUAUUUGGGGGGGAAGGGAAAUUGCAGUGAUAUAUGGAAGCAAGGUGUUGCAAUCAAUAAAGAAAUUCGUUGGUCAAUAUUCAAGACUCAUCCAAAGUGAUCGUUAAAGUCUAGAGGUCUGCUCUCCUCCAACUCAAACAUUUCUUCAAUGAUGAGAAUUAUUCAGAUUAUGGUCAGUGGGAAGCGGUUGAGUGCAACAACACCACUGGCAGAGUGAUUAAAUUAGAUCUAGGAGCCACUAGGAAUCGGGAAUCAUCAGAGUGGCAUAUGAAUGCUUCUUUGUUUACUCCCUUUCAACAAUUAGAGUCUCUUCAUCUAAUUGGGAACAAUAUAGCCGAUUGUGUUAAAAAUGAAGGUCCUUAAUUUACUCUAUUUUAGUUCUUCCUCGUAAUUUCUUACAUUUAUCUGAUCCCUUUUGGCUUUUGUUUAAUUUGUACGUGAUACAAUAAAAUUAUUUUUUAUUUUUUGGCAGGUCUAGAGAGGCUAUCAAGGUUGACCAACUUGAAGUUUCUUCAUUUAGACUAUAACUGCUUCAACAACAGCAUCUUUUCAUCUCUGGUUGGUCUUUCAUCACUCAAACGCUUAUCAUUGGCUAGUAAUGAAUUGAAUGGAAGUAUUGAUAUUGAAGGUGAGUAAGCUUCAUCCCUUCUCCCGUGUCCCAUCUUUUGUGGAUCUUAUCUCAUUGACGGGUUGGAAGUAUUGAUACGAGAUCUAGCUAGACUCUUGCUAGUUUAGGCUUCAAGGCUUUGAAUAUUAUAAAAAUAGGAUUAAGAAAAUAUCAAUAAAUGCAAAUUUCAAUGCUUCUCGUAAUCAGACACAAUUAAAUCUAAUUAUUUUGUAUGUCCUGUCUUCAAAAGAAAAGAAUUGUACACUAAAUGGAAAUCGACAUUAUUGUUUGCUUUUGAUUAGUGGAUCAAAAAUCGACUAAUUUUGAUUUAACAUAAAAAUAAAAAAGAGAAAAUAAGUUAUUUAAUUAACCCUGUUUUAAGUGUUGGCAUAAAUGCAGGACUGAAUUCCUUGAGUAACUUGGAGGAGCUGGACAUGAGCGACAAUGCAAUCGACAAUCUUGUGGUUCCUAAAGGUAUACAAAAUGUUCAAAUAUUAAUAAUUUGGAGGACAGUUUAAUUGAUUUGAUUAGGGAAUGCCCAAUGACACUUACCCAAAAUAAUUUAAUCUGUAAUUGUAUCCAAAACAGAUUUCAGAGGUUUGAGGAAGUUGAAUACCCUUCGUAUAGGGGGAAGCAGAAUUCGAAUGAUAGAUGGAAGCAAGGUGUUGCAAUCAAUAGGAUCACUACCGUCCCUCAAAACACUUGACCUUUGGUAUACUAAUUUUACGGGAACAGUAGUUAAUCAAGGUAAGUAAAUCUUUUAUGUCGAAAAUAAUUGAAUUAAUAUAUAUAGCUAAAAUUUAUUGUUUCUACUUCUUUCUAAAUAGAGUUGCACAAUUUCACCAACUUGGAAGAAUUGAUAUUGCUCGGGUCUCAUCUCCACGUAAGCCAGCUUCUGCAAAGCAUCGCAUCAUUCACUUCGUUAAAGAAUUUGUCAAUGCCAGUUUGUACCCUUACAGGUGCCGUACAUGGUCAAGGUAAAUUACGGGUAUCUGAAGCUUUUAUGAUAUUAAUUCGAUAAUAAUUCUUUCUUUUCAAGUUAAUUUUCUCCCGUAAAAUAAUAUUUUUUUCUUUUAAAUUUUAUAUAUUUUCACCGUCCAAUAGAAGAGUAAAGAAAAAUAAGUAAAUUAACCCAAAAAAAAGAAAAGAACAAGACCGGAUUAUCCUUAUUCCCUUGCAUUAUGCGAUCAAUAUCAAAAUUAUAACCAUUUCUUGUUUAUUGCUUGUAGAUUUUCGUAAAUUCAAGAAUUUGGAACAUCUGGACAUGGGUGGGGUGCAAGUUGAUGUCAACACCAGUUUUCUUCAAAUUGUCGGCGAAUCAAUGCCUUCUCUUAAGUUUUUAUCACUGGCAGAUUCAAGUCUUAAUAAAAACACCAUUCUUGAUCAAGGUUAAUUAAUGAUUCUCAUUCUCCCUCUCUCGCAUCAUAACUAAAUUUAAUGGAGAAUAUCUAUAAUGCGAGCUAUUUAUAAACUUAAUGAAAGAUGAUAAGGAGCCAUAAUAAUGACAAAAAUAAUUGUAAAAUAGUGCACUGUUGUAGUGUUGAUUGAAAAAUAAUGCUAAUGUUUUACCUAACAACACUAUAACGUCGGAUAAUUUUUAAUAUGUACUUUAAACUAUCAGUACUCAAACUAUCAGUACUCAAACUUAAUUUUUAAUAUGUACUUUAAAGAUUUUAUGCAAUUAUUUAAGUUUUAUGCAAUUAUAUUUUUCAGGACUUUGUCGGUUAGUGCAUCUGCAAGAGUUAUACAUCAGCAGUAAUGAUUUGAGAGGUAGCUUGCCAUGGUGCUUGGCAAAUUUGACUUCCCUUCGAGUAUUAGAUGUCUCUUACAAUCAACUAACUGAAAACAUCUCCUCAUCUCCCCUCAUGCAUCUAACAUCUAUCGAAGAGCUCAUACUUUCAAAUAAUCACUUCUUCCAAAUCCCUAUUUCACUUGAACCACUUUUCAAUCUCUCAAAACUCAAGACUUUCGAUGGUGAAAUAUGCGCAGAAACUGAGUCACAUUAUAAUUCUUUGACCCCAAAAUUCCAACUGACUUCUAUCUCACUGUCUGGUUACAUAGAUGGUGGCACAUUUCCCAAAUUCUUGUACCAUCAGCAUGACUUGAAGAAUGCUGAUCUCUCACACCUUAACUUGAGUGGAGAAUUUCCAAAUUGGUUGCUAGAAAACAAUACAAACUUAGAGACGCUUCUUCUUGCCAACAACUCUCUUUUUGGAUCAUUUCGGAUGCCAAUUCAUUCCCACCAGAAUUUAGCAACAUUGGAUGUCUCUAAAAAUUUCUUUCAAGGCCAUAUUUCGGUGGAAAUCGGAACAUAUCUGCCAGGUUUAAUGGAUUUAAACUUAUCUAGAAAUGCUUUCAACGGUAGCAUUCCCUCUUCAUUUGCUGAUAUGAAAAUGUUGGAAAGGUUGGACAUAUCCUACAAUCAGUUGACUGGUGAAAUCCCAGAGCGCAUGGCCACAGGUUGCUUCUCAUUAGAAAUUCUUGCAUUGUCAAACAACAGUUUGCAAGGUCAUAUAUUCUCUAAAAAAUUUAGCUUGACAAAUUUGACGACGUUGCAGUUGGAUGGUAAUAAAUUCGCUGGAGAGAUCCCAGAAAGCUUAUCUAAGUGCUAUUUGUUAGAAGGAUUAUAUCUGAGUGAUAAUCAUCUCACUGGUGAGAUUCCAAGAUGGUUGGGUAAUUUGUCAGCUUUGGAAGAUAUUAUAAUGCCCAAUAACAAUCUUGGAGGGCCAAUUCCAAUCGAGUUUUGUCAGCUUGAUUCUCUGAAGAUUUUAGACCUUUCAAACAAUAGUAUUUUCGGAACCUUACCAUCUUGCCUUAGUCCAGGAUCUAUUGAACAACUUCAUUUGUCAAAAAACAAGAUAGAAGGACGAUUGGAAAGUAUAAUCCAUGACAGCCCUUAUUUGGUGACAUUAGAUCUUAGUUAUAACAGCUUACACGGAAGUAUUCCAAAUCGGAUUGACAGACUACCUAAGUUAAACUACCUUCUUUUGGCUAAUAAUUAUAUUGAAGGCGAAAUACCAGUUCAAUUAUGCCAUUUGAAGGAAGUGCGGUUGAUUGAUCUUUCUCAUAAUAAUCUAUCUGGUCAUAUUCCUCCUUGCUUGGUUAACACUUCACUCAGUGAAGGUCAUCAUGAGGCAGUAGCUCCAACUCCAAGUGGAUCUUCGAUGGGAAAGGAAGAAACUGUACAGUUCACAACAAAGAAUAUGUCCUACUAUUAUCAAGGAAGAAUUUUGACGAGUAUGUCUGGGAUUGAUCUUUCUUGUAACAAACUGACAGGUGAGAUUCCUACUCAAAUUGGAUAUCUUACUAGGAUUCAUGCACUAAAUCUAUCUCAUAACAAUUUGACGGGCACAAUCCCGACAACAUUUUCAAACCUGAAGCAAAUCGAAAGCUUGGACCUCUCCUACAACCUACUGCAUGGGAAAAUCCCUUCUCAGCUCACCGUGCUAACUACAUUGGCGGUCUUCACAGUAGCAUACAAUAACUUAUCAGGCAAAAUCCCAGAUAGAGUCGCACAAUUUUCAACUUUUGAGGAAGAUAGCUAUGAGGGGAAUCCUUUUCUUUGUGGAUGGCCACUGUCUAAAAGUUGCAAUGAUAGUGGAUUAUCAGCAGUGACACCAGAAGCUUACACUGAUAAUGAAGAAGGUGAUAGUUUAAUUGACAUGGACAGUUUCCUGAUCACUUUUACAGUAUCUUAUGGAAUUGUGAUAUUAGGAAUUAUUGGAGUUUUGUACGUAAACCCCUAUUGGCGGCGAAGAUGGUUUUACCUUGUUGAAGUGUGUAUGACCUCUUGCUACUAUUUUGUGGCAGACAAUCUUGUUCCUAGAAGAUUCUAUGGUGGAUGGAUGUAAUUUCAUUUACUUUACAACUUAUAUGUUAUUUUUAAAGAAUUUUCUUUUGCAUGCAUGGAAUAGCAACUCAAUAAAAGUAUUUGAUGCAAAUUGUCCAAGAACAACUUAGUAAUUUCAUUGCUACUAUUCGGUUGUAUAUAUACAGUUAAUGAAAUUUUUAAUCAUUCGCAGUAGGAAUUUCUUUAAAUGGCGGCCAAAACCAACAGAUUUGGGGCUCUACCUCUACACAUCAUAACAGGCAAAAGGUCUCUCUUUUACACUAUCUGAAUGAAGAUUAGCUUACGCCCCUGGAGUUCUCUAUUAAACUUGACGGUUGAGAUUUCAGGUCCAGAUGAAAGUUAAAUGCAGGCGACGAGACUACACUUUAAGUAAACUGGGACAAACUUAAAAUAAAUAAAAAUUAUAGUCCAGGGUAAGAGUAAUGGGUAGCUCAACUUAUGGAGUAUAACUAGGACUUGGAAUAACUAUCAGAUUUGCAACUCUUGUUAUAUGCUUGGGAGUUACAGUAAUCGAUUCAUUUCCUCCAUUUCUGAUGGUAACCCAGCUCUAUACAAGAACAAUCAGAGAAGGUUCAUUUAAGAAAUUUCACAACCCACGCUUUUUUUUCCUUUUUGCCCUCUUCCUCACAAUAAAAACACCUAACACACCAAGCCGUGCACAAAAUAGUCCUAUUUUAUUCAUGUCAUGAAUCCAAAAACUAUCCCAGCUCACUUUGUUUAACCAGCAUAACUAAAUUGUGGGUAUAAAUGAACACACUUUCGAAGCCUGUAACUUAUAAUAAGCUCAAACCCAAAAAUGACAUUUAAAUCCUGCAAGUGUUUUUCAUCAUCCCUAACAAAAAGAAACAAGAAUAAUUAUAUACCAAUAAUUUUUCCAUAAAAAAUACUGAUACCAAUAAUUUUUCCAUAAAAAAUACUGAUUUGAGUUGAAACACUAUACAAACUGGGUUUUAUACACUUGCAGAAAGCUACACGAUAGACAAAAUCUAGCAGCUACAUAAUGGUAUCACUUUCAGCUGGUCAUGAAUGGUGUGCAUUCAGCAGUGCUCGAUAGACCAUGUCUAUGAAUUGAUUGUCCUAUUACAUAUAAAAGCUGGUCAGCUAUACAAGGAAAAAAAUAAUAAUUGAAAAUGCAUCACAAAAAAUAAGUGUCUCGCAUUAGUGUUUGCACUCUAAGCAUGGCAAAGUGGUGCGGGUUCAUGAUUUUGAAGACUGGGAUAAGUGAAAAAUAGUUCAAUCCACUGAUGAACAUAAAUUUAUUUACAUGUCAAUUUAGAUAUCAUAAAAAAGUAAACAGUAAUUCACAGUCACUUAAAAGAGUUGAUAAAAUGCGUGCCGUGAAUGCAUUUUUGUACAUAAGAAAUCCAAAGAGUAUUUCUGACAAUACAAAUAUGCUAGCUUUAAAUCUGCUGUCAAUAUGCAAUUAAGAAGAUUAUACCAGCUGCAUGAUAAAGUUCCCCUAAUCUUAAUAACAGUAAACAUGAACAUGUCAGAUGCAAUUAUAGCUUCGAGCAUUUGCAUAACCAGAAAUCCUAACCUGAACAAGCACCAGAAGUGUCUCUCGGACUUUCUCCUUGUUGAUAAAUGGUCCGCUGUUUGAAGUAAGAGCAGGAGUAAGAGAUGGUGGAGGGGUUGGUAGUGGAAAAGGUUGAAGCAUUGGGGCACCAUAUGGGCGUUGCAGACUCAGGGGAGGAUUAAGUGGCGGAGCUGUUGGUGUAGAUGAAGAGACAAGCUGCAUCAUCUGUGCAUAGGAGGAUGGAGGAGGAACAAAGAAUAAGGAAGGCUUUACAAGAUUAGGGGUAGGUGCUGACAGAGGUGGAGAUGGUAUUUGCAAGGUUGGCACGAUAGGAGAAGCAACACUGGCGGGAUGAGAAGGUAAAGAAAUAGUUGUAUUGGACUGGUAAGGUUGUGCAGAGAUUGCUGCAUUAGAAGUAUUCCCCACAGUCAAAGCUGUCUGCAAUGAUAAGGACAGAUGUCAUAUACAAGGACAAGUGAUAACAUAUGAAAAUAGUAUGACUUGCUGCAGUUUUGUGGUAAUGUUGCAUACUUAUGCAGAAACAUAUUAUUUCAAAGAAAACAUACACUGAAGUAGUUCACAAAAGCAGGAUCUUCAGGAACAUCAGCAGCAUUUGAGGGAGUUGACUCUAGAGGACCAUCCAUAACUGCCAUAGUUGGAACAGCUUCCAGUUCCUCAAACUCACUGCAGUUUAACAUAAAAGGAACUUGAUGACCAAUUUAAGUAAUAAUUAGAUGAUAUAAGAGGUUAGGGAAAAUGAUGAGUGGACCCUUAUGGAAGGUGAUUUCACCUUAGCUAAACACGAAAAUAAAAAGAAAUCAAAGCUGAAUCCUCGAGUGCAAUGCAAAGAAUUUUUUCUCGCUCUUCUCUAACUCCUCUUAUUCGAAAUUGCUCAUCAUUGUGCUGUUCUUCGAGUUUUCGCUAGAGUAGAGAAAGCUAUUCUCUCGUUAAGUGCAGAGGAAAGAGAAGGGCAAGGGCCUGGUAUGAUGCUAUUCUAUAGGAAGUGAGAAGGUGAAGGGUUAAAAUAUUUUGUAAUUUGGAGGUGGUGUUUGUUAGUGUGUGUGUACUUCUGAAUUUAUUACCUCUUUAGGAUCCAUAGAAAUUGCCUCUUGUUCAGCAUGCACUGUGCCUACGAGUAAGACGAGCUUGCAUGGUAUCUAUUGUCUAUUUACUUGGAUAUUCAAACAUGACUACCAGCCACCAAACACAAAUCCCCAAACAAAACACUCUUUCAAGUGCAAGGAAAGAGUAACUUGGGCAUAUUUAUAGUUCAAGCACUACAAUAACUAAGAAUGUGAUGACUGUCCACAAACACUAUAUCAGUGCCUUUUGAACUACAUUACAUGCUCGAAGACUUUUUUUUUAGUCAUACAUAAAUUAGCUAUAAAAUUAAGACCGUUAUACAACUAAAAAGAAAGAAAAAUUGUUUGCUACUACAUAUCAAAACUGGUAAUAGCAAUGUAAGAUGGCAGACUUCUUACUUAAACAGAUGAGAGGCUACAAAUAAAAAAUUUGUGCAAAUAAAAUAUAUGAUAGAGAGCAUAAUACUUUCUUGGGGGCUAAAAAUAAUAUACAACUUGUGAAAUAUAAAUUGAGCUACCAUUACCUUUUAGAUGUGGCAACUUUCGACUUUUGAGGCACCUUGGAAUAUGCAUUCAGAAUCCUGCAUUUGGAAGCCAAAUAAAUAAUGUUAAUAACAAUUUUACAAUAGAAAAAUUAAAAAUUGAUAAAUGGCAGUUGUAAUUUAUGUAUGCGUAAAGAUAGCUUCACAUCCAGGGUCCUCCCAUAAACAUGCUUGUAACAAGAAUUAGUUUGUCCAACUGUUAGCAACUGCUAACAAUAUACAAUAGUAAAAAUCACUCUCAUGAACUCAACAAUACUAGGCACCAAUAAGAGUAUGAUACAGCCAUUCUAAAAUGGAAGAGAAUACAACUGUUUUACAACUAUGUUGCAUCAGGAGAUAUGUUAGGAGGAUUAAUCCAGAUACCUUCCAACCCAAUUAGGAAAACUCGAGUCAGAAACCAGGAGCCGCAACCGAACCUUACAAUCUUGAAGGAAGAAGGAGACUUGGGGCAUUUUUCCAGAUAGGUGACUUACUAGAUCUCCUGCCAAGAGAAUAUCUAUUGCUUUGAACCUCCAUUGAAAUUUCUUUUCCCUUUUUCUUGUUUUGGCUUGGAACUUUCCAGCAUCAUCUAUUUGAUCUUUUUUAAAGCUAAAAAAGCAAUCUAUGGGUUGUGAACAUCUUAUCACCACCCCCCCCCCCCCCCCGGGCCCCCAAAAAAAAAUCAAUGAGUUGUCAAUAAAUAGCGCCUACUCAAAUGUUUUCCAAUGGAUGACAAUGUGCAAAUCGACCUAGCAGCCACAUUUUUCCCCCCUUUCAACCACCAUUAGGCAACUUUUCUAACCUUUCUUCAUUGCCCACGUGUACAGAACUAUCAUAUAAAGACUACAUUAUUAUUGGGAUGGAGAAAAAUAUACAGACUAUAUUAUUAUAUCUCAUUUUAUUAAUUAACUAGUGCAAGACUUAUUUAGUGUCAAAUCAAGAACUAAUUGGAAAAGACAACUCAUGAUAAUACAGACCUUAAAAAGCAAUAGCUAGCAACACCUCAUAUACUCCUAUUUUAGCCUUUAAUAUCCUGGUAAAAACACAAUUAAGUCUUGCAAAAGAACAUUCACAAGUAAAUUCAACAUUAAUUAAGAUUAAGUAUCUACUGCACCUUCAAUCAAUGACUGGGUGAAUAGCAUGGUCAACCAUCUAGUUCCUGUAGCCCUCCUUGUACCUAUGUUGGUUACAUUUUACAUAUUCAGCCACGAAAAUGAAGGAUCACAGCCUGGUAAAGAAAGCCAUUAAUUAAUAGUGUUUGUUUAAAAAGUUCUCGUUUAGAUCUUUCCUAUUCAAUGAAUCAAUGUAAUCCAUGGAGAACUCUUCCAUUUCAAGCAGUGUUAGAAGAUAAUUGGAAAGCCUAAAGAUAGUAUACAAGGACCAAGAUAUCGAUUAGGUCAAAUAGUGAAUGUCAAAUAUAAAAAAUAAAUAAAAGAAGUUGUACAUGAUCAUUUACUAUCAAGUUCUGUAAAAUUGAAAAUACCAUUAUCACUGUAGAGAUUCUCAAACAACUCUUUAGCAAAUUAUAAAAUAGUUAAAAAAAGAACAAAAGUUUUUUUUUAAAAAAAGAAGAACAUCCAUAUCAGGAGAUGUUUUUCUUCUCAAUCUCAAUAUUUUCUAGCCGUGAAGCAAUUGAAAAGCUUAACACUAAGUGAAUUAUUAAGAAUUCAUCAUUUAAAUUCCCAAAUCGCAAAAUGUUGGUGCAACUAGGAAAGUGCAAAUGCAAUCACUUAACUAACACAAGAAACACCAAUAGUGAGAGCCCACUUUGUAUCAAAUUUGAAACAGAUAGAGGUCAAAAAAAUUAUACACUCAAUUAAAAGCCUUUCAAACAGCUUUUGCAUGGAACAAGAACAAAUCAAAGGCAAUGUGAAUGUAUUCAAAGACUAAUUUACAAUGAUCUACAGGACAUAAAUAUCUUGGAUACCUACUCUCUAUACCUUACUGUCCCACUAGAAAUCAUCAAAUCCCUCCAAACAAAAAUGACAAAAUGGAUAAGAAUUGUGUCGUUAAACUUCAAUAACUUAGCAGCCACAGCAAAAACUUAUGUAGGCACGCAAGCCACUCAAAAUAGUCAUAUUUUUUGCUUUCCAAACAAAAGCCACUUUGUAAUGAAUAUUCAUAAAUUGCUACUAUCAUGUUUGUUAAAACACGUGAAAACCACCAUAACUAACUAAAUGUAACUGAUGAUCAUCAUCAAGUUCAUGGAAUCACAUAUCUGACAGUAUUAAUUAGUGCAAAUGGCAUGCUUCUUAAAACUCCGUAUUUAUCACAUGGGCGCCAUUCCAAUCAACCAAUGAUUCUGAUCUAGUCGGCAUAUUCAACCCACGAGCGAGUAAUACCUCCUAUUGCUUCUUUACAUUUCUCAACGAAAUUCCACAUUCUAACCAUACUUCUGAACAUGUUGCUCCCAUAGACUAAUACAAUAUAAAGAUUUCUUCCCACACCACCUCAGCCCACACUCCUGAAAAACCAAUUUAAAUUCUCAUUGGCUGUACAACCUAUAGUCCAUACCAAAUUGAAAAAUUUACAAAUAUAGAACCUCAAAGAAUCUUCUUGUGUUCCAUUUUUUACGGCAAGAAAUUUGACUUUUACCACAUGCAAGUCAACAAAUAAAAAAAUCAUGUCUUUGUGAGAUGCACAUUUUCAGAUGAAUCUAAAGAGCAAUGAAACCGUAAAAACCGAAUAUCAGAACACCGAGGACUCCAGAUAUCACCUAUAGAAUCUUUGGUCCACACUUGCACGAUGAAAAUGAUGAAAAACAAUUGAAGGCUUCAUCACCAGCUCCCCAGGUUGUUUUGUUCUCCUAUCUCCUAAAUAUAAAGGAAACGCAACCCGUUCUUUUUUCCAAUCUUAAGGGGCACAAAACGACUCUGGUAUAAAAUAGUCAGUUUCUAUACAAAAAUAACUCCUUUGCACUUGGCAUUGCACAUCUCGAAAUAAAAAGCAUGCUAGAAAGAGAAUAUAAUAGCAUUAAACAAGUUUUAUUAACCAAACUUCAUGCCACACAAGGCAAAAAAGGAAUCUGUACAUGCCAGAUUCCAAGAAUAAUAAUUCCAAUAUACAAUUCAGGAAAACAAUAACUAAAACUAGGUUCACGAGGCCUCGGCAGAAGCAACAUGUAAUAACCAUACUCUAUUAUUUGAAACACAUUUCUAAGUUUGGUUAAGAUUCUAAACUAUUCUCUGUGUCAAUUAUUAACAUGUAAAACAUAAUAAUAUACACUUAAACUACUACACAAACUACUACAGUAGUAAAACCAGUAAAACAACAAUACCUGUUGAAAAGAUUUGCUACCUCUUCACAUUCACGAGCAUUGUAGAACCAAAUCCCAUUUACUUCUUGGGAUGCAUUUCGAUAUAACAAAUACAGAACCUGAACUUCAAACUCAAAAUCUCCCAAAAGAUUUUCCACUAAAUUAUCUGCACAUAUACAAGAUAUUGAAGCUUAUCAGUGCAAAAACAUAUACAAAAAGACAUGAAGGUUAGAAGACAUAACUAAAACUUAGCAACAACUGAUAAGCACAACAAGACAUGAAAUAUAACACUAGUUGUAAACAAGAUAGACACAUGGUAUCUAAAAAAUUGUACCAACCCCCUCUCCUGAUUGUCAUAAAACGGCCAAUAUUUAACCCUAGACAACAAAAUUGCAAAUACUCUAGCCUCUAUAUUAUUGGCAUAUAAAUAUUUUAGGUUAGGUACGUUAUAUUCUUCGUUCUAAAACCUCAAUUAUUAGCUAGUACUGUGAUAAAAUGAUUCAUCACUGAAAUUAAAACUAGUUCACGUACAAAUAAUCAAAACUGAAAUAGAAACAACGACAAACCAACCUGUAUUACGUCGAUUCAUUACAACAAACUGAAAUCGAGGCUGUGUGUUCCUGAAAAUUGAAAAAAUAAUAAUUUCACCAACUUCAUAUGUAAUACAAUCUCCAAAACACCGAAUAUCAAAUGAAAAAAUGGAAAGCAUAAGAGAGAAAAGAAUCUAAUUUUAUUGACCUUUUGACGACGAAGAGAGAGCCUUCAACAUCCUUACGACACCAUUGGCUGAGGUCGAUGUUGAACUCGUAGAAGGUGACAUGAGCGGCCGUGAUGAGGAUCUCCUCAAUGAAUGGAUCGAUUCGCUGAAGAACUGUCAGGUUUAGGAGUUUUGUGCUCUGCUGGUCCAGAUUAGGCAUCAAUUUUCCGUUCUGCGACAUUUUUCAUAGCCGUUUUGGGCUCUGCCCUGAGCACAAGCCCCAUGGUUUUUCUGUGAGCUCUUUCUCUUUUGUAAAUAAAGUGUUUGAUGAGAUAGCCCAGAGAGAGUGAGAGUUGAACAGCCAAACAAGAUGAGGUGAACAGUUUCGGAUUGAGACUCGAGAUUGGUCAAGCUUUAACUUCUUUCAAACAUUUGGGAAAUAGCAUUUAUUUCUUUCAAUUUCUC
RNAcentral lists this long non-coding RNA (183791 nucleotides) under Citrus maxima (pomelo). Its description in RNAcentral is "long non-coding RNA (CMAX_LNC003448)". The record is from RNAcentral. Lineage: Eukaryota; Viridiplantae; Streptophyta; Magnoliopsida; Sapindales; Rutaceae.